UUCAUUUUUCAUCACUCUGAUAUUUAUUACAGCGCAUAUGAUCGCUUAUUAUCACCUGCUUCUUGGCAUGUAGCCUAUCAUUCAAAUUGAGCUAACAAGCAUGCUAUCUGGCCCAGCCAAGUUUGCAUUGACUACCCUGCAGUUCAAUCUGAUCUCUCCUUCAGUUCCUGUCAGAGGGCUGAGAUUUCCCAUUCUUAUCAUGGACUCCACAAAGCUUUCAAAGAAAGCUGUUUGAUUAGCACUGAAAGCGUUAACAAGUGCAAUGACAUCAUCUGCCCCCGGAGUUGAAAACAGUUCUUGAUCAGUCUGAAGCAGGCCUCGGUUACCUUGCAGAUUGGAGUAGUAGUUACUGUCAAAGGCAUCAGGUGUUGUGAGAUCAAGAUCUGUUAUCACACUCCCAUUUCCACCUUGGGGACAUAAUUCCUGAAGAGCUGCUAGAAGAGUUGUGUCCAUUGAUGGGUCAGGAGCACCGGUUCUGUUGAAAUCAAACAAUCGGAAGUCGAAUGUAGAACAUUUUGCCCUUCCAAAUGUGUGAGCACCUGAGAAGAUAAAAAGGAAAUUACAUCAAAGGAGAAUCAAUUAUAACAGAGUUUUACAGUUUAGAGUUGAGCCUGCAAAUAAUACUUACCAGAUAGAGCUACCAAAUCACUAUUAUUAUUAAGGCUGACAUUAGUGAAGCUCUCUCUGAGUUGAUCAAGGGUGAGAGAAGGGGCCGGAAGGAAAGCAUUUGCUGCAUCUCGGCUUGCUGUUGUACUAUCUCUUCUUCCUAAUGGAACUGUCCAAUUUGGACCUCCUGCCUGCAACCAUGCAUAGUUAGGGGAUUACUACUUUUCAACUCUAAACUUAUUUCUAUCUCAACUACUUCUGUCCAAACCGUCAUAAAGUCAUGUAAAAAAUUAAGUAAAUCUCAGCUUCUUUCUUUCAUUCAAUUAUGAUAAACUAUGAUAUUUGUGUUCUACGUUCUUUGACUAGAAUUAGACAACAAGAGAUCUAUUUUAUAUUUUGGGGGGGUUGAGGGAUCAUUUUAAGAUACCAAGACAACAGAUUCUUCAGCUGCAAUAGUGAGUAUAUCAGCACAGGAAACAGUAGCAGGACAGGCACUCUCCAACAAAGCCUUCAUUCUAUCAACAACUUCAAAACCUCUUGCAGAGUUGUUGUUCCCUCCGGCUUCCUUUUCGCUCACUAUAGUAUCAGUAUUGUCCAACAAAAGCGAACCAUCACAGCCCUGAAAAUAAAAUAAAAAACUUGAGAAUCACAACUUAGAUAGACGGUUUAAUAUAAUUAAGCAAUAUAAGAUGUUUCAAAGCAAUUACAUUAACAAAGCAGUCAUGGAAGUGGAGCCUGAUGAGGCUGGCUCCAAUCCGAGGAUCGGAUACCAAUGUCUCCGUAAUGACAUUACGGAUAAUGCUGCUCACAUUUGGACAUGUCUGGUCAUAAAAUGUUGGAGUAAGCUGGCCAUGAGCCAAUGUUCCUCCAAGCAAAACUACAAAGAAAAAAGUUGCAACUAUAGCCUUAGAAAGAUGCAUUUUUCUCCAAUUUCUCCUAUGAAAAUGUUUUUGUCAAUGUUAAAACUUGCAUGGGAACCCAACGUUAACGAUGUUACAGUUUAUAUAGUGAUAAAGAGGUUUGGAAGCUAAGACGCGGUUCUUUGAAUAGUAGGCAUACUUGCUUCUGAAGAUUCUUGUGCAAAGUUAUUGCACGUUGAAAGACUGUUCAGUUAUCUCUUAACCAAAAUAUCCCUCAUCUCCUCUCUUCCUUGAGCUCGCUUACCCAUCUCCCCUUGUUUCCAUCAACAAUUCAUGAUUUCCGCAGACAUCUUCACUCCUUCAAACUUAAGACAUUGCAAGCCGGUUAUAUUAUGUCCUGGUAAUUUGAUUUUGAGUGAAAUUUUGCUUAACAUGCCAACAAUUUUUAUUAUUGAAUCACCAAAAUUACAUGGUUAGUAAGGAUGGAAUAUUUUUUUUCUCAUUUAUUGUAUUCUUAAAGAGGUUUGUAAGAUGAUGCAAUGGAUUGUGGUCCUUGUGGAUUUGAUAAUUCCGCAUCUCUGCAUAUAUUAGUUUAACAAGAAGGAAGUCUGAAAUUGAAAAACUAAAAAUUCAAACUAAAAUAAUGUGGACAGAGACUAUGUGUUAGUUUUCAAAAUAUUCAUAUUGAAACACAUUUCUAUUAGUUUUGUAAUUCCGUUUUUGUCUUUUCUUUUCUUUUUUACAUCUUACGUGUACCUCGACUAAUCUCACAGACCUUUAAGUUAAUGAUCAUAAAAGCUGCUAGUAACCCUGAGGUUUAUGAAACUCAAACUAGAAAUCUUUAAAAAAUAAAUUUAAAACCUGACUAGUUGAACUCCCAUCAAAAUUAAUUUUUUUUUUUAUAUUGCUAGGUUGCUGUCAUAGGAGAGGUAAUCCUUGGUCAACCCUUUAUAUUUUAGUAGCUGUGCCUCGUACAUUGGGACUCUUGUAGUAUUAACGUUCCCUAUUUUAUGUGAUGCCAGGAAUCGGGGCUAUGAAUUGGGACUUAUUAUUUUUAUUUUCUUCAACUUCACCAAAAGAGUUAAUUAAAACUUCUUCUAAUAGCCAAUUCAUUGAAGUACAAUGCGAGCGGCAAAUACGAUAUUGACAGAAGCAUGCAUGGAGAUUUUCAUGCUGUGGGUGGUCACAUAUAAUUUUCUCACAUUUUUUAAGCAACAGUAGCACUAGAAUGCCACGAGAAAAUAUUGGUGUUCACAAAAUCAGAGGUUUUUCUGUCACAAUCGUACUUUUAACUAGGUUGUAGAUUGCCUAGCCAUUUGAUGACAUGACUUUACACAUGGUAUUGACAAAACGUUUCUUGUUCAUCACUACUCUUGUAAAGUAGGAGCAGCCAGCUGACCUGGGAGUAAAACUAGACCCAAGAAUUCUGUUACUCCGAUAAGAAGAGAAAAAAAGGAAAAGGGAAAAAGUAAAAAGUAAAAAAGGCCAAAGCACAAAUGAGGGAUUCGAUAAAAAGAGAAAAAAAGUAAAAAAGGAAAAGGUGAAAAGGAAAAAGCUCAAACGAGGGAUUCGAAUCCCUCGUUUGAGCUUUUUCCUUUACCUUUUCCUUUUUUACUUUUUUUCUCUUCUUAUCGGAGUAAUAGAAUUCUUGCGUCUGGUUUUACUUCCAGGUUACCUGGGGGAGCUAGAUUUGGGUUUAGUUUUUUUAAUCUUUCAUCACAUUAAAAUAAUUUUAAAAAAUUAAUUUAAAAUUAAAAAAAUUAAAAAUUUUCAAUAUUUUUUAAAAGCAUUUUUAAAACGUAAAUGCUUUAAUGAAAAUUCAACUCAAUCUUAAAUGAAAAAAAAUAUCAUCACCCAAUUUUUAUACAAUAUAAAAAAAGUCAUAUUAUUUUAUUUUUUCUUUACAGUAUGAAAAAAAAAUUCAAUAAGAGAAGAAAAAAAAUUAAAAAUAUCUUAAAAGGAAAAAAAAUAAAAUGAAAAAAAUUAGUUGCUGGUGUAUUGGACGCUUCCCUGCUAUGUGUUAUUCAUGGUGCUACUAUAAAAAAUAUUUUAUUUGAAUAUGGUGAUGAUACAAAUACAUUCCAUGCUUUUAACCCAACUCAAGCAUUUUUACAUUUUAAAAAAAUAUUAUUAUUGACCCGCUGCGGAGUACGGGACAAUAUGUUACCUAUCAUAUUAUUACAUAAUGGUUAUUUAAAAAAAUAUAUUGAGAUAAUAUUUUUUUAUUUUUUAAAAUUAAUUUUUUAUAUCAUCACAUCAAAAAAAUAUAAAACAUCAAAAAAUAUUAAUUUGAAUUAUAGAAAAAAAAUUUAAUUUUUUAAAGCUUUUUUAAACGUAAAAACAAAUAUGCUUUAAUAAAGAAAUUCAACUCAACCUCAAAUGAAAAAAAAAAUAUCAUCACCCAACUUUUGUACAAUAUAAAAAAAAUCUCAUCAAUUUAUUUUAUAAAAUAUCAAAAAAUAUUAAUUUGAAUUAAAGAAAAAAAAUUUAAUUUUUUAAAGCUUUUUUAAACGUAAAAACAAAUAUGCUUUAAUAAGGAAAUUCAACUCAACCUCAAGUGAAAAAAAAAAUAUCAUCACCCAACUUUUGUACAAUAUAAAAAAAUCUCAUCAAUUUAUUUUCUUUUUACCGUAUGAAAAAAAAUUAAAUAAGAGAAAAAAAAAAUCUAAAAAGACAAAAAAAUAAAAUUAGAAAUAUCUGACGGCCUAGCCAAACCCAAUAGCGUUGGGUCAGGGUGCCCAGCUAAACCCAAUAGCGUUGGUUCCAGCUGUCUUAUUAAACCCAAGAUCGAUAGGUCUGGUUGGAAGCUGGAUCCAACAACAUUAGAUUUGAUAACCAAGUUAGAUCCAACAAUAUUUUUUAAUUAAAAAACAAAAAAGAUAAUGCUUCCAUACGUGUCAUCCAUAAUAUAAACACUUUAUCUAUACAAUAUAAUUUACAGUAUAACAAAUCUAUAUUCACCGUACACGCACAAUAUUUUUUCCAUUACUUAUAAAAUAUAGUAUACUUAAUGGGAAAGAAAUCACUCAUGGUGAUAAUAAGGUAACCUGGAUCGAAUCUUGUUCGUACCAAAACAAGAUGAGAAAGAUUCUGAGGAAUAAAGUUAUCUUUCACCGUUUGAACGACAAGAAUAAAUGAAUAUUUUCACUUAUCGUACAUCUCUUUUUUUUUUAAAAAAAAAAAAAAAACUAAGUCCUGGCUUACAGGCUUGUGCUUCAAGGCUUCUCAACAUUUCGGGUUUUUCAUUGCAGAGUUAGGCCUCUUAAGUCUAGGUCUAUUAGGGUUUUUUCAGGGUUAAGUAUGAAUUUAAAAUAAAAAAUUUAUUGAAUCUAAUUGUGUUGAUAUUUUAAAUCACAAGUUUAACAAGUUAAGCCAUAAUAUUUACACUAUUUUUUUUUUAAUUUGAUAUUUUUAACUAAUAUAUUUUUUAAUAUAUUCUAAAUUUAUAUUUCAAUUAAUAUCAUUCAUCUUUGAUUUUAUUUUUGUUUAUUUAACAUUUUUUAGAUUUAUGGUAUUUUGCGUAAUUAAUUUUUGAAAAGAUUAUUUUGAAUCAUUUAUAAUUUUUUAAUCUUUUGUAUACAAGAAAUUUAUUUUUGAAAAUAAAAAAAAAACUUUCAGAUAAUAUUUCUAAUAUGCAAAACGUUGCAUGAUAUUUUUUCACUUUUAUUUUAUUUAAUCAAUUUAAUAUAUGUUUCUAUUUUUAAUAUCAAAUCAAUUUAAAUAAAUUUAGUUAACACAACCAAAUAAAUGUCUUGUCAUGCAAGAUUAAAUAUCUUGAUCUAUACUUGUCUUUUUAUUUGUAUUUUUAGUUAUCAGUUAAUAAUUUUUUUAUUUAUUAACAUAUAUAAUUUUCAAUUUAUUUCAUUAUAUAUAUGCAUGAGUUUUUCAAUUUAUACUUAUAUUUUUUAUAUACAAAAAUACAUUGAAAAAUGUUUUUUAUAUAAAUAUAUAUAUUUAAAAUAUCUAACAAGCAACAAAUCACGAGUAAAAUAACCGGCUAUAAAAACAAAUGCAGCUUUUAGGGAGAAAAAAACUAUAACAUGUAAUAAUUUUAUUUAGUAUAUUUAAUGCUAUGUAAUUCAAAAAAAUUAAUUGCAACAGGCAUAGUUUUGAAACCCAACCCGGUGGUCGACCCGGUCUAAUGAUCAGGUCACGGGUCAGUUUGGUUGACCCGGGUCAACCAAAAAAAAAAACCAAUACAACACCUAUAGAAAACACCUAACUAGUUACAAUGCAACACUUAUAUAAACCAAAUUUAAAUUUUAAACCAACAACAUAAAUUUAAUUCAAUAUCCAAAACACAAACCAAAUAUAAAUUCUAAAAUAUUUAAAACAAAACAUCUAAAAACAUAAAUUCUAAAUCAACAACACAUUCACUUUUAUUGAAUGAACACAUUAAGUUUUUCUGUGUUCAUGGGAGCAAAAUUUGAAUUAAAUGUCGAUGGAAUUGAGCCAAUCUCGUCAACACCUAAUAAAUCAUCAGCAUGCUCUUUUGAAACUUCAUCGUCACAAUCAUCUUCAAUCUCAUUAAUAUUUAUGACAUCUACAUUUCAAACACAAUUAACAAAUAAAUAUUAUGUGUUAAACAAUACUUUAUUUUCAAUAAUAUUUAUCACUAAAUAAUCAAUCAUUAAUUACCAUCAUCUAAAGUAUCUUGUAUGGUCAUUGUUGAUAGAGCAUGGUGAAAACUCUCUGUUUCUUCAGUUGUCAAAAUUGACGGGUCAUCUUCUAUUACCCAAUUUUCAAUGUCACAAAUUGUCUCAAAAUUAAUUGGAUCAUAAUUUCAUCCUUUCCAAUAAUUCCUAUAUAUUAAAAGUGAAGGUAAACACAAUAUAAGUAUUAAUAAUGCUACUAAAUAAGAUAAAAUAAUAUUUAAGGAAUUAGAGAAAAGAAAAAUAGUUUUGUUUCAAUCUUAGAUUGCAGCGGACGUAAACAAGGUCAUUAAGCCUUUAAUGCUCCAAUCUAUUUCUCUUCUUAGAGUAAAUAUGUUCUAACAUACUCCAAUUUCUCUCGCAUCCCAAAGAACUACAAGUUUGACUUAACACUCGUAUAACCAAAAGUUAUAGAUUUGAAGCACUGGUUCCAUAUGUCAUCCACCAUUCAUCUAUACAAAAAAAAUAACAAGUAAGACUGUCAAAUAAUAUUUUUAAAUAUAAAAAUUAUAUACCUGGAGGCAUAAAGGUGCGAUUAUUUAUUGCGGACGCUCGACCAAAGUCAUGUUUAGCAUUCCUAAACAACUUCAUCUCACUUGUAAUCUUACUUUGCAAUGGUAGAUUUCCAUGUGCAUAUUUCUCAAGAACAUCAAGAAGUCCAGAAAUGAUGCUCAUAUGUUUAUCCAUUAUAUUUGCAUCAUAUUGAAAUUGAGGAUUCAACCAAAAUGCCACAGCAUAAAGAUUUCUAUAUAGUUGUCCAUCCCACCGAUUAUUGAUAAUGUCUAUGAAAGGUUUCACUUUAGCCUUUCUCUUUUGAAAUCUCCUUAACAUUUCUUCUUUUGCAUGAUGAAUAUCAUCAUACAAAUAUCCCAUCGAAGGUCUAUCAUCACCAUCAACCAUUCGUAGAACUCGAACUAAAGGUUCACUCAUUCGCAUAAUUAUUGCACAUUCUUCCAAAAACAGAGAGUCUAACACACUUUCAACAAACUUUUUUCCUUUGCUAUAUUUAGCAUAAGCAGAUGAGACCCAUUCCCUAGAUGUCACCAUAGCUCUCAACUCAUUUUUAUGAGCUAAAAUGCUUUACAAUGCAAUGAAAUUGGUAGCAAAACGAGUAGGAGUUGGAUGAAGUAUUUCUUUUCCUCCAGUGAACUUCCUUGUCAAAUAUAAUGGAUAACAAUGAUUAUAAAUGUACUUUAUGAUACCAGAAGCAUGCUCAACAACAGAACAAACUGACUGCAAUUUACCAAUGUCCUGAAGUAUGAGGUUGAUACAAUGAGCAGCACAAGGAGACCAAAAUAUUAAAGGAAAUUCUUCCAUCAAUAACUUGCUAGCAACAACAUAAUUUGCAGCAUUAUCAGUCAUCAUAUGCACAAUGUUUUCUACCCCAACAUACAAAACAACCUCUCUAAACAACUGAUGCAACAAUCUAGCAGUCUUUAAGACAUCUGAUACAUCCACAGUUUUUAAAAAAUUGUUCCUUUAAGACAAUAUACUAAGAAGUUAAUUAAAGUCCUCCUCUUCUGAUCUGUCCAUCCAUCAGUCAUUAAUGUGUAACCAGUCUUCUUCCAAAUCUCUCGAUAACUCUUAACAUAAAUCUUCACUUCAUCAACCGCUUUUGCCAAAUAAUAACCACGAAUAACAUGCAAGUUUGGUCCUUUAUAACCAGGACCCAUGGUUGUUACAACAUCUAUGGCAUGCUAAUAAUAGACAGAGUUAACAGCAUUAAAUGGCACACAUGCAUCAAUCAUCCACUUCGAUAAAGCAAGAUCACACCAUUUAACCGCUUCCUUCCUUUGCCAAUAAUUUUGAAGAGACUUUUGAGCACCAGGAGUUGUUCUCGGCAUGAAAUAUGUCCCUAAUGUUGUAGAUUUCUUCUGCUUUCCAUAACUUGUAGUUGAUUGUUUUACAGUGCUGGUGCUUUGAAUUUUUUUCUUUUUUGCAACCUUCGGCGGGAACAUAUGUUUUUUAGUAUUGACAUCCUCACCAUCCUCACCAUCAUCAUCAUCUUCUAAUUGCCUAAUCAUCAUCUCUUCAUGCUCUCUUUGUUGUGCAUUAAAUGGAUUAAAAUCUGCUUGCAUUUCUCUAACUCUUUUUUUUUUCAACAUUUCCUUUAAAAUUCAAAAGCAUUUGAUGUUGAACAUCAGGAGGACAUUUGCGACAUUGAUCAACUUCUCCUUUAGCUCCAGUUAAAUGUUGCUUAAAUCGAUUAAUGCCACCACCCGCAAAUACUUUAGCACAAUAUAAACAUACUAAUUUAGUUUUUUUACAUCCAACACUAAGUUCAGGAGCUUCUCUACAAUGACCCCAUGCCAAAUCUGUUCUUCCUCUACUACCACUUGAUAUGGAAAUUGAAGGUUGAGAUGAUUGAGCCGUUGAUGGAUCACUACUUGGAGUACUACCAUCAUGUGAAGAUAUUUUAAGGACUUGAUAUAAUUUCUAAACACAGAACCAUAACGAACCUGACAAAAUAGAAAGUCGCAUCUGACUAUAAUAAAUAGAUAUACUAUGAUAGAAGAAACAUAUCCAGCAGUUAGAACUACAAGAUAAUUUAUUCUAAAGAUUUGGGAAAACAUGCUUCUCACUCUCCCUGUUUCUACCAGAAAAUCAAAGAAUUUAGUCUUAUCAUACAAGAAAAAGACAUUAUGUGACAUUUUGUGCCAGAUAUAUUUCCAUAGGCAUUGAAUUUGGAAGCCAAGCUUAGGCAACUUGGCAAAAAUCAAUAAUUGAAGGUGCUUAAAGUUCAGGUCACUAGACAAUUAAGGACACAACAAGGAAGAACUAUAAACAUAUUUUAAAAAAAUACAGAAACAGAGAAAUAUCAUAAAACAAAUUUAAACAAUUCUUAUCGUUACAAAGUGCAUAAGUUGCCAGUAACAAGUAACCUAAUUUCAUAAACCAAUUUUACAGUUAUGCAUCUUGCUUGUGAAGACUGUCUAUCUAACCACUCCAUCUGGGAUAUCCAUUUCUCAUUCUAACCAUAGAAAAGGAAGGCAAAAGGGUGCAUCAGGCUUCACACAUUCAUUCAAUGUUUCAUAUGGUUGAGAUCAAGAUAAAUAUGGUUCCAAAACAAAAUAAGACAAAUAUAGUUCAAGGACAUCAUACCAUGCACAAUGUCUUACAUAAUCCAUUACUUCUUCAUGGUAUUCAUUACGAGCUUCUUUCAGGCGUCUUAAUUUCUCACAACAAGCACGUUCUCUUAUUUGUUUGUCAGUUUCUUCACUACUUCAUAAUCCAUUUUCUACACGUCUUCAUUGCUUCAAUAAACUAUGAAGUAGUACUGAGGAGUUUCUAAUAUGCAGCUUACGAAAAAAUAACUGAAAUAAAUCAAGAAAAAUAAGGCAGAGGCUUUAUUAAAUGGCAGAAAAGAAAAGAACAGAGAAACAUACUUGUGGGUGUGAACUGCGAAUCGAUGCCAGAUCAAGAACUGCAAGUUCAAAAAAAGGCAAAGAAUAAAGAAAAGAGAGAGUGAAAGAAGGAGAUUCAUGAAGAGAAACAAGAGUCUAACCUUAUUCGCAGAUUUGAAACAGUGAUCAAGAGUCUUCUGCUCCUCUGCUCUUCGCGAUUGAAAUUGCUUUUUCUUUAAUUAUGUUUUCUCUCUGUCUACAAUUCUGCAUCGUUCAUCUUCAUCGGUUUAGUCUUUUAAAAGGCCAAAACGAGGUCGUUUCAUGUCUAUAUAUAUAUAUAGAGGCCGGGUCUUAGUUGAGUUUACCCAGGUCGCUGACUCGAAGCCCAACUCGAGCCAUAUUUUACUUUAAAAUACUAUGUUUUUUAAACUUAAACGACAUAGUUUUUUUUUUCCUAAAAAAACCAUAGCUUUAAUUGACUUGUUAAUCUACAUGUCAACCCGUGACCCAGGUUUUUGGCUGGGUUGACCCCUGAAUUCGGUUUACUUAUGGUUUCUAUUAGAUUAGAGACUGAAAUGUUUUUCUAUCUACAUACUUAAUUUAAGAUUUAACGAUAAUUUGAGAGGAAAUAUGUUAUUUGGGAAAAAAAAGCCAAAUUAAUAAUCAAGAAUCCACCCACUCGUUCCAAUUUUUAUCCACCGACGAUGUUAAAAGGCAUUAACAGAAAAGCUAAAUCAUGUGGUAAAAAUCAUGUUCAUCAAGACUCAUGAGACUGUGGAUUGGAACAGUCCCUUAGGACAUAGACUCAUUUAUUUUAUUAUUAUUCUUUUAUAGAUUAGUACCCAUAUUACUAUUUACCUAGACACAAUUCAUUGUGGAUUGGAGCAAUGUAAUAAUAGAGUUGUCCUUACCAUAAAGAGUUGCAAAGACUGCAGGGGGAUUGGGGUUGUCUUUUCACUGGGAUGCAUUUGGCAUUGAAUGGAUGGUUGGAGAGAAAAUGGUCAAUUUCGAUUUUGGUGGGGCUUGGUAAGGCUACAAACCCCAGGCUGCAGACACCUAGCGGCAGGCUUGUGCUUAGGGCUCGGAAGCCCUGGGCACUUGACUAGAGUCGUGCGCCAUGUUGGGUUGUAGACCUAUUCGUUUGGGUCUGCAUUCUUAGGUGUUAGGGCCGAUCGCGCACAUGGCUGCAGAACCAGGUGAGCGCGUCUGCAGACCCGCGUGCCUUUGUUUGCAGGUCACACAUCUCGAUGGCAGACCCGAGCGUCUGGGUCUAGUGACUGCGUGCAUGACCCAAGAGAAUUGAGUCCUAACAAGGACCCAUUAGCUUUGGGGCUUGACAUAGGACCCGUUAGCCUUAGGUCCUGACGCGUGAUUCAUUAGCCGUGAGUCAUAACCCCAGACCUAGGAGCAUUGGGUUCUAACGUCGGAACCAAAAGAAUUAUAAUAAAAAUUGUCAUAACUCAAUUUUGGACAAUAUGAAUGAAAAAAUGAAAUGAAUGAAAAAUUGAGGUUUUGACUCAAGACAACACAAAUUUAGCUUUGAGGGGUUAAUCAUGUUGGAUUUAUGACUUUGGAAGUUAAUGUUGAAAGAAAUGGAAAGAAUUUACUGGUAUGGGGUUCCAAUUAAACUUUGAUUGGGUUUAAUUAAUGAUAUCGGGAAUUUGAUUGAAGAAUGAAUAAGUUUAAGGAUUUAAUUAAGCUUAGAAUUAGUUUAAUUAAUGAAAUCAGGGGCAUAAUCGAAUCAAUAUUAAACUUCUGAGUUAAUUAAGGACAAAAUUACAAGUGAUUAUGGUCCAGGGACCAUUUUGUAAAAGGCGCUGAAAUUCUGUCUAGGGGCCCGAUUAAAAUGUUGAAACUUGCAGGACCAAAUUGAGAAUGGUCAUUUUCAAUCCAAAACGCACCAUUUCAAGCAUGCGUUGUUUCUCUUCUUCUUCCUCGGACGCUGAAAGCCCGCCUGCAAAGAAGGAAUGGAAAUGUUAAAACACCGGCAUCCCAGUCCAACCAGAACUCAAUUUGCAAAGCUUAUCUUUGAGGCCUUAUCACGAUCCUGGGAAGAUAAGUAGCAUGACAGCCUAUAAAAGGCAGGGGAUCGCAAGAACAAGGGAUAGAGACCGAAAAAAAAAGGACCAGAAAACAGAGGAACAAAAAACCCAAAAGAAAAUGAGAACCCAGAACAAAUAAAAAACACAAGAGCAAGGGAAAUAAGAACAUUCUCCGGACAAGACCAUCACUUUCAUCUUCGUCUCCGCCUUCGCCAUCGUCAUUGCCGGGUAAGGCCUUCCUUUUCCCUUUGUUUAUGUGUCUCUAGUUGCAAAAGAAGAAAACAAGGCGAAGGUAAUUUAAUUACCUUCGCCCUGUGCAGCACACGCGUGGUUUGAACCACGCGUGCCUGUUGCCCAGCCGGAUCACUGGCUUAGGCCAGUGACCGCGCUAGGCCGGCUGAGUCUAACCCAUCCCAUGUGGGCUGGGCUAGACUCAACCCCCCUCCAUAAAAAAAGAAGGAGGAGUGGGCCGGGUCUAGACUUUACGCCCAGCCGGGCCAAAGUGUGUUUGCUAAAGUUGUGUUUUUGCCUUGGCCAUAAUUUUUAUGCUCAUUCUAGUUUGAUGUGUGGCCAAACGAGUCCCUUUUCGGCAUCAAAAAAUUCUAAAAAUAUUUGGGGGUCUUCGUUGAUUUAUUUGUGGCCCCUCGCACUUUAUUUUAUUUUUUUUCUUUGUGCUUGUAUUUUUUUGUUUUAGCUAUGUGCUCAACCUGUGGACUAUUAUUGUUGAAUGCAAAUAUGUCGCGCAAGGAUUUUUUUUUUCCAUCUGAAAAGGGUCAAUAAAAAUAAAGGAUAAACAAGAAAAAUGGCAUAAAAAAUUUCUUCUUCAAAUUUUUUUUUUUUACGAAAAUAUUCACUGACGCUAGAGUCAGGAGUAUCGCAUUUUUUUGGAUUUGCGCGAUAUUUACCAACGCCAGAGUUGGAAAUAUUCGUAGGAAUUGUUCACUGGCGCUAGAGUCAGGAACAUGAAAGGAAGGAUAAAAAAGAAAAAAGAGAACAAAUUCUUAGCAAUUUUAAACAAAACUAGCAAUGCAGUCUGCCUUAGGUAUGACGCUCAAGGGAUGAUAGCAUCUUCCCUUUUGCGUAACCAAUCCCGUAUCAUAGAAUCUCUAUUGACCAGUUUAGGGUUCCUAGUGACCAUAAUACUAGGUGGCGACUUCUUGAACAAGACAUUUUCCCCUAAAAGAACAAGAUGUCAGAUAUCUGUUCUUUUCCAAUCGAGUGUUAAUUUGUAAUCGAUCGCCGUGAUGUCCGAGUGUGACAAAAAUAAUAAUAUUUAUACCACAAAUAAUAAUAUUUUUGAUAUUAAUACUUUGAAUUAUAAUAAAAAUAAUAAUUUUAUACCAUAAAUAAUACUAUUUUUUAUAUUGAUACGUUCAAUUAUAAUAAAAAUAAUAAUAUUUAUAUCACAAACAAUACUAUUUUUAGUAUUAAUACUUUCAAUUAUAAUAAAAAUAAUAAUAUUUAUAACACAACUUACAAUAUAUAUAUAUAUAUAUAUAUAUAACACAAAUAAUACUAUUUUUAAUAUUUAUACGUUGAAUUAUAAGUUGUCCUUGCCACAUAGAGUUGCAAGAACACCAGAAGGGAGGGUGGGGUUAUCUUUUUCCUAGUAUGCACAUAGAAUUGAAGGGAUGGUUAGAGAGAAAAUAAUCAAUUCAAGUUUUGGUGGGGCUGUAGGCCCCGACAGUGUACACCUGGCAUUGGGGCAUGCAAGCCCUGGGCAUUUGGCCAGAGUUGUGCUCCACGUGGGGCUGCAGACACCUGGCACUAGGCUGCAGCGCUGGGCGCUAAGGCCAACUGGGCGCAUGGUUGCAGCUCCGGCAAGCGGGUUUGCUGACCCGCGUGCCCGGGGACUGCAAACUUGGUCUGCAAGCCGCGUGCUUGGGUGUGUAGACCUGCGACAUGACCUAACAUAAUUGAGUCCUGACAAUGAUCCAUUAGCCUAGGGGCCUGACGCAGGAUCCAUUAGUUGUGUGCCGUGACCCCAAACCUAGAAGCAUUGGGUCCUGACACCGGAUCCAAUAGUAUUGGGUCCUGACACAGGACCCAUAGCUACUGGGUCUUGACGCAGGACCCAACAGAAAAGCUAAAUCAUGUGGCAAAAGUCAUGUUCAUCAAGACUCAUGGGACUGUGGAUUGGAACAGACCCUUGGGACAGAGACACAUUUUUUUAUUAUUAUUAUUAUUAUUAUUAUUAUAGACUCAAUGACCUGUUGCUGUUUACCUAGACAUAAUUCACUGUGGAUUGAAGCAGUGUAAUAGCAGAGUUUCCCUUACCACAGAGAGUUGUAAAGAUUGCAGGGGGAGGGUGGGGUUGUCAUUUAUUGGGAUGCAUUUGGAAUUGAAUGGAUGGUUGGGGAGAAAAUGAUCAAUUUUGAUUUUGUUAGGGCAUGGUAAGGAUGCAGGCUGCAGACACCUGGCAUGAGGACGCGCCUGGGUCAAUAACCCGUGCCUGGGGCGCAGAAGCCCUGGGCGCUUGGCCAGAGUCAUGCGCCACGUGGGCUGCAGGCCACCUGACGCUAGAGCCAACCACGCAUAUGGCUACAGAACCAGGCGAGCGAGUCCGCAGACCCGAGCACCUGGAUCUGGAGACCGCGCGCACGACUCAAGAGAAUUUGGGUCCUGAUAAGGACCCAUUAGCUUUGGGGCCUAACGCAAGACCCAUUAACCAUGGGUCGUGCCCAUAGUUUUUAAACCUUACCCGGUGGUUGACCCAAUAUAAUGAGCUAGUCACGAGUUAGAUGGGUUGACCCGGGUUAACCCUAAAAAGAAGAAGCAUAUAGUUUAGUUAAAAUAUUGGUUAGCAACAGCCCUUAAGGAAUGCUAACAUGGCAAGAUUACAAAGCAAUGUCUUUUACUCAGUGUGUAAGUGAUGCAUAUUAUAAUUGUCCUUAAUUAAUCCCCUACUAUCCAUGGCACCCACGAGUACCACCAGGAGACCUUGAACAAUCUCAGGAUUGCUAUGCAAAACAUCAACAUCCUCUCUGCUGUCAUACUCGAUACCAAGGUCUCUGCUCUUUUUUCCAUCCCUCACUCUCCCAAUUAAUUACUCCUACUAGUAACCUAAAUUUUUAUUUAUUUUUUUAUUACUACUAAUCUUAAUCAUCGUAGUUCUUCUUUCUUUCUAUCCAUCCACCCUUCCAUCUACCACUCUCUACCUGCCUUUCUAAUAUGUAUUAUACGCAGUUGAUGAUGUAUUUUUCCUUGUCAAUUAAUUAGGCAUCUACAAUCACAUCAGUUUUAUUACUUGGUUUUCAUUGAUUAAAACCAUUUGGAUCUAAUCAUCUACUGAUUAUAAUCAUAGAUGAUUAGAUUCUCUCAAUCUGUUGUUAACAGGAACAAAAAAAAGGCAAGAAACAGAGCCAGAUUCAAGCAAAACUUAGGCAAGGAACACAAAAUGAUUGACAUAUAAACAGGGCAGAAAUAGGGCAAGGAACAGAAAUCUAUCUUACAUAAAUGAAAAGCCAGUGAAUUAAACAACCUAUCUUACAUCCAUGAAGAGAAACGAAACCAGUGAAGAACAGAAAUCUAAGAGAGAAGAAAAUCGAAGCGAAACAAAAAAUUAUCUCAUAUCAAAUCAGUGCUUUCAUAAACAAAAAACUAAAGAGAAACAAGUAACAACAGCUUCAUUUGACCUUGAUUUACAGAUCUUAACUAAAGACAACCAAAUCAAUAAAAGAAACAAACACCCUGCAAAAACAAAUUUAAAGUUUGUUGAGGGCCUCUUCUUGUUAUUCUAACCAAAAAAGAGACGGGGACUUACCUGGUAUGGCUUGCGUGUGCCUUAAAUUUCUCUAUAACUGAUAUGGCUAUGAACUUUGAAGAUUGAAGAGAUUAGGUUUUCUAAUUCUAUGAAUUGUGAUUAUGUCUUCACGUUGCAAUACAAAUGAUUUGGUUAAUUAAUAGUAAAAAGCUAAAGCCAAAAACGACCAGUUCUCAACUAGGUUAACCCGGGUCGACCAGGUUUUACCGGGCCAAAUCCCUUGCUGGUUUUUUCAUCAACUUGGCCCGGUUCCAGCCCCGAGUCCCGGGUCAACCUGCCGGAUCGGGUUUUAAAACUAUGGUCGUGCGUCAGGACCUAAGGGUAAGGGAUCCUACGUCAGGACCCAAUUCUCUUGGGUCCUGCUUUAGGACUCAAGGUUAAUGGGUCCUGCAUUUGGACCCAAGGGUAAGGGAUCAUGUGUCAGGACCCAAUUUUCUUGGGUCCUGUGUUAAGACCUAAAGGCAAUGGGUCUGGCAGGACCUAAUUCUCUUGGGCUUAGGUUUCUAAAUAUAAUUAUUUGUAUUAUAAAUAUUAUUAUUUUUAUUUUAAUUGAAAGUAUUAAUAUGAAAAAUAGUAUUAUUUAUGGUAUAAAUAUUAUUAUUUUUAUUAUAAUUAAUAGUAUUAAUAUUCAAAAUAUUAUCAUUUGUGUUAUAAAUAUUGUUAUUUUUAUUAUAAUUAAUAUUAUUAAUAAAAAAAUAAUAUAUUUGAAAAAAAAUUAUAUUAAUAUUGAAAAACAACCAUAGAUUUGAUUUGAAGAAUUAUUAUUAUUAUCAUCAUCAUCAUUAAUAAAUUUUAAGAAAACUAUUAUUACUAUCAAAGAAAAACCAUAAUUUUUUUAAAAAGAUUAAAAAUAUAAAAAUUUAGACAGACAACUUAAAUAUAAUAUUAUAAAUAUUAUUGUUGGAUUUGAUGUUGCAACCAGACUCAACGCUCUUGAGUCUGCCGUUGCAGCCAAACCCAAUGCUUUUUGGUCUUAAAUUUUUAUGAUAUUUUUUAUGAAAAUAAAAGGUGAGCCCGCGACAUAGUGCGGGCAUCUAAAUAAUGUAAAAUGUAUUAUAAAACCCAACCUGAAUGCUUAAUUGAAAUCUAACCCAAGAUAUAUAUUUGUAUAUACACACACUUCAAAUAUAUUUUUUCACUUUAUUUUAUUUGAAUAAUAAAUAAAAGUUGGAUAAUAAUAUUUUAUUUGAAUAUAUUUUAUUUUAUUUUUUCAAGAUAAUAAAUAUUUAAAAAAAAUACUGGAAUGAAAACAUGAUUGGUUGCAAAAUAACAUCCGGACUGAUUCUUUAAGAGAUUUUUACUGGAACUAAUUAAUCUUGUCUUGCACAGAACAGAUACAUCAAAAAAAGACUAAAAUGAGCAGGACAGCACUAUCGGAACUCUUAUCAGAGGCACUCGGAUUUCAUAGCGACUGAAUUGGUGGUCUGCCAUUAUUACCAGGCUUGUCCUGGACGGCUGAACCUGACUUGACGCUGGGUGCCGUCAACCACACACACAUUGAAAUAGACAUGCAUGUGAUAAUUUUAUUUACUAUAUUUAAUGCUACGUGAUUCAACAAAAUUAAUUGCAACAGGACAAUGGAAGAAAAAGGACAAACAAAAUUAAUUUAAUGCGAAUACUCUUCUAUGGUCAGAAAUAGAAGGGUCCCGUGGUGAAAGUGAUUACUGAGAUAAUUGACAAACGGACAGACAAAUGGAAAAGUCCACAACCUUGGAAAGCAGUCUUUCACCGGCUACCAUAUUUCUGGGUAAUGGCAAUAAUUGUCCCCCAAUUAUCACAUGAUUUUCAGCUUGGUCCCCAAACAAAAACAAUUCCCAUUUGGAUUUGUUAUCUAUCAAACAAUACCCAAUUAAGGUUAACUUGGUAGUUUUCAAAAUAGUUAUAAAACUUUUUUAGCUAAGUCAAUCUAGUGACUCGCUGAUUCGGAGUCCGACUGAAAUACUAUGUUUUUUAAACUUAAACGACAAUCUUUUUUUCUUCCUUAAAGAACCAUAGCUUUAAUUGACUUGUUAAUUUAUGUGUCUUCCUGUGACUCGGUCUUUGGCUGGGUUAACCCCUAAAUUGGGUAUAAUUAUGGUUUCCAAUAGAUUAGGGACUUGAUAUGACAUGUUUUUAUUUACAGAUUUAAUUUAAGAUUUAAUGAUAAUUUGGGGGGAAAUAUGUUAUUUGGGGGAAAAAACGGAAUUAAUAAUAAAAAAUCCAGCUAUUCAUUCUAAUUUUUAUCCACCGAUAGUACGUUAAAAGGCAUAUAAUAUAAUUUAGCUCAUCUUUUCUUAAAAAAUAAUCAGAAGUAAAAAUAGCAAUAUCAUAGUCAAUUACAUCAGAAAAGACCACAGGAAAAAUUUAAAAUAAUUCAUUUUAGCACAGCUUUUAACAUGGAAAGAAAAACAAAUUAUUUUUUUAUUAAAACAAUAUUGUUUUAUAAAGUUAAUCUAACCAAGUUUAGAAUAGAUUCUACAAGACUCUCGGAUUAUAUUUUUUCUGAAUUAAUUUAAAACUCAAUCACAAUGAGGUAAGGAUCAUAAAUUUAUCGAAUCAAUAAGACUUAACAUAUAUGCAUUUUUUAGUGUGUGAAAAAAUGUCAACAAGACUCCAUUUGGUAUUCAUUUUUCAUCACUCUAAUAUUUAUUACAGUGCAUAUGAUCGCUUAUUAUCACCUGCUUCUUGGCAUAUAGCCUUUCAUUCAAAUUGAGCUAACAAGCAUGCUAUCUGGCCCAGCCAAGUUUGCAUUGACUACCCUGCAGUUCAAUCUGAUCUCUCCUUCAGUUCCUGUCAGAGGGCUGAGAUUUCCCAUUCUUAUCAUGGACUCCACAAAGCUUUCAAAGAAAGCUGUUUGAUUAGCACUGAAAGCGUUAACAAGUGCAAUGAGAUCAUCUGCCCCAGGAGUUGAAAACAGUUCUUGAUCAGUCUGAAGCAGGCCUCGGUUACCUUGCAGAUUGGAGUAGUAGUUACUGUCAAAGACAUCAGGUGUUGUGGGAUCAAGAUCUGUUAUCACACUCUCAUUUCCACCUUGGGGACAUAAUUCCUGAAGAGCUGCUAGAAGAGUUGUGUCCAAUGAUGGGUCAGGAGCACCGGUGCUGCUGAAAUUAUACAAUCGAAAGUCGAACGUAGAACAUCGUGCCCUCCCAAAUGUGUGAGCACCUGAGAAGAUAAAAAGGAAAUUGCAUCAAAGGAGAAUCAAUUAUAACAGAGUUUUACAGUUUAGAGUCGAGCCUGACAAACAAUACUUACCAGAUAGAGCUACCAAAUCACUAUUAUUAUUAAGGCCGACAUUAGUGAAGCUCUCUCUGAGUUGAUCAAGGGGUAAAAAAGGGGCUGGAAGGGAAGCAUUUGCUGCAGCUCGGCUUGCUGUUGUGCUAUCUCUUCUUCCUAAUGGAACUGUCCAACAUGGACCUCCUGCCUGCAACCAUGCAUAGUUAGGGAAUUAGUACUUUUCAACUCUUAACGUUUUUCUAUCUUAACUCCUUUUGUCCAAACCGUCAUAAAGUCAUGUAAAAAAUUAAGUAAAUCUCAGCUUCUUUCUUUCAUUCAAUUAUGAUAAACUAUGAUAUUUGUGUUCUACGUUCUUUGACUAGAAUUAGACAACAAGAUAUUUAUUUUAUAAUUUGAGGGGUUGAGGGAUCAUUUUAAGAUACCAAGACAACAGAUUCUUCAGCUGCAAUAGUGAGUAUAUCAGCACAGGAAACAGUAGCAGGACAGGUACUCUCCAACAAAGCCUUCAUUCUAUCAACAACUUCAAAACCUCUUGCAGAAUUGUUGUUCCCUGCGGCUUCCUUUUCGCUCUCUAUAGUAUCAGUAUUGUCCAACAAAAGCGAACCAUCACAGCCCUGAAAAUAAAAUAAAAAACUUGAGAAUCACAACUUAGAUAGACGGUUUAAUAUAAUUAAGCAAUAUAAGAUGUUUCAAAGCAAUUACAUUAACAAAGCAGUCAUGGAAGUGGAGCCUGAUGAGGCUGGCUGCAAUCCGAGGAUCGGAUACCAAUGUCUCCGUAAUGACAUUACGGAUAAUGCUGCUCACAUUUGGACAUGUCUGGUCAUAAAAUGUUGGAGUAAGCUGGCCAUAAGCCAAUGUUCCUCCAAGCAAAACUACAAAGAAAAAAGCUGCAACUAUAGCCUUAGAAAGAUGCAUUUUUCUCCAAUUUCUCCUACGAAAAUGUUUUUGUCAAUGUUAAAACUUGUAUGGGAACUCAACGAUGUUAUAGUUUAUAUAGUGAUAAAGAGGUUUGGAAGCUAAGACGCGGUUCUUUGAAUUUUUUAACAAGAAUAGUAGCUACACGGAGGUGGGGUGGGGGUGUUUGAGAUAGUGAUGUAUAGUAUUUAAUUUUUAAAAUGUUUUUUAUUUUAAAAUGUAUUAAAAUAAUAUUUUUUUUAUUUUUACAAAUUUAUUCAUUAUAUCAGCAAAUUAAAAUGAUUUAAAAAUAUAAAGAAUUUAAUUUCAAUAAAAAGAAUAUUUCAAAAAUUUUGAAAAUUUGAAUUGAAUAGUUGUCGAUAAUGACAUGUUUCUCAAGUGAUAUUAGGUGGUGAUCACAAAAACAGGUUGGCGGGCUACAAUGUUGAAUAGUAAAUUUAUUAAAUUCAACUUUAAUAUGCCUGACUUUUAUUUGUGGAUGUUGGCAAGCUUAGCUAAAAAGUACAAUAGAAGGAUCUAAUUAAAUUCUACCAUCCUAAUUAAUAUAUCUAGAGCUUCAACUUAAUGAUUACCAUUAUUAUGAUCGAUUUAAACAAUCUUAAAUUUCGUAAAAUAUGCAGUGUCUUUACCGUCUAAUACAUGUUUUAGAAAGUUUCGAGAAAAUAGCAUUGUUAUAAAAAGAUUUUGAAAAUAUUACAGGUAAAAUCUGAGAGGAAAAAAAAAAAACAAAACAAAACCUUAGUUCUCGUCACCUAUAGUUUUUUAAAAAACUCUUCAGUUUUUUUAUUGGUUGUCCUGUUUCUGGAAUAUUUUUUUUUGUGUGAGUUUACUAAUUUAUCUUUAGACUAUGCUAAUUUUUUAAAAAACAAUAAAAGAAUUGAAAUAUACCAUUUGGAUUCUUAUUACAAGUUUUUGUUAAGACAAGUAAAGUUUUUUUUCAUUAAAAAAAAAUAUAACUUAACUGGUCAGAUUUUUUAUUUGUUCUAAAAAAAUUACCAAUUUAAAUACCAUAAAUCUCAAAGUUAUUAAAAACUUAUAUAAUUAUUUACUUCAUAGUCUCAAGAGAUAAAUCAAGAUAUAUGUAUAAACUGAUAUAAACCCCCAAGAUUAAAAUAAAAAUGAGUAUGAUAUAACUCCUUGAUUGUAAAAGUGUUAUUGAAGAUUAAAUUUCUUCUAUCAAUACCUUAAUAAAGAAAACACAAGCAAGAAAUUUCCUCGAUCAAUAGAUAUUUAUCAAAUAGCCCAAGAAUUUAUUUUUAUUUUUAUUUUAUGACUAUGCCUUUUGUACUAGCUACUCUUCUAUAUAUGCAUAUGGGGCCUAUACAUGUAUAGUUAGCUAGUUUCUACCAAUGGGACCACCUGCGACAUGAAAUAGUAAUUUUAAACAUUUUUCUUGUGAAAACAAUAUUAUUGCAUUACCAUAUAUCUUUGAUCAUGGGUUGAUUUAAUAGCAAAUUCCUAGUUAAUUUAAGCCGACAUGUAUGUACACCUGAAAGAAAUAGUCAUGUUCCUUGCAUUGGAAGCUAGCUAUAAAGUGAAAGAAAUAUUAGUCAUGUUCCUUUUCUUCGCGUCUUAUCUAGAUUUCUGUUUCUCGUGAUUAAACAGGAAAACUAGCACCGGUUUAUCUCAUGACUCGCUAGUUUGGGGCUGUCCUGAGCCAAGUUAAUGGAAAAUGCUGUUUUUUUUAAUUUAUAAAAAUUAUAUCUCUUUUUAUAAGUUUAGAUUUUGACUUGACUCGAGUCUAUCCUCACCCACAACUCAAAUUGUUACAGCAAUAAAAUCUUAUAACUUUGAUUAAAUAACAUUAAAUUACAUUCCUGAUCCAUGAUGAAGAUUUUCUUAGUGAUGUUUUAAUUUUAAGUUUAGCUAAUGAAAGGUAUAACAUACUAAGGACUGUUUAUUUUAUGAAAAUUAGUUUUCUAGAAAUUACUUUACAAAAUUUCUGUUUACUAACACCCAUAAUUCUUGAUUCAUUUAAUUAUAUAUAUGCAUAAUUUUUUUAAUUUAUACUUAAUUUUUUUUAUGUGUAAAAAUACGUUGAAAAAGUCCAUAUAUAUAAUUUAUUAUAUAUAAAAAAAUCUAACCUACAACAGAACACGAGUAAAAUAGCUAACAAUAACUAGAAAUGGAGCAUUUUUGUUACACCGAAAAAGGAGAGAAAAACACUGUAACAUGUAAUAAUUUUCUUUAGUGUAUUUAAUUAAAUGUUUUUAAUUCAUAUUGAAGGUUGUUUAGAGUGUGUGUGGUAUUGAAGUUGCUAUUGUGAUUGUGGUUUUAAAAAAGGUGUUUUAUAAAAAGUAUUUUUAGUUGAGGUUGGUUUGGAAAAAUAUAUGUUUGGUUAAAACUGUGGUUGAAAUUGAGGUUGAACAAAAAAUAAUUUAAUGUGUUUGGUUAAAAAAAUACUUUUCAAAUUGAGGUUAUAAAAUAAUUAAAUAUAUAUAUAUAUAUAUAUAUGAUUUUUAAUUUAAAUAUUGUAGAUUUAACUACUGUUAUUACAUCAUGAAAUAAAUAAUAUUGAUAUCAAAUAUUUUUUAUUAUUCCAUUAAACUAUGUGCAAUGUCAUCACAUACAAAAUCUAUCCAACAAGAACUGUAUUUUCCAUGGUUUCUUAAGCGCGCAACAACAAAAACUGAAGUUUUUGUUACGUCAUCAAGCGAUCUUCUUCUAAUUUUUUGAAUAAAACACAAUUAAAAUAAAAAUAAAAACUGAUUUUUUUUAACUGGGUCGGACCCGGCAAGAACAUAAUUGAAAUUGCGAUCAAAUUCCACAAAUACUACGUUAUCAUGCGAUAUCCUUCUAAUUUAUAUAGUGUUAUUAAAUAAUAUUAAAUACUAGUUUUUCGAAUAAAACUCAAUUUUUUUAAAAAAACUUUACAAUUUCAUUAAAUACAAAAUUCAUUCGACAAGAACUACAGUUUUCAUGAUUUUUUGAGCGUGCAAUAAAAUUAGGUAAAAUAUUAUCAGGAAUAAAAUUAAGAUUACAGUAUGAGUAAAUUUAAUUUAUCUUAAACUAAUUUUUUUAAAAAUAAAUUCAAAAAUAUUGUUCACGUUCACGUAAAUAGUGCAAGUGAAAUCACUUAACUGCACUAUUUUUUCAUUAAAAAAAAUCAGUGAAACUUUUUAUAUGCGAGUGAAUUAAUUCACUUAUAAUAGUUUUUUAUAAUUUUAAAAAAAAAUUAUUUAUUUUAGUGAAUAGUACUACAGUAAAGCAUAGCUAUACUGUUGAUGUUUUUCCGCAUAGCUAUACUGUUGAUGUUUUUCCAAGACGAGCAGGCUGCUUCUCCGAAACCUACGGUGUCAUGGAUUCUACCCACUGAAAUCACUUUUAAUUUGGUUACCAAACGGCAUCUUAAUGACGCUCCUUUCCACUUUUGUCAUCCUGCAAAGUGCAAGAUAAUGAAAAUCAUCUUCCGUAGCAUAAAAAAAGAAUUGUUCUUUUAAGGUCCCGGGCUUAUCCAGUUGUGAAAAAUAUUGCAAUAUUAUUUUUUUAUAUAAAAAAAAUCACUAAUAUUUAAGGAAAAUCAUUUUUUUAGUAUUUUUUACUCAUUUUAGUUUAAAAGUAAAUAAGGAUUCGGUUUAGGAUGUUAGAAAAUCAACAAGACUCCAUUUGAUAUUUAAUUUACAUCAAGUUUUCAUCACUCUAAUAUUUAUUAUAAAAAAUUAGUUUUUACUCUGAUAUUUAAUUUUUUAUACAUAUAAAAAUACAUUAAAAAAAUUAGUAUUUAUAAUUUUUUUAUAAAAAAAUAUCUAACAUGCAGAAGAGUGAAAAUAGCUUGAUAUAAUAGAAAUUGAGCAUUUCUGUUACAACAAAAAAGGGGAGAAAAACACUGUAACAUGUAAUAAUUUUCUUUAGUAUAGUUAAUGCUACAUAAUUCAACAAAAUUAAUUGUAACAGGACAAGGAAAGAAAAAGGACAGACAAAAUUAAUUUAAUGCGAACACUCUUCUAUGGUCAGAAAUAAUUGUCCACAACCUUGAAAAGCAUUAUUUCAUCAGCUAACAGAUUUCUGGGUAAUGGCAAUAAUUGUCCCCCAAUUAUCACAUGAUUUCCAGGUUGGUCCCCAAACAAAAACAUUUCCCAAUUGGAUUUUUUUAUCCAUCAAACAAUACCCAAUUAGGGUUAACUGUGUAGUUUUCCAAAUAGUUAUAAAACUUGGCUUAAUAGGUUAAUUUAGUGACUUGUUGACUUAUAGCCUCACUUUAGCCAUGUUUUACUUUGAAAUACUAUGUGUUUUAAACUUAAAUGAAAUAGUUUUUUUUCCUUAAAAAACUGUUGUUGUUUUAAUAAACUUGUUAAUUUAUAUGCCAACUGUGACCUUCGUUUUUGGCCAGGUUGACCCUCGAAUGGGGUAAACUAUGGUUUCAAUAAAUUAGAGACUUAAUAUGAAAUGUUUUUAUUUAUGAAUUUAAUUUAAGACUUAAUGAUAAUUUGGGGGGGGGAUAUGUUAUUUGAGAAAAAAACCGAAUUAAUAAUAUCAAGAAUUGAUGCGGAACAAUAAAUAAUAAAAUUAAAGCAAGAACAGAAAGAAGCUUUAGAAAAAAAAAAAGCUGAAGAAGAGAAGAAAAGGAAUUGGAGAUAUGCAAAGUCUGCAAUAUUUUCAUUAAUCAUCCAAAACUGUACUCUCAAAAUGACAGAAGAACAUAUAAAUAGUAAACCCUAAAACAUCCUACUAUUGGGCUCGGCCCAUCAAAUCAAACUGUUUAACAUAAAUAAUAAAAUAACAAUGAGCAGGUCUAAAUGGGCUAAAUAAAUAAAAUAACAAUGAAAUAGACCCAAAUGGGCUUAGUCUCCCAACCAGAGCGUGACAGGCUGGGUCAUUUUACAUCGUCUCCGUUUAUAUACUCGUGUAGUUUGUGGUGUGGGUCUGGUAUCUCCACCAAGAAUUCAGCCACUCGUUCCAAUUUUUAUCCAUCACAAUGAUAAAAGACAUGUAAUAUAAUUUAGCUCGUCUCUUCUUCAAAAAUAAGCAAUAGCAUAUCAUCGUCAAUUACAGUAGAAAAGAUCACGGGAAAAAAAUAAUUCAUUUUAGCUUAGCUGUUAACAUGGAAAAAAACAAAUUAUUUUUUUAUUAAAACAAUACUCUUUUAUAAAGUUAAUCAAACCAAGUUUAGAAUAGAUUCUACAAGAAUAACUCGGAUUAAUAUUUUAUCUGGGUUUAAUUUAAGACUCAAUCACAAUUACGUAAGGAUCAUAAAUUUAUCGAAUCAAUAAGACUUAACAUAUAUGCAUUUUUUAGUGUGUGAGAAAAAUGUCAACAAGACUCCAUUUGGUAUUCAUUUUUCAUCACUCUGAUAUUUAUUACAGCGCAUAUGAUCGCUUAUUAUCACCUGCUUCUUGGCAUGUAGCCUUUCAUUCAAAUUGAGCUAACGAGCAUGCUAUCUGGCCCAGCCAAGUUUGCAUUGACUACGCUGCAGUUCAAUCUGAUCUCCCCUUCAGUUCCUGUCAGAGGGCUGAGAUUUCCCAUUCUUAUCAUGGACUCCACAAAGCUUUCAAAGAAAGCUGUUUGAUUAGCACUGAAAGCGUUAACAAGUGCAAUGACAUCAUCUGCCCCCGGAGUUGAAAACAGUUCUUGAUCAGUCUGAAGCAGGCCUCGGUUACCUUGCAGAUUGGAGUAGUAGUCACUGUCAAAGGCAUCAGGUGUUGAGAGAUCAAGAUCUGUUAUCACACUCCCAUUUCCACCUUCGGGACAUAAUUCCUGAAGAGCUGCUAGAAGAGUUGUGUCCAACGAUGGGUCAGGAGCACCGGUGCUGUUGAAAUCAUACAAUCGGAAGUCGAAUGUAGAACAUUUUGCCCUGCCAAAUGUGUGAGCACCUGAGAAGAUAAAAAGGAAAUUACAUCAAAGGAGAAUCAAUGAUAACAGAUUUUACAGUUUAGAGUUGAGCCUGACAAAUAAUACUUACCAGAUAGAGCUACCAAAUCACUAUUAUUAUUAAGGCUGACAUUAGUGAAGCUCUCUCUGAGUUGAUCAAGGGUGAAAAAAGGGGCUGGAAGGAAAGCAUUUGCUGCAUCUCGGCUUGCUGUUGUGCUAUCUCUUCUUCCUAAUGGAACUGUCCAAUUUGGACCUCCUGCCUGCAACCAUGCAUAGUCAGGGAUUACUACUUUUCAACUCUUAACGUAUUUCUAUCUUAACUCCUUUUGUCCAAACCUUCAUAAAGUCAUGUAAAAAAUUAAGUAAAUCUCAGCUUCUUUCUUUCAUUCAAUUAUGAUAAACUAUGAUAUUUGUGUUCUUCGUACUUUGACUAGAAAAAGACAACAAGAGAUUUAUUUUAUGAUUUGGGGGGUUGAGGGAUCAUCUUAAGAUACCAAAACAACAGAUUCUUCAGCUGCAAUAGUGAGUAUAUCAGCACAGGAAACAGUAGCAGGACAGGCACUCUCCAACAAAGCCUUCAUUGUAUCAACAACUUCAAAACCUCUUGCAGAGUUGUUGUUCCCUCCGGCUUCCUUUUCGCUCACUAUAGUAUCAGUAUUGUCCAACAAAAGCGAACCAUCACAGCCCUGAAAAUAAAAUAAAAAACUUGAGAAUCACAACUUAGAUAGAUGGUUUAAUAAAAUUAAGCAAUAAGCAAUAUAAGAUGUUUCAAAGUAAUUACAUUAACAAAGCAGUCAUGGAAGUGGAGCCUGAUGAGGCUGGCUCCAAUCCGAGGAUCGGAUACCAAUGUCUCCGUAAUGACAUCACGGAUAAUGCUGCUCACAUUUGGACAUGUCUGGUCAUAAAAUGUUGGAGUAAGCUGGCCACAAGCCAAUGUUCCUCUAAGCAAAACUACAAAGAAAAAAGCUUCAACUAUAGCCUUAGAAAUAUGCAUUUUUCAAAAUGUUUUUGUCAAUGUUAAAACUUGCAUGGAACUCAAUGAUGUUGUAGUUUAUAUAGUGAUAAAGAGGUUUGGAAGCUAAGACGCAGUUCUUUGAAUUUACUACAAUUUAUAUAGUAAAUUUAUUAAAUUCAACUUUAAUAUGCCUGACUUUUAUUUGCGUGGAUGUUGGCCAGCUUAGCUAAAGUUCAAUAGAAGGAUCUAAAUUCUACUAUCCUGAUUAAUAUAUAGAGCUUCAACUUAAUGAUUACCAUUAUUAUGAUUUAAACAAUCUUAAAUUUCAUAAAAUAUGGGUGUCUUUCCCAUUUAAUACAUGUUUUAAAAAUUAUCAAGAAAAUAACAUUGUUUUUAAAAAGAUUUUAAGAAAUAGUACAACCCAUAAAAAACCAUAAUUAACACCAAUGGUAUUUAAGAUGGGUUUAUAUAUGGUAAAAUAUUAAAGGUAUAUAAAAGCAGCAAGUUUUAUUUUUUAAAAAAAAAACCUUAGUUCUCAUCACCUAUAGUUUUUUAACAACUCGCAGAUGGGAACUGCGGUUUUUUUUCUUGACUGUUCUGUACUUCUGUUUCUUGAAUUUUUUUUUUCCCUGUUUGUGCGAGUUUAUCAAUUUAUCUUUAAAUUAUGCUAAUUUUUUAAAAACAAUAAAAGAAAUGAAAAUAUGCCAUUUGGAUUCCUAUUACAAGUUUUUGUUCAGACAGGUAGAGUUUCCCCUUCAUUAAAGCAUGAUAUAACUCCUAGCUUGUAAAAGUGUUAUUGGAGACUAAAUUUCUCGAUCAAUACCUUAAUAAAGAAAACACAAGCAAGAAGUUUCCUCAAUCAGUAGAUAUUUAUCAAAUAGCCCAAGAAUAUUUAUUUAUUUAUUUUACGACUAGGCCUUUUGUGCCACUACUCUUCUAUGCAUUUGGGGCCUAUACAUAUAUAGUUAAUUUCAACCAAUGGGACCACCUGCGACAUGAAAUAGUUAUUUUAAACAUUUUUCUUGUAAAAACACUGUGCAUUACCAUAUACUUUCAUGGCUUGAUUAAUUAAUAGCAAACUCCUAGUUAAUUUAAGCCGACAUGCAUGCACACCUUGCAAGCUUUUAUUGUUCCUUGCAUCCGGAAUCUAGCUAUAAAGUGAAAGAAUUAGUCAUGUUACUUUUCCUGAAGUCUUAUCUAGAUUUCUGUUUCGAAAAACUACCACUAGUUUAACUCGAUAACUCGCUAAUUUAUUUAUUAAGACCUGCACCUACAAGUCGAGUCUUGAUAUUACUCAAAUAGAAUCUUAUAGCUAUGAUUAAAUAAGAUUAAAUUACAAUCUUGAUCGAUGAUGAAGAUUUUCUUAGUGAUGUUUUAACUUUAGGUUUAGCUAAUGAAGGGUAAAACAUAUUAAAAGUGGAAUUCUAGAAGUAUAGUAGUUUAUCUUAGAUACAUAGACACCUUGUUUGAAGGUUUAUAUUAAAUUAAUGUCUACAAAAAGGAGAAAAAGAUUGUCAACAGAUCAAAUUAUGAAGGAAGAAAUUUAAAGCAGUGCUGCCACUACGAGUUAAUUUUCUUGCACUGGGAAGAUUAUCAAUACCCGUGAAAAAAAGUUGAAAAUUACAGGGAUUCGAAUUCAUGCAUGCACCUUCAAAAAAGAAGGGAUAUAUAUGAACACGCCUUUACUUGGAAUCUGGACUAAGACUUUUAAAAGUAAUGUUCUUUUAUAAAAAUAUGCCGUAGAAAUUAGAAAGUUCUUCAUAUGGUAAUUAAAUACUUGAAAAUCAUGAGCAAUUCAUAUUAAUUUUUGCAGGGGCCGGGGCCUGCCAGCCGCCCCCUGCCUCUGCCCUGCAUAGAAGAAUACAAAAACUGAAAAUCUGGAUAAAAGUUAUAACUAUGUAUUCAUUUUUUUUUAAUUUUUUUUAUUGAUAUUGAAUUGGGCUUAUCCAGUUGUGAAAGUUGUUGCAGUGGUAUUUUUUUUUCAAAAAAAAAAAACAUUAUUUUAAUGUUUUUUUCUCAUUUUAGGUUGAAAGUAAAAGAAUAAUUCGGUCUAGUAUGGGGGGGUGUUGAGAGUUUAAUUGUAGUUAUUUUUUCAAAGUAUUUUUUAUUUUAAAAAGUAUUAAAGUAAUGUUUUUUUAUUUUUUAAAGAUUAUUUUUAAUUUUAGUGCAUUAAAAAGAUUUGAAAAUACUAAAAAAAUAUUUAUUUGAAGUAAAAAAAAAAAUCAAUUUUUUAAAAAAAUAUUUUUAAAAUACAAAAAAAAAUAUAGUCCACAAGACUCCAUUUGAUAUUCAAUUUACAUCAAGUUUUCAUCACUCUAAUAUUUAUUACAGUGCAUAUGAUCGCUCAUUAUCAUGUCCUUCAUCGCAUGUAGCCUUUCAUUCAAAUUGAACUGACAAGCAAACUAUCUAGCCCAGCUGCCAAGUUUGCAUUGACUACACUGCAGUUCAAUCUGAUCUCUCCUUCAGUGCCUGUCAAAGGGCUGAGAUUUCCCGUUCUUAUCAUGGACUCCAAAAAGCUUUCAAAGAAAGAUGUUUGAUUAGCACUGAAAGCGUUAACAAGUGCGCAAUGACAUCAUCUGCCCCAGGAGUUGAAAACAGUUCUUGAUCACUCUGAAGCUGGCCUCUCGUUCAACUUGCAGAUUGGAGAAAGUAGUUACUGUCACAGGUAUCAGGUGUUGUGGGAUCAAGAUCUGUUUUCGAAGCAGGCCUCUCGUUUUGCACUGAAAGCAAAAGGAUUUUUUCUUUACCGCAUAUUAUUUGUAACAUAUCAAUAUCCAUUCACGUGGAAACUUGUGUAUAAUUUUAUUAAUUUAAUUAGAAAAAAGAAGUGUUGAGAAUUGAAUUCCAAACCAUUUCAUUAUUAAAAAUUUUAUUUAAUAUUAAAAAGUUAAUUUAACUUAAAAAUUUAAGUUGUUAAAUAAUAUCAUGAUAAUAUAUCUAUAAAUUACUUUUUUAACAGUAUUGAAUGGUUGAGGCUGGGUACUGUUUUCUUUUUCAGAAAAAAAAAAAGUAACGAGGUAGAGAGACCAAAUCAGUAUUGUUACUGAGGCUGACAUUAGUGAACCUCUCUCUCAGGAUGUCAAAAGGGGAUGGAAUGAAAGCAUUUGCUGCAGCUCGAUCGGCUUGCUGUGCUAUCUCUUUUUCCUGAUGGAACUCUCCAUUUUAGACCUCCUGACUGCAACUACGCAUAUUCAAGGGACUUGUAGUACUUUUCAACUCUGGAACACAUUUCAAGUUUUCUUUCUUUCAGUUAUUAUAAGCUAUGAAUUAUUAAACAAGGGAUUUAAUUUUUUAUAUAUAUAUAUUUUAUUUUGGGGGGGUUGGGGGGAUCAUGUUAACAUGCCAGAAAAACAGAUCUUUCAGAUGCAAUAGUGACUAUAUCAGCACAGGAAACAGUAGCAGGACAAGAAGCCUCCAACAAGGCCUUCAUUCUAUCAACAGCAUCGAAACCUCUUGCAGAGUCGUUGUUUGCAUUAGCUUCCUUUUCGCUCUGUAUAGUAUCAGUGUCGUCCAACAAAACUGAUCCAUCACAGCCCUGAAAAUAAAAAUCAACAAAUCUUUAGAAUCACAAGUUGCAUAGAUGGUUUAAUUCUGCAAAAAUCGAACAACUACUUCCAUUAAAAAAUCAUGCUGGAAAUUUGUUUUAAAUAAACAAAUCAUUAUUGGUGGAGGAAAAAAAAAAUUCAAAUAAUUAUUGAUUCUCUCAUCUAAAAUAUUCUUGUAUUUUCUAGAUUUAAUUAUUGAUUUAUUGUUUUUAAUCAAUUCUUGAUAAUAAGAAUUAAUUCUUUAAUUUUUUAUCUUUUAAAAUUCAUUAUAAUUAAGAGUUUUUAACUUGAUUUUUUUAGAUUUUACACUCUUCUCCACUUUAUUUGUUUAUGUUUUAAUUUUCCUUUCAAAUCUAGAGUUUAUGUUCAUGUUUUUUUAGAGAUAUUGAGUUACAUAAUAUUUAAUUUAAAAAUCAGAAUUACAUCUAAAUUAAGGUGAUAUUAUUGGAAUCUUGUGAGACAUAUUGGAAACAAAUAACCUUAAUGUAUAAAUGAUUAGAGACAAUAAAAUUUUAAGAACAAAUAAUUCAUCAUUAACAACAACAAAAAAUUAUUACAUUAAAGUGCUUUAAUAAAAAAAAUUAUUUUUAUUUUAAUUCAAGUAUAAUUAUUUUUAUUAUUAACAUAGAUACUAGAUUUUUUAAAAAAAUUUAUAUUAAUUAUAAAUUUAAAUAUAUAUAUUUAAAUUAAUGGAAGUGAAGCCUAACGAAGGGGGCGGCAAUCCGAGGAUCGGACACCAAUGUCAUCUUAGUGACACCUUGUCUAAUUAUAAAAUGUUGGACUUAGCUGACCGACCAUAAGCCAAUGGUAGAGUACCUCGAAGAAAAAAUGCAAAGAAAAGGGCUGCAAGUGCUAUAGCUUCUGAAAGAUUCAUAUUUUUCUCCAACAUUUUUCACUGUUCUAAGCAUGGGAAUUAGUCUUUGAAGCAAUAAUUUAUGCAGUGACGGAGAGGCUUGGAAGCCAAGACACGGUUCCUUGAAUUUUCUUGGUACGACCGUAGCCAUAACGACAUGUAAGUGAAGUGGCAUUGAUUUUCUUAGGUGGUGAUAAAAAAUUAAAAAAAAAACUGUCGGUGGAUAUAUUUAUUGUUGGUAAGCCAAUAAGUUUCCUUGGACUUUUCUUACAUCUUAUAGUAUUUUCUUCUAAAAAUUCAGAAAAUAUUAUUUGUAUCUUCGUGGGGGUCUGAUGUAUUUAAUUAAAUUUUACUUUAAUAUAUAUGAUUUUUUAUUUGUGUAGUAAUUAGCUAGUUUAAUUAAAAUACUUGAUUAGCUGAUCAAGAUUCAACUGUGAUUAACCACUAUUAUGUAUGAUCUAAACAAGUUGAGAUCUCAAUUGCAGAAAAUAUCCCAUUUGGAUUCCUUUUACAAUCUGCUCGCACAGGUAGACUUUUCCUACGAUAUGGACUCCUUGCUUGUAGAUCUGUUGUUGGAGAUUAGGUUUCCACAGUCAAUACCUUAUCUAAAAUAAUAUAAAAUUAAAAACAUGAAGUUUCCUCAAUCAAUAAAUAUGUUAUCGUUAAGCCCAAUAUUCUUCUUUUCCCGUGAAUUGACCUUCUGUGCUACUACUCUUCUAUGCACAUGGGGCCUAUAAUUAAUUAAUGCGACAUGGAAAUAAUUAACGAUGGUGGGGGAAUAAUAGUCUUAUGCAUUUUUCUUAAGAAACAAUACUUGAUUUGCAUUACCAUAUCUUUUUCAUGGCUUGAUUUGGCAACAAAUUCAACCCACCAUGCAUGUACAUUGGACCGCCUGAAAACUUUUGUGUUUUUUGCUUGCAUUUGAAGCUAGCUAUAAAGUAAAAUAAUUAGUAAUGUUCCUCUUCUUCCUUUCAUAUCUAGAAUUCUCUUUUAAUGUCCUCUUAAUAAUAAAAAAAAAAAUAGCAUUAAUUUGACUAGUAAGAUUUUUUAAAAAUGUAUAUGCCGUGCUUAAUUAAUUAAUAAUAUAUACUCGUUAAAUGAUAUAGAAAUUACAUUUUUUUUUUUUAGUUUAACGUGGGUGUCUGGGCCAGCCUGCGCGCACCUCGACUAAUCCCACGGGCCCUGAAGUUAACGACCAUGUAAGCCUCCAGUGGCCAUCAUAUGAGCAACCACAAGGCUCGAACCUGAGACCACAGAGAAAACAAACAUCUUAAUCCCAAACUCUUACUACUGGACCACCACCUAGAUGGUUUACAAAAAUUACACUCUUGAUGCUGGCGGCGAUGAUACCCAUGUGUUUUUAAGUCUUGCUUUAUUAUUAAGUUUAGCAACCUGUAUAUAAAAUAUAUUAAAACUUAUAUAUAUAUUAGUGAUACGUCUUAUAUCAAUUUAUACUUUAAUCAAUUUUGAAUAAGCUCACUUUUUUAUAAUAUUUUAGUCAAUGCGAUGAGGAUGGAAAACAUCCGUAUAGAUUUAAGAAUUUUUUUUAUAAUAAAAUUAAACUUAAAAAAUUUAGUGGGUGCAAUGACACCGACAAUAAAAAUAUUUUGAUUGUUAAAUCAUAUAUGUGACAAGAAAAGUUAAUCUUGUAUUAAACUUAAUUAAUUUUUAAAUCUUGUACUAGACUUGUAUUGCAUAAAAAAAUCAAGUCUCUUUUUUUUAUGUUUUUAGACAAAUAUGUUUAUAUAUUUUUUAAAAAAUAUCUAAAUUUUAAUAUAUUUUAUAUAAAUAUCUAAAAUAUAAAAUAUUUAAUAAAUAACCCGUGUUAAAAAAGUGAAGUUCUAGAACUAGAGUUAUCUUAUAUAGACUUCUCAAGGUUUGAUGUGAAAAAGACAAAAAAAAAAAUAAUAAAAAUGUCAAUAAAGCUAAUUACGAGAGAAGAAAUCUAAAGCAGGCUGCUCUUACGCGUUAAUUUUCCUGGCAACGGAAUCUGAUUUUGAAAAUUUCGAUGCACAGGGAAAAGAUGAUAGUUACAGGGAUUCUUGCACGCAACGAACACGCGCACCUUCAAAAUUCAAAAGAAGGGAUUUAUAUAUGAACACGUAACCUUUAUCUAGAUAGCGUGGUAUAUAAUAUGUAUGAUAUUUUUUAAAAUAAUUUUAUUUAAAAAUAUAUUUAAAUAUCUUUGGGGUACUGAAAAGAGUGUAAAGAUAUUAUUCCUUCCCACUCACACAUGCCUAGCAUUUUUUAUUAACAAAAACAGCACAAGAUUUGACGUGGAAAAAUGUAUAUGCAAAGAGUCAACCACAUCUUUUUUUUUUUUCGUUCUUGUCAAUUUUUUAGAUUUUUUUUUUUCAUUUGUAUCCUUUUAUUUUUUAUAGUGUCUUUUUGUUUUUUAUUUAAUAUUUGUACUUUAGUUUCAUAAAAUUAAUGCUCCGUAAAUCAUUAAAUAAUAUUUGAAGAAUGAACUACUUCAAACUUUUUUUUUUAUUUACAUCAUUAUUAUUUUUUUUUAUUGAGUAUUUUUUUCAUUUGCAUCAUUCUUUUUUUUAUUUUCAUUGAGCUCUUAUUUUUUCCAUAUAACAAUUAUAGUUUGAUUUUUGCAAAAUUGAUUCUCGAUAAAUUAUGAAUAUGCAAGACAAUGCAAAAUAAAAAAAAAUAUUAAAACAACGAUGGAAAUACAACAUAGAAUAAAGACAAUCUAAUGUAUGUUCCAAUAGUUACCCACAAUGUUUUCUUCUCUUUUUUUUCUAAUUUUUUUAGUCAUUUUAUUUUUUUUAUUCUCAAUUUAAUCAUUUCAUAUUAAAAUGACUUGUGAUUGAAUUUGAUGUUUUGUUUCGGUUGAUUUUAUAUGGGGCUCUCGUGAUGGUAAAAAUAAGUUUGGUUAUUGAGUUAAUACUCGUUUUGACAAGAUAAAAUUCAAUUUUAUUGAUUCAAAACAAUUAAAAUCUUAAGGACCCAAUUUUAAGCUGAAACAAUAUAUUCAACCUUUUUUUUUCUAAGAAAUAGAAUAUUUAUCUUAGCUUCUCAUUUCAAUUUUUGGUUUGGAUAAACAUAUUUGUCAUCACUUAUUAACAUAUGUAAUUAUUAAUUUAUUUUACUGAACACAUGUCUUCAACUUUUUAGUUUGUGGUUAAAUGUUUUCUUGAAAGUUAAAAGUCUUUAAUAAUAUUUAUACUUUUUUUGUAUUAACUGUCAUAAUUUAAUUUUUAAAUUUUUUUAAAAAUAAAUAACAAAAUGAAUGAAUAAAAAAACAAUUUGAUAAUUAGGUUAAAACAACAUAAAUUAAAAGUUUGAGGACUUAAUUAAACAUUGAUUUAAUUAAUUAAUGUAAUCAAGGGCUUAAUUGAAAAAAUAUCAAAGUUUGGGGUUGAUUUGGGUUAAAAUUGCAAGAAAUUAAAGUCCAAGAACCAAAGUGAAUAGGUGGUGAUACUAUAGGGGUUAAUUGAUUUUUACAGGGGUAAUUUUGAAAGAAUUAAAAGUUGAAGAGUCGAUUAAGGACUGAAUUGAUUAAAUUGGAAACUAAUGACUGGUUUGUAAAUGGCACUGAAAUUCAGGGGUUCAAUUUCAAUUUGAUCCAGGGGAAAAAUUAAAAAAAAAGAAGAAGAAGGAAAUUGUCCUUGAACAGGGGCCCAAUUAUUAAAUGUCAGACGUUCAUGGGGCAAAUUGAAAAUAGCCAUUUCCAGGAUACAAACAGCGCCGUUUCAAAAACUAUUCAUCGCCUUCUUCCUCAGGAACCGUUUCAGCGGUUAAGGCACCAAAACCGUUUCAAUCAUGGACCACGUCUCCCAGCUGCUAUCCCUCACCCCCAGUAUGCACGAACGCUUGGCAUUCUCUGGCAAUAAAAGCCAGAGAAAAGGCCACGCAGGGGGGAGGACAAACAACACAGGGGACCAUAGACACUGGAAGAUAGGCAUAAACAGAGAGCACCAGAAGAACAAAGCGAGAGAGGAAACAAGAAAAGAAAAGAAAAGAAAACAAGGAGAUAAGAGACAGAACAGGAGGAUGAAAACAGAAAGAAAAACAGAGGAACCAACCAAACGAAAGCACACCGUUGUCUUCAGCUUCGUUUCCAAGCACCAAGGAAGCAGACAAACACAGAGGAGGAACAAGAAUAGAGAAUAUACAGAAAGCAAAGAAAAAAAAAAGGAGAACGAAGAACAGAGAAGGAACAGAAGAGAGGAAUAGCAUCGGUCCGCCAGCACACUUCGUCUCCCAUCAGCAACCAGGUAAGUCUCUUCUUCUCUUCCUUUGCAAUCUAAUUCAUUUGGUACUGUAGCUGUUAAUUAUAAUUACAUCGUCUCUGUAGCCAAAAAAAAAAAGAAAAAAGAAAAAGAGAGAGAACAGUGGUGGAUGGGCCUGGGUCUCAGACCCAGCCAGCCCAAUUUAUUUUGGGCUAAGGAUGCGUUUUGAAAUACACCGUUAUGCCUUGUCCUUAUGUUCCACUCAUUUUUAUUUUGAUAUCUAGAAAAAAUUAUUAAUAUGUAAAUUUUUACCGUGAAAUGUAAGUUUGGUAUACAAUACAUUUUUUUUAUUUAAAAAAAUAUGUAUGAAUUGAUAUAAAUUGAUUUUUUUUGGGUUUAUUUACUGACGUCAGAGCUAAAAAUAUUAUAUGUUUUUUUGACUAUGUAAUAUUUACUAACGCCAGAAUUGGAAGUAUAUAUAGUUGAAUAUUCAUCAACACCAGAGUCAGAAAUAUUACAAGCAGACCGUCGGUAGCAUAAUACAACAAACCCUUAGCAAUUUAAGACAAAACCAGCAAUGCAGUCUACCUUAGAUACGACGUUUAAGGGGUAAUAAUAUUUUUUUUUUUGUGUAAUCAGUCCUGUACCAUAGAAUUUUUAUUAACUAGUUAGGAUUUUUAAUAAUCAUAAUACUAAAAUAAUGACUCUUUAAACAAGACUUUUCUCUCAAAAUAUAUAAAAAAAAAGAUGCAAGAAAUUUAUUCUUUUUAUAAAUUUUUAAUUUUUAAAGGUUGCCCGCGGGGAAUCAAAUAGUUUAUUGUUAUCAUGAUGGAAUCAAAAAAUUAAUUUAAAUACUCUUAUAAAUAGAGGUGUUAUUAAAAUUUCAACAGCGCUGGAUCACAUAGACAUAAGGCAUGGUGCACCUAAGAACUGAUAUUCUUUUUUUGUUUUUGGCUUAGGAUUUAAAUUUAUUCUUUUAACGAGUUGAAUCCGCAUGUUUUUGUUCAAAGAAAAGUGUUGCUAUAACUUGAGCUAGAUCCACAUUGUAACUCGCAAGGGGUCAAUGGACAGCCUAUAUCCAACAUCAAUAUUUACAUGUACAAACAAAAACACUAGUUAGUUGUACAUGGCAGCAGUUAAACUUACUUCAGUUUGGUUUAGAAAACACGAUACUUAAAAUUUAACUUAGAUUUAAUAUUUAAUUAAAUUUUAUAUAUAUAUAUAUAUAUAUAUAUAUAUAUAUAUAUAUAUAUAUAUAUAUAUAUAUAUAUAUUAAAAGUCUGGUUCUGCCGAUUCAUAUUGAGUUGGGCAUGUUUUGUUAGGCCCUAUUUCAAAUUGGUCGGUCUUUUAUUGUAAAUGGUGUGAUGAAUGGUCCCAACUCAAAUCCCUUUUUGGGCCCUCACCUAUGUUGAGUAUGAUGGCCUAAGAAAUAAUUCUUGAUUAUUUAGCUAAUUUCUGUGUAUAAUAAGAAAAUUUUAGGCGUGGUGAUUGCAAAGAUUCUUACACUAGUGAUGUCUAUAAUAAGAAAUUAAUAUUAAAAUUGACUGUCCUUGUUCUGAAUUAUGUGAUGUGUUGGGGCAAUGCCUCUGUUUCGAGUGCCUCGUCCUUUCUUCGACUCUUGUAUGCUUUGUGGUAAGAAAACAAAUAAUUACAACAACGUUAAACUAGAAAGAAGCCAUUUCAACAAGGAAAAAGGGAUUGAUUGCACGAAGUUUCAAGUGCUGCCAUAGUUUGCAAGAAGUUUUCUUGUCUCCUUCAUUAGGAGAAAUUCCUGCAAAUUUAACAUAAGGGAAAUGAAAUUGACUUUUCCCUUGCUCUGGUUCAAAGAGUUAAUUAUCUUCUCCCAUUGCUAAUAAUGACUCAAAAUUAUCCCAUUGCUUAAACUACUGAUCAAAUCAAAUCUUCCCUUACCAAUUGAAAAUGGUUUUCCAAAAAAAAAAAACCUAAUUUUCUAUAUGGAAAGUAAAGGGACAUUCCUGCUACCAUAAACACCCAAAUUGGACCGCCUUUCUUUGGAGGGUUGAUAAUUGAUAAUAUGGAAACCGUUAGGGCUUUUGGUUAUUGUUAGGGGAAGGCUAGAGGCUUGGUUUUAGCAUCGAUCUCUCUCCCCAUCGAGGGCUCACUAUUAUCCUUCCAGUUAAUGGUUAAAUAUCCAAAUUCAGUUCGGCCCAUCUCUCUCUAAAUUCAAAAACCAUUUUGAAGUAGGCCUCCUCUAUAGCUUUGAGAUGCUUUUGAGAUAAAACUGAAACCAAAUAGACAGUAACUAGAAAGUUUUUGCUAACAGUUUAAUUUGUCUGUACAAAAACUCACUUGUAAGGGAAAUAGUCUCAAAUCCAAGCCUUAUUCAAAGCUUAAUAAACUAUCUUAUAAAAAAUCAACUCAUAAAAAAACAAUUCUACUCUGAAUUAGAAAAACUUUACUAUAAAAAAAACCCAUAAAAACCUAGAAAUUUUCCCAAUUCAAACCUAAACUCAAACUUCACUUAAAAAUUAUUACUUGUUAGUUACAAUUGUGACAAUAAAAAUAUAUAAAAUAUAUUUAUUAUCCUAUUAUUAUUAUCAUCAUUAUUAUUACCACUAUUAUUAUUAUUAUAAUUACCAUUACAAUCACGAUAAUUAUUAUUAUCACCAUUACCACUACUAUCAUUAUCAUCACCAUUAUUAUUAUUAUUACUACUUGAUUAUUGGCGCGCGUGUGUGUGUAUAUAUAUAUAUAUAUAUAUAUAUAUAUAUAUAUAUAUAUAUAUAUAUAUAUAUAUAUAUAUAUAUUCAUUCCAAGAAAAUGCUAGUAAAGGUGGAGGUGAUCACGGAAAUGGAAUAACAGUCCCAUAAAUUGGUAGAUUUUUUUGUCAUUGUCUCCGCAACAAUCUGCAACAGGAUGAUUAUCGAAAGCCACACAAGUUCCUGUACGAAAUCCACGCGGUGGGCAAUUUGAUUUGCACUUCUCCUGUAAAUAGAGUAACCAUGUGGUUUGCUUUUUAGAAAUUUCCCCUCGCCCAUGAAUCACGUUCAGAACUAUAUUUAUAAUUAAAAAAAUAAAUAGAAACAUAUCUGGAUAUGAGAACUGCAGUAGCAAAUAAUUUCCUGGAAGCCAUUAUCGAAAAUCACUUUGAAAGAAUACACAUAUAGAGAAGAGAAUGUUCACAUAUAUAUGCUGUUUUUAUAGUUGAUUUAUCCAGAUUAAAAUCAAUUUGUUACCAAAUAAAGAGUUUGAAUAAAUUAUAAGAUAGUCUCGAUGAGAUUCUAAUUGAAAAAAUUAAUUAGAAUCUCAAUUCAAAAAUUAAUGGAAGUCAUGCCAUAAAUUAACGGUUUGGAUAUUCAUCAGUUCAACAAGAUUACUUUUUUUAGAAGUCAAUUCAAAAAAUUUAGCGGACACUUCUAAAUUUUAUUACAAUAUGAUUUUUGAUCUAACAUAGCCAUCAUUAGUCAUUAGAAAAAUUAAAAUUAGAUUAGUCAUUGUUGAAAAAAAUAAUUGCUAUUUUCCAGUUAAUUUGAAUUAUUUAUUAGUUAAUGCCUAAUCCUUGACUCAACUUGAGUUUUGCUUCUCUUUCAAUAUAUUUUUUUUAAUUACAAAGGGGAGGUUCAAAUUGGAUAUUUUUUGAAAGAGAAAAAAACACUUAGAGCUACAACUCUCUUUUUUAGGUUUAUAAACUUUUUUUUAAGUACCAUUAAUAAUGCAAAAUGUAAUUAUUAGACUUGAUCCAACCUCAUGGUUAGCUUAAAAGCCAGGCCCAAGUGGGGUUUUCUUUUUUUCAAAUUAUAUUAAACAUUAACUUAGUAAUACACAAGGAACUCGAUGAGUCAACCCUCAAUUUAACCAGGCUUGAAUGAGACUUGAUUGGGUCAAUUUUAAAGAUGUUUAUAAUAAUAUUAUUUCAGUUUUUUUAAUAAUUAAAACGGUGUUUUUUUAAGGAUAAACUUAUAGGUUGACCUAUUAAAAUCCUUAAUUCAAGUUUAAAAUUGUGCUAGAUCCUUAUCCUGGUCGGAUAUGACAACUAUGAUACAAACCCAAAUUGUUUUAUGUUAGUUAAUUUACAUCUAAGUGAUCUGCAGCAACUCUUUUUUGUACUGCAGAGCUAAUAAUUUUUUUGAACUAUAUUCAUUCCUACUAACAAUAUGUAAUAAUUAAAAAUUUCUUCCAUUCAAAUUAUGUGUUUAACACAAAUUUGGUACACUCCUAAUACAUCAACGCAGAGGAGGAUUCAAAGUUCAGUCCUGAGGUUCUGCUCAGAACCAGAAAAAAUCCCACCCUUCUUAUUAGUUCUAGCACACGUUGAAUUUGAGGAAAAAAGCUGAAAAGGAGGAAAGAAAUGCAUAGUUUUUCCAUCUCAUAGCAUAGAAUUUCCGAAGACCCUAAUUGACCCUCUUACAGUCGGCUCUGAUUUCUCCAUUGCUUCCUGUCAAAGGACUUAAAUUUCCCAACUUUAUCAUAGACUGAGCAAAGCUAUCAAAGAAGGCGGUCUGGCUGUUAGCAAACCGGUUGACUACGGCAACAGUAUCAGCCCCGCUAGUAGAAAAGAGUAUUUGGUCAGUUUGGAGAAGGCCACGAUUGUUCUGAAGAUUUGUGAAGUAGUUGUUGUCAAAAUCAUCAGGAGUUGUAGGAUCAAGAUUGUUCAAUCUACUUGGAUUUCCGCCUUGUGGGCAUGCUUGGCGAAGUGUCUGCAAGUAUGUUGUGUCUAAGGUUGGAUCAGGGUUUGUAUCAUUGAGUCUCUGGCUGAAGAAUUGGCACUGAGACCUCCCAAAUGUGUGUGCACCUGAAAUAACAUUUUAUCUUUUGUAAGCAUAAAACAAUAGUACUGUAUGCUAAACACAAGUAAUAAGAGCUGUUCGUGCUGUAUUUUGGUGUGGAAGAUUUGGAAAGAUUUCUAAUUAAUUACCAGAUAAAGCAACUAGAUCAGUGGAAUCAAGUUCCUUGUUUGAGAACUUGAGAGAAAGAUUUUCAAAGGUUUCGAAAGGACUAGGAAUGUCAGAAGUUCUUGCUGCGUUUGCAGUCGUACUAUCCCUUCUUCCCAGUGGCACUUGCCAUGUUGGACCUCCUGCCUGCAACAUAUCAUUUACUUGUUAAGGCCACAAAAUUCGUAAUCAACUCAAGUAAACUCAUCUAAGACUUGCUAGCACAAGUCAUCUUCAGUUUUUCAACCCUUUUUUUGUUUUUUCUACUUAUGAGCUCAUUACUUGACCAACUAGCCUAUGACAUCAUGAGAUGCUGGCAAUACAUUAAGAAAGGUCAUUAUGAAAGGUUGAUAAUACUAUACCAAGGUAACCAAUAUUUCAGAUGCAAGGGCUAAUAUAUCUGCGCAGGAGACGAUGCCAGGACAAACAUUCUCCACUGCUGUUUUAAUGUCAUCAACGACACCAUAACCUUCUACGGAUUGAUUAGGGAGUUCAUCUUGCUCACUAUUUAUGCCAUUCGCAUCGACCAGCAGAAUAGAGCCAUCGCAGCCCUGCAAAAAAAAUACGAAAAGAAGAGUAGUGCAUUAGUACUUCAUACAUAAAGAAAAUCUUUCUGCUAGGUGAAUCAUUAAGAAACUAUAUAUGGAAGAUAAUUACAUCGACAAAGCAAUCAUGGAAGUGCAUGCGAAUGAGCUUGGCUCCAAGCCGGACAUCAUUUCGCGCAGCUUGCUCCACUACACCUCGCACAAUGCUCGACACAUUCGGGCAAGUGCUAGCAUAAAACGUGGGGCUUAAUUGAGCAUCAGAAAUGCCCCAAAACAACAUUACUACACAUAUUACUGUAGCUAGAACAGAAGACAUUUUUCUUACAGAAAGGAAAUGCUAGAUGUUUUGAAUUGAGGUCGAGCUUGUUGUGAUAUUGCACCCUAUAAAUAGAGGGAAAAAAAAGAGUAGGUAAGAGCUUGAAAGGUACACCCCUGCCUAACAAAAAAAGAGGAAGAAGGGUUCAGAGUUGAGGUUGAGACUUGCAUAGUAAGAAAUUGGGACCAAAAGGGAACUGUUAGAAAACUAUUUUUCUUACUUUUCCUCAAGCAGAAAAUAUCAAAGAUUGUGGACCUGGCUCGCCCACAAUUAAUAUUUCAAACCGUAUGUAGGGUACUUCUACUGUUGAAAGAUGUUUGAAAUAUUUAAUCUUGCAAGGCUAAUCAUUGUCAAAUACAUAUGGUGCCGUUGCCAUAAGGCCAAAUGAGUGAGCUUUCUCUCUGGACACGGUUUGUCACAGUUCGGAGUCCAAGAAUCCAUACAGAGCCAAGCUAAUCAUUUUGGCUUAAUUAUUAACUACAUUAUAACCUCAAUAAAUUAAUAACCUCGAUUAAAUAGUUUUUGUUCGGUUUCGCCUUAAAUUUGAAGUUUAAAUAAUAUCUCAAUUAAUUAAUAAAUUUUCAUGGUCCGAGAUUGCUGUCUAAUUUUACUUUGCUGCUUGGGAUUUUUCACUUGACUGUUGCUCAUGCGUGCGGAAGCAAGCAUUUCUUGAGAAUGACACAGUAUUCAACUUUCAGAACACGUACGUGGAUUCUGGGCUGCUGAGAAGAAAACAAAAAUCAUUCCAGAUUUUCUUCAGUUAGAUUUAGACUGAUCAGGUGUCCGUAUCCGGCUAACACUGAGAGUUCAAGAUUUGUAAACCUCUAGAAUAGUUUGAAUAUUACCAGAGCAUGCAACGCCUUUUUUUGAACACACACUUUGAUCUCCACCGAUAAAUAUGAGUGCAAUUUGCAACCAAAAUUCUCCAAGUUAAAAUUGUAUCCUCCCUCAUGUUACUAUGCCCCUUUGAAGAUGAAAUUCCCUUGUGAUGGCAGGACUAUUUCGCAAAAAAGUAAUUAAGCAGGAUAGUUAGCUAAUAAAGCAUGGAUUGCCUAAGUAGAAGAAGAAACAAAAACUUUCCUAUCCCAUCUAAAAAUAAAAUUCUUGCGAGCCUAUGUUCAUAUUUUCGGUCUCAAACUUAACCUGUUCCUGCAAUCUGAGCUCGAUACAAGCAGGGUUUCCCUACUGUACUAAACAUCGAAGAUCAAUGGGAUAUUCUAGGUAAAAAGCAAAGAAAAAGUGUUACGUAGAAUGUUACUUCUAUACUAAUGUUUAUUUUUAUGUUUCAAAAGAACUUUUAAAAAAAUUAUUCUUUGAGAAAACAGCAGAAAAUCACGUUAUGGAGCUUUUUUUUCAUUCAGCCCCCUUUUUUUUCCAUCUCCCAAUUUUUUUUUUUAAUUUCAGUUUCUUUUUUUUUCCCCUCAAACGUUCAUCAUUGCAUGUUUUUUAAUAGUUAGUUAUCUUAAUUACUUUUGGACUAAAUCAAUUAAAUUAUAUCAAAAUAACUUCUAUACAAUUUAAUUUUAAAUUUAACCUGAUAAAUUUUUGUUAUGUUAAUAAAAAAAACCCGUAAGCUUGUAUGAUCCAAAAGAAAAAGGAAUAUGUCAAAGUUACGUGGGACAUCUUGUAUAGUACUCGUGAAAGAUACUCGGUCCAAAUUAACAUGCCUUGAGUAGAUGCAACCUUUUGGACUUGUGAUAACCGACAAAGUCACGAAGGAGUGAAGCCAACCUGGAGGAUAACAUUUUCCAUAAUCAUGAGCUUGAUUUGCUCUACUAAUAUCAAACUUGGAGGCUCAACUGGAGGACUUGUAUUACAGAUGAGACAGCUUGAUUUGCAGGAACUCAGAAUCUGCUUUGAGCUUUCCUCCCAGCCAUUCAAAGAGUAAUGAUUUUAAUUAGUCCUUGUAUUAAUGAAACACUAAUUUUACUCUAUUUUUGGAAAUCAUAACUGAAUCAUUCGCCAGCUUUGACUAUUAAUUCUUAAUUACUAUAAUUAUAAAAUCUGGUCUGGCAUGACAGGUCAAUCCUAUAACCUACUAAUGUUUCAUUUCAAACAGAUUUUUUUAUCUCAAAAAAUAAAAUGAUAAUAUUGCGGUAAAAAAAAUUAGAUCGACCCGACCACUUCGUGGUCCUACUGUAACCAAGUCUUAUAUAUAUGUUUUUAACCGUUUUAUUUCCUUUCAUUGUUAGUACCUAAAGUGACAACUCAACAUCUCAAUAACGAUAUUAUGAAUAUGAAAAAAUAGGGAUUAAAUAUGAAAUUCUUUGAAUAAGGAACUAACUUAUUAGUUUCUUGAGAAUACAAGGACUAUAUAAAUUAUAAUUUAUUCCGUACUGAAAGUAAUACUUGCAAGCAUGGAUAAUUCAGACUCCUAGACUACAAAUCACAAUGUACGUAAUGGAGGAGGAAAAGGUUUUGAACACGUUAUUGUGAAUAAAUUUAACAUAAAAUCCAUAUCAUGGGCGGUUUUUCAGGGUGGACUUUGCAUGAAGAUUUUUCAAGGAGACAAAAACAAAACAAGAAAUUGCUGCUUGACAGGAGGCUGUUACAGAUUCCAUGUUUUCCUUUUCAAUUAUUUUGAUUUUUUAUUUUUUAGAAAAUGGAAAAUGAAGGUAUUUUAUCACAAAUGUAUAUAAGUUUGAUCAAGAAAAAAGGUUUUUUUGGAGGAAAAAAACUUGUAAAUUAAGGAUGGUCAAAGCUAUAUAUUCAAGGGAUUGUUUAAUUAUUUAUUAUACUUUAUGGUCUGUGAUGGACAGCUUGAUUAUAAGAUCAGAUUAAAAAUAUAUCCAUCUCAAGGUGUAAGGCCAGGCUAGCUAAACUAAAAUGGUCACACCCUAUCAUUAUCCAUGCAAUUACUAUAAUUAUUAGCAAUGUCUUACUUUUCUUCAAUUGUCGUCGGUCAAUCCAGGAAACUGUGUCUCUUACGAACAAUUCCAAGGAUUUAGUUAGCAGUAGUUUUCUGCUAUUAUUAAUGUAAAUGGAAUCAAUCAAGGAAAACAGUAGUUUGAUGUUAGCAGCAUUUAUGUAUCUAGUUGAUUCUUUCUUAAUUUGUUAUUAUACUUGUAAACGCUUCGUUUACACACACACACACACACACACACACACACACACACACACACACACACAUCUCUAUUUGUUAUAUUGGUAAGCUCAACUUCUAGCCAUGGAUACGAGUAUCUGUUCCUGACAAGGUCUUACGGCACUUAGAUAGAAACCCUUUUCUCUAAGUUAUCAUAAGUCGGAUUUGGUUGUAUUUAUUUGCGUGUCAAAAUCAAUCCUAAAUAAUAUCCUAUCUCCUUUUAAAUCGCAAAGGGUUAUAUUUAUUUUCUACUCUACAAAAGAUAUAGGUUUAGGAUUCGAAUCCUUGAAGAGAAUGUACGGUAAGUUACUGUUUCAGAAGCAUGUAGUUACUGUUUUGAAAUAAAAAAAGAUGAAAAUAAUAGAGAUAAAAGGGAUGGAUUUCCUGCGCUCUCUAUUUUGAAAAUAUAAGAGAACAAUUCAAAAUUGUUCUAGAUACAAAUUUAUUUUAUGCAACUAAAUAUGUUUUUGUAUCUUUUGUAUUUAUUCCUUAUAUAUUGGGACAUAAUGAUCAAACAUAACCUAAAAAAAUUAUUUUUUUUAUGAAUGCACCAAUGGUUAAGACUUAAUCGACGAGGAGCUUAAUAUCGAUGUGUGAAAGGUGGUUAGAGAUCAUACCCUUUCCGUUAAGACCCAAAAUAUAUAUACACAUGCACGGUUGAAAACUUCGAGCAACUAGACUAAGGUGCAACUAUCUAGCAAUGAAAAUUAUUCUGCCAGUCAGUUUUUGAAAAAAAAUAAUGUAGUAAAAUCAGAAUGCUGAAUUAUGGAGGAAUGAUCAUAUCAGGUCGUCUAUGCUUGAUUAAGUUCCUGAUUUUCUGAAGUCAGCAGCUACAGGCUUAAGAACUAAUGAUUGUAUCCGAAACCCGCAAGAAAUUGCUUAAGCAUGCUUAAAAAUUCCAUUCAAGUCAGACUUAAUGUUGUUAAUCAAGUUUCAAACUUUCCUAACCACAAAAGGAUCAUUAUCAGUCUAGGAAACCAUCGAUUGGUAUGCAAGUCAAGUGGGUAGAAUUUCAGCUCACUGUGACAUUUUACUUCGGGGUAACAGCAACUUCUCAGCUUAUCAUUAUCUAAUCAUUGCUCAGUUGAUUUUUAAUUUUCCUGCUCUUUUUUUCCUCUUUUGUUGCUAACGAAUUAACAAUCUUCGCAAAUAGAGGUCUCGAUCAAGAAUUUGUGGCCUUGAAUUUGAUUUGAUUCGGUAAACUAAGUAGGUUUCUUGGAAAGUAUCCUGCUUUACUAGUAGCCCUGCCAGAAAAACCAAGUCUGCAGAAAAUGAUGAUAAUUCUAAUUCUAAUAUGUGAACAUUGAAUAUAAUAUUGAUUCGUUAUCAUUGACGAUAGAUUAAGACCUUAAGGAUUGUCAUUGCAGCAUCCAGUGAUUUGAAAAUGCCAGAAUUUCACAAUCACCAUAGUAUUUUCAGUUUACUACGUUGGAAAAAUCAGAAGUCUUGCCUGUUAAUCAUAUCCAAAGACAAUUACUAAUCUCCGUCGAGCAGCUGCUAAAAGAUGAAAGGACAACAUUACCAACGAAUUCAGCCAGAUUUGGCAGCUGAUUUAAUAUUUUGAAAGUUGAAAACCACAAUUAAUAGCAUAUGAUGAUGGUGCCGAUUCUUGUUGCUGCUCAAAAGUCAUAAGCUAUUGUCUUAACAGAAUUUGUUCUAUUUGGUCUGAGAUUAUACACUGCCAUCUAUGCAGUAGUGCAGAUUUAGAGAAUGACAUACGGGCUAUUCACCAGAAAAAUAUAAGUAUUCAAGAGUUCUAUUCUACCAUGACAGAUCUUUGGGAUCAAUUGGCUCUUACAGAAUUGACAGAAUUAAAGGCAUGUGGUGCUUUAAUUGAUUGUAGAAAACAGCAACGAUUGGUAUAGUUUUUAACAUCACUUCACAGUGAUUUCGAAGGACUUAGAGGUUCAAUACUGCAUCACUCUCCACUGCCUUCUGUUGACUCGGUUGUUAGUGAGUUAUUGGCUGAAGAAAUACGUCUUCAGUCGUAUUCUGAAAAGGGUAUUCUUUCUGCUUUGAAUCCUUCUGUACUAGCAAUACCCUCUAAGCAAUUCUUCAAUCACCACCAUAAGCCUUACGAGGGUUGGCUUCGACGAGUGUAGUUUCUGUAAGCAGAAAGGUCAUUGGAAGAAUCAGUGUUCUAAGUUGAGAUAGCAUAAUCAAGCUUGGAAGCCUGGCAGCCAGACACAAUCUAAUGCUCAUAGACCACUUCAGGGUUAUAAACCACCGCACCACAAUACUGCAACAGUAGCUUCCUUAGGCUCUAUUACCGAUCCUAGUACUUUGGCUGAGCAAUUUCAGAAGUUUCUCUCAUUGCAUCCACAAGCAAUGUCCGCUUCUUCUUCCAUAGGUCAGUUGCCUCAUAGUUCCUCAGGUAUGUCACAUUCUGAAUGGGUUUUGGAUUCUGGUGCUUCACAUCAUAUGUCUCCAGAUUCUUCAUCUUUUACCUAUGUUUCCCCUUCACCCUCCAUUCCUGUUAUGACUACUGAUGGCACUCACAUGCCCUUAAUAGGUGUUGGUUCUGUUGUCACACCUCACUUGUCUCUUCCUAAUGUUUAUCUUAUUCCGAAUCUCAAAUUGAAUCUUGCUUCUGUUGGUCAAUUAUGUGAUUCUGGUGAUUAUUUAGUCAUUUUUUCCUCUUCUUUUUGUUGUGUACAGGAUCUGCAGUCUAAGAAGUUGAUUGGGACAGGUCAUAGAGAGAAUGGACUAUACAUUUUGGAUGAGUUAAAAGUGUCAGUUCCCGUUGCUACUACUACUACUGUUGAUUUGUCUUUUUUUCGUUUGAGUUCUUCGUCUUCUAGUUUUUAUUUAUGGCAUUCUUGUCUAGUACAUGUUUCGUCUUCUCGUUUGAUAUUUUUGGCAUCCGCAGGAGCUUUAGGAAAUUGAAAACUUGUGACAUUUUUUAUUGUAGUGGAUGUAAACUGGCAAAAUUUUCCGCUUUACCUUUUAAUCGAAGUAUUUCUGUUUCUUCUUCACCAUUUGACUUGAUUCAUUCUAAUGUAUGAGGACCUUCUCCUGUUGCCACAAAAGGAGGGUCUCGAUAUUAUGUCUCUUUUAUUGAUGAUCAUACUCGUUAUUGUUGGGUUUAUUUAAUGAAACAUCAUUCUGAAUUCUUUGAGAUAUAUGCAGUUUUUCGAGCUCUUGUCAAAACUCAACAUUUUGUUAUGAUCAAAUGCUUUAGGUGUGAUUUGGGUGGGGAAUACACCUCUAAUAAAUUUUGUCAAUUGCUUGCCUUAGAUGGAACCAUUAACCAAACUUCAUGUACAUAUACUCCUGAGCAAAAUGGUGUUGUUGAAAGAAAACAUAGGCACAUUGUCGAAACUGCUCGUUCUCUCUUAUUGUCUGCUUUUAGUCCUAGUGAGUUUUGGGAAAAAGUUGUUCUUACUGUUGUAAGUUUGAUUAAUACAAUUUCAUCUUCUCAUAGUUCAGGUCCAUCUCCUUUUGAAAAGUUACAUGUGUAUGUCCCUGAUUAUUCCUCAUUUAGAGUUUUUGGUUGUACUUGUUUCGUUCUUCAUCCUCAUGUGGAACGCAGUAAGCUAUCCUCCCGAAGUGUUAUUUGUGUCUUUCUGGGUAAUGGUGAAGGUAAAAAGGAGUAUUAUUGUUUUGAUCAAAUAACUCAGAAACUUUAUGUGUCUCGUCAUGUUGUCUUUCUCGUGCACAUAUUUUUUUUUUCUAUUCCAUCCACUACUCAUAGUCUGACUAAACCUGAACUUAUCCGUAUAGAUCCCUUUUCUGAAGAUUCUGAUAGUCAGACCUCUCCCCAUGUUCUACCAAUUUGUACUCAUAACUCUGUAGGUACUGAUACUUUACUUUCUGGCAUAUUUGAAGCUCCAUUCUCAUCUACAGCCCCUAAAGCUUCAUCUGAGAUUAUGGAUCCACCUUUACGUCAGUCCAUUCGCAUUCGUAAGUCCAUAAAACUACAAGAUUUUGCUUAUUCUUGUUAUUCUUCAUCAUUUACUUUCGUUUUAGCUUCUAUUGAUUGUCUCUUUGAGCCCUUUUCUUAUAAAGAAGCAAUUCUUGAUUUGCUUUGGCAGCAAGCUAUUGAUGAGGAACUUUCUGCUUUGCAUAAGAUAUAUACUUGGGAUCUGGUUCCUCUACCUCCUUGUAAGAGUGUUGUUGGUUGUCGUUGGGUGUAUAAGAUCAAAACUAAUUUUGAUGGGUCUAUUGAGAGAUAUAAAGGUAGCUAACUGGUGCAAAAGGAUACUCUCAACAGUAUGGUAUGGACUUUGAGGAGACAUGUGCCUUUGUUAUAAAAAUGACUACUAUUCAUACUCUUAUUGUCGUAGCUUCGAUUCGUUAGUGGCAUAUCUCUCAGAUUGGUGUUAAAAAUACCUUCUUGAAUGGGAUCUUCAAAAAGAAGUUUAUAUGGCACCCCUCCUGGUAUUUCACAUGAUUCUGGAUAUGUCUGUAAGCUUAAGAAAGCAUUAUAUGGUCUCAAACAAGCACCCCGUGCUUGGUUUGAGAAAUUCUCUAUUAUGAUCUCGUCUCUUGGCUUUGUUUCUAGUAGUCAUGAUUCUGUUCUUUUUAUUAAGUGCACUGAUGCAGGUCGUAUCAUUCUGUCUUUAUAUGUUGAUGACAUGAUUAUUACUGGUAAUGACAUUGAUGAUAUUUCAGUUUUGAAGACAGAGUUGACUAGACGAUUUGAAAGAAGGAUUUGGGUUCUCUUCGAUAUUUCCUGGGUGUUGAGAUAGCAUACUCACCUAGAGGUUACCUUUUUUCUUAGUCGAAAUAUGUUGCAGAUAUUUUUGAGCGGGCUAGACUUACUAAUAACAAGAUUGUAGAUACUCCUAUUGAGGUUAACACAAGGUACUCUUCUUCUGAUGGUUUAUCUUUGAUAGAUCCUACUUUAUACCGUACUAUUAUUGAGAGCUUGAUAUAUCUCACCAUUACUCGUCUAGAUAUUGCAUAUGUUGUUCAUGUUGUUAGUCAGUUUGUUGCUUCUCCUACUAUUGUUCACUGGGCAGCUGUUCUUCGUAUUUUAUGAUAUCUUCGGGGUACAAUUUUUCAGAGUCUUUUACUUUCAUCCACCUUUUCCUUGGAGUUGUGUGUAUACUCUGAUGUUGAUCAUGGUAGUGAUCCCACAGAUCGCAAGUCUGUUACCGGGUUCUGAAUCUUUUAGGUGAUUCUCUUAUUUCUUGGAAGAGCAAAAAAUAAUAUAUUGUUUCUCAAUCAUCCACCGAAGCAGAAUAUCAUGCCAUGACAUCUACUACCAAAGAAAUUGUUUGGUUACGUUGGUUACUUGCUGAUAUGGGAGUUUCAUUUUCUCAUUCUACUCCUAUGUAUUGUGACAACCAGAGUUCUAUUCAGAUUGCUCACAACUCAGUUUUUCAUGAGCGAACUAAGCACAUUGAGAUCGAUUGUUAUCUUACUCGUCAUCAUCUCAAGCAUGACACCAUUACUUUGCCUUUUAUUUCUUCUUCCUUGCAGAUUGCAGAUUUCUGUACCAAGAUGCCUUUUAUUUCUCGUUUUUGUUUUCUAGUUAGCAAACUCUUGAUGCUUGUAGCCAGGGGCGGAGCUAGGAUUAUUUGUUAGGGGUGGCCAAAAAUAAUAUAAUAAGAUAUAAUAUUUUUUUUAAUUUAUUGUAAAUGAGUUGUAAAAAAAAACCUGCAUGAUUUAGUUUUAUUCAAAUAACUUAUUACAAACAUAUAAUGACCUUUGUAAAAGGUAAAAAGGUUUGGAGCAAUACCAAAUUGAGUCAAAGCAAUGAAGUUAAUUUCAUCUUCAUGAUGUAUCCAUCACUUUAAUGUUGUUGGUCUUUAUACCUAUCAAAUAUAAACAUACAAAGUAUAUAAGAAAUAUUAGCUAAAGCGAAACAUUAUUUAUAUUUGAUAAACUUUGAAAUAAAGUAAAAAAUAAUAAAGAAUGAUUCUUACAUCUUUAUUUUAAUUGUGCUCGUCGUUCUUUCAUAGAAUAGAAAUCAUCUAUUAUCAUAUCAAUUGUGAAUCUUUCAGCAAUUUUUUUUUUAUGUAGACAAUCAAAUAAUUUGCAAGAAAAUCAUCCUCCAUCCGAUUACGAAGUCUUGUUUUAACAAUCUUCAUCGCUGAGAAAGCUCGUUCAGUAGUUGCUGUCGAAACAGGAAGAGUCAAAAGAAGCCAAAUCAACCUGUCAACUAGUGGAUAAAUUGUUGAUUUUUCUAUUUCAACCAAUCCUUGACAUAAAUCAGCAAUCAAUGACAUGCUCUUUAACUUUGGAUGAUUGGGUACAUCAAGCUCAUAAUGCUGCAACUGAAGUCUAAAAUGAAUUUUUUCUUGGUCAGAAAAAUCUUGAGGAUAGAACUUGUCAACAAGUAAGCAUAUAUCUUUAACAUUGAAUAAUUUAUAGCUAUUUCUAGGAUCUAAAGUUGUGCUCAACUUAAGAAGCUCGAUCGCCUCAUUGAAUUUAUUAUUUAGCUCUUGCAAUUGUUGAUCAAUGAUAGCUGUAAAUAUAUCAACUCGGUAGUGAUGUUCAACUAUUACUGAUUUUUGUUUACGGCGAGAUCUUCCCACACUAGAAAAACAAGCAUCCAUAUCAAGAACUUCAAUGUCUUGAUGCUUAUAAAAUGAUGUCACUUCUUCUAAAAGAGUUUUCCAACCAUCAUCUAUUAACUUCUUAAUUAAAGUCUUUGUGGUAGUCACCAAAUGCAUAACAUUUAAAAUGUCUUGAGAUUUUUGUUGCAGGGCUUGGCAAAACAUAUCAGUAAUUCCCAUAACAUCCUUCAUUAUAUGUAAGAUGAAUGCAAAAUCAAAUGACAUUAGCAACUUAAAUGAAAAAGCCACAUCACCACGUUGAGAAUAAGUAGAUCCAUCUAAAGCAAUGUUUUCAAGAACCAAGCAAGUUGCCCCAUACAUUUUUAUCAAACUGCAAAUUGAUUUGAAGUGCGAACUCCAUCUGCUAUCUCCAGGUCGUUGCAAACCACCUACUUGAUUAACUCCUUUACCCGUUUCAAUCUCACCAAUAUCAACUAAAUGUUCAAUUGUAGCUGUUUGGAAAGCCCGUAAUUCAUCAUUACGCUUACAAGAAGCACUAACAAUGUUAAUAAUAAAAAUCAAAUUCUGAAAGAAAGUGUGAACAUCAGAUAUUUCUCUAGCUGCAGCAAUAAGAGCCAAUUGUAAUUGAUGAGCUAAGCAAUGUACAUAAUAUGCAUAAGGGGAAUCAUUAAUGAAUAAAGCUUGCAAACGAUUCCACUCUCCACGCAUAUUACUGGCACCAUUGUACCCUUGACCCCUAAUAUUUUAAACAUCAAGAUUGUGAUGAGAUAAAACAAAGGAAAUCUUUUCCUUAAGAGUUGCAGCAGUUGUAUCUUUGACAUGAACUAUAUCCAAAAAUCGUUCUCGUAUAAAUCCACUUCUAUCAACAAACCUAAUAACAAGGGUCAUUUGCUCUCUUCUAGAUUCAUCUCUAGAUUCAUCUCGAGCUUCAUCAACAAUUAAACAAAAUCUUGCAUCACCAAUCUCAUGACGAAUUGAAGACUUAACAUUUAUAGCAAAGACAUGCAAAAUUUCUUUUUGAAUUUGAUGUGAGGUGUAUUUAGCAUUUUGUGGAGCAUUACCCAAAACAAGAGCACCUACUUGUUCAUUGUAUGAUGCUAAAAGUUCCAUCAUUUCAAGAAAAUUACCUCGGUUUUUUUAUUCUGGACGUUCAUCAUGCCCUCUUAAAGCACAUGCUUGAAAUGUGAGCCAACGAACAAUAUCUAUUGAAGCUUUAAUACGCAAUCGAUUAUUCUGAAUUUCUUGAGUAGUUUGCCUCUUAACUACCUUCUCAAUAUGACAUGACUGGUUUUUUAAAUUUUCCAAGCACCUGGUAGCAAAUCUAUGAGCUAAAUUUGGACCUUUUUCCCAUAUGAGUCAAAAAAGCACACCGUUCCCCAUCAUUAACUUUCUUCCAAUUAACAGUAAAUGUGUCUGAUCCUGGCUUCCCAGAUGGUUUACUUGGAAAUAAAUAGCAAGGGAAACAAAAUGCAAAAUGCAGUAUUUUUCUCUGAAUAUUCAAGCCACGGAUAACUUUUGAACCAAUGAGACUAAAUGUUUUUUACCAGUCAGCGGAUAUUCAGACAUCAAAGGUUGAUAUGGCCCCAAAUUAAUGUAUGCCCUUUGAAUUUCAUCUUUUUGAUUAACCGGGUAUUUCUAAAUUUGAGGACGAUUGCUUGGAUCUCUAAUUAAAUGAGCAAUGUCGAUUCUAGUAAGCGGCUGCUCAUUAAUCAGUGCAGGUUCUUUAUAAACUGAAGCACAUUGAGGCUGCUCAACCAUAACUUCAACAUUACUUGGAGUUGGUUCACUAGGCUGUGAGUUAUCAAAUUUUUUUUUUCAAAAAAAAAAUCAAUUCUUCUUAUUUUGCUCAUGGUUCAACCUAAAUCAAAAUAUAUAUCGUGAGAAAAAAUUGAUAAUUUUGGUGGCUCUGCUAAAAACAAAACAUAAAAAAAAUCCAUACAUAAUCAAAACAAACCAAUAAAAUAUAUCUAAUUAAUUAGAAAAAAAAUCACUAUAACAAAAAUUCAAAAAACAAUUGUUAGAACUAGCAAAUUUGAAAAAAAUAAGCAAAAAUUAUAAAAUUAUAAAAAAAUCUCAUCAAAGUCUUAAUAAACAUCUCAAAAAAAAAAUAUUUUAAAUUUGAGUUAUUGAUAUCCAAUUACCUUGUUUUGUUUACGGGAAGAUAAAUUAAACAACUUUGCUUCAAUCUUUCCGCACAAAAAUUAUGUUUGUGAUCUGCAUCUUUAUUCUUGUUUUUGUUUUGACCGGCUGCGUUGCAACUUACAAGUAUUGAUAUUAGGGUUGUACUUUAUAGCCUAUAGGGAGAGAAAAGACAAAGAAAGACAUUGAUCACUUUAUAUUUUUUUUCUUUCCACGUAGGUACUUUGUAGCCUAUUACUUGUAAUUCUUUGGAAAAGCCGGAUUCUCUCUGUCUUCGAGUUUUCAUUCCUCAAUCCACGAAGGCAUUUUUUUAUCACUUUGUAGCCUAUUACAGCACCUUACAUUUAAUUACAAAAAAAAAAAUCUUGCAGGGUCCCGGGCCCCUGUUUGCCCCCCCUUCACUCCGCCCUUGCUUGUAGUUGCUGCAUCGUGAGUUUGAGGAGAGAUAUUAAAUAAUAUUUAUUUAGUCUUAUUUAUUAAGGGUAUAAUAGUAUUUUAAGUUUAACCUAUAUAUAAUUUUUUUGUAUUUAGGUUAACCCUAAGCAUUCAUAAUAAACAGAUCAUUGAGAAUUCUAGCUUUUUUUUUUUUGUGUGUGAUCUUUUAUAUAAAUAAUAUCUUGAUUAAUUAAUAAAUUUUCAUGGUCCGAGAUUGUUGUCUAAUUUUACUUUGCUGCUUGGGAUUUUUCAGUUGACUGUUGCAAAUGCGGAAGCAAGCAUUUCUUGAGAAUGACGCUGUAUUCAACUUUCAGAACAUGUGGAUUCUGGGCUGCUGAGAAGAAAACAAAAAUCAUUCCAGAUUUUCUUCAGUUAGAUUUAGACUGAUCAGGUGUCCGUAUCCGGCUAACACUGUGAGUUCAAGAUUUGUAAACCACAUAUAUACACAUGCAUGGUUGAAAAUAUAUAUACACGUGCAUGGUUGAAAACUUCGAGCAACUAGACUAAGGUGCAAUUAUAUCUAGCUAUGAAAAUUAUUCUGCCAGUCAGUUUUUGAAAAAAAAUAAUGUAGUAAAAUCAGGAUGCUGAAUUAUGGAGGAAUCACAUCAGUUCGUCUAUGCUUGAUUAAGUUCAUGAUUUUCUGCAGUCAGCAGCUACAGGCUUAAAAACUAAUCAUUGUAUCGGAAACCCGCAAGAAAUUGCUUAAGCAUGCUUAAAAAUUCCAUUCAAGUCAGACUUAAUGAUGUUAAUCAAGUUUCAAACUUUCCUAACCACAAAAGGAUUAUUAUGAGUCUAAGAAACCAUCGAUUGGUAUACAAGUCAAGAGGGCAGAAUUUCAGCUCAUUGUGACAUUUUACUUUGGGGUAACAGCAACUUCUCAGCUGAUCAUUAUCAUUGAAUGAUAAUUCUAAUUCUAAUAUAAGAACAUUGAAUAUAAUAUUGAUUCGUUAUCAUUGACGAUAGAUAUAGGCCUUAAGGAUUGUCAUUGCAGCAUCCAGUGAUUUGAAAAUGCCAGAAUUUCACAAUCACCAUAGUAUUUUCAGUUUACUACGUUGGAAAAAUCAAAAGUCUUGCCUGUUAAUCGAUCAUAUCCGAAGACAAUUUCUCAUCUCCUUCGAACAGCUGCUAAAAGAUGAAAGGACAACAUUUCCAACGAAUUCAGCCAGAUUUGGCAGCUGAUUUAAUAUUUUGAAAGUUGAAAACCACUGUUAAUAGCAUAUGAUGAUGGUGCCGAUUCUUGUUGCUGCUCAAAAGUCAUAAGCUAUUGUCUUAACAGAAUUUGUUCUAUUUGGUCUGAGAUUAUACACUGCCAUCUCUGCAGUAGUGCAGAUUUAGUGCUUGGCAGUGAUGUCUAUGUUUGUAUCUUUAGUGCCAUUUUUAAUAAGAUCUUUUUGUUCUAUCAGGAACAAAACGGGAAAACAGUUCUCCUCUUAGAAUAUAGAAAUCCUACUAACUGUGAAUUCAUUCAUGCACUAAAUUGCAAUAUACUAUAUGGUAAAACAAGACCAGGUGGUGUGUGCAUGACUUCGUGAGGUAAUUAAGCGGAAAUAACACAAUAGUAAGUUUUCAUCCCUAGUUCCUGCAUAUAGAUCUUUUAAUUCUGUUGUGAAUAUAUUUAUUUUUUUUGGUAAUAGUCGAAAGUUUUAUUAAGAAAAAAAGUUACAAAGAAUCUAACUUACAUUAGAUGAACAAGCAAAGAAAAGAAAAGCACAAAAGCUGCUGCAUGAAACAGGGAAGCGCAACAAUUAGAGGGAACAAAAAAUAAACAUAAGAAACCAACUCCUUCCUAUUGAACAUUCUCUAUAUUAAGCUCCAAACAGCUGGAAUCAAGCCUUAGCCGUAAAGCAAUACUUUAGCGUACCAUGGAGAAUCACAUUUAGAGGUUAGGGGCAGCAUCAUUAAAAAUGAUGUCAUUCCGGUGGAGCCAAAGAUUCCAAACAACGGAUGAGAAAAGAAGCUGCCAUGAGAGAUUCUGCUGCUUGCCUUUAACCAUGGAAGACCAUUGGUAGCACAUAUCAUCAAUAAAUUUUGGAAAAACAUUGCAAAAACCCCGAUUAGAAAGCAAUUUCAUCCAUAUAUUCCAAGUGAAGUGGCAGUGAAUGAAGAGGUGACUUGAAGAUUCCAAGCUUUUAUUGCAUAAAGCGCAUCUAGAUUCCUGAAGGAUGAGGUAGUCAUGCUAAAAUAGAAAAUAUCUUGUGGUUACUUUGUCUUGGACAAGGAGCCAGAGAAAAAGUUGCACUUUUGGUGGGAUUAGUUUUAUCCAAAUAGAAGAUUGGAAUGGUUUGGCACCACCGUAAAGCAUCUGGUCCAUCAUUUUAAAGCAAGAUUUUACACUGAAGAGGUCAUCGUUGUUGAGAGUCCAGAUUUUUUAUCCAUCUUGCAGCAUAACAUAGGCUUGUUAUGAAUAUUAUUUCUUGGAACUCCUGUGGCUUGGGCAUGAUAAGGAAACAAAGAAGAAUCACAAAAUUAAUAACAGAAUAUAAGAUUGAUAUAUGUUUCCUGCAGGAAACUAAGCUGGCUAAUUGUUCCAUUGACUUUGUGUCUCGUAUUUGGAAUGAAAAUCAUGUGAGUUGGUUUAGUAAUAAUGCUCAGGGAUCAAAAGGAGGUCUGCUUGUUAUGUGGAAAAACACUAACUUUGAAGUCUCUAAUAUUGAAUAAGAUCAUGUUUGGAUCGGUUUAUAUGGUAAACAUGUUCACAAUGAUUUUCAUUGCUUUGUUAUUGGCAUCUAUGCUCUUUGUAACUAUUAGAACAUCCAACAACUUUGGGAUGAUCUUAUUCUUCUUAAACACGCUUUUGAAGUUCCCUAGAUAAUAGCUGGAGAUUUUAAUAAAACACUCUCUCAGAAAGACAGAAACAGUGAAAUCUGUCAUCCUGCAGGCUCAAAUUCUUUAAGUAGAUUCCUGCAGUCUUGUGAGCUCAUUGAAUACCCUUUAGCAGAAGGUUAUUUUACUUGGUUUAGAGGAGGGUCCAAGAGCAAACUGGACCGUAUGUUCACAAACUCAUCCUGCCAUCUUCAUUUCCCCAGUUUAUCUCUUCGUCGACUUCUAGUUCUCGGAUCAUUGCCCUUUAAUUAUAUCUAGCUUCUUGCAGGACCAUGAAUGGCGUCCUUUUUAUUUCUUAGACUGUUGGAUUUAGUACCCAAAUUUCAAGCACAUCAUUGAAAACUUCUAGAAUGAUGCAUGCUCCCUUCACCCUAGCCGCUUCAAAUUUCUCAAAAAGCUCAAUCAUAUUGCAGUCAGAUUGAGGCAAUGGAAUAAGCUCGAAUUUGGAAAUCAAGAAGAUGCCCUUCACGAACCCUUUUAGCUAUCAACAUACUAGAGGAAAAAUAUGAAGAAAAAGGUAUAACCGACCAAGAGCAGGAGCAUUUAGACUUUCCGUUGAAAGACCGCUGGGUUCGCAACAACCACAUUGAAUCUAUUUGGAGGCAUAAAUUAAGACAGAUGUGGUGCAAAUUAGGUGACAGAAAUAACAAGUUUUUUCACUUAAUUGCCAAUUUCAGGAAGGAUAAAUCAUAUAUCCUAAAAAUCCACCAUAAUGGCAACACUUUUGAUUCUCAACAGGGUAUUAAGCAGGCUGCUGUGGAUUAUUUCUCUGAGCCGUAUGACUCCCCCUCUGAAAGAAAGCCGCAAUUAAAUCCUUUGGGUUUCAAAUGCCUCUCUAAAGAAUCCUCUGAAUGGCUGGAGCAGGAAAUCACAAUGGAAGAAGUGAAGCGCAGUGUAUGAGGUUGUGAUGGGUCAAAGAGUCCUGGACCAGAUGGUUUCAACUUCAAAUUCUACAUAUUAGCAUGUGAUUUUAUUGCUCAAGACAUCCUCGAUAUAGUCUUAAGCUUCUUCAGAAUUGGAAGGCUACCUAAAGGAAUCAAUACAACCUACAUAACUCUCCUCCCCAAGACAAUAGACCCCAUAGAGUUUAAAGAUUUUCGACCCAUCAACAUGAUUCAUGGUAUCUACAAGAUCAUUGCUAAAAUCCUUGCGUCCAGAUUGAUGACUGUUAUGCAAGAUAUCAUUAGCAUUAACCAAUCAACAUUUAUAGCAGACCACAACAUUAUAGAUGGCUUUAUGAUUGCGAAUGAGUUGGUGAGUGAUCUGAAAAAGCCAAAAGCGGCAGGUUUGAUUUUCAAGAUUGAUUUCUAUAAAGCCUUCGACUUGGUCUCUUGGGAUUACCUAGAUGAUAUCAUGGGUUAUAUGAGGUUUGGCAGAAAAUGGAGAAGCAUGAUUUAUGAAUGUCUUUCUUCAUCAAAACUCUUGGUCCUCAUCAAUGGAUCCCCUUCAAAAUAAUUCUCUGUUCGACGAGGAUAGCGUCAAGGAGACCCGAUUACCCCUUUUCUGUUUGACAUAGCUGCUGAGGGCCUCUCGAUCCUCUUUCAAAGGGCAUCUAGUGGGAACAUUCUCAAAGGGCUGCAAUUCGCAUCAGGAAUUUGCUUCAGCCAUCUAUAAUAUGCAGAUGACAUGCUAAUAUUCAUCCCAACAGAUAUUGAUCAGUUAGUUCAAGUCAAAAGAAUUUUGAGAUGGUUUGCUCUGAUUUUAGGCCUUCACAUAAACUUCCAUAAAAGCUCCAUUAUUGGUAUCAAUGUCGACGAUCACUUGUGCUUGCGCUUGGCUACAUCUAUUUUUUGCAGAUCAGACUCCCUCCCAAGAAAAUAUCUCGGCAUGCCACUGGGAGCCAAUCCAUCUCGUAUCUCCACAUGGAAGCCAGUGAUAGAGAAGUUUCGUAAAAGGCUUCAUAUGUUAAAAGAGAGAUUAUUAAGCAUGGCUGGUCGUCUUUGUCUCAUUAAAAGUGUUGUUAAUUCCUUGCCUAUAUAUUUUAUGUUCGUAUUCAAGAUGCCGAAAGGGGUAGGCAAGCUUCUUUCAUUCAUCCAAAUAUGUUUCUUGUGGUGUGGAUGUACCAAGCGGAGAUCUUUCUGCAAGAUCCAAUGGAGACUAGUGAUGUAGCUUUGAACAAGAUCUUUGGCUGUCGAAAUGGCUGCAUCACUUGAAAAUACUUGGUCAGAAGUGACAAGCCCUUAUUGCUUACCAAGUUCUGGAAAUAGUGGUUGUCAAAUAGAUCAGUUGGGUUCCGAUCAAGAGCUGUAGACUUGUUCCCAUCAUCGGUUAGUGGACAUGGAUUCUGUAGACAGAUACCUUACUUGAUUCCAUUGUAACGUCUGGAGAACCAGAUCCCGAGAAGUUGAACAAUCUGUAGUUGAAGGUAGCCCCUUUUGCUAGUCCAAUUGUGUGAUCGAGCACCUUAAUGAAAUUACAUAAUAUCCGAUUUUCAGACUAAUGAAAUUAUGCAUGUAAUUUACAGUUGAAGAACAAGUCCUUGUAGCACACAGCGUGGAUGCAGUUCUCGUUAAGCGGAUACUAUCUCUGAUAAGGCCAUAUUAGGUGAUCUUGUACCUAUCUCCCUCUCAAAAGCUAACUUAUGCUGUGAGGCUUUCCCUCCUACUAUGAACUCUCUCCACCAUCCCCUUCCACAACCGACAUACAUUGGUGACAUUCAAACAUACUCCAACAAACCUACGAUUAGUGUCAUCCACUCCUUCAAAUUGGGGCAGGGAGUUGAAGAUUUGCUCCAGUCUGGUUAGCCACUAGUCCAUCUCUUCUUCCGAGCAGAACUUUCCAUGAUUUCCCCCCUCUCUGCCGACAUAUUGUAGCUCAAAAUCAUCUACAAAGACUGCAUAUUUAACAUGAUAAACAGAGAAUAUUGGACUAACACCACUACAUUGACUUUCCACAUGACUUUUUAUUGCAUCAACAACUUCAAAUCCCCUUGCUGAAUUUAGGUUCGGCAGGGUAAACUUCUCAUCAUCAUCUCCUCUCCAUUGACAGGGAAAAAAAUAUUUUUGAAGUGUUGUUUAAGUUUAUUGAUCGAAUUAUAGUUUUUAGCCUCUUUUUAUUUUGUUUAUUCAGGUUCUGGCAGUCAUAAGUUAACAGGGACUAUGAAUCAUUACUCCUCAAAAACAUGCAUGAUCCUCUAAACAGUCGAGGGGUUCCCUAUUUUAUGGCUCAAGCUACUGAUUUUAUUAUUAGAUCCCCUAUAUUUAAUCAGUUCUUCAAUUGGGUCCCUCGGUUAACUUCCAUCGACCAUAAGUGACUGUUAUCUGAUGUAAUAAUGGGCACCUAAACGACUGGCCCAAUUUUGCACCCUUACAUCAGAAUAUCAGAGGGAUCUAAUUGAGAAAACAAUGAAAGAUGGGGGAACCAAUUGAGAAUAUCGAUGGUUUGGAAACUACAAUGAGAAACUUCAAAUAGGGAGACUAAUUUGAGAUUUGCCAACAAGAAAUUAAAAUCAGGGCAUGAGAGAUUUGUGGAGCUUACAAAAAUCAAUUAACAAGCAAAUUGAUCAUUUGUCAUCCUUUUUCAUUGGUGACGUGGAUCAUUUCUCAUCUUUUCCAUCCUUCAAGUGACUAGAAUUUACUUUGUACCAUUGCUAGCUGCUUAACUAACUGCCAAACAUAAGUUGGCGCUAAGGAUAACGGACAUCACGUGUCAGACUGAGAACAGACCACGUGUCAAAAUCCCAUUAAGAUAUUUUUCUCAUCUGGUUCCUUAAAGACCACUAACCAACUUAACUGAACAAACACUCAGUCUCACUAGAUUCUUCGCUCCAACAAAAUAAAAAUGGCUCUAAAAUUUCAUGCUGCCAUUCAUUUAAGCUUGCAAUUGAGCCCAUCUCCUACAUUAUUUGCACCAUCAUUUUGUAAGCCUCAGAAACUCUUGAAAUCAUUAGUUAAAAAAACUCAUGUUUGUCAAUCCUCUCUUGUUGAUGAACAGCAGCAGCAAAUUUCAUUCAAUGAGCAAGAAAAUCAGCUGAUAAAUGCCCUUGUUGGCAUCCAAGGCAGAGGAAAAUCAGCAUCCCCCCAGCAACUCAAUGUACGUCUUCUUGUUUUCCCUCUAUUUCUUGACGAGAUGCUGUGAUUGUUUUAAAUGUAAUGGGACUUUUUGUCAGGAGGUCGGACAUGCAGUUAAAGUUCUUGAAGGCUUAGAAGGAGUGUCUGAACCUGUAAGUGAUAAGUUUUUGGAAUCUUGAUUAGUGGGAUUUCUCUUCUUUUGUUUUUUUUGUAUAUAAUUCCAGAUUUUGAUUAAAAUUGUUAAAGUUUGAUAGGUUUCUUUUUGUUUUUGGGUUUUAUGUCAAUGUUUGUUUACUUUGGAAACUAGAGUAAAUCAAAUUAAAGGCAGUUUAUGUUUGUUUGCAGCAUGAUUGAUUUCAUAAGAUUAGUUGGAGUCAUCUGUAAUUAGCCUAAAAAAUUGACAAGUAAAUUAUUUUGGAAUAAUGGGAGGGGCAGAUGAAAUUGUAAUGAUGUGUUGGAUCUUGUGAUUGUUAUGAAUUCUGAUGAUUCUGAGCACCCACAGACAGGCUCGAACUUGAUCGAAGGUCGGUGGCAAUUAAUGUUUACGACUAGACCUGGGACAGCAUCUCCAAUUCAGGUUAGAUUGCAAUUUGUUGCCAUACAUUUUUGUUGUGCUUUUCAUGUAACUUAGUUCCUUAGUGUAAAAUAUUGGAAUUUGUCCUAAUUUUCUUGUGACAACAUCGGGAUUGGAUAUACUUUUCUGGUGCUUUUGUGUCACAAUUUAGAAAUCAUUGGAGUAAUAUAAAACCAUACAUCAAUUUUUAAAUUAAUAAGGUUAUUUGAUAUAAUAUCAUAAUUUUAAUCAUGAAUUCUAAUUUCUCCGCCCUUACUUUAUCUUUAGUGUGGAUUUGUACAAAUUUCGAGUCCAAUAAAACUUUCUCCCGAGAAAGUAUAUUAGAAAAUAAUAUAAAAUUAUUUUUAAAUUUAACCUAAUAGUAAAGUUUUGGUUUGAAAUAGUUUUUUUUUACAGAAACUCCAAAAUCGCAAAGUGGAUUUGCUGGGUUGAUACCAUUUUGAAUAGCAUAAAUUUCUCCCAGUGCAUUUUGUGCUCAUUCUGGCCAUGUGCUUUGCAAUAUGCUGCAGAGAACAUUUGUUGGUGUUGACUUCUUCAGCGUAUUUCAAGAGGUAUACCUUCGGACAAAUGAUCCUCGUGUGUCCAACAUUGUAAAAUUCUCAAAUGCUAUAGGCGAGCUGAAAGUAGAGGUAUGAAUCCACUAUCUUUUCUAGUAAGUUAUAAGCAUUUCCACCAGAAAAGUCUCAUCAUACACCAUUAGCCACCUCGAUUAAGUGAUGUGAGGGACGAGCCAGUCAGCCCGAGCCCAUCAAGUCAUUGCACUCUAGUCAUCUUUUCAUUUUUGAAAGCAUGGCCUUAGAAUAGAAGAAGGGACUAGGACAAUCAGCAUAGAUGCAAUGGUUUCUCCUUUAACCUUAAGAAGUAUCUGACAUGCACAUGCAUCUUCAGAGCUAUGCAAAAAUGCUUUGACUAGGUAUUUUUCUCUUUUAAAUGAUGCAUAUAGUGAACCAUGUAGAGGUUAUAGCCCCAACUUCCAUGCAUCUGAAGUUCAUGUUUCAAGCUUUGUUAUGAAUGACCCACUCCUCUUUCUCUUACCCUAUGCACAUUUCAUUUUUCUCUCAGGCAGCAGCAACAAUUGAAAAUGGAAAGAGGAUCCUUUUCCAGUUUGACAGAGCAGCCUUUUCUUUCAAUUUUUUACCAUUUAAGGUUCCAUAUCCAGUGCCAUUUAGGCUUCUUGGUGAUGAAGCAAAGGGCUGGCUGGACACCACAUACUUGUCUCCAUCUGGAAACCUUCGCAUCUCGAGAGGAAAUAAGGUAUGUAAGAACUACAUGAUCUUGAGCAUCCUAAAUUCAGUGUAUAUGCUGUUACCUUCUCUAUUGGUGGGUGGUAGGUACUAAUGAUAUUGGUUCAGAAGUUUUCUUUUGGUUUCAUUUGCUGAAGUCAUCAAGCAAUGUUUCUGUAGUGCAGGGCACCACCUUUGUGCUCCAAAAGAAAACUGAACCUAGACAAAGAUUGCUGUCAGCAAUUGGGACAGGAACCGGAGUUCUAGAGGUAAAAUUACAAUCGUCUUUCUAGACCGUCAGAGGACGUGCUUUGUUAGCUAAUAUAGCUCCACGUUGCUAAUUACAGAGCUAUAACCUUUGCAGGCAAUCAAUGAAUUUAUAAAGUUAAAUCAGAAUGUUGCUAAAGAUGAAAUGGAACUCAUCGAUGGAGAGUGGCAGAUGAUAUGGAGUUCACAGGUGAUUGUGUGAUGAUGAUUGCACAUAUUUAUUUAUUUAAUAAAACAAACUUGAAUUGCCUAUAAAAUUAUUCUUAAAACUUCAUCUAAUAACUUAAGUUUUUAGAUUAUAAUGAUUUUCUGACAUGAUAUCAAAGCUUAAAUGAUCAAAAUCUCACCACCGCAUUCUAUUUAAUUAAAUUAUAAAAAUUAAGUACAAAGUAGCAGUGAGUCGUGCAAAUUUAAGUUCAAGAAAUUUUACUUGAAAAAGCGUACCGAAAAAUAAUAUAAAAAUAUUUUUGAAACCUCAACUAAUAACUUAAGUUUUUAAAUUGAGAUUGUUUUUUGAUAUAGACAUCAUCUCCAUGAAUAAUGUUUCUAGAAGGUAGUAAAAGGAUCGUUGAAUCAUUCAAAUUCAAGCGACUUUCUUCUGCGACUUUCUUCUUAUAACGCAUUCAGAUAUUAAAUUUAAAUUUUUUACUUGUCACUGAUUCUUAAUUAGCUCUUAAUAUGAUUUUUUUGUCAGUUCUACUUUACCUAGACCCAAAUAGCAAUUUUUAUGAUGCAGAUGGAGACAGAUAGUUGGAUAGAGAAUGCUGGCAGAGGUCUAAUGGGAAAGCAGGUAAGCACAAAGGAUGCCAAUAAUCUUCUUCAUGUUAAAUCUUUCUGCAUACUCGAAUCUUCUUUACAAAUCACAUCCUAACCCCCUCACCCUCUACUCCUGCCGUUUCAGAUUGUCACAAAGAACGGACAGUUAAAGUUCGUCGUCGACAUCUUGCUCGGUGUCAGGUUCUCCAUGACAGGAACAUUUGUGUAAGUCUCUCAGCACUUUGUGGGGAUCUACAGAGAAGAAAUGCAAGUAAAACUGAUAUGGCACAAACUAUUGGCAGGAAAUCAAGUCUCAAUACAUAUGAUGUUAAAAUGGAUGAUGCAGCCAUCAUUGGUGGCAUGUUUGGACUCCCUGUGGAGAUGGAAACCAAGAUUAACCUAGAGUUGCUGUAAGAUUUCUGGUCUUAGAUACUAUCAAAUUGCAUGAUCCCAUGAUGGUUUUCUCCGCCGACCAUUAACAAGAGACGGUAUACAUGUUGUUGCAGAUAUAGUGAUGAUAAAAUCAGAAUCAGUCGAGGGUACAAAAACAUUGUGUUUGUGCAUGCACGAACAGAUGGAACAAGGCAGAAUUAAGCCAAUUGGUGGAUCAACCAAGGAGAAUUUGCAUCUUGUUUCUGUCAGUUUUCUUGAUGCAUCUUUGACAGAAUAUUAUAAAGAGGAAAUUGUGAGUGUUCUUAUUCAAUUUGUAUUGCAUAUAUAUAUAUAGCAUACAGAACAUUGGUUUUCCUUUGAUUUUCCCUUCCCUCUUUUUUUCCUUGUGUAGAAAAUUGAACUAAUAACAGUAUACCUGCUUGUCAGCUAAAUGGAGAUAAAAUCUGAUAGAUUUUUAUGAAAUUCAGGGUAAAUAUUAAUACUUGAUGAAUCCGUUUUGAAGAGAUAAACGGAUAUAAAAAGUAAAAAAAAAAAAAAUCCAUAAUGAUAAGAAUAUUUUCACGUUGAACAAGUAUUAUUUUCAAGGAGUUGUUUGGUAUUAUUUUUAUUUUUGGAAACAAAAACAUAAAAAUGGUUUGUUAUUGUUUUUUUUUAAUGAAAAAAAUAAAACCAACUAUUAUCAGAAGUUUUUGAAACACUUUAUUUUUUGAGAAUUUUUAAAAAUAGUUGGUUUCUAUAUUUUUGAAAGAAAAAAAUAUCUUUUAUUUUAAGAUUUUUGAGAACAAAAACGGAAAACAUUAAUAAAACCUACAACCCCAAACAAAACGAUAAUAAUUUUGGGAGACAGUGACUCUACGUCAAUGGUCCGCAUCUGUGCGUUGAGGUAAUAGCCCAUGAAAGUUGGCCAAUCAAACCCAUAUUUAAGCCUAGCCUUUUGGUUUGCUUUAAAACCAUAGGCAAUAUUUGGGCCCUAAAACCUUCCAUACGUAAAGCCUUCCAUACACAAGCUUCCAUGUUAAUUUUGUGAUUGAAUUAGAAAAAAAAAAAAAGAUUUGAAUAUAUAAUUUAAAAACUAUCUCAACCUGUAGAAAAUUUAAACUAGUGAGGUGUAUUUAUAUUAUUAACUAAUUUUAAUUAAAAAAUAAAAUAAAGAUGAUAAAUUUAAAUGGAUAAAUAAAGUGUUUUAUUCUCUUAUAAACCUUCAUUUAUAACAAAAAGAAAAUCUACCUUCCUCUAUAGAAUCCCACUAUCAACAAUAAUUAGCCAUGCUAAAAUUAUAUAUAUCAACAAGUUCUAUAUAUAUAUAUAUAUAUAUAUAUAUAUAUAUAUAUAUAUAUUCUAGAAAGAAAGGCCACCAACUAACAAGUAAUUGCAGCAUGCAGCAGCCGCUAUGAUGUCAGGUCUCCGAGGGAAGAGCUAUCGGAUAUAAAUAUGGUGCAAAAGGAAGGAAUAAAUCGCAUGCAUGUGAAAGGGUCUAUUUAUCAAUACAUAAUCAAAUCCAUCCAAAUCAAUUACUUUUAUAAUAAUAAUAAUAAUUUAUUUUUAAAUAUUAACUCAAUUACAUUUAAUCAAGUCAAUUAAAAGUUUUAUCAAAGUUAAUAUCUUAUUCAAUUCAAUUAAGAGUUUAAAUCAACCAAAUUUUAAAUCCUGAAUCAGUGGAGUCAACCUAACGGAAGUUGGAUUUAACAAGGGAAAAAACAAAUAGAAAAGGAGGGCAAAGACGCUCUUAGAACCUGUUUGACAACACGGCUAGCUGCCCAUUUGUUUUUUAAAAAAAUAUAUAUUAAAAAACAACAAUGCAUAACCAACAUCAAUACAAUUCUUCCUUGUAAAAUCAGCCUCCUGGCUGAAACCCUUAACCGGUAUAGGUUAAAAAAAAACUGAAAAAAACUUAUUAAUUAUUUUUUUGAUAAAAUUUUUAAUCAAAACAAUAUCCUUUAAUUUUUUUUAUUUUUAAUUUUUUUGAAGAGAUCAACUUGGAUUAAACCCUCCUGAUCCAUUACAUAAAAGAAUUGCAUGCGUGACACGUUACCUUAUCCUUUGUAUGUUUCACAAGCGUGGAGGGCACGGUCACCAUCACCAGCAUCACUCCAAGUAAAAAAUAUAGAGAUUGAGAUAAGAUUUAGUGAGCAUUUAGCGGGGAAACAUGAUCUAUAAUAAUUACUUACCACACCAUGCUCUUGGAAGGUAAUUUAAUGCAAGUUAAAUUCAUAUCGAUUUAAAUGAUAUAGAAUUUAGUAUGAUAUUUUAGUCUAAGAUUUUCCUUGAUCAAUUCAACCAGGAUUAUUAAAUCCAAUACCCAUAACUUAGACAAUGUUUUUUUUAUCAAAAAUCAAAUUAAAUUUUGAUAGAAUCACAAUUCACAAGUCAAUUUUAGAUCAACUUUUUAAAAAACCUAACCCGGGCCCAACUAAAAAAGAGUAUAACUACUAACCCAACAAGGUAUCUUGGGGGCAAAAAAAUAUAAAGUGUAUUUAGCAUCCUUUCUUCUCGUGAGCUUUUUCUUUGUCAAGUAAUAUCAAGCAACCUAGUCUUUUUUACAUUAUUUCAGGCCCAAAGAUCAUGACUUGUUUGCCAACCAAACUAAGGUAACGCGGUCUACACAGAAAGGAUAUAGCCAUCAAUUGAAGUAAAGCCACCUCUGUGACCACACGAAGAGUGCAUUUGCUCUUUAGACAAAAUUUAAAGGAAAAAUCUUAGUCUUCUCAUGCAGCUGUGAUGUCUGAAAUAUUCUUAUGGAAAUAAUUAAAAGUAUACUCUACUAUAGGACCCCUUGUAUCCAAAGGAAAAAAAACAAAUCAUGAAAGGUUGCUUCGUGGAUUAGCCACGCAUCUUGGAAGCUGGGUUUUCAAGGUUCAAGCACACAGGAAACAAGGAUUUGGCCUUUCCUUGAUUUCAAAGAUUAAGCAAGAAACCUACGGUUCUACACCGUAAAUGAAUGAUGCCCCCACAAAAACUGUAAAUGUUAAUUACCUAUCACUCGAUUCAUGACUAGAUUAUAGACACAUAAGCUAGCAUAACAUGAACAUGAAUUCUGUCAAGAUUCGACAAAUAACAUUGUAUUAACAAUGAACCUGAUACGGCAGACAAACAGUUGCUGCCAUCUUCAUGUCGGGUAAAGGAAUGCAGGAACACAGCUUAAGGCAGACGGUGAGAGACCAAAAGUGUCGAGCUCUUUAUAAACCUGGCAUAAAAGGGAUCCUCAGUACCUGACACAGAAGGAAAGAUUUUAAAAUCAAGUGAUGGAACAAAAACCAAUUGAAUGCCACAACGAUUAUAAGAACUAAUAUUGCUAGUCAAGACCUAUUGCAGGCUCAUUAGUGUAGCAGACUCAUCAUCAAGUCUCCAAAUUUCUGCAUCAUCCACCAGGACAGUCACUCGUGUGGAAGCAACAUAGCCUGCUGCUUAAAACACACCCCUAUAAUAGGCAACAAAAAAAAAAUCUUAAAGCUACGUCUCUGGGAAACAUAAGCAUCACAUUUGCCGGGUAACAUGUGAAUCUCAGGAGCUACAAUUGCUCAAACAUUGGACACCGAUUUUUAUGAUCAAUUGAACUAUCAAAAGUAUGCGAGUUCUCAAAAAGAAUUUUAAGUCACUAUCUGUCUGCAAUUACAAGUCAAGCUGCAUUAACUUCAUAUGAGGAGACACUAAAUGUUUUCAUGCAAGAUAUUGCACUUUAGCUCUCUCUGAACAAUCCAGUAACGGAUAUACCAAGGGACAGGGAAAUUGUUGAGGCCAUUUAUUUUCCAAUUUUAGCCACUGAAUGUAACUCCACCCUCUUUGACUACAAACAACAAUAAGCAAUAACAGUUAUUGGCAUCAAAGUACAAGUUUAGCACUAAUAAGCAAAGUUCGAAGAGCAACACCCAACCAAAUCUCCCAGCAUUCUCAAAUUGGAAACUGUAAUCAGAGUCUCAGAUGGGAAAGUUUUAUUAGAAUCUCCAACAGCUGGUUUUCUACUUCUAAUCAUAUCUGGAAUCAGAAAGUAAUAAACCUACCAUCCACUAUCACUCAAUCAUGUGUAACUUUUUAUGGCUACAUGUCAUAACAACCUGGGAUUUCAGAGGGAGAAGUUCUUCAGGCUCAAAAGUUUCAGAUCUCCUGAGAAAACCAAAGAACCAAUAAAAAAAAAAGGCCAUUUAGUAAUUAAGUACAGAAACAUGAACAAAAUGGUAACAAUUAUAAAGGUACAUGUGCACAGAUCAGAACAGCAGGCCUCCCUUCCCUGCAAUCAAGAAUUGAAAUAAUACUAGAAAAGUAAUCACAAAUAUAGUAAGGAUAAUUUGGAUAAAACAUUCAGAAAGGCAUUCCAUGGAAAGGAAAAAAAAAACAAAAGCAAACGCGGUAGAAAUGUUUAUGGAAUUAGACAAAUGAAAAGCCAGUACAUCAUGGUUAGAGAUUUACGCCACAUGUUACAGGUUACAUCCAGCUCAAAAGCCAUAAAAUGCAACAUACAGAUUUAUGCUUUUAACAGAACUAACAUUCACACUAGCCCCCCAUUACCUGAACCCUUCCACCCAAAUUCCACCCGCGGUAGCCUAAAAAGGAUAACAAGAUACAACCUACUUCCUAGGUUUUGUAAUCUGAACAAGGGAAAAUUGGGGAAUCAAAACAAAUCCUCCCUUAUUUCCUCCUUUCAGACCAACAAAACAUAAAAGAGAAAAAAAAAAUUAAACUAAAUCUACAAAGAUCACAUUUAUCCUUUGUGCAAAGACAUGAACAUGAUAUUCCAUCUAUUCAGAGAAGAGACUCACAUUAACGCGGGACAAAAGAUUAGUCACCACCGCCAAUGCUCAUCUCUAAGGACACUUGAUUAUCAUUAGAAGUGUCCUCCUUUGAAACCAUUUUGUCUUGCACAACCCUGUUGUCAGCAGUAUCACCUUUAGACAGGCUCCUCCACCUUUGAAACCAGACGGUCUGGUAAAAGUUAGCUUCCCCUCUUCAUCAUUUGCUUCAUCAACCUUCACUGUUUCUGCAUCAGUAGCUACAAAAUCGUCUCCUUUUUCUACAUCAUUAACAAAUCCACUACCUGCCUUCUCAUCCUUAACCUCAUGCUUCAUGAUAACUUGAUCAUCAGUGCAUUUUCUUCCAUACAAACAUCAUCACUCCCCUUCCUCCUUAUCAACAUUACUAACAUUCCUCCCUACUCUCUCCAUUUCCACCCACUCCAUCACGUCCUCGUUACCGUCGUUAGCUACAGUAUUCACACCAAUAUCAGAUCCUCCAUCACUCUCAUUCUCAGAAACAUUCUCCACAACCUCCUCAUUAACAUCUUCCAAAACCAUAGCACUACUGCUACUCUGACCAUGCUGCUGAUGCCUCUCCAAAAACUGCAACCUCAUCCUCAAAUCCCCUAACUCACUCUCCAUCAAAAACAACCUCUCUUUCAAAGUCAAAUUCUCCUCUUCCAAUUGCGCUAUAUGCGUGUCCUGAUCAUCAACCCUAUUCUCCAAAACAUUAUUAUUAUUAUUAUAACUAUACUCCCCUCCAACACCACCACCACUCGGAUAAAUCAUCUCAAACCUACUCAAAUCAUGAUCCAAUCUCCUUUCCACUUCCACGUGCUCUUCCACAUCACUCUCCUCAUCAUCCUCAUCAUCCUCACUCGCUUCAUUUCCAGGGGAUCUCAACCUAAUCAACCCCUUCAUCGAUCCAUACCCAUCAACACCCCACUCCUCUUUCGCCAUAUCACCUAACACCUCCCUCGAAGGCGAAAACAUCGGAGUUGGCAACAUUGCCGGAGUCACCGGACACGGAGAAACCAACGAAGCAAUCCCACCAGAUUUUUUCGCCCGGAUAAUAAACGACGUCGUAUUCCUCGGCGCAUAAGGCGCGAACCGAUUAUUAAAUUUCUUCUUUGGAUGAUAAUAUUUCCGCGCUUUCAUUCUGUUUUGUGUUUGCAAUUCAUUCAAACUCGGUGGCUUAUACCCUCCGCCACCGCCGCCACUAACACCACAAGAUAAACCAGGGUUAUUAUUGGAAUUUUCCAUUCUUUUGUUGUUGUUGGCAUUUUUACCCUUCCAGUUGCUGCUGCUGUUGUUGCUGCUUCUAGGCUUUGAAGGAACAAAAUUAUUAUUAAACUUCGACGGAUUUUGAAACUUCUUGAAAGGUCUCUGGUUCAUCAUCAUCAUCAUCAACGGCUGUGGUUGAUUCAUGGCUUGACUGUGACUCAACAUCUGUAAUUGAAGAUGAAUCGGCGGUGGCUGACCCAUCAAUUGCGGUGGCUGCUGAUUCAUGAUUGACGGUGAUGGCUGAUCGUUCAUUAUUCAAACCCUAAGACAAAAAAAAAAAAAAAGAGGCUCGGUUUUGACGUACAAAAAUCUAAAUUAGCAAAUUAGAUUUGCAAGUAAGAUCAAUUCCCGUCUACUAAGAAGAAGAGGAUGAGAAAUUAAAGAUCAGAUCGAAAAACCCUAAAAAGAACAGAUAUUUUUCGACUUUUUAAAACUUCUUUAAUUUGUUCUGAAUUUUAGAGAUCUAGAGAAUUCCUGGUUAAUUUUUUUUUAGGGCUGUGUUAUUGUGUUAGCGGUGGGGUAUAAAGGGGCUGUUUAUAUAAGGGAUAAAGGAGAUUUAUGGCGGUUGGAUUUGGGGGUUUUUUAAUGGACGGUGGAGAUGAAAGGACGUGUCGGUUUGAAAGGGUUAUGAUUUGACUGCUUGAAGGCGAUAAGUAGGGAAAUGGCAAACUAGUCUUUAUUUUCUAUGGGCUUAGGGUUUGGUUUAUGAGAUAUUGAAUAUUUUAGGUUGGAGAAUGAAGGGACUUUGCAACUUGGUCCUUUAGAGUUUUUGUAUUUAAUAACAAUUGUAGAAGUACUUCUAUGUUCUUUUUUGAAAGAAUUUUGGGUUUUGGAUAAUCAUCUAAAACAAUCCCUUUCAAAUUAGUAUUUUCAAUAAUAUUAAUUUGAAUAAAUAGCAUUACUCGAACAUUUUGAGCUACUCACUGGUACAGUUUUUUUUUAUUUAAUAGCAAAUUGUAUUCUUGAUUUAGUUUUUAUUAGAUAAUUAUUUACAUUAUGUAUGUUUCCGAGUGAAAUGAAAAAAUUUCAAUGUAAAUAUAAUAUCUAGAAUGAAAUCUAUUUUAAAAUAUUAAAAUCAUAACAUAUUAUAUCGACUUGGAUCAACUUAGAUUAACAUGUCAAAUUUAUUAUCCAAAUCAUGAGACUAUGAUAAUUUUAUUGAAAGCAAAUUAAAAAAAUAUUAAACUCAAUUCUCAAUCAAUCCAAUGUAAUGUUGAAGGAUGAAAUUUAAAAUAAAAUUCAACUAAAAAAAUGAGGCAAAUCAACUCGGUUAAUCUAUGAAAUAUGGAUCAUAAAACUGGAAUAACCUUAUAGAAAUAAAUCAAAACAAAUUAUAAAACUCAAUUCCUAAUCAACUCAAUAUUGAAUGGUGAAAUUAAAAAAAACAAAAAAAAAAAAACCACCUGAAUCAACCAACCAAACUUGUGACUCGGGUUAUGAGACUAGAUCGAUUGCAAACCAAAACAAAUUAUGAAGCCUAAUUUCCAAUCAACUCAAUAUUGAAUAAUGAACUUCAAUAAAAUUCAACUAAAAAAACAAUAAAAAUCCAAGUCAAUUGGCCUAACCUAUGACUUGGGCCAUAAAACCGUGAUAACCACUUAAAAAGCAAAUAAAAAAAUUUAUAAACUUCAAUUCUCAUUCAACUUUAAUUUUCAAGGAUUACAUUGAAAAAAAAUAAAAAAUGUUUGGCGUAAACUUGAGUUAAUUUACCAAACUCAUGACAGAAGACUGUGAUAACUACAUAGAAAGCAAUUCGAAAAAAAUUAUAAAGUCUGAUUCUCAAUCAAUCCAAUAUUGAAGAAUAAAAUUUUUAAAAAAUAGACAAAGAAAACGACCCGAGUCAACACGACUAUAACCCGCAAAAUUCACGACUCGAGUUAUGAGACUGGAAUAACUUAAUAGAAAAGAAGUCAAAACAAAUUAUGAAGCUCUAUACCCUAUAAAUCCAAUAUUGAAAGAUAAAAUUGAAUAAAAAAAGACCUAAAAAAUUUAAGAACCAAAAUAAAAAAGAACUUGGCUUUUCAUUGUGUAUUACUAUGUUGCUAUGGUGAAAAGCUAAGCACUUUUAAUAUAUGUUAAUAUAUUAAAAUUAAUUCCGUCUUAUUGUGUUUAAAUAAAUUGUUUAUGUAUUAAUUUAAGGAAUAAUUAUGUGUGAAGUAUAGAAGAGUGCAUCUUAUUAAGCAAGUUAACCCUUUUGAAUAUUAGAUUUAAAGUUAGUUCAUAGAUACCAAUUAUUUAAACUUAUCAUGUAAAAUUCUUGGAAGAAGGGAAUACAAAGAGGGAAAGAAUGGAAUGAGUGAAAAUUAAGAGAGAGAAAAGUAACAUACUUUGAUGAUGGUGAUACUUAGAGGUGGCUUGGGUGGUAAGCAAGGAGGAAAAUGACAUGCAUGGGACAUAUAUUUAGUUAAUGUUUUAGAAUAAAGAUAAUAUUAUAAAUACGGUGAAGAUAUAAAAAUAAAUAUUUAUAAGAUAAUUUGAUUUAAUUUUUUAUGUUUUCAGAAUAAAAAAUAUAAAUAUAUAUAUUUUUUAAUUGUAAAACAGUAAUCAAAUGUUAACGAAGAAUAUCAUGCGCUAAUUAAAGGGAAUAAGUAUUUCUCACUUCUAUUCUUGUUCCCAGCUUGCAAUGAGGAAGAUCGUGUGAUGAUUUUUUUAGGCUUUUCAAUAAACCUUAUGAUAUACCUGUCGGUCUAAAGAUUAAACCCCAGAUUUUCUUUUUUUCUUUUUUUGCUAAAUAUUCCCCGUAUAUAUUCUAGCCAAAGAUAAUCGACUAACCUUAAACGGCAUCUUGCCUAAUCUCUGCAACAAGCAACGGUAUUUUAUGAUAAACACCUAAUCUUCAUUCCAGUUUGUUAUAGAUAGGAGUGAGUAAAAAAACUGAUUAAAUUAAAAAAAUUAAAAAAAAUAAUUGAAAAAACCAAACAGUGAAAAAAAACCGAUUAAAAUUUUGAAAAAACCGACCAGUUCGGUUUCAGUUUUAUAAGCUUAAAACCGAAAAAACCGAAUCGAAUCCAAAUCGAAAAAAACCGAGCCAAACCGGUCUGAACCGGUUUUGUCCUAAAAAACCGAACCGAAAUUGGUCGAUUUGAACCGGUUUCGUUUUUUUUAAAUAAAAUAUUCGGUUUGGUUAUUUUUUUUUUAUAAAAACCGAACCGAACCGAAAUGAUCACCCCUGAUUAUAGCACUCAAAAGAUUUUUAUUCUUUUUUGGUAAAAUUAACAAAAUGAAAAGGAUUUUUAUAUAUAUAAUUAUUUUUAUAAAGAAUUGUAAUUUUCGUUGAUGAUACACAACAGCAUCAUACACACAUAAGCUUAGCGCCAUCAUAAAUCAAUUUUUUUUUUUUUUUUUAUCAAAGAUCGUCUUUCAAUAAAUACAUGCCACGACCCUGUAAAGAAACAUCAGAACCUUCUUACACUGACAAAAUAUUCUAAUAAAGUAGGAGUUUAAUGUACAGAUCAAAUCUAGAUUUAAAAUCUAGAUAUGAAUUGCUAAUAUUCUAAGAAACAAAGGAAGGAAAUAAAAUGGAGAACCAGGGAGAUGAUGGGCUGCCAUUGGUGAUUUUUUUUUAAGAGAACUAACAGGGAGGAAAGAGAGAGAACUUGACUACGGCAUAUAUACGAGUAUACCAUACGAAAGAAAUACUACGAGACUGAGUAACAUAUAAAAUGCUCUUGCUAGUUGAAAACGAUGCUUUAGAUCCGUGUGAUAAAGUGUCCAUUUAACGAACUCUUGGGCACAAAAGAUUCAAGUGUGAAGUGAACUCAUCAAUGAAAAGGGCUCUUUGUGCUUCAGUAGGUAGAGAGAUGUGGUGGAAUCCAUUGCACUGCAUGCGUUUGUGGUUGCUGAUGAGCGAGCUUCUAAGAAACCACAGAAAGGAGGAAACAAGAACACCAGCAUCUCGUAAAGGGAGGAGCCAUUGAUUCUCUUCUUUUUCUCGCUUAUUUUCUGUUUUGACCCUUUCUAUCGUAGUUGUUAAAAUUGAUUAAUUCUCGGGAGUUUGGUCUACGAGAUUUAUGACUUUCAAACUUAAUUUGGAAUGAGUUUUGAAUUGAAUUGAAAAGUAAGAAAUUGACCUGACCAUCUUGCUCUAUUCCUAGCCAAGAAAAUUCCAAGAAUUUCUCAAGGAAAAGCAGGUGGUGCAUGAAAAAUCUUGUUGAAGAAGUUCAAUCAAUUCCCACACAAUUUACCACAUAGAAUUAUAAUUGUUCAACCUAUGAGUGAAAGCGAAAUUCUAGAAAAAAGAAAAUGGGCUAGAUUUUACAAAAAAGCAGGCGGUGCAUAUAGUGGCCAUCAAUCCAAUCCCAUCUGGUGGAGUAAGAAUCACAGAAAUGGGAUAGUAUUUAGUAUCUAAUCAACCCUCAAACCUUAAUAUUCUUUUUCUGUCAAUGUCACUCACGUGAACAUCUUCAGGUCACACCACGAGACUAUGCAUGAUAAGAUAGAAGAACAACGGUUUAUAAAAGAAUGGGAAUCUCCAACCAGUUCUUCAAAAUGGCCAUGCAUAAUCCUAAGAGAUGGGUGCCUAUGGCUGUCUUUAGCACAUGGCGGUCCAACAUCAGUUGCCACUCGGCCCUAGAAACGAGCCUCUUCCAAGCUCUCUAUGGUCAUGCCCCUCCCUAAAGAGAGAUGGUUCAUCCAGAGUCAAUAUUAGUAGCUGAUGUGGAAGAGCUGGUGCGAAGGAGAGUCAAUAUGAAUGAAGCAACUGGCUAGCAAGAACAGGACAAAAAGAGAGAGAGAGUUCUCAUACAGUGAUCAGGUAUUCUUGAAGCUAAAGCCAUACAAGAAAGGUCGUGUGGCCUUGAGGAAGAAUUUUAAACUCAAUCCUGGGUAUUAUAUAGACCAUAUCAAAUUAGCAGGAAGAAGAUUGGGGCAGUAGCUAAUCUACUGAAAUUGCCUGAGAGAAGCUGUGGUGUCCUCUAGAUUACCGGUAAUAAAUGGAGGAAGGAUGGAAGUUCUUCCUGUCACAGUGCUGGAUAGGAAACUGAUGAAGAAAAGGAACAGAGUAGCAACAGCUGGCUUGAUUCAGUGGGGUCCAACUUAGAGCAUUCUUGUCAUUCAAGAGGGGAGCACUGUUACAACCUUCAGGGGAAGAACAAAAGCUAAGCUGGAAAUACACAUAACACAUUAAUAGUGGGAUGGUUAAUUGACAGUUAGAGGCUGUUAAUGACAGUAACUGUCAGUACAUGAAUAAGUGAGGGAGAGUUAGUUAAAUGAAGGUCUGGUGAUGUAUAUAAGCCCAUAUAGAGAUUACGUGAGAUACAAGAAAUAACAGGGGAAUUCUUUUUCUAUCUUCUCUUCCUUUUCCUUUCUUCUUCUAUUUCCUGAAUCUUGUUAAGGUUAGGCUUAACAUUCACCAAGCGACCCACAAGUUAACACAAACCCUUAUUUAGAUGCAUCCCGAAAUCAAACCAUGCUCCAAUAUUGUGCUAUUUGAUAAAAACAAAAAUGCAAAGACAAAAACAAAGUGAACUACUUGCUUGUGUACUUACUAAGUAGAAGAAUGUGCCAAUUUGAACUUAAAUGUAAACAUAUAAUAAUAAUAAUAAAGGGUAAUCAGCAGCAAUUUACCACUGCUAAGAUGGAAUUAACAAUCAAUAGGGUUUUUCAGAUUAGCCACUAAAGCACAAAAUUUACGUGUUAAAUCGGUUGAAAAUUUUAGCUGAAUAUGUAUACACAUAACUAACCACAAACUGCGCAAUGUUUGUAACCACAGAAUCUAAUAUACAAUAUAACAACAAAUGCUACAUUGCUAUUCACGUAGCUAAAAUGUAACCUAACUGGUUUGCUGCUAUCACAGAGAUAUAAUAAGAUCAAACCGAUACAAUUCGAAAAACAAAACUCUCCUUUAGGAUCAAACCUGUUCAUCAUAUCCCAAUAUUGGGGUUGUUACCAGCAAGAAUGAGAGAAAUUUCCAGUCCUCGGCUGAAGGCUUGGUUGAACAUGAGCCGGGUUUGGAAGGUUGAAACGAAUGGAAACCAAGACAAGAAUGCUAUUGGGAUGAAGAUCAGCAUCCCCAUCCCAGCAUCGUAUAGGCGGGCAAUUGAACGGAUGGAUUUCCAUAAUCCCAUCCGUUUCACUACAGGUUUCCAAGCAGAUGCAAUCUGAAAAAAAGAGAAUGAAAUUAUAAUCUUAAACCAUGAGAGAAACGGGGAAGAAUUGUGUAAAAGAUAUAUAUAAUAAACAUUGUUCACAAACAAUCAGGUUAAAGACAAACUACUUGUCCAUGUUCUCCGCUCCCUCUUCCUUCUCUCCCCUCUUCCUUCUCUCUCAAGUUCGUACCGUAUUGAAUUAAUUCAGGAUGUCUAUUACGAUGUUUGAUGCGGCACUCAAAAGCCCUUACAUUCUUUUGUGUUUGAUAGCAUGGAAUUGUUUUUCUAGAUAUGAACAACAUGCGUAACUCAUCUUACUGCAAGCAGUUUCAUUGUUCUAGCAUGACCGCUCGGUGCUUAUUCACUCUCACUUUUGUGCAAUGGCUUCUUGAGGACAUUGUUUUUUUCAUUUUGUGCCCCACCCCCCUGAUAAUUCUUACCAUGACAAUUCAUGAGGAAAUAAAAGUUGACUAAAUAGCCUACAUGUAUCUGAUAAGAUGUUUUUCCUUCCAAAGUUUUCGAUUUUCACAGAUUUACACAAGAAAUAACCUGUCCUUGAUGUUAAACUCGCAUAUAUCAAGAUUACAGCACAGCAACAGCAACAACAAAAGAGUAGUUCAGAAUUUCAUCACUGAAGAACAUAUGGAAAUUUUUCUACUUGUGCUUUAAGGAAAGAAGAUGAGUAAAGAUAAAGAAUUAAAAGAAGAAUGAAAAAGGUGAUUCAGAAAACUCACAGAUAAAAUUCCCCAUAUAGUGGGAAUAAAUGCUAAGAUGCUCGCAAAUAUGUCACUCACUGACAAUUCUGUAAGCGCAACUGCAAUAACUAUACCAGCCAAAGCUAACAUGAAGGAGACACCUUGUACAAAGCGCAACAAAAGUUGGAAAUUGACAGAGACCUUCUGACUGAAAGUGAACACCUGUAAUCAAAAGGUAAAGAUGAAUUGAAUUACAAACAACAUGACAAGCAAGUCUCAUAAUUAAAAGUACAUAAUUUGUGGCUGUGCAGCAAUACUGCUCACCUUGAAAAGAAUUAUAAGGACAGCUAGCACAAUCCAUGAGAAGCCAUACACCUAAGAUACAUCAAAAAGUGAUUUCCCAAGAAUAAGCAAUGCAUGUUAGAUCAAUGAAUCUUAUUUCAUUUGGAGGACGAAACAUAGGAGGGGUAAAACUGCAUUAAGAGGCAAAAUAGCCAUUUCAGAAGCCAAAGCACGUCCUGCAUAAAGAGACAUUUUAAGAGAUGUAUUACCGAUAAUGAUGUAUCACUUCCUUGUAUAUGAAGCUUGUAUACAACACCAUACUGGAAGAUAAAGAAUCUUAGACUCAAAAGAGUCUCCAUUAUCCUCCCACUCAAAGUCCGAAUAUGUGCCUGUAAGAUAUUUUGAGGUCAUUAACGUGAAACAAGGUGAAAUGCAAAAAAAUAGAUAAAAAGUGAAACAUACAAGACUUGCAUGGUUAAAGAAGAUUUAAGUCACUUCAAGUAGUUCGGUAAAAGCUUGCUAAGUUGACCAAAUUGCCCAACAUCAAAUGGACCAUGUGUUCUGUACAAUUGCUUUACUAUUUUGACAAAAAAAUAUAUGGAAUUAAUUCUGGAAUCUGGAUUAACAUGAAACAGCAUUAAGAGCAUUUUCACGAUACUUUGAUUAGAGCAUAAAACAAUACUGCUCAGUGUAGUCAAAGGCUAGACCCAGGUCUUAGAUGAGAAGCUUUACCAGCGUGUUCCCAAUCAAUUACGAGAGUAGCUUUACCAAUGUGUUUGCAAUCUUAAAGAAAAGGAGCUUGUUUCUUUAUUGCUCAGUUAGUUUUUGCUAAAAAUAUUCAUUUAACGGAUAUCUGAACAUUGCAAUAGCAACCAAAAGUUACAAUCAAGAUUAGGCAUUUUUGUUGCAGCUUUCCUUAGUUUUGCUAAUUCUCCAUAUAGUAUAUAUCCCAGUUUUCUCCUCUCAGAAUCUUGUAGGGCUGAAGCUUCUCUUAUCCCCCCUUCUCUCCCUACUAUGCAUCCCAGUAUUCUAUCUUUGCACAGCCUAACAAAUAGACAAUAUUAUAGAAACAAUUAUACAUAGCUGGAAUCAAAUGGAUACUUGAUGCUGCCCCUUAUUUUCAUUUAUAGGGUAUGCCAAUGAACAUCUGAUAAUGGCCGAUGGUACCACUGAACCAAGGAGAGUCACUGUUUGAUGCAUGCAUAGUAGUGGAGAUUCUUUAGGGGAAUUGGAGUGGAAUUUCCCCUAUGCAUUUAUUGAAAACAUGAAAAAGGGAAAAACAAAGACAUGUACAAGAACAAAAGUAAUACCAAUUCUUCAUCCCACCAAGCCUCCCAACUUUCUUGUCCCUUAACCCCAAUUCCACCUCUGUAAAAAAGCCAAUUUGUCCAAUCACUGAAGUCCUCCACUGUCCUAAAAGUACAGCAUUAAGGGUUACUCAACAAGGUGGCCAAAAAAAACCCAUAAAUAAACAUAAGAAACAGUGCUUACUUUUGCCACUCAAAUCCAGAUGGAUUGAACAAAUAGGGAGCAAAAAGCCAAGAUAGAGCCAUAAACCAACUGCUGACUGUAAGAAGAAUGUAAGAUAAUGCACCACCAUCAUUAUACCCGUAUGCAAGGUACACGACCAGCAAAAGCACAACUUCUAGUCUGAAGAUAAGAGGACAAUCAAACGAUUAUUGCAGCUCAAGCACACGCGCGCCCAGAGAGAGAGAGAGAGAGAGAGAUACCCUUUGACAAAAUGGCUGCGGGAGUAAAGCCUGUAGUUUUCAGAAAAUCUAAUAUGGCGGACCACAAAUCCACGACCAGUGGCUUGAUACUAGUAGGAAAAAGAAUAUUAUUGUAACACAUUCCACAGCACUAAAAACAAAUAAUAAAUAUUCAACAAAGAAAAUGAUUGAACAUACCCUUGCACCGCCAUGAAGAAUGGUCCUACCAAAAUAAUGUGAUUUUGUGCCUAAUGAAAAUGUGAAGAAGACAGAGCAGAGCUGAAGCUGCAUUGUGAUGAAAUUGACAACAGCCUGCAACAUUAAUCAGAAGAUUACCACCACAACAAUUUUUCAGCUCAGCAACAAAUUAAAGAACAUGAAGCUAAGCAGAAGUUCAUGUACUUAAAACUGUGAACCGUGAGCACAUGAGUCAAGUAAGCUAAGCAAUGAAUUACAGUAGUCUCAGAUGACAGGAUAGCAUAAGCAGAAGUUCAAAUGUAAAUAUGUAUGCUUGUAGAUGAGUGAAAUAAUGCAACACAAAAAAAAUGCAAAAUCUUAGUUCUCUUCUCUUCAUAAUUCCAAGUUUACUGGGUCCAGUUGCUUAAACAAUGCUUGCGAGGGAGGAACACUAACCUACAUAAAAAUAAUUUUACAAGCUUAGGAUGUAAUAUAUCACAUGCAGAUGUUUGGCAUAUGCGACACCAAGAAGCUCAGAAAAAUUUAACAUAGAAUAAAAAUGUAACAGCAUAAAAUGUAAGGAUGGUGUAGGUGAAAAAAAAUGUAAAUGAAAAUAAAAUAUAAAGAGAUAAACUUUCUUGCAUCUUGCUCAACCCUUAGUUAGUUCAUGUAAUUAGCAUUCACAGCUUAUGAAACAUAUAGUAAGAAUGAUAUUUACCCUCAAGAAUCCCAGCUCUAAGAUGAAGCCCAAAACCAUUGGCACAGCAGUAAAAAUACCAAUUUGAAAGAGAAAUUGAGUGUUCAGAGCAGCACUCAGGGCAUUGUUCUUCGUUAUCAGUGCUCUAAUUUCAACUUCUUCACCUACUCCGGAUAGUGCCUAAAACAAAAUCGCAUCAGUGUCAAGAAAAAUAAAUUGGGAACAAGAGCUAGUAUAUUUGUGCAAACAGCAGGUGCUGAGUUGAAACAAAACUGUGAACUAUAUUUAUAUAGUCUUAUAAAAUCAGAUAUAUAGAUUAUUCUACUAAAAAAUAAAACAUAUAUGGAUUAUUUCUUAAAACAUUUUACAUCAGAUGAAUGCCUUAAAACCUAUGGGAUUGUAUUUAUGAAACAUGUUAGACAUUGUUUUUUCAUUUUAUGGUGGCUUCAAACUGGUACAUAAUUUCAUAUCAUAUUUAUCGACUUGAAACAGAAAAAUAUCAGCAAACUAAAUAUAAAAAUGAACAUUUAAGUCGUGAUCUGGAGUGCAAAGGAUUUAAAGUGAACAAGUAUACAAGAAUGGGAAUUUUUGUCCAGUAAUGGACAGAUAUCAAUCUUACCAAAUAUGCCUUCCCAUAAAGGAAAGCGUAUACAGUCAGCACCGUCAACUGCAAUGUAAUUUCCAAAAGAAAACUUGUUAAAAAGAAAUAAAAUGAGAGGUGUGCAUGUAUAAAAGCAUGAUGCAGCUUUCACACCACAUUUUUCCUCUCCUACUCUUUUUCCCUGUAAAAUUGGAGCAUAAGAUGCAAACCCCAAUCUCUGUUGUACUAGAUACACAUUUAUCUAAAUACUAUCUAGAAAUGCAACACAAAACCUACACGAUGAAUCAAAUCAUAGAGGCCAGCUGGUAAGAAGAAAGGCAUGCAAAAGGUGCACAAUCAAAGGAUUGGAACAAAAGCAAACUUUUAGAGUAAGAUAUACAUUCUCCCUUCGUGAAACAGCGUAAAAUUAGCAUAGUCUAACUCUUUACAUGUUGCAUUUUCUUUAUGAUUGCAUUAGGCAACUUAAGCCAACCGAUGUGAACAUUCAAUUCAUUCAACCGCAAAUAAAUUAUAAAUUGUCAUGUUCAUAACCACAGCUAGUAAUUACAUACCAUCGUACAAAAGUAGUAUCCCACGGUGGUAAAGUAGAAUGACAUCAUUCGAAAGAAAUCAAAAAGCUGCCCGAGCCUGUAGACAUCCCUACUAAGAACUUGCUCACCAUUACCACCAGAAACCUUCCCUUCAAAUACAGCUAUCUGAUUGAGACCAACAUCUCGUCCUUUGCCAACCUUUAAAUUUUAAUUAAGGAUUACAAUUACAUACCUUAAAAAAGCUCCAAGUAAGAAAUGAGAAACCAUACCUGAAUAUACUCGUGAUGGGUGACAUUUCCUUGGCGUAGAGUUGAAUUGAACCCUGCAUGGGAUGUCAAAAGGCAAAAUUCUGUCAGGUACACACACACACACACAAUACACACACAGAGAGAGAGAGAGAGAGAGAGAGAGAGAGUUAAAUGUAAAAAUAAAAGCAUUUGAAAGAAACUACAUUCUAAUUCCUUCAUAGGUUUUUAACUUAAAAACUAAAAUAAUUACUAAAAGCCUAAGGUGAAGGAGAAAGCCCACACAUAAUGAACAACAACAAGAGAGAUUGGCUUUGGCAGAUCAAAUUCACGAGGUCGUGAUGCUUCUUUUAUUGAGAAAUGAACCAACUUCCAACAACCCAUAAACUUUCUGAUCACUUGGAUAAAACAAGGAACUUCUCUUUGGUGAUAAUAAAAUCCAUAAGGUGCUAAAUGCUAUUCGUAUUAAAACUUUCAGAAACAGAUUAAGCAAAUCAGGUUUUGAUCUAAGGUACCAUAUGUCCCUAGCAAAGACAUAAAAAGAACUGGAAAUCAGUCCAUCAAUAGUCAAGUAAAGCAGUCAUGCCUGAAUAUAUAUCUUCACUGAUGUUGAUAACACGAGAGGCCUUGCUAAUACCACCCCGAGUUAUGUGGAAAACUCUGUCAAAAACAUCUGGAUGUCCAUAAUGCAUACGGACCCUGCGAGUUACAUACUAGUCAUCUGUAUCUGAAAAUUCAAUAUGAUAGUACGCUACCAAUUUACUUGCUAUAAAACUACGAGCUUACUUUAAAGGAUUAGCCAGAACACGCUGGCCGAGAGUUACAAAGCUAGUUUCCUGAUUUGACAUAAAUGAGGCUAAAGAAGAGACACUGCAAUCAUCACAGGUAAUGCCUUUAGCAGAAAAUAACAUGAUUACUCAAAUGAGAGAAAUACUUGUUUCACCAGAAACAUACCUUCCUGUAAAUACAUGUUCCCUAACACCAAGAAUGGUUGGAGGACGAAUACCAUGAUCUUGAUGGAAUUCUUCCAGCAGAUUUCUCAUCUUCAAGGCCUCCUCAAAAUAAUUAUCCUAGAGUUAUCAUGUAAAGACACAUUACAAACAACAUUACACAGUGAAGAAAAUUACAAAUACCUACUCUACAUACCAUAACAACAGCAACCCAGUGAGGGAACAAAGAAGAAAAAAUGACAAGUAGAGUAACUUUCAUUUUAUUUGACGCAUUAAAAAAUCAUUUUAGUCAACUUUCACAACGAGAAAUCAUAUAUAUGCGAUAUUAUUCAGGGGGCAAAUUAAUAUUUUUUCAUUUAUAGGGUUUUCAGGUUUCCCUACAAAUAGAAUGUUAUACUUUUUAUUUUCGAAGUAGUACACAAUACAUAAACUAUGCAAGUUACAGAACACCUGAAAAACACAAAAGAAAAGAGUUAGCACUCAAAGCUAUAGCAAUCUCUCUCACCUAAAAGGGUUUAAGAGAUUUCUCAAUGAUGGUUCAUGCGGAUUACCGUUAGAGGUCGAACAUUUAGACAACUUGUGGUUUGCGACAACUCAAUCUUGAAGCAAUUAUUCAAAGCCGAAAAGAACAUCUAAUCUUCAAGUAAUCUUUAUAUAAACUCUAAAAAACAUUAGAUCUGUCUAACAGAAUCUUGGAACUCUCAAUUUUUUUUAAAAAAAAAUUAUCGUUUUCGCUGCGUGCAUGUGUUUCAGAAAACCCAAUAAAGCAUAUAGAUGUGAUCUGUGUGGCUGGGCUAUUUUUUAGGAAGAUAGUGGUGUUCUAAAAUCCAUCACAUUUAAUAAAGAUACCAGGUUCCUUGGUCACCUUUUGCUAACUUUGGGGAAGUGGUUUAAUUUCUCUUUGAAGUUUAGUAGUACUGCUCAUCCAUAAACUAGUGGCCAAAUAGAGUCUAAGUAAAACUUUGGGCAAUCUGAUUCGUAGCAUUUGUGGGGACAAGCCUAAACAGUGAGAUGUUGCAUUGGCUCAGGAAAAAUUUGCUUCCAACAGUUCCAAGCAUAGUGCUAUUGACAAGACAUCAUUAAAAAUUGUGUACAUGAAACUUCUGAGUCAUGUGCUUGAUCUACUCGCUGCCUAAAGCAAGUCAGCAGAGAAAUUGACUGAACAGUGCAAGUUGUGCAUCAAAAGGUCAGAAGGAAACUGGAAGAAACGGGUGCUAGAAAUAAACAUGCAGCAGACAAGCAUAGACGAGUUAAAUUGUUUCAAGGAGUCAUGAUUUUCUUGUGCAAGGAGAGGUUUCGAGUAGGAACCUAUAAUAAACUAAAGAUGAAGAAGUAUGGUCUGUACAAGGUGCUGAAGAAAAUCAAUGACAAUGCUUGUGUGUAUUGGUCUUCUGAAUAGCAUAGGCACAUCGAAGACCUUCAAUGUUGUUGAUCUUUAUGAGUGCUUUCCAAAUACUAAACUCAACUCGAGGAUGAGUUUUUCUAAAAUGGGAGAGACUACUGUAGAGCAAUUAUCCCAAGAGAGAAGGACCAUAUUGAAGCAUGAAGUUAUUGUUUUCUUAUUUUAAUUAUUUUCCUAGUUAAUUUUGGAUUUUAAUUAUUUGUUUCCUACUUAGCUUGGGACUUUUAAUUUAAUUAGUAUUUUACUAUUUAGAAAUCUCAAUGCUAGAUGGAUUCUAUUAAUUAGAUACCUUUUAAUUAGGAAUCUUUUCCUAUAAAGGAUUUUAGUACUAAUAUAAAAAGUAAUGUCUAGUUUAUUUUAUGGAAAUCAAGACUAUUAUUUAGAUUCAAUAAAAAUAUCAGAGAGUUUUCUCUAGAUUUCUCUACAGUUUGAUCUGUAACCUUAGGGCUUAAUAACCCUAGUUUUAUCUUCAUUAUACACUGCGUAAAGAAACAAUACUUAAUUCAAAAAUUUAAUUCAUCAUCAAUGUUCUUUCCCUUGAAUAGUAAUGAAAUUGUAAACAUGCUACAUUACACACGUACAAGUGAACUUUAUUAUUCCUAUAUUGCAUAAAAAAUCCUUCUUCGUUUUCCACACAAAAAUUAGUGGAUUGGGAGCAAGAAGAAUUCCAAAAAUUUUGGGAGGUGUUCCUCUUGAAAAGAUGUUGCGGAAUAUGGUAGCUUUCUUGACUUUGUGUAGUGCUUCUAAAACGUUUAGUCUUGGGUUAAAGCAAAAGAGACUGGAAAUGUAAGGCCCUUUGUCAAAUUGGGUUUCUAGUAAUUGUAAUUUUGUGAAGGAGGAAAUAAUACUUAUCGUUGUUCCAAUAAGGUUAUUGAUCAUAAAAGUUCAAAAGAAAAACAGGAGAACAAAAAAUAAUGAGGCCAAUUUGCAUAAAAUGACAGAUUAGUUUCACUUGUCUCAACAUUUUACGAGUCCAAGACUGUUCAAGAUAAUUACAUUAAUGGGAAAAAACUAUGACUUACCUGAUUCAUAUCAAUUGUCUGAAUUGCAUUUCCACGAGUAAAUAUAAUUGCAUGGUUUUGAUUCUCAGGUUUUCCUUCUCCAAGUUUUGGAUUCCCAGGCAACUUAACAGAGUAUAUUUCCUUCAAAGAAAAAAAUUCACAAAUUAAUAAGCUACAAGUGGAACGAAGAACAGCUCUUGCUCUAAAUAGAAGUUGUCAGAUUGCAUUGUCCAUUAUAAUCUAUUCAGGAUGGAACUAUUUUGACUCCUAAUCAGAUUAGCUCCACGCAAAUACAUCCCGAAACUGCACAUCCAAUAAACUGCUAGUGCAUUAGCACGGAAUAGAAACAAUUCUACCCAUAUUAUCUAGAGGAUAAACGUUACACCAAACUGACCAACCAAUAUAUGAGUAAUAUCGGUUUUCGAAGCACACUGUGAUUUUACUUUAUUUGUAGAUACAACCAAAAUUCAAAAAAAAAAAUGCAACAAAUCACGAUGAAAAAUACAACAAAUUCAAACUGGGUUAAAACACAAACCAGAUAAAUGCAUUGCACCAAUAUUAUAAAAAUAACAGUUCGUUCAACAUACUUCAACUAAAGCCAAUGGCUAUCAUCAACAUUAGAGGACAGCAAAAAAAAUGUGAACCUUGUCUUUUCCAUUGAUAUCAGCCUUCACAAGCUUCGAAUAGUAUUCUCUAUGCACAUUACCAUCCUUCAAAGAUUCAACCUCAUCAAUGAAAGCAACACGAAGAGCUUCAUUUCUACAACAUAAGUAAAUGGCUAGAUAUUAGGUAUCUAUUAUAUAACUAAGCUUUCAAGUGGGAAAAACUAUUACUACAUAGAAAUGCUUGAAUCUCUAAAUUUGGCAAACAAAAACUAACAUGCUUUAAAAAAAAGAUAGGCAAGGAGAGUGCGCAGGGGGCACAAAAUAAAUCUGGCAAAAGAGAACAUACUUCAAGCAUAAGAACAUAUAUUUGACAUGCUAAAAUUCACCUUUGCAUCAGCAAUGCAAUAUCAGCAGCCUCAGGUUUUUGGUCCUCUUUCUGCUUUCCAUAUAUUUGACACGUAACAACAUAAGUAAACUUUAAAUCAGCCAGUGCUCGUGCUUCCGGGGACAAGUCAAAGCCCUUAGCAUCAUUUGUAUCAUUAAUAGAAACUGCAGCUUCCGCAUCUGACAUUGACAUGCAUGAUCAGAUCACUGAUUAUGUCAGGGCUAUAAAAAAGAAAGAUAUAAAUGAACCAACCUCCAGACGCCACUCUUUCCAAAUAAGACUGAAGCAUUAGAGCUUUCCUAUAGUACAUCAUCCCACGGACUGGAAAUAUCAAAACAGUGAUUUAGCAAAAUACCCAAUAAUUUAUGAGACAUGCAUUGCAUUUGUGCAACUAAUAAAAUAGAAAAGCAAGAAACCUAUCUCUUCAAGUGAAGAGACUAAGAGUCCAGAUGAUGCUAGCAAAUCAGUAAACGCUAACAUAAGAAAGGAGCUACGUCCCCUAAUUAGCUCACUCAACUAUAAUCCAAUACUCAUCUUAAAAAACCCUCAAUCCUGAAUUGGCAGGUUAUAAAACCUAGAAAAGCAUAAUAUAUACUGAUUGAUGCAAGUUUCUUGGUAUAAGUGUGAGCAUGGCAUGCGAGUGGCUAAUGAACCAACUGGAAUCUCAUCCGAGCACACACAAGUACACUUGGCUAGGAAAAAAAUCAAGUGGAUGUGUGAGUGUCAUUAAAAGAUCAAAAUAGGAAAGAAUUAUCACUAACUUAACAUGCAUUUACAUGAAUUAGAAACACAGUAAAUGUAUUUGUCCCACAUAUACACCAGAUACACAGUUUCCUAGAAAACAGUUCAAACGACAAGCAACUUUUGGAAAAAAAAAAAAAACUGGAGAAGAAAACCUGCAAGCACAGUGUAGAAAGCAAUCUGGAAUGGCAAGCCCAAAAAGGACAUGCGUGCCUUACAGCAACCAGGCAACAAUACUAGAAUACAAGAAAUGGUUCAUGACUUCCAAAUAUAAGAGAGAAUAGAAUAGCGGUGUGUGAAAUCAUAUAUCUACUGAAAUAAAUACACUUGGAAUAGGACAGGAAAGAUGUACUAAACAUCAUAAAACCAAAUAACAAAAUUCAGAUUUCCCAUACAAAUUUAGACCAUGACCAGAUCCUGUAUAAAGAAACGGAUUAUAUUGUUUUACUAUAAGAACUUCUCCCAAAUGAACCAAUAGAAUAUGGAACCAAGAAACUCAAGUGAGAAAAGAGAAAAGAUCACUUGCCAGUUCUGGCUAAUGUUUGUCCCCUGUAAGAGGCCCAAAUCCGAAGUUCAAGGUUGUCAUCAGGAUUAUUAAUGAGCUCUGAGUCUGGUGCAUUCUCAUCACAGCCAAUACGAUCAAGAAAGUUCUUCCACUCAUCUGUGACAAAACAUAAACAAUUUUGAGGCUGCCAGCAAGUGAGAGAAAAUACAUUUCAAGUCAUAAAGCAAACUUUUUCAAAGCAGCCAUAAAUAGUCAACUAGCCAACCAGACUGAUAGACCAAAAACUCAAGAACUGCAACACUCCCUCUAUACCCCACAUUACAGUCCAUUUUUGCACUUUCUGUUGGUAAACUAUCAAAAAGUCAGGUGGUCUUCAUUAUUGGAUUCCCAAUUCUAUACUAUCUCAAAUUCAAAUUAGUACUUGGAUAAAAAUUCAAUAAAAAUCAAGGGCAGGCAAAGACUUUACUAAAAAUCAACAAUUGACAAUGUAAUCAAUGGUAUUCUUUUAAAUUCAGAGACUAUGAAACUGGAAGGGAAUAAAAAAAUUUCCAUGAUCAUCACUAAAACUAACCCAAGAAAUUCUUCUAUUCAUAACUAAAUCCCAAUACCUAUUUUAUUUUUUCUUCUUUCCCUAAUCGGACUAUCUAUAUAAAUCAAAUCAUUCACUGAAAGAGAACAUAAAAAUCAACAUAAUUAAGUGAAAAAUCAUUCACUGGAAGAGAAUCAAGAUUUAUCAUGGAUCAUCACUCCACCUCGUCAACAACUCUAUUCCUCAUAUCGUUACCUGCAAUUAACUAUCCAUGACAUGCCACAUCCAAGUCAUGUAUGGAAUCACGUAUUCCGCUCUAACAGAUAUUGGGUCCACAGAAAGUGAAGUGUUAAAAACUGAGCGAAAAAUUUUCCAACAUUUUUAGUUUGCGAAGAUGUACAUUGUCCACCAAGUGUAAUGUAAAUCCCAGAAGUAAUCACAAAUUGGAAUUACAAGAAAUGGGAAACCAAAUAACAUGUCUAGGUCUGAGACACCAAUACCAAAGCAGAUGAAAGCUUGACAUCACAUAAAGCUAAAUACACAGAGCAUAAAGCUUAGACUCCUUCAGUGAGUGCAUUCUGUCCAUUGACCAUGCCUAAACCAGGAUCGUAAUAUAGUAAGAGAUAAAGAAUGCAAGGAGCACAUGGACAAGAAAAAAAACAAGAAAGGAAAAAGAAAACACAAAUAGAAUUGACCGCAUUGGGAAUCAAGACUAUCACAUAAAAUCCUCCCAACCAACCAGGUAAAUUUCUCCAACCUUUCCCUUCAAAGUAAAGAUCAAACAUUCUAAUCACCAUGAACUAAAGGUUGCAAGCAAUUACAAAGCAAGGACAAAUGAACUCAAGAAAAAAGGGCGGUGUCAAAGUUAGUUUAAUCAUCACAACAAAGCACACGGAGUACCUGGAUAUAUUUUCUGGAGGUAAAACAAAGUCGAUAUUCCAUCCUCAUUUUUCUUUUGAAGUUCGUUCAUGCUAUAAAGAACAAUCUCAGAAUAAUAUGGAGUGAACACACUGCACAUGCAUACAAACAUCAUGAGAAAACUAGAUCCAUCAAGUAUGCAUUAAUGCCUACAAUUAAUGCACUGAAAAAGUACAACCUGAAGGAUAGCAUCUCACGAACUGGCUUUGGUGCAGGCAGAUCCAUGAAAAGGGAAUUUGUAAAGAAUUGUAGCCUCCUUCUGGCUUCAAUAUUUUUGGGGACAUUUGCAGCGGAAUCUUUGAUUGUUAAAAGCAAAUACAAUCUCUUGAUUUGCGUUUUCUGCAUAUCCUCCAAAGUUAAAUAAUUUCAUAUAGAACACACCCUGUCAUUACUAAGAGAAGAAACAAGAUAAAUCUUCUCUAACAUACCAGCUCUGUAUCUCUUGGCCACUUCAAGUUUGUAAACAAACGACCUUCAGUCCUUGCUUUUGACAGCAAAUUCCACGUCUCAUAGUGCUCCCUGGAAUAUGAACCCAUAAGGCAUAUUUGAGAGGAAAGUGUCAACGUAUCAAAUGCAUAAGUGAACACAAGCAAUUUUACCAGACCUCAUGUUGACAGAAAGGACAUCGUGCCGCACCACAUCAUACAGAUCUUGUACAGCUUUAAUGGCACCAUUUUCCUGGUCUGGUUUUUCAGCUUUCUGUAGAAGAAUUUCAUAUAAAGUGCAGAAGCAUUCAAUAGCAGUUUAUGGCUUUAGAGAUAGAUAUAGAAUGAAAGGCUCCUUGCCAACGAAAUUAGACAAUGUAAACCAAAUCCUUGCAUUAUUAAUCAUCCUUCAUAUUGAAUAGUAUAAUUAGGGGACAACUGAUCAUGAUAACUGGAGAUAUUCAAAAUUAUUCAAUGCGUAAAAAAGAAUGUUAUUGAAAACAGGUGUUGCUGGAAAACACAAAGGAUCAGGGACCUUGUUAAAUCCCCGUGUGGGGGAAAAGUUUUUAAAUUCUGGGGUAAAGUAAAAAAUAUAGAAAUGCCACAGAUAUUUUGUCACAAAUAAAAGCCUGAUAUAGAACAUCUAUAGCUGAACCAGUGGGGUCAGAACCAUCUCGUUAUCACCAAUUCAUCUAAGAAGUGAACAAACGAGAAAAGCUCCAGAUUAGAAACAAAUGAACCAUGGGAAUAUUGAUAUCCUGAGUUCUGUGUAUAACAAAAUAUCAGUUGUCAGGUUUAAACACAGAUAGCAAAAGAAGGGGUUUUCUGUAGGUAACUACUAGAUUUGAACAUUUGAUAGCUUACAAGGGUCAGAGUCUCAGGAAAAUAUUAUACAGAUAAGACAAUGACAUUGCUGAUUAGAAUAUCAAAGAAAUCGCCAAACAUGACUAUCUUAAGCUGAUCAAGACGGGAUAAUUUGUGCUAUGCAUACGAAUGAAGCAGAAGGUAGGGAGCGAGGGAACAGCGAAAAGAAAAGCAUUUGUAUCAUAGAAAAAUGUCAAUUACUUAUAACUUUCCAUAGAUUAUCAUGUCUCAUUUUACUAUAAAACCAAGUGACUGCAUUCCCAAUUCAUGGAUUAUGUUAGACAGACAUGGAGAGUUUGCAUUCAUAUCAUGGAGGUUGUUACUUGGCCUUUAUAUGCUUUCCAUUUAUGUACUCUAUUGACAGUUUUCAAUUUUCUUGCCUCUUAUUCUUGGUCCACAUUGGCACUCCUUGGAUUGUGUCAAUGCACUUGAGAAUGUCGUAAUUUUUCGAGCAUGAAUUUAUACAAAGUUUAAACAUGUUACACAACGCAGAAAUGAGACCUACCAGAAUUCCAAGCAGUCCAGUAACUCGUGUAAUUACAAGUGAAAGUUUCUUCAGCUGAAAGUCAACAUGAAUACUCCUGUUUGCAAUACUGCCUUCAAUGUCCGCAUAAACCCUUUCAACCCUGAGGUAGAGAAGAUAUUAAUACAUCACAAAGCAUUCGUACCUAUGUACAAUGGCUCAAAUAGUUUCCUCAUCUCAAAACUUACCACAUCCUUCCUUCACCCUCCAAUAUUUCUGUCAAGAUAAAUCUAAGGGCAUGGUAGCCCUCCUCAACGGCAUACUUCAUAUAGUCAUCUCUUGAAAUCCGUUCCCACAGCUCUGCUUGUGAAUCACUACCCUCCACCAUAUCUUUAGCCAAAAAAAUCUACAAAAAAACAUAAACAAAUACAAGGUAAAAAUUAAGAUCAUGUUCAAGAAUCUCCGGAAACUAGAAAAAAAAAUCAUCAAAAGAAAUGGAGAUGAGACAAGAAAUAUAAGGCUGGAGGCCCCAAGAUGACCUUGCUGGCAAGAAGAAAAAGGGGCCACUGAACCAAGGGAAGGUUCCCAGAAUUUUUAGGCAUCAGAAGCAACUCCAUUUCUCUGCAAUGAGAUAGCAGAGAUAUGAUAAUCAUCAGAACAAUCUGCUAGGAGUAGAGCAGAACCUGAAGAGCUUGUAAAAGAGACAUGAAAAAUCCACUAUGACUUAGAAAAACAUUAAGAGAAGACAACAUAAAUUCAACAGAAUAUAGUGUCCUCAAAGCAUGGCCUUAAAACAAUCUACUAUUUAUUAUUGAGAAUUAUUAACCACCCUAAUCCUACAUGGUUCCUCUGUCCCUUGAUAAAAUAUCAAAUCAAAUAAAAGAUUAACCAACUUCAAAAAGUCUUGAUUUCUCGUUUAGAUUCAAUGGCAUUUUUUUCAAAAAUAAAGUUAAUCAAAUUUAACCACAAAGCUUAAAUUACUUGGUGAUUCAAAGUUUAGUAUGACAAUUAUAAGGCAAACCCCAAGUUGUAUAUUGCAAACUUCUUUCUCAGGAUAAAUAAAAAAAUUAUUGAAUCGUUGUGAGGGAAUUGACAAAGGAUGAAUAAAAACUAGUGGCUCCAGAUUAAUGAACAACAAUAAAGCACAAUCAUUGUUAUCAAGCAUUGCAGUACAGUAUGAAGCAUGCAAUAUCAAUAAAUAGAAAAGAUAUGGAACAAUUGCAAUGAAUAGGUGAUAUUCAAGGACUCACAAAUUGGUGACAUAAUCUUCUUCCCUUAAAUUGCGUAUGAUCUCAUUCCAAAAGGGUCCAAAAAUAACAGCAUCAAUUUUUCUCUUCUCCAAGGUAUCCUGCAUCACACCAAAAUGAGUUAUCUAAGAUUCCUAUCUCAUUCAUGAUUCACAAAACUAAAUGAUGUACAAAAAAAUAUAGGAAAAAAAAUCAAAGCAAUGCAGAUUGUGGAUGCGUUAGAACCAAGCAGCAAAAGUAUACUCUCCUUUAAGUGCUGAGUAAAGCAAGACAUUGAAUUCUGUUUAUCAACUGAAUUUCAACAAAUCAUUAAAAAGAAAAUGAUAUAUGACAACAUUUUCUGAAAUACAGAACAAAACAAGCACACAGUGAAAGUUCAUAAAAGUAUAAAAGUAAGGGUAAAUUACAAUAACCUCCAUGAGAUAUCAUGAAAUUACCAUGACCACCCAAUAGUUAGAAGAUAUUACAAAAUCCCCACUGUACCCAAAAUGCACUUCUUUUUUUUUUAAAUCAUUUUGUUAAAGGGGAUGAUUUUGAGAAUAUUGAGGGCAUUUUGGGUAUAGUAGGGGAUUUUUGGAAUAUUUACAUAAACGAGGGAAUUCUGUCAAAUAUUUAAACUUUUGGAUGAUGUGUAAUUUUAUAACACCUCAGAGGGGCUUUCGUAAUUUACCGUAUACCUGAACCCCUUUAGGUCCCCAAAAAAAGGUUAUAGAAGUUCAAGAAAUGAUGGUAUAAGAUAUAAUUUAUCUGGAAAAAUGACCAAACACAUUAUUUAGGAAACUAAAUUGUCAAAUGACUCACCUGACUUGAAGAGCUGUGGGAACUUCUGCAAAGGAGAGAUUGCUUUCAGAAGAAAGACAUAAUGAAAACGAGGAGGAAAACAAUUGAGAUCAUAAUAUCUUGUUAAUGGGUAGGAAAGAAAAUUAACAAAACCAUGCCUGUUGGGGAGUGGGAUAUGAAGAUUAUUCAUAAAAGCUCCAGGAAAGUCCUCAAAAAGUUUGUGAACAGCUUCCAAAGAUCUAAUCUGGAUUUAUUACAUGCAUAAUAAUGAAUCUUAAGGCACACAUAAUAACCCAAAGAAAUGAAAAGACUAAUGGGAAAUGAAAAGGGAAAGGAUAUAUAAAAUUUUAGCAAAAUAGAAAUGAUAUAAAAACAACAAGGAUCUAGCUUCCAUGUUCAUGAAAAGAAAGAAGCAAAUAUACACAAAAAAAAAAUCACUUACUUCCCCAAGGCGAUCUUUUGCUCCAAGCAAGAAUCCCCAAAUAGCAGAUAUAAUGGUAUAGAACACAUGGAUAUCCAAAAGAUAAAUCUGUCCAGAAACCAGGAAACGUAUUAAAUAAAAUAAAGCUUCUGAUUUAGCUAAGCAAAUAACAGAUAUCACACAAUUUGCAAGUUAACUACUUGCACUGACCAGACUCUAGUUUAUAUAGAAAGUUUGUGUUCAAAAGCACUCUUAAGAUAGGUUUUCUGUUUUUCAAAAACCAAAACCUAAUUUUUUACAAUUUUUGGUUUUUAAAAAACUAUUUAUCAUUAAGCAGAUAAGAGUGAGGAUACAUGUUUUAUUUAAAAAGUAUAAAACAUAGUAAUAGUAGCAGUAGUGAUAAUGAAAAAAGGGGUAAUCAGGUGGUGAUGUAAUGAUGUUGAUCACGAUAGUGGUGGGUAGCUUCAAAGGUGCUGCAGCAGUUUUGCAAUAGUGUUGUACUGGUUAUGAUGAUGCCGUCGUCUAAGUUGGUAGCGAUGAAGCUUGAUGAAUGAUGUCUGGAAUAAGACAAACUACUGGCGACCUUUUUGAGGGAUUCAAUUACCACUUACCGAGCUGAAAUUGGCACUUUAGAGUAUCUCUAGUUCUUCUUCCACUUCUUUAGAAAAUUCCAUCAAUUCUGUCUUGUGAGUUUUAGAGUUUUCAUAGCCUCUAAUGGUGCAUGGCAGUAGAGGGUUUAGAAGAGUCAUUAAACUAUAAUAGGUAUGUGAGUUUUAAUUUCUUCAUGUAGGAUGCUUUUUCUGGUAAUCUUGCUCUAAUUUUACUAAUGAUCAUAAGAAAGGCUUCAAUAAUUUUCAAGGUUGUUUGUCCAUAUCCCAUCUAUUUGAGAUGUUGCAUCCUCCCACACCCCCUUGCAUAAAAGGCAUGUCUGAAACCAUUCAGCCAAUAUGGCUGGAGCGAAUUGGAAACACAUCAGAGAACAAUAGAGCCACCUUAUCCUUUUAAGCUACCCACACUAUAUCAGUAACUCAAACAUAGCGGGCAAAAAAAAAAAAACUCCAACUGUCAGAUUGUUGAGGUACAUCCAGCAGAAAAAUUAUGGGACCAAUAAAUCGAAUGAAUGAAAGAAACAAAAAAAUCAAUUACAGAUUCAUAAUAUGAGCAGGUGUGAGCACAUGUAUGUAUGAAUUGCACUUACAGCAAUCACUGGAGCCCAUAAGGUAACAACUGUCAAGAAAUUAUGAUUAUCUGCAAUGAAAGAGAAUUCCCAAUGAGCUAUGCAUUCAUAAAUUAAUAAAGAGAAUGUUGUAACAUCAAACAAGACCACAGAGGCUACACUGGUAUUGAAAUGCUGGGAAAAAUCCAGCACAAUUUUGAAAUGUUACGAUUUUAAGGAGACUACAAAAAACCUACAGUGAAUCAAAAUGACAUUUUAGCAAAAAUCACCAAAUCCACAACAUGGCAACAAUGAAACAUUUAAACAGUAUAACGUGAUAAAAAAUAAUUCUGCCAAAUGCCACCAGGUUAUUAGCAAAAUGCUUUUAAACAUAAGAAGUUGGAAAAGAAACUGUAAAGUUCCAAAAAUAUGGCUUCUCAAAGCAUUGAACACAGUCAAAUAAUGGCUUCUCAAAUUCUAUAAAAAUAUAAAACAGAAUACAAUUAUAGUUACCAAAAUUAAAUCACAUAUAUUUUGGAGCAAAAUACUGGUGCAAAUAUAUGACACAAUGGGAAAAAAAAUAAACAGAAAUUUUACAACGUAAUUAUGGUAUAAAAUUUUGUCAAACGACCUUACUUUUAGAUACAAGAUCAUGCCAAGAAUACUUCAGAUUAUCAGUCAUAUUCACAAUAGUCCUUGUCGGUUUCACCAAGGGCUUGAUCUGCAAAAAAGGUUAAAAUAUAAUUUAGGAAACUUCCAUCAAAAUUAAGGCUGGUGUUAUAUAAAUCUCACUGACCUGAAGGAAAUACGCAAAUGAGAACUUUCCGCUCAAAACAACCAACCAAAAGAGCAUGUACCUGCUUGUUAAAGAUUCAAAAUUCAUUUCAUCUUCUUUAAAUUUAGAAAGCAUUUAGAUAAAAACAAUGAAGAUGAAUUAUAUCCCUUGGAUUUAAAAUUUAUUCUUUAGUAAAUCAAUUGAGAAAUGCUGUUCAAUUUUUAAAAUGCCUAAGAUAUGUUUUACAUCUUCUAUGCGAAAAAUGUUAGAUUUUCAUAAGUUCUUCUUAAUUGUUCUUCAAAAUGUCCACAAUGUAUAUAUUGGACUUUUUUACACAAUUACAGAUCUAAGGAGCCAAUUCUAAUCAGUCAAGCCACAAAAGGCAGCCCAAAAUGAAUCCAUUAACAUAAAACAGAGCAUUUGCACUUCAAGCUAUUGGUAUAAAUGAUGGAAGAGAUCAUGACUGUGCUAUUAUUUGAAACAAUGCUAAAAGGACAUUAAAGUGAGGUGGUCAGUCCGGUAUUUGUUUUUCCCCUGCUUUUGGGCAAGAAGGAAGCUAGUUUUGACAAGAUUAAGCCAAUAAAAUUAUGGACAAAUUAUCAUCCCUGUAUCAUCAUUGUACAACAACAGCAAACAAACAAACAAAAAAAAACACAGACAAAAAUCUAACAUAACAGAAGCAAAUGUCCAAUGUGAGAAUUAAAAUAUUUUGUGGAGAGAAGGUUAAAGUAUCAGAGAUGUAGAAGACAUUACUUAAUGAAGUCACUAGUCCUUUCAUACAUGCCACACCCAACAUAAUAGCGUUCCUUCAAAAAAAAAAUCAACGAAUCAACAUUUAAAUUUUAAAAUACACCUAAAAUAUUAAAAAGAAAAACUAUCCAAGGACAUAGGACAGUAACCAUUUUGACAAUGGACCCAAAAAUAUAAUCCAGCACAUAAAAGGAAAAUCAAGCAUAAAGAAGAAAUAAUUUGGCCAAAAGAAAAGGUAAAAGAAAAACCUGGCGCAUCCACUUUACGAAGCGAAUAAAUGGCCAAUGAUCACACUGAUUAGUCAUAUGGUGGCAAGCUGGUAUUCGCAUGAGGAAACUAAUAAAAAACUGGACACCAGCAUAGAUGCCUACAACGAUCAUGUACAAUCUGAAAAAAACUGAAUUUGAAUUUUGUUUACUCUCUUCCUGGAGAGCUUUCCUGUAUUUGAAGAAAGCAACAAGAAUAAAAGGUAGCUUGUUAUUCACAUAUGACAAGCAUGCAGAAAAUGAUAUCAAGUAUAAAUGCUUGCUUAAGAGAACAUACACAUAGAGGAAGCUUAAGAAGACAGAAGCACAAGAAAACCACACAAAACGAAGAAAUAUUCGAGUCACAGCCAGACGUCUUGAUGUAGAAUAAGCCCCAUACAUCAUCAUAACAUCCAGCACACCUAAAUCAAAAGGUAUGAACAUCAAAAAACAAAUUACUCGUGAAAUUGCAAUAUAAAAAAUUGUUAUAUUUCUUAUCUGUGAUGAUUGACAGUUGUAAGUAAUUAACAAUUAGUUCAGCAUAACAAUGAGAAAAUCAUUUUAUAUGUCAGAGAACCAUACUUUCAAUAAACUUCAUCACAGCAAAUGUUGGACCAAGACUUAGAAUUUCCCGCAGUGUCUUGGAGUUAAAUUUUCCAUCAUUAAAAGCAAUGACAGUGAGUCCCUGGAAGCAGAAAAGAAAUGCUUGCAGCCAUGAGAAUGAUACAUUCUAGUCAAGCUAACAAGUUAUUAAUGAGUAGAGACUUCAUCAAUGCAUAGUAAAAAAUAUUCACAACAAUGAAGAAGAGGGGAGUCGCUGGUAUAGAUAUUUGCAAUAAACAAAAAUUAUAUCUAAAAGGCAAAGGAAAAGACCUUUCAAAUGCAUGGCAAGAAAAUAAACAAAAUGAACAGAGAAGCUUUUCAGAUGCACAGCAGGAGAAGGACAGUGGUUUCUAUGAGAAUUUGAUUUUGACAUGCUAACCUGAAACAUCAUAACAAGAAAUAUCCACAGACGGUGGAAACUAUGGUAAAGAUGAAGGAACGUCCGGUGCUCAACAAACGAAGUUUUCCCUCUACGUUGACUUCCAGCAGUUUUAAGCAAAUACUGUAAGGACAAAAGACAUACUUUAUAGUGAUUCACAAUGUAAUACCCACCACAAGCAGUCUACAAACCUAAAGCCUUAAUCAUACAUUGUAGCACAAUGUAAUACCCACCACAAGCAAUCUACAAAUGUAAAUGAAUAUAGUUUGGCCAUUAUAGGAAGGAAAAGCCAUACUUUCACAAGCCCUCAUCCAACAAAAGUGGAUAUAAGUAAUAAGGAUUGAGCGGAGAAUUAAGGGUGUAGGAUGGAAGCUUGCCAUGUUGAGAUUAUAAAAGUGGAUAUAUAUAUAUAUGACCUCAACAUGACAAGUUUCCCAGAAAACCUUCUCUGCUCUGUUUAAGCCACCUUGUCUCUAUAUAAUCUAUGAUUCAAGCCAAACAGUCUGGCUUUAAUAUUUAACUCUAUACAUGAACAGGAUGACAUAUUUACUUUGUCAAAUGACAGCAACUACAUUUCAAGAAAACCACAGAGCCAGAAUCAAUUAUGCACAGGAUAUGCUUCUGCUCCUGGCGUUGCUGUCUUCAGAUACUAUUAAAAGAUCCCAAAAGGAACAGAAAGCAUAAAGGCAUAAAAAAAUGUUACAAACCUUUGUCCUUGGUUUUGGUCUCUGGAAAAAGGAUGAACUCGUGCGCCACGGCCAACUGAGUUCAAAGCAAUGAAGUGACCUGGAAAUGGAAAUACAUGGAUAAGGAUGAGGAGAAAAACAAUGGCCAUCCAUCUGACACAAAAAUAGUUUUAGGUUCCAUUUACUAUGACUUUUGCAAAUUGGUUUGAGUUGCUUUAAUUUUUUACUCAAAGAAAAGUCAUAAAUAAAUUUGGUUAGAAAUAACUUUUGACAUAAAUCAAUUUUGUUACAGAUUCGAGUUCAAACUGCUUUAAUCAAAAGUUAAAAUUUAACUUUUUAACUUGUUGAUUACAUAAUUUAUCCUCUCCCCUUUCUUCAAAAACAGUUGAUUUGAGUAACUUUUUGCUAAAUAUACUUCUAACCUAACUCAUUUUUGUCGUAAGUUGUUUAUAGAAAAAUAACUUUUGAAUUAUGACUCAAAAUCAAAAUUUAAUCUUCAUAAGUCAGAUCAAACUGAAUAUUACUCUAUCUAUAACUAACAAAGUCAGAGACAAUCAUUUUCUUACCACAAACAGAAUUGAAAUGGAUUUUCCAAUUGAAUUUAGUUGAUUUGAAUAAUUCAGUAUAAUUAAAUACAAUAGAAUUCUCUUUAAUGUCUAUGAAAUAGCUGCGAAAGAAAUAAAGAGCAUGGAUACUUCAUAAAUUUCACAGCUGCACAGUUUAGCUAUUCCAUUGAUGAAUAACAAGAAAGACUAAAUUGCAUGUGUUCAUUUACAUUAAUUCACCAAUAUUUAAGUUUUAAAUGAAUAGAAGCUCUUUUUUUUUUUGUUUCCAUUGCAUGAAUUGGGAAAAUGAAUCUGAAUUCUCCAUUCCAUCCAUUCAACAUGACUCCAAGUUAAGUGAGAAAAGACUGACAAAUCAAAGGAGACUUACCAAAAAUACUCAUUAAAAUCAUCGUAAUUUCUCCAAGAAGAAUGAGGCGCUUGUCCAUUAGCAUUGUUUCCUGCUUCCUAGGUGUAGUGGCAGGGAAGUCAAAUCUUAAGCAAAACCACAAUGCAUAGGACAGCAGAGAAGAAAUUGGCACGGUUUAUGACAAGAUAACAUCCCCGGAAGAGAUGCAUGUACAGAAAUGACUGCAAGUAAAAAUAAAACGACCAGCCUAAAUCAUAAUGGCAUCACAAUAGAACAAGUCAGUCCCAAAGCAACAAACUUAGCACCAAUGCAUGACAUAACAUAGAUAUGAUGUUAUGUGUGCUCUAUUGGUGAAAAAUUGCUGCCAAAGUUUUAAGUAUUAUUCAUGCAUGACAACAAAACUACUCCAGCACUAGGCUUAGGUGCCAGUUCUCUCUGGAAUGACAAACAUAAGCAGUAUUAUAAUUCACAGGACCAUUUUCCAAAAAUAGUCCUCCACAUUGACCUUUUUUCCUUGCCAUUCCUUCAUCUGUUAACAAAAGAAGAAAAAUGUGUGCCUCCUAGCUGAGAGAAAGAUAACCGAUCAUUAACAUGGCUUAAAAGAUGUGAUUUAAAAACUUUUCAACAUUAGUAGUGCUUGCCACUGUACGAGGGGGGAAAAGAAAAGUUACUAUUAGGUGUACUUGGAAUUAAUAUACACAAACAGUUAUAAAUUGUUAUGGAACUGCUGCGAAAUUCCUUUCUAGACUUAUCAAACCAUGCACUCACUAAACUCAUUUUAUUUUCUUAUUUUUCUACGGCAAUGCAAUCAAUUAUCAAAUCAUGAACUCACUUGACUCAUUUCUAUAUUCCUAUUUUUCUAAUGCAACUAUUCAUGCCACAUUUACCAUGUUACAUCAACAAACUUUGUUUUGAUUUAAAGCACUUAAAAAGAACAUAAAUAUAAAAAUAAAACACCACAACAAAGAAGUUAACAGCAUGAGCCAAGUGAACGAGAGCAACAUCCAGAAAGAAGGAUAGUAGCUGGAUCGUGAUUGUCCCUUAUCAAUUAAAUGUAAAGGAAUUAAGGAAAGAAGUGACAAACAUGUGCACUCACCGCUGCAAUAACCCCAUACAAAGGAGUAAUAACUUGAUCAAGGAAUGAUACGCCAUUCUCAGAAUUGGAAUCACAGCUUUUUGCUGGCUCAGCAAUUUGCUGCCUCAACAUCCCAUCCAUUUCCCUGACCAUCUAAAUAUCAAGUUUAUAGUUCAUGGAAUAAGGUCAGUAGAAAAAUUGUUGCAGAAGUUUUUUAUUAUAGUUUUUCAUUUUUAUCAGUUACAGCACUUCAAACCAACGAUUUGAAUCCACUAGCAAAGGUUUUAAGAAGCAGAAUAAAUGAAUAAGAUCAAGAAUAUCAAAAGACAUCUCAAUUUGAGGUUCAGGCCAAACUUCAACACAUGAGAAAUUUUUAAAAAAAAAAAUCCAGUAGGAAAAGAAAACACAGGUGCAAAACUGUACACUUGUUGAUGGGUCCAAAAUAAGCCAUUUACCAAUCUUAUUAGUAAUGUUACUUUUCUGAAAAGGGAAAAGAUAAAAACUAAUCCAUUCAUAGCGUAUUCCGAGAUUCACUUACAUGAUGAAAUAUGUAGCACAGGCAUUCUGGAAGAAAUCUAACAUUAGCAGCUUCCCCCCAUAUUAGAAAGUACAGGGAAACAAAGAGCAACUUCUUUUCCUUGCUUAAAUCUUCGAAACUGCACAGAACAUUUUAUUGGCAUAAGUUUCAAACAUUAUCAUUCAUGAAUUAAAAUUCAAUAAUUAACACAAACGAGAAUGAAAGAGGUUAAAUUUCCAUACUUGCUCCACACUGGUUGAAUGCACAGGUAGCUGCACCAUUUAAUGUAAUUAUCGAGUGACUUCAAGAAUACCUUCUGCACAGCAGCCUCAUCCAAUUUCUGAACAAACCGAGGGCAUAUAACAAAUAGUGAUUUGAUGACAUCUUAUGAAAAAAAGUUUGCAUCAAGACAAAAUUGUUCAGAGCUUUUUACAUAAACUAAAUCAAGGCCCAAGAUUCACAUUAGUAUAAAUUGUUGGAAUCUGGUCAUGUUCUGCAGUUACAUGGCCUAAUAAAAUCAGUAUCCAUAUUGAAGAAUAGAAAAAAUAAUAUAUUCCGCAAGUUAAAGGCCAAACCUAAUGAAGCACUCAUAAGGUAGUCAAACAAUCUUUCUCUUUUUACAUAUUCUCUUCAAUUCAUCAAUAGAUCACAAUAAGCAAAAUACAAGACACGUGGAUGGCUUUAAGCAUGAAUGUUUGUGUAGAAGUGCUUUCUAAAAUGGUUUGAACAACAGCUAUCAAUGGAGCUGUAACAUACACUGGCCCAAGUGUAUAAUUGGAUCUUUAAAUUGCAUGCAUUUAUGGACUGUUGCUAAGCCACUACUCUUUUGAGAGCCAACAGCCUUUAGCUUAAUCAUGCAAUCACAUCCCCGGUCAAAUUAGGAAUCAACAGUAAAAAAGUGCAAAUCUCACAGAAUAUCCCGUUCAGGUUUACUCUCAAUUUAUUGCGUUAUGGAAUGGGAAUCCAAAUAAAUUCAACACAAACCAAAAUAAUCCACAUCCAUAUAGUUAUCAACCUACCAUGCACAAAGAGAAUAGUUGGGGACAUCGACCCGAGACAUGGUUCACAUGUCCGUAUGAUUUAUGAUGACAAAAGAUAGUCCAACCCUUACAUUAUUGGAUUUUAUUUGGGAUUAUUUGAGUUUAUUUGUUGGGCUUGAUUUAGUCAUUGUUAGAUAUUUUAUUUGGUGGGCUAUAAACCCAAUUAUUUGUUCUAGUCAGGGUUUUAGUAUUUAUAUUCUAUUUUUCUAAAAGUUAGACAGUUUUAAUUAAUUGAAUAAAGAAUUGCAAAGUUGCAAACUUUUUCAACUCUAUUCUUCUCUUUUUAGGCUUUUUCUUCUUUUUCUUUGGCUUCUUCUUUUCUUUCUUCUUUAGCUCUAAAUCUCUUCUUAUGCCACAAUAGCUUUGGUAUUAGAGCAUGAUUUUUUACUUGUUCUCACAAUUAAACGAUCCAUACACUUAUUAAAAUUCUUGACAUUCAAUCUAGUUCGUAAACUCUAAAUUUUAUGGGAAGCUUUCAUCAAAUAACAAAAAAUGUAGAAGUACCAAAAACAAAAGUUAGUAUUCAUCUUCUCUACCCAACUUAACCAGCCGCACAGCCACAAUCAUCACCACAACCUGCCUCAUCCACCACACAAGCCCUAUUCCACUCUUCUUGCCACUUCAACAAACCCUCCACAAAUCCAGCCACUUUAGCAAACAAGACCCAACCAAACAUCAACAGGGCCAAGUCCCUACAAAUCAAAUCAAUACAACAACGGAAGCCACCCACACGUUGGAUUCAGCACCAUCAUAGUAGAUGAAGACCCACUGUCACAACCAUCGUCUCCAGAGUCCCUCUGAUUUAUAACACCUCAACAACCCAAUCACCAAACAACCCAUCAAACUAGCAUCAAAACCAAAAAGAGCCAGAAACUUUCAUGCACGGCAGAACCCAUUAGCCAGCAAAGAUCAACAGGUUUUCCACCUCAAACCAUAGCAUGUGUCCAAUAGUAAGAUCUUAAGAUAGACGUGAAGAAUAAAGGAAUUGUAUAGGUUAGUUUCCGCAAAUUUUCCAUCUCUUGUCUUACUAUACUUUUAUUUUUAUUUUCUUUUAUAUUGAUUUUUAAAAAAAAGUUGAGAAAGUAAAAAAAAAAGUGAAAAGUUAAAAUAACAAAAAAGCAAAUUGAUAAAAAAAAAGUCAAAAAUAAGAGUCAGGGUAAAAAAAAAAUACUCACGGUAGCAAAAGGAGAUCACAUCAUCCAGUACACCAUUGCGUCAAUGAUACUACAUCACCAACAACAACGUGAUUCGAAGGUCCAUCUACGAUCAAAUUCAAUGAUUUCUCCACCUUUUGAUUUGUUUAGUUUUACUUUUCUGGUUUUACACGUGUCAUUUAAAGUUGUCAUUAAUAUUACUUUUUAUGCCUAAAAAACAUAUCUCACCUUACAUUUAUAUCUGUUAUUUUUUUCUCAUCAACCUCUUUCAUCAUUGAUAUCUAGCAUCUAGUCUUCUUUGAUAAUUGCGAGUCCUUGCUUGUGACAAUGUGUUUGAUUAAUUAUUUACACUUAAAGGUCUAUCAAUGCAAGCUUAAAAUUUUAUUGGUGUAUUUUGUUCUUGAUUACUCUCCACAUUAAAAAAAAAAUGGAAUUACUAUUAUUUGUUGUAUUGUGACUUCACUUGCAGGAAUCGUAUGUGAUGUCAAUUCCAUUUUUAUGUUAGUGUUGCAUGCAUUUGUAAAUACUCGUCUAGUAUCCAACUUUAAGUUUACAACUAUCAUGGAUUCGACCUUGAGUGAUAUCUUUAAAGCCAAUCAUGAACAAAACAUUGUAGAGUUUGAGACAACUAGGUUGGUUGUAGCUAGAUAUGCCUUAACACAACCCGAGAGAGCUGAAGACUGAAGAAGAACUACUAUCUUUCACACCUAUAUCAAGUGUGGGGAUAAAGGAUGUAAGAUUAUCAUUGAUAAUGGAAGUUGUAUCCAUGCAGUAUCUUCGAAUAUUGUAGCUCACUUAGGCUUAAAACGUGUUCCCCAUCCUAAACCAUAUAAUGUGUCAUGGGUUAAUAAUACCUCUAUAGCAGUCAAAGAGAGAUAUUUGUUCCCUAUCAAAUUCCUAGACUAUCAUGAUGAGAUUUGGAGUGAUGUCAUUUCAAAAGAUAUAGAACAUGUCAUUUUAGAGAGGCAAUGGAUAUAUGAUUUAGACGUCAUCAUUUCUGGUCGAUCAAAUUCAUGUUUUUUCGCUUUUAAAGGUAGAAAGAUCAAACUCAUUGGAUUACCACCAAGACCAAGCAAUAAUAACAAAAAAAAAGGAUGUGAACAAACAAGAACUUAAUACAAUGAGCCUAAAUGAGUUUGAAAAUGAGGUUAAGGAACAACAUAUUGUGCCUGGUUUAGUUGCAAAAGAAAUUUCAAGAAACUCUUUAAUGGAACUACCAAAGGAGGUAAAUAUAGCUAACAUAAAAUGUCCAAAAGAGUUUGCAAAGGAGGUUCAUGAAAAAUCAGUUAUGCCUCCUUUAUUCGUAAAAGUUUAUGGAGACUCUCUCAUAGAGUUGCCUGAAAAGAUAAGUGCAAUGUUAGGAGAGUUUCAAGAUAGUUAUCAUUCUAACUUCACUAAUUUCUCGACCUUUAUGCUUGACACCCAACUUGUCAUAGAUUUUGAGCAACAUUCUGAGCUUCAUGAUUCUUCACCACUAUGCUUGACAUCCAACAUUUCAUAGAUUUUGAACAACCUCUUAAAGCUCCCUAAUGCUUUGUCCUCGAUGCUUGACAUCCAGCAUGUCAUAAGUCUUGAGCAAUCUAUUGAGAUCCUUAAAUCCUUACCCUUUAUUCAUGAUAAGAAGAGGAUAAGGAUGACCCCGAUUCACUAGGUUAUGUUCAAUAUAUAUCCAUCCAGGAUUCAAAGGUGUGUUUCAUUCCACAUUCUCAUUCGUGUAAGGUUCAUGGUCACAUACCUAGGAUGCCAGUAGACAUUCCUCCUUUGUCUCCUCACUCUAAAAUGUCUGAUUUAGCUGAGUAUUUUGCAUGUAGAGUUCAUAAUUUGCAUGUAGAGUUCAUAAGACAUAUUCAAGCAAGUAACUAACGAUACACAUUUCAAGCUGAUUUACAUAAGUAUCAUGAUGUACUUGGAGAUUAUUUCAUGAUACAGAUUAAACUUGAAUGGUGUCCUUUGAAAACCAGUCAUAAAUUGCAAGUGAGUAGUGUUAGACCAUUCAAAGUUUUGCAAAUGAUUGCAUCAAGUAGUUAUAUCAUUAAAUUGUCAUUAAACUUUGAUAUUAGCUAUAAUUUUGGCAUGAAGAACCUCGUUAUAUAUAAAACACAACCUAUCCCUGAAGCUCUAUUUGAUAUUACCACCCCAUUAUCAUUAUCAUUAUCAUUGGCAUAAAAGGAAUAUGUUAAUACUAUAUUGAAUGCACAAGUUGUUUUUAACAGGGAUGGUGAAGUUCAACGAAUCUCAAUUUAUGAGCUUAGGGACCAAAUUCAGAAUGUAUUUGGAUUAACAAAGAGACAUCAUAGCAGCUUAAUGCUUAUCUUUGGAAGCGUUAUCACAGCCGCCUUGAACUAUACUUGACAGGGUAAAGUUCUUCCAAUCCCAGGAGAGUUGAUGGAGACAUCAGACCUGAGACAUUGUUUACAUGUCUAUAUGAUCUACAAUGAUAGAGGAUAGUUCAACCCUUGUGUUAUUGGAUUUUAUUUGUUGGGCUUGAUUUAGUCAUUGUUAGAUAUUUUAUUUAGUGGGCUAUAAGCCCAAUUGUUCAUUCUAGUUAAGGUUUUAGUAUUUAUAUCAUAUUUUUCUAAAUGUUAGACAAUUUUGAUGAAUUAAAUAAAAAUUUGUAAAGUUGUAAACUUUUCCAACCUCAUUCUUCUAUUCUUUGGCUUUUUCUUCUCUUUUUGGCUUCUUCUUCUUAUUUUCAUCCUUUCUUUCUUCUUUAGCAUUAAAUCUCUUUUUGUCCCACAUCAAAUCACACCUAAAACUAUCAGACUUUGGGUUCAACUCAGCCUAAUGCGAACAUGUCCAUCAAGGGAGGGACAAUUAUUCACAAGGAUCUAAAACCCAAUGAGAUGAUGAUGAAAACUAGUAACACCAAGAAAUUCCAGUCCUCUACGCUAAUUCUGGCUAUAACAACAUGCAAUUAGGUAAUUCACAUAUUUUACUUGGAAUAUUUAUCUAUAAAAUUCAAAUAGCAAAUAUUUACCUAUACCAAUUGAAGUAUUUCUACGGCCCCUUCUAAUCAGAUAAAUUAGAAUAAAACAAAGUAAACAAGUUCCUUUAUUUUGUUGAAAGAAUUGUUAUCGUCUAUUAUGGUCAAACUAUUGGAAAAUGGAAAAUGAGCAUCAGCCACAAAAUACUGGAAGAUUUAUAUGAUUCAUGCUAAUAACAGCAUGCAAACAAAUGUAUAAUGGCAAUCACAACCAUUGUUGUCAAAACGUUACUUCACCAAAGCUAGGGCACCCUAGGUGAGGAGAGAGCCACCAAGCAAGGCGAUUUAAUAGGUGCUCGCCUGGAGAAGAGUUGCUAGGACUUGAGGCGCUGUCUAGGCAAUAAUUUUUGUCUUUUCUUUUCUCAUUUUUGACUAUAUUAAUCUUAUUCUUCUAUCCACCCACCCAUAGUUAUUUAGAGGGUAUAAUUGUGAAACCCAAGGCUCUUGUCUUUUAAAAAUUAUAAAAAGAAACAAAAGGAAGAGAUUCGCCAAGAACUGUCACUGGGAUUGACACGUAGCAUGUGAGGACCACCUUUUUCCGUUCAACAGCAGAGACAUUUAAUGGAACCAGCUAACCUCCAUGCUUUACUAUUAUUUUAUUCAUCUUCUUUUGUUUAUUUCUUCUUUUCUUUUAUCUAUUCUGACUUUCACCACACUUUUCUUCUCUUUAUCAGUCUUCAUUUAUAAAUAUUUAAGCUAUAUAAUGCUGCCAGAUUUUCAAUUUGAUUUUAUUUUUUUAAAUUUCUUCUACGGUUAUCAAUUUAUUUCCUUUUAGACUUGUCAAGGUUGAACAGUUACCCUUAAAUAACUCCAUCUAUCUUUAAGACUUAUUUAAUCUACUUGCUCAUUUAAAUUAUCUAGUAUCCUCUUUUAUCUUUCAAAGUUAUAGACUUAAUUAACAGUUAGUGAGACAUUGAUAUGGCUUUCUAUAAUAUGAUAUUUUGCUUUUAAAUUUGAUUAUUUUAUUUUAUUUUAGUAUAUCACCUCAUUUUGUUCGAGUGGGCCUAUGACACCUCAGGUGUUUAGCACCAUUGGAGCCUUAGGGCACCUUUCACUUUUGACAACACUAAAUUCACAUUUCAAAAUUAUACUUUUUUAAAUUUCAGCAUUUCUUUAUCUUCGGUAUACUUAUUUGACAAAUUUUCACCACCACCAUGCAAAGGAACCUUUAAAUAUAGCAACUUCCUAUAAGGCAAUUGAUUGAAGCAAAGUUUUAAUCCUUUCCUUGUUGGGCAGUUGUUAAAAAAUUAAAAGCAACAAAUAACAUGUGCUAGGCUGUGUGACUAUAGAGCAGGCUAAGAAGAUAAAAGCCACUAUGAAGGUACUUUCAAAAAAGAUGAACAAAGAGUCCAGGAUAAAUUAAAAUAACAAACUGAAAAUCAAAUCACUCAAUGCCAAAUGUAAACACUAAAACAGCAUUAGUUCCAAACGAUCUCAUAGAACUUAAAAUCUUUGAACUAUAAAUACUUGCACGUGAAGCAAUUUAAUUAGCGGAGAGUUAAUAAAAAGAUCUGAUAUGGAAAAUUCAUAUUUACCUGGGGAUAGCAUCCUAAAAUUCCAAAACAGAAAUUAACCCAAAUAUGAAACAGAAACAUGUGAGACAUACCGGUUCGGUUGCAUCAGGGAUACCAAGUCGAGAUUGUUCAUUGGCAAGGAGGUGAACUACAUGUUCCCGCUGGUUUGAAACAUUGUCUUUCUGAUAGCCAUAAAGUUCACAAAUGAGAAGCAAGAAACAAAUUAUUCCAAAUGAUUUCUUAGAAAAAUUCCAUAACACACUAGAAGAAGUGAAUGCAAAAGUAGUGUAGAGAAGCGUGAUUUUGAAUUGAACCCCCCCCCCCCAAACUUAUAUAAUUUUCACCUAUUCUGAAUGGAAGAUAAAUAUAGGAGGCUGGGCAAAGCACAGAAUUCUCAGCAUCCAAAAAAAUAUGAAUCCAAUUUAAAAACCCACAAUUGCUUCUUUUAAUUUUCCUCUCUAAACAAGUCAUAUUCCUAGAGCCUAUCUCCCCUUAUGAAUCAAUUAACUUGCUCCUUUUUCAGUUAAUGAACUUAAUGAAGACAAUGACAUGGGGUUUUGAUAUCCCUGUUGAUAAAGUAGAUGGGAGAAUGGUUGUUCAUAUCAUUUAUAGUGUAUUUUGAAUCAACUGAAAAUUGAUUAUGGUAGGGCCAAAUAAAAGAACAAAGACCCAAUUUACUAUUUCAUGAACGAAAUUCAAGUUUUAAAACUCCCUUUGCAUUCUAAGUGAACCAAUGAGGAGUGAGAAUUGCAACCGAACCAGAUUAUUACCCGAUUAAAAUGUAGUAGCCAGGUAAGAACCCCAAAAACAUCAAAAUAUAAUAUGGCUCUGAUCACAUCCAAAUACAACAUCAAGAAAUAACUAACUACGGAUAUUGCAAAUCCAAAAGACAUCCAAAUAAAAUUUCUGCUUCUAAAUAAGCAUACAAUCUCCAAGCUUGACACUUCAUUGGUGGAUUUCUACUUUUAGAAGCAUGAAUCAAGAGAAAACAAACAAAAACUACGGAAGUGCACAAGUGAAAUAGCCUCAUACAGCACAUAAUCACGGAAUUACAAACCUGAAACCCAAAAAUGUAGUGCAGAAAAUCAAGCAUAUCAAGACUUCUUGUAGCAGGAAUAGGAAAACCAUCUGGUAAUUGCGGCAGGCCCUGGAAAUACUUCAAAGCUGUUGCUGCUGCUCGUACCUGCACUUGAAUGAUGUUGAGUGAAAAAUUAUGCAAUUAACAAAUUAUGAACAUAGGAUAAUAAUAAAACUAGUUGACCUCAGGGAAAGUAACAAUAGCAUUUGUCAUAGUUUGACCAUCCAGUGGAAUGAUGUUAUAAGCAAUAAGGUCCUCAGUCAUGGUGGCAUCGGAUUCGAUCAUUCGCUUAAGCUGCACAAAAUACAACAUGCAUAUUAAUUGACAGUAGACACAAAUAAGUAUUACCAACGACCUUUACAAAUGCAUAUAUUAAUGAUAGCAUUCAUUGGUAUCCAUAAAAAGGGGAGGGGUGGAGAGUUGGUUGCAUUAAGAAUAUCUUUUCACGAAUAAGUAAAAGAGCAAAAAUGAAAAGCAAAAUUAUAUUCUCAUGCUGCAGUGUCCUCCCAUGUCUUCAAUUAGUGCAACCAUGGAUACAACUUCACAAAAGCAGAGCAUGUCACAGAAAAUACCACAAUGGAUGAAUUAUCUGGAUUUCUGAGAUGGCUUAGAAGCACCAAGCUCUACCAAAAACAUAGCAUAGGGACUGUGGUAGGCAGGAGAGUAGAGAAGUAGAUCGAAGCACAUAUUGCAUAACAUGUUGAAAUGGCGCAGGAAAUAAAUAAAAUCAACCUGGAAGAAGAGAGUAAAGAAGUUGCAUAUGCAUGCAAUUUUAACUUUUCAAAGAGAAAGAAUGAAGAAAAAAAAAAUUGUGGCUUGAAAGAAACAUAGAAGUUCAAAUUCUCAAAAUAAUCCUGAUAUAGUCCACAAGAUAAGUAACUGAAAAAUUAAUGUAUGAGCAGCCAUGAAGAGAAUUAUGUUUGAAAAGACUGUAGAUCGAACCUCUUCGGGAAGUUCAUCUGUUAGUUGCCCAAGUACAGAUCCUAAAACUUUCAGAGUUGCAAAAACUCUUUUUCUCUUCACUGUCUUCCGCUCCAACCUGGAUUGACAAAUCAAAACCAAGCAUGCCAUGGUGAAACAAGAGAAAUCAUAAAUAGUUCCAAACUAGGCAACAAAGUGCACAUGCAUGUAGCAAAAACUAAAUUUAUGGGACUGCCAGAAACCUUAGAAACACAAGAAAAUGGAGCUAAUGAAUUAAUUAAGCCAGCAAAUUAAUUAGCAGAGCUACAGUUACCACCUGAGGUAAUUUCAGCGACAGGGCUUAUUUAUGGUGGCAGCCAUUUUGAUGGGGCACUUUUUUUUGUUUCUUGGAGAGGAGGGAGGGAUCAGAGUUUGUCCAAACUCAAAGGCGAGCAUUCUGAGAUACAGCAUAUGAAGUGGAUACCUCCAGAAUUGAGUGGAGAAUAUAACUAAAAAUGUAUUCCUACCUCAUUCAGCAAUUCUAAUGAAUACCAAGCAUGAACGACAAAGCCUCAAUUCCAAACUAAUAGGGGUCAGCUGUAUCAAGCAUCACUAGUUAAAUUCUUCAUAUAAGCUCCCAAGUACAAGGGCUUACUAUUACAUAUUGGAGAACUAUAAAAAUCUGCCCCUUCUCAUCUAGGUUUAUAUUCACAGAAACUAAAACUAUAUCAUGAAUGCUGAUUAAACCUAAAGAAAUGACAAAAAAAAAACAUUUAUGAAUCAGAAGCAGUGUUUAAAUACAAACCAUGUCUAUGGUACCUAUUCCAUGAAAUUAAUGAUGUUAAAAAUUGGCAAAGAAGCAGAGAAAAUAAACAGAGGGAGAGAGGUGGAGACAAAGAGAAGAAAAGAAAAAUAAAAGGAAAGCCAAACUAUUGUGGAUGACAUUAAAGGCAUUCUGCUGUUUAAAGGCAAAGUUCGACUCAAUUUUUUAAUGAAUUCUUUCUUAUUUUAGGAACAUACUCGCCAAGGAUUCCAGUAAAAGCACCAGAUUCCCUCAACUGCAUUUCUUCUUCUCGUAGCUUGUCUACAUUGUUGUUCUCUCUGUAGGAUUUGUAAAACUCUUGCAGCUGAGCAAUAUCCUGGCUUCUAUCUAUGGUUCCACCCUCCCUUUUUGCCAGCUUUUGCUGAAAUUUUCUCAAAAGGACAAAGAAGGCACAUGAUAUUAGCAGACAUAUAUAUAUAAAAACACAUCACAUCUAUAAUAACUAUUGAAUAGCUAUUGAAUAGCAUCAAACAUAAUAUAAUUGUUAAGGUAUCUAAAGAAUAACAUAACUAUAACAUUAUAAACUACCAAUCAAAAUAAUACCUGAAUGUACAAUUAUCAUUAUUAUAGAUAAUGAAAAGAGAAGACAAAUUUAAAAACUUCUCAGCACAUCUACAAAAUAGCUUUCAUCAUUUAUCUGGAAAUCUAUCUUCUGGUAAUACUGUAUUUUCCUGAAUUUUUUUUCUACAAAACUGAAAGAUCUUCUACAUGUAAACAUGACCAAAAGUCUUCAUAUACAAGAGCUAUACCUUGAUAACAGACAUCAAACCAGUCUUGAAUUGUAGAACACCUCUUCCUUCACUAUUAGGAUCCAGAUUUUGUGCAAGUGAAUAAGCAUGUUCACAUACUGCAGGUAAAAUAAUAAUUAAAAAAAAUACAGUAGCUUCAAGAGCGCAAAGCUUCUGCUGAUUAUAUGGGGCAUAUCAUUAAUAGAAAACAGAAUCAACAGCAGAAUACAAGUCAUUCAAGCAAAACAUAGAAACUCCUAUUUGUCAUGUUUAUAAGGGUUUGAUAUUUGCUUGACGACUUACCUCAUAGCUUAUUAUUUUAAUUACUUGUGGUUUGCUAAGUUGCCUAGAUUAUUAUGUCUUGAAUAGGAAAUGCAAAAUAUUCCAUAUGCAUGGGACAUUGAUAAUUAAUUGAUUUGAAGUAUCAGCUUAUUAGUUUAUGAACUUUGUAAUUUUUUCUUAAACUUAAAGUUCAGAUUUUACAUCAUGAUAGACUAGAUUGUUCAUGUUCAAAAGUUUCUUCAUCCAAAAUCUUUUCUCUUUCUUUUUUUUUUUUUUUUUUUUGCAUUGAGUUGUGCUAGAAUGUAAGCAAGUCUGAUCAACUUAAGCUAAAAUGAUUAACACUCUCCCUAAGAGAUUUGCAUAAAUACCCUAGGUUAGAUGGUGUAAACAUGCAAAAUAAGAGUGACAUAACCAAAAGAAAAUAAAAUACAUACAAAUUCUAGACACAGCUGGAUUUCCAUCUUGAAUUUCAUCUGCUGCUCUCAAAAUUUCAUCUAUAUCCCUAUUAUUAGUAAGCGAAGACGGAACAUAUCCAGCAAUACCACCAACAGGCCGACCAAGUGCAUCAGUCCCAGUUCUUUCCCUCCUUAACACAGCCCUUACUAACCUCUCCCAUAAGUCCUCUGCUCGAGACAUUUUCUGCAGAGCACAAAUCAUCAGUGCACUCUAUCCAAACAGUUCAAAAAAUGAAAAACAAAAAACAAGAACCUUGUACUUUGGAAUUUUAAAUAACAAGUACAUAUAGAUUCAUUGAUUGAUACAAUGGAUGAUGUCAUGGAAAUGCAUCAGAUACAAAUAAAAAUAUAAAUAAUACUUGCAGUUAAAAUUGUCUGUCCUUUACAACCAAUAGAGCAUUACUGGAGUAUAGCAGCCUAGCUGGCAAUCAACAGUCUAGGACCGAAGAAGUGCAGCUCACAGCUGAAGUAAAAGCCGACAAAUGAUUAAAACCAAAACGCAAACUAAUUAUUCAAGGGACGAUCCUAAUAAUAAUUACUAACAGGUAUCCAAUCCGAAGACCAACAAGGCUACUGCAAGCAAUCACCAAUCAGAUUAAAUUUAUCCAACAACCAAUUGCACACAAAAUUUGUGCACGCCUCAAGAUACUACAACAAAAGGCUUUAUGCAAAUUUAUACUGCCUUGACCUAGUCCUUUUCAUAGAGCCUCAGAUUUUCACUAAACAAGAGACUAAGCCCUUAAUUUUGACGAACACUUGAGAGCAACAUAAACCCUAAAACGAACAUUUAUCAGAAAAAUUAACUUAAAAAGUGAGCAAUACAAUUAAAUAGCAUGAUAACACCACACAGAAACAAUUAAGGUAGCCAAACACCCAACAGAAACAAUUAAGGUAGCCAAAUCAUACUUUCUAAAUAAGAAAUUACGUGACAAUUAGCUAAAAUUACAAGAAAAAAUACUCAAAAGUUAGUUAAAUUUGUGUGUAUUUAUAUACUAAUAUGUAAAAGAAUAGACACAAAUGGCUAAAUAGAAGUUGCAGAUCAAAGAAAGAGAUAAAGGUUUCCAAAAAUAAACAAAUCAAAAAAAUUGUGGUUGGGGAAUUCAAAACAGAAAAAAUUACAAAACUUUUUCGAAUUAUUUUUCUGUGCUCAACAACAACAAAAACAAAAACCUAAUAGAUCUCAAAUUAUAGUCACUAAUUUUCUCGGUAACGAAACAGGAGAAAAAUUCAAAAACAAAAUAAAAACCAAAAACCAAAAGCCGUUACCUGAAUCGCUACACGAAAAUGGUAGAGAGAAGGAGAGAGACCGAGUUGACAAGGCGAGUUGAAUCGAUCUGUUCUUCUUUUUCUUCGUCUCGAAGCAAAAGAUUUCAAAUGAAAAAACAAAAAGACGGGGGUUUUUAAAAGGAAGGGUGUUUUUGCUUUGCUGCCAUUUAAAAAGAGAGCUGGGAGAUCGUUUCCGAGGAGAGAGAAAAGAAAUGAGGGGAGUGAUAGGGAAUCUAUAAAGGGGUAGUUAUGUAAUUAUACGAAUUUGAUAAUUUAUAUAGGAGGGAAUUAUAAAUUAGCCCCUCUAGUUUAGAAAUGUAAUAGAUUUGUCCAUAUAGUUUUAAAUAUACUUAUGAUUUAUUUUUAUUUUUAUUUUUUCUAUUUAAAUUUAUUUUGUUUUUUCCAAGGGGUGUAGUGAAAUUCAUGAAAUUCUUUGAUUGUGUUUUCUCAUAAAAAUAUUUUUUUGUUUGACAAAUGAGAACAAUAAAUAAUUAGUUAUAACAAAUUAAUAUAACUAUAAAACAUAAAAAUAUAAUAAAUACUAAAAUAAAAUACUAACAAAUUAAAAAAAUUUCAUGAAUCGCCUUAUCUCGAAGCAAAAGAUUUCAAAUGAAAAAAUAAAAAGAUAGUGUUUUUUUUUAAAAAGUGUUUUUGUUUUAUUGUUCUCUUUUAAAGAAAAAGCUGAGAAAUUAUUUAUGAGGAGAGAGAAAAUAAAUAACGGGAGCAAUAAAAAAUCUAUAGAGGGGUUAUAUAUAUACGAUGAUAAUUACCGCUCAUAACCGGUUGAAUGCAGAUUUGAUAAUUUAUAAAGGAGGGGAUUAUAAAUUAACCCCUCUAGUUUAUAAAUGUAAUUGAUUUGUCCAUGUAUUUUUAAAUAUACUUGUGAUUUGUUAUUUUUUUCCAUUUAAAUUUUUUUUUUUAAGGGGUGCAAUGAAAUUCAUGAAAUUUUUUGACUGUAUCUUCCCAUAAAAAUAUUUUUUUUGUUUGAGAGAUGAGAGCAAUAAAUAAUUAGUUAUAACAAAUUAAUAUAGCUCUAAAACAUAAAAAUAUAAUAAAUACUAAAAGAAAACACUAAAUAAAAAAAAUACGUAUAUCUUAUUUAAAUAUUUUACACUAAAUACCUUGUGAUCUCCAACCAAUUAUGCUCUUUGAUAUGAUUUACAUGAGUAACUUCUGAGUAUUUAUAUUGUCAAAUUUAUUUAUAGCUUAAUUUUUUCAUCCAUUUUAAUUUUAACUUUUUUCCUUCAAGAAGAAAAGAAAUUGAUAAUAAGAAAGUACAAGAAGAAGGUAUUUUUUUAGAAUAAAUUAAUAGUAGAUGAAGUAUUUGUUAGCACUAAUAAGAGACUAAUUAAAUAGUUUUUGAAACUAGAAAAAUUAUUUAAUUCUUUUUUAAAAAUAGAGGGACUAAUUUAUAAUUUACUCUUUUAUUAACAUGGGAUGAGAAGAAGACAUUUACCGGUUAUAGGCCGUGACACGGGGUUCGAUGCCUUUGAACAAUUAACGCGGAAAAGAAAAGUAGUGUAAAAAGGCCUAUGGGGCCUUGAGCACGUGGAGUGGAACCUGGUCACAUGAUCAGUUGAUCCUUUUUUUGUAUUAUAAAAAGACCUUUAGUUAAUAAAUUGAUAAUAAAACUAAGGAAAUUGAUUGAUGAAUGAUCAAAAAGAAAUUAAUUAAUUGAAAUAAGGAGAUCAAACAAUGGGAAAUGGCCUGUGGAGGUACCAUUUGGGUAAUUUGGAGCAUAGCUGUAAACUAUGCACCGGUUUAGCAAGUAUACCUGAGAUUUGAUUGAUUUAAAAUUUAGAUGGGAUGAAUUGAAGAGAAAAAAAUUGGCUAAGGCGAUUAAAAAUAUAGGGCAAUUCAUUAGCUUAGUCAAUCUUGCUUAACCAUCAAUUCAUUAAUUUUUUUAAUUUUUUUUAUUAAAAUGAUAUUCUUUUAAUUCUUAAAUAAAAUUGAAGGUAAAUCUAGAUUGACAUUUUCAACCUGUAAUCCAAACCUUAUCCUGAUUCUGAGUGGAUCUUUAUUUCAUGUUUUAGAAAUAUGAUUUGAAUGAAAAAUUAUCUUUUCAAGUAUUGUUGUAAUUUAUUUUAUUUAUAAUUUUUUUUGUCAGAUUCCACAUUUCAAUACCAUAAAAAUGUUUUCCUACAUUUCCAUGGCUCCCAUCUAUAAAAUCAACAACAGUGUUCAAGUAAUUUUAAAGGGUGUAGUUUAAUUAGUCAAAUCUUGGGUUUGUUCCUCAAAUAUCAACAGUUCGAGUCUCACAAAUCUCAAGGCCAUUGGAGACUUACAUGGUUGUUAACUUCAAGAUCUCGAGGGAAUAAUCGAGAUGCGCGUAAGCUAGCCCGAACAAAAAAAAAACUUGAAAUUAACUUUAAAAACUUGAAAUUCAGAUCAUGAUUUGAGUUGAAUUUUGAGUUAAAUUUGAUUCAAACAGGUUUUAGUGACCAAUUAAGCUGAUUUGAUGUAAUCCAACUGAAUUAAUACAAAAAAAAUAAUAAAUAAUAUUGAUUGUUGUAUUUCAGGAGCACGCUUACUUGGUAUGGCUCAUUGUCAUCUUUUCAGCCAAGGGCCUGCAACUUCACCAGUUGGGAGCCAGAAUACCAGGAGCGUUUGUGACUCAGUUUGGAUAGCAACGAGACAAUGCCUCCCUUCGGCCCUUCAGCUCCUACUUCAUUUGAUGCUAGCAACUUCAAAAGUGGUGAACCAUUUCGCUAGCAACCAGUCUCAAUUCUUCACAAUGCUACUGGAAAAGAUGAUGGGAUUAGGAACGAUUGCAGGAGGGUUGAUUAUCAAGUUUAUGAUUUGUAAUCAUGUUUAGGUACUUGAAUUAAGUCAUGUGCAGUAAUAAAUGUGACAAUCAAUAUCUUAGUAUUAUUUCUAAUAUAACUGUGAACCUUGAAACCUUUUAAAAUUAAAUUGUGUAGAAUCCGAGCUAAUUUAAUAUAAAUAGGGAUCUUGAACGUAAUUACAAAUAUAACAUUUUAAAAUAUUUUAAAAUAUUUUAUUAUUAUUUUGAUGUAUAUGUGACAAGUGAGGCUUUGGACAAUAUUCAUUUGGAGGUAAUCUUUAUUUCAUAAAACAUAAUUAAUAAAUAUAUAUUAUUUAUUAUACGGGUUUUUUUUUUUGUUAAGGGGCUUGGACUAUUGCUUAAGUGGCCAUUAACUUAAGCCAAUUUUGUGUGGAAGUUGCCUUGAUCUAGUCAACUUAACUGGUUUAAGGACAACUCAAUUAACUAAUAAAAUAAUUUGAAGAUGAAAUUAAAAAAAAAUAAUGAAAUUGAUAAAAAAAACCCUAUAAACCCAACUAAUUGUUUAAAAUAGAUUUAAAAUUAAAUCAUGUGAGAGUUGUUUUGAUAUUAUCCAAUUGACUUGGCCAUUCAAAAAAUAAUCUAAAUGAUUAGUAAAAAAUUUCAGAAUUAAAUUAAAAAAAUAGUUGAUCUGAAAAAAGUCAAAAACAAAGUUUCACUAUUUAUAUUAAAUUUUCUUUAAUAAUAAUUUUUUUUUUCCGAAUGUACAUCAUUUAUUAUAUUAUUUAAUAUUUAUUGAAAAAAUAUUGAAAUAACCUAUCAUUACAAAUUAGUUUUUACACGUUUAUUAAACAUAUCCAACGUUUUAUUUUUCACCUGUUUUUUACCUUCUUAACACUUAGAUCAUGUUUGGUUGGAGAGCAAACGAGGUAACUUUUUGCCUAUUUUACUUGUUUUUUAGAUGAUUUUUGAGUUAGGAGAAAAUUCAAAGGAGGUUAAUUAUCAAUAACUCCAAGCUUUCCUCACAUAUUUUUUUUUUUGGCUUUUGUUCCUUUUUUUUUACAUGUUUUUUUUCAAAAUUGACUUCUUCUUCUUCUUCUUCUUUUGUUUUUUUAAUUUUUUUGUUUUUGUUUUUAUUUUCAAAAUUAUCCUUGCCAAUUUUUUUAAAUAUUAAACUGGUUAAGAAUUUAGUUAUGUAGUUUUUUUCUUUAAAACAAUGUGGAUUACUACAAUAUUUCCUUACAUGGUUUUUUUUCUUUCUUUUUAUGAUUUUUUUCAAACUGGUAUUUGUCGAUUUUUUUUUUAUAUUGAGCUAGUUGAGAAUUUAGCUUCGUAGUUUUUUCAAAAAUAACACUGUGGAUUGUUACAAUGUUUCCCCACAUAGUUUUUGUUUUGCUGCAGUGUUUCCCCACAUGUUUUUUUUUAAUUAUCUUUGUUGAAUUUAUUUUUUCAAUAUUUAGCUGAUUGAGAAUUGAGCUUUAGCUUUCCCCAAAAAAAUUUUCCAUUUAUUUUGUUUUAUUCCAAAAUUGUCUUAUUCUUUUUUUGUUUUUUUUUCAGAAUUGUUUUUGUCGAUUUUUUUUUUUUACUAUUGAGCUGGUUGAGAAUUUAGUUUUUUAGUUUUUUCUUUGAAACAUUAUGGGUUGCUACAGUGUUUCUCCGCAUGGUUUUUUUUGUUUUUUUUAGAAUUAUCUUUGUCGAUUUUUUUUUUCAUAUUGAGCUGAUUGAGAUUGUAGUUCUUUAAAACACUGUGAAUUGCUACAAUGUUUCCCACAUGAUUUUUCGUGCGAUGUCGCGGGCUUGUGGCAUGUUUGUGCGUUGUCGUGGAUUUGUGGAAAAAAUAAAAAAAAAUUAUAUGGAGAAAAACUGUUGCAAUCCACAAUAUUUUCAAGAAAAAAACUACAAAACUAAAUUCUUAACCAGAUUAAUAUUUAAAAAAUAAAAUGAACAAAGAAAAUUUUGGAAAAAAUCAUAAUAAAAAAACGAAAGGAAAAAAAAACCAUGCAGGAAAACACUGUAGCAAUCUAUAGUGUUUCAUAAGGAAAUAUACAGUUGUAAUUCUCAACCAGCUCAAUAUUCAAAAUAAUAAAAUCGAUAAAGACAAUUUUGAAAAAAAUCAUAACAAAAAAAAAUCAUGUGGAGGAACACUGUAGCAAUCCACAGUGUUUUAAAGAGAAAAACUACGAAGCUAAAUUAUCAACCAGCUCAAUAUUAAAAAUAAUAAAAUCGAUAAAGACAAUUUUGAAAAAAAUCAUAACAAAAAAAAUCAUAUGGGGGAACACUGUAGCAAUCCACAAUGUUUUAAAGAGAAAAACUACGAAGCUAAAUUCUCAACCAGCUCAAUAUGAAAAAAAAAUCGACAAAGACAAUUUUGGAAAAAAAAACAAAAAAAAAUCAUUAAAAAACAAAAAAAAAACCAUGUGGGGAAACACUGUAGAAAUCCAUAGUGUUUUAAAGAAAAAAAACUACAAAGCCAUAUUAAAAAAAUAAAAUCAACAAAAACAAUUUUGAAAAAAAAACACAAAAAAUUGAAAAAAAAGAAGACAAUUUUGGAAAAAAAAAGAAAAAAAACAUGUGGGGAAAGUUAAAGAUAAAUUUUCAACCAGCUCAAUAUUAAAAAAAAAAUUCGAUAAAGAUAAUUUUGAAAAAAAACAUGUGGGAAAACACUAUAGCAUAACAAAAACCUUGUGGGAAAAUAUUAUAACAAUCCACAAUGUUUUAAAGAAAAAAACUAUGAAGCAAAAUCGACAAAGACCAUUUUGAAAAAAAAAAAAUCAUAAAAAAUAUAUAAAAAACCAUAUAGAAAAACAUUGUAGUAAUUCAUAAUAUUUUUUUUAAAAAAACUACAUAACCAAUUCAAUAUUAAAAAAAAACAAUGUUAAUAUCUAACCUAGAAAAUGUUGAAGACGUAGGGAUAAAGUAAUUUUUAGGAAGAAAAUUCAUGAUUUUUCUCUUUCCAUCUCUCUUUUGAAUUUAACAUGAUAUUACUAUUUUUAAUUUGAAAAGCAAAUAUAUAAUAUAUAAUUAAUGUUGUAAUCAAAUUUAAUUUAAAAUUUUAAUAAUCCACUAUCACAUAUAAUUUGUUUUUUGUUUUAACUUCUAUCAAACAUCUUUAGAACUUCACCCAUUUUAACCCUUUUUACAAAUCAUACUCCAUUUCUUCAAAUUUUUAACCUCAAAUCAAACACAACCUUAACAAUUUCAAUUUUGUUUUAAAAAUACAGGUUGUUUUUUAAAAUAUUUUUUUUCUUAGAAAUAACAUCAAAAUAAUUUUUUUAAAAAAAUUACUUUCAACAUAAACAGAACCUAAAACCCCUGCACAAACUCAGUCUUGCUUGUUUCAGGCAUGAGACCCUACAAUACAUAGCAUAACAUUGAUAAUUUGAUCAAAGAUGCUCAAAACAGAACUGAUGAUUUAGUGGAAAAAAUUUAUUCAAGUUGGGGGGGGGGGCUGCUAGAAGUUGAUUUUAUCCCAAUUACGAAAAAUGCAAUUCCUUACUCAUCCACAAGUACAAUGGUUAGCAAACAUAUUAACAGAAUUUUCACAAGCCAGUGUGAUACUGCUAGUGUGGUACUAAGAUCACUCCUUGUUCCUUGAAGAGCGAUCCUUCCUUGGGCCGCCAAGAAUUCGAGAAAUUUGCAGACCUCUACUAAAUGCUUGGUUGAACAGCAUACGAGUCUGGAAUUCAGACACAAAUGGAAACCAGGCAAGGAAUGCAACUGGAGUGAACAGGAGCAAGCCCAUAACGAUUUCGUAACCACGAGCAAGUGUCUGAACUGAUCCCCAAAACCCUGCUCGUUGAACGAUUGGCUUGCAUGCUUGUGCAAUCUGGUAAAAAUGGAAGGAAAAUUAACAUGGGUGAUGAUGCAUGGAAACUGAAAAGGCUAUUCUGAAAACAAAAUAAUGAUACACAAAGACAUGAAGUAGUUUAAAAAUGAAGAAAGAUCUUGAAUCUCGAAAUCUAGAAAGGCAACAAUGUAAUUUUUACUCUUCAUAGUUAGAUUUAGUAAUUGAACAACUAAAAAGAACAGAAAGAGGCUAAUCAAUGCAGCCUCCUUAGUUAGAAGCUUAUGAUAUAGUUCAAAAGUGAUGCAAAUGAAGCCAAGCCAAUUUGACACCAAGUUCGAGCUCUAAUUCUCUGAGCUUGAGCUCAAUUGAACCACCACAAUAAUAGAGAUGUGUAGCAAUCAUGGCUAAGGCUAAGAUCCAGCUUAUCAAACUUUCAAAACAAAACCCAGGGGCCCAAGAACAAGAGUAUGAUCUGCUUCAAUGACCAUGGGGGUCUACCAGACCAUACAAUAAUCAUAAAAAAAAAUGAAUUAUACUCUAGUUGAAUGUUUAUGGAGAAGCAAACUUGAAAUUAAUAAGCCUAAACUCUGCUAAGUAUUGUAUUUGUCAAGCAUAAUUCAAAUAACCUAAACGAAAAAGGCCAAAUAGAGCUCUCAGCUCAUCUACACCGCAUUUGAGACUCAAAUGAGCCAGAUGUCAGGAACAUUGGCAGAAAUUAUAGAAAGAGCAGGAUAGAAAUUCACUCACCAAAAGCAUCCCCCAGCCAGUUGGCAUGAAAGCAAGAAUGCAUACAAAGAUGUCCUGCACCGUCAUAUGAGGCAGUGCAAUCAAAGUGACAAGAAUGGAGAUAAAUGUUAGGAAUAUCAUUCCCUUAAUUAGACGGAACGCAAGCUGGAAGUUAGCACUGAACUUUCGCCGCCCAACAGAUACGGUCUGAGUAAGAAAGAGAGAAGUAAGUGGAUCCAUACAUAUAACACACAUCUCAAAAAACUAAGCGUGAAAUACAUUUCAAGGAAAACGUUAAUCUGAUCCAGAAAGAAAUACAAAGUUGUUAUGGACAGUAAUUUUAUCCUCCAACUUCUAUUCACAAAUAGUCCAGAGAUUUUUAUAUCUUUCUCAAAAAAUGAGACUCGUUGAAAAAGAAUAAGAUUUAUCAUCUAUAGCAUUUGUGAACACGAUCUUGUGCAGCUAAAGGUACUAGUGAACCAUGAGAAAUAGAAGGAAAAAAAGAAAAGCAUUGAUAGCUUACAACUACAUUGCUAAUGUAGAAAGAUUAGCAAAUGAUUAUUGCUAAAGAUGUGCAGAAACCUAGAAGACUGAAGAAAUAAGCAGCUUACCUUCAUCACAAACAAUAUUAGAAAGAUGACCAGCCAUGAUACACGAUCUUUUUAUAUCUUUCUCCAAAAAUGAGACUCGUUGAAAAACAAUCAGAUUUAUUAUCUAUAGCAUUUGUGAACACGAUCUUGUGCAGCUAAAGGUACUAGUGAAACAUAAGAAAUAGAAGGAAAAAGAGAAAAGCAUUGAUAGCUUAAAACUACAUUGCUAAUGUAGAAAGAUUAGCAAAUGACAAUUGCUAAAGAUGUGUAAAAACCUAGAAAGAUUGAAGAAAUAAGCAGCUUACCUUCAUCACGAACAAUAUUAGAAAGAUGACCAGCCAUGAUACACCAUAGACCUAUGACCAAGCACAAAGGAUAUGACAUUGGUUUAGAAAUGCCAGGUUUUAAUUUUUUUUUUUAAAGCAGGAGGUGAAGGUAAAAUAUGAGUGCAGCUGAGGACAUACCAAAAAACUUUUGGUUUUCUUUGUGAUCGUUAAAUGAUAUACUAGUCCAUAUUGAUAGAUAAAGAAUCUUAGAGAUAACAAUAUCUCUGCUAGAAUACCACGCUUUCCAGAGUGACGAAGAUGCUCCUGUUCUUCUUCCCACCAUGAUUCCCAACUCUUCUCUGAUGGAACACCUAUUCCUCCACGGUUACUUAUCCACUUGUUCCAAUCAGUCCAAUCAUCAACAAUCUUCUGCCACUCAAAUCCAGAAGGAUUGAAGAGGAAUGGAGCAAAAAGCCAGGUACCAACCAUAAACCACAUAGAUAUAGUUAUUAAGAGAUAGGCGACUGCACUUCUGUAUGGCUGACCAAAUAUUUGAUACACAACGAGCAAAAUCAUCAUCUCAAUACCCUUCACAAAAUGACUGCGGGAAUAGAGCCUGUAAUUGUCAGCAAACUUGGCAUGGAACACUACAAACCCUCUACCAGUGGGCCUAUAUUUCGCACCUCCAUGGAGCAAUGUCCUUCCAUAGUAGUGGGUCUUUGUGCCAAGAGAAAAUGUGAAAAAUACAGGUGCUAGUUGUAAUUGCAUCAGUAUAAAUUCACUUAGUGCAGUGCGGAAACCCCUUUCCAAGCCAAUUUCCAUCAACAUAGGCAACGCCAUCAAAAAUCCAAUUUGAACAAAAGAUUGAGAUGCAAGAGCCACUUGAAGAGGUUUGUUGUCUCGAAUUGCUUUCUGUGUGCUCAAACCUUCUUCAAGUCCACUGAGAACAAGAUAGAGGCGGCCAUAAAGAAAUACAUACACCGUGAGCACGGUUAUCUGUGAGAAGAGAUGUUCAGUACCUUCAGAAUUUCCCAUAAAACUAACACGAUAACAUCUUUGAACAAAUGAACAGAAAUUUUUAAUAUACCAGAGUGCUGAAGUAAAAACCAACUGUGGUGAAGUAGCAAGACAGCAUUCGGAAAAAGUCAAAGCGGUGUCCAAGCCGGUAUAUAUCACGACUCAAAGUCUGCUCUCCAUUUCCAUUAGCUAUUUUGGCCUCAAACAUAGAAAUCUGAUUGAGGCCCACAUCUCUCCCCUUCCCAACUUGUAUAUAUUCAUGAUGGGUAACAUUCCCUUCACGUAGUGUAGAAUUGAAGCCUGUGGAUGCAAUUCGAAAUAUAUAUGAUCAGUUAAAGCAAAGACCACAUAGAAAACCAAAAUGGCUACAGAAAGUUCAAAGCAAAUACAGACCGGCAAAUAUAUCUUCACUCAGAUUGAUAACCUUAGAAGCUUUACUGACACCCCCUCUAGUCAAGUGAAAAAGCCUAUCAAAUACAUCCGGAUGACCAUAGUGGAACCGCACCCUAUAUGAGAAGAAAACAGAGACAUGGAGGAAACUUAGCAUAUGAAAAAAGAAUGAUAUCCUUGUUGAACAGGUAAUGAAAUAAGCCAUCACAUGUUUAUUUUUGCUCUAGACAAAUUAUCAUAAAAUUCUUACCACGUUCAACAGCAUCAGUGGCCAACAAAUCCAACCUUUCAUGAUCAUUUUUAUUCUCGACACAUUUAUUAUAAAAUCACUUAAGAUUUUCCAUAUGGUUUUAACCUUGGAGUUCGCACCACUCCAAGGAUUUUUGCUUGCAUGAUGCUUCAUCAAUCCUAUUCGAUAAAUAUAUCAUAUAUCAUUCACCAUGAUGAUAAAACUGAUCAUAAUUCCUGUUUCUAGCAUUAAAUGUGAUAUAGAAUCGAAUCUACUUCAAAAAUAAUAAUUUUUUUUUUGGUCAGUUUCCACCAUCCUAUUUCUAGCAUUAAAUGUGAUCUAGAAUAGAAUCUCCCCCCCCCCCCCCAAUCAAGAACAGGAAACUGAAAGUUUUGGAGUACAGUUACUUCAAGCAUUUAUAACUUACUUAAGAGGGUUGGCCAAUAGCCUCUGACCGAUAGUCACAAAACUGGUUUCCUGAUUUGACAUAAACCAUGCAAGAGAUGAAACACUGCACCAAGCAAUGAAAGAAAAUUCAGUGAUCAUAAUCACAGUAAAAUACAUCUGGAGAAAGUAGCAUACGCAAAUAAUAACACACCUUCCAGUAAAUAUAUGCUCUCUAAGCCCAAGUAUCGAAGGAUUCCUCACACCAUCAGGCUUUUUAAGAAAUUCUUGCAGCAAAUUCCUCAUUUUCAAGGCUUCUUCCAUGUAGUUAUCCUAUAGAAUUGAAAACAUCAAACAAUGCACAACAGCUGAAGUUAAUGAUAAUGUUUAUUUAGAUUUCACUUUUAUCAUACCUGGUUCAUAUCUAUUGUUUGCAAGCCUUCUCCACGUGUGAAGAUAAUAGCAUGGUUUUGGUUUUCUGGUUUUCCUUCACCCAAGAUGGCUGGUCCUGGAAGUUUUAUUCGAUAAAUGACCUGCAAUUGGACAGCAAGACAAUCCAAUUGAAGUAUUGUAAUAUCAGAAAUUGAUAACGAAAUUGCCCAAGUUUACUUUUUCCCUUUUUUUAAAAAAAAAACUUCUUUUGCUCACUAAGAAACCAAGGUGCACUCGUGAUAUCUGCUUUCCAGAAAAAGUAUCAUGAAACAAGGGAAAUCCACUUUCUUAAGGAAAGUUUGCCCGGGUUACUCAAUAAUUCAAGAUAGCAGAUUCAUCUCAAAUUUAUGCCAUCAUUCUUUAGAAGAGAGUUAUGAUACUUUUUGUUGAUAACUGCUACAAUGUAAUCAGAACCAAUACCUAAUUUCUUAAGAAAUGCCUGACUUGCGAAAUAGUUGGCUUUACCUGGUCCAAGUUUUGCACUGGCUCAGAGGAAUCAAUGGACUUAGGUAAGGCUGCCUUCACUAGAGAUGAAUAGUAAACUUUUUGGAUGACCUUGGAUCUGUCUGGAUUAGUUUCUUCAACCUCAUCAAUGUAUGCCACACGGAGAGAUGGAUAUCUACCAAUUGGAAACAUAUGAGCAAGUUUAAAAAAUUGAAAUCAGAAGCUCGACAAGAAGGCUAAACAAACCUAAUACUUACGUUGUCAUGAGCCUCAAAAUAUCCUGUGCACGAGGAUCACCGGACCGCUUGUGAAUCCCAUAUUUCUGGCAUGAUACUACAUACGUAAAUUUCAUAUCAGCAACUGCCUGACACUGUGCCAACAGUGACCUUCCCCCCUUCGACUGAUCAUCAGUACUCAAUUCAAUAGCCUUAUAGCCCUCCAUCAAAUCUGAGAAGUGUAAUAACAGGACAAGAAGGAAAAAUAAUGUGUACGUUAAAAUUAUAACAUAUUAAACAUACAAUACACUAAAUAAUCGAUAAAUCCAAAAGUUUAAAGAGAGUAGUCACCUUCAUCUCCGGCCAUAUCAAGGAAUGCCUGAAGCUCCAAAGCAUGCCGAUAGUACAUCAUACCUCUCACUGCCAGUGGUAAUGUUAUAGUCAAACGAGAAAUUAAUGAAUAAAACAGGAAAAGAGAAAGAGGAACUGAGUGAGUACCCGUUCUAGUCAAAGUUUGGCCCCUAUAUGAUGCCCAUAAACGAAGUUCUUCAUCCAAGUUGUCUCUUCCUUUGAGUUCUUCUUCACUGCUGCAGUCCACUCGUUCAAGAAAGUUGUUCCACUCAUCUGUCCAUUAUUCUAAGUCUAUCAGGUAUCAAUGGAAGAUUUAUGGUCAAAACAAAGAGAAGCAGAUCUGGAAUUUGGUACGGCACCAAAUGGAAAAGAAAGAAAGAAACCUGGAAAGAUCUUUUGCAAGUAAAAGAGGAUGGAAACACCAUCUUCAUUUGGCACUUCCAAAUCAAGCAAGGAGAAAAGCACAUCCUCUGUAUAGUAAGGAGUUAAAACACUGCAAGAUAAAUUACCACAUUAGGAAAAGGUUUAGUUCUGCAUAUUAGUUAACAACAAAGUAUGUCUAUUAUUUUACUAUCAUUGUUUCUGGUGCAAAAGUUUCAACAAAACAAUAGAACAUCACUUAAAGAAACAUAUGCUACAUCAUAUGGAUAAAAUGUAUGAGGCGCGCAAUUCAUCUGGCAAAAGUUUUGGCAUCUUUGUCUAACCUUCACUUUAGACAAGUGCCGUAUCCUUUUCACCUUCUAUUUUAUGUGUAAUACUAUCCUAGUUACACUCUAGCCAAAUUAUUAUAGUUAUAAAACCCAACCCGGGUUUCAUGUCAAACCAGGCCCGGAGUUUACUCAGUCAAAAAACCAUGUUUGGCUUUAAAAAAUUCCAAAACAACUCGCUUUAAAUUGUUUUUAGAUCUUGAAACAAUGCCAUUUUGGAUUGAGCCGGAUUGACCCAACCAACCCGUGACCCGGGUCUAGGUCUUAUAACUAUGCAAAUUAUAUAGAUGGACUUGAGGAAAGACGGAUUCAUUGACGAUUGCAUUUAGUCAAUAGAGAUUGGAGUGGGAAGCAAUAUUUAAUUUAGUUUUGUGUCAUGGAGACUAUCAGUUGAAAGACAGUAAAAGAUGAAGCCACAAUCAUGAUGGCAUUGAACAAGCCUUACGAGAAAGAAAGCAUAUUGCGAACUUUAGGUGCAGUAGGCAUGUCCAUAAACAGUGAGUUUGAGAAGAAAGAUAUACGCCUCCUAGCUUCUAAGUUGGAUGGUACAUCCAUCGCGGAUUCUUUCGUGGUAAGCAAAAGAAAAAGCCUCUUGAUCUGCAAAGAUAGGUGAAGAAGAGCUAUUUAAAUUAGCAUGCUUAUCCAAUUUCAUAGUGGUUAAUAAAUUUCUAUUCACAAAACAAACCUUCUCUUUCCAUGCUUCUGUGACUGGUUCAAUUGGAAACUUGAUAGCUCCAGAAGAUGCAAAUAACUGAUAUUGUCGUUCAUGGAGAGUCAUUCCCUCAUGUCCAGAUCCGCCAUGAAUAGAAUCCACCAGACUUUAAAGGAAAAAACUAUAAAUUAUAAACUUGGAUGCUAACAUGUAAAAAGACAUAACAACGUGAUGUCAGAUGCAAAUAUGCUUGAAAAGACCAAUUACAAAUAUGUCGCACUUGGAUAUAUGAUCCUCCAUCAUUAUGUCUCUUGUCACAACCUCCAGCAUGUCCUGAAAGAGAAUCACAACUUGAUCCCUGUCCUCCGGUUUAUUAGCCAGCUGCAAAUUCCAAAAACAUAGGUUAGGGCUUCUCAUUAUCAUAGUUGUAUCAGCACUUUGCUCUAGAAAGGAUGUGGAAUAUUACCAAGUAUUUGAUAAGCUUCACAAAGUGAUCAUAGAGGAACGGAAGAGCACUCAUUUUGUAUUCACUUAUCAAAUCACCUCCGUCUAUGUGUAUGUUAACUUCAGAGAAUAUGAAAUCGAUCACCCUGAAAAAUUAUCAUGAACACAUCAACAAAAUGGUCAAAGUUACUAAAGGUCAAAUCCUAGUGAAAGUAAAUAGUGGCAUAGAGAGUUGAAAGCAAAUAUGCUUUUGGAUUUUCAUCUAAAAUUUUCUAAACCAUCUGCAAUGUAAUAGAACUCACUCUUUCUCACGUUUCCCUUGAACCAAAAACAAGAUGAUGUUCUUGAAAGAAGCAUAGCAUUCACGAACAGCACAAGACAUGUAGUUGUCAAACUCGAUUCUCUUUUUCAGCUCCUUAUCCUUACCGUUACUGUCCUUAGCCAUGUCUAAUGCUAUUGGGAUCUAAAAGGAGACACAGAGUUAAUAUCAUCACAUGAAGAUUUCACCAAUUUACAAUAAAGUGUGCUGAAAGAAACCUUGCUAGCCAGCAGAAAUGGAGGCCACUGUAUAAGGUCCAAAUCACGGUCAGCCCAAUAUGGAACAAGCAACAAGUCCAUCUCCCUGAAAAUGAGACAUACAGUUCAAGUAAAAUGUAAUAGCAAGAAUGAAAAAGCUUUAAAGAAACUAGAAAAGACACUAUUCUUCAUAGUAGCAUCCUUACUUAUUGCUUAUAAGGUCUUCUUCUCUGAAACUACUGAUGAUUUUAUUCCACAACUGAGCAAAUCUUGCUGCCUCCUUUUCUUUGUUAGAUGGGAUCUACAUUAAGAACCCCAGAUUGGUAACUCCAGAUAAGGACUACUUUCUGUAAUGAUUGCAUUACAAAAUUUACCAAGGUCACCAAUUUUUUACCCAAAAAAUACCAACAAUCAAGUCUAACCUCAGCAAAUUUGCGAGACAGGGUUGCCUUAAAGCCUUUCUUCUUUGGCUCACUCUUAUCCCCUGGAAUUAAACAGGCAUUGAAAGCACCAGGCAAUGAUUGGAAACGAGAUCUAAGCAUUCCCAAUGUUCGAAUCUGGAAUAAACAAAAUAAGUUACAGACCAAACAACAAAAACUCAAAUACCAAGAUGUCAAUUGGUUUGAAAGAUAUCCAAAGUGGAAAGCAUAAAAAAAGGCAACCACACCAGUUCUUCAAGUUACAAAGCAUAAAAGAAAACCACAUCAUUAUAUUCUCUAAGCAAAAGGGUACUACCCUGAAUGAAUAAAUAAGAAAGAUAACCAACAUGAUUGACAUCCAGGAAUAUAUUCAGCACUAAGAUUUACUAAAAGGUUCUUAAUUAUAAUUGAUUGGGAAAAUAAGCAUGUAAACAAAGCUAGAUGAUUUUCAUUGUAGUGUAUUAUCAAGAGAAUAAAGAAAAAGAUAUUGCUAACAGGUUCUUAAUUAUAAUUGGUUGGGAAAAUAAGCAUGUAAACAUAGCUGGAUGAUUUUCAUUGCAGUGUAUUAUCAAGAGAAUAAAGAAAAAGAUAUUGCUAACCUCUCCAAGCCGUCGAAAUGCACCAUAAAUACCUCCAAAGAAGGUGGAAAAUAUGGCAUACCAAAUCUGGGAAUCCAUAAAAUAUACCUAAAAAAUUUGGUAUAUUAGAUCACUUUCAGUUGAAAUAGAAUCAGAUGAGAAUUUAUACAUUAACAGAAACAACUCAUACAAGAAUAAUUGGAGCCCAGAGUGCAAUCACAACACCAAUAUUGUUCUUUGCUGCAAGUAAACAGGUAGACCAUGAAUUUUCUUCAAAAAAGAAAUAAAAGUGCACCACAAUCUGAUGCUACUAAUGUCUUCAAGUCUAUUACCUCGUGGAAAGAAUUCAUGCCAUUGGAAAGUAGUUAUAUGAACACUCAUUAUGGCUUUUGUUGGAACAACUAGAGGCCUUAUCUGCAACCAAAACAAAUUACAGUUAGCAGUAAAAAAGGAUUGAAUUUCCAUCUAGCAUGGCAGGUCAAGAUUCAAUAAGCAAUGGGAGAUCUAAGAAAAUGAAAGAAAGACACACCUCUAUAUAGUAACUAAAUGUCAACUUUGUUAUAAUAAGAAGAACCCAAAACAUUGUAUACCUGAAUAUUCAAUAAAGGCAACAGUCAAAAAAUUGCAAAUUUAAUGUUGUACUGUGAUUUAUUUUUCAAACAAUGAUCCUUACUUGAAGAGAGAAAUUGUACUCUCAUGCAUUCCCCUCCCAACAUAGAGCCGAGGCUGUAAUGUGUCAAAUGGAGGCAUGAAUCUUGUUAAGUAAGAUUAAAAUUUAUAUGAAUAAUAGAUAAAAUAUGGACAGCAAUUGCCAUGCAUAACCAUUGGAAGUAACAGAAGGAUGAAGAAAGUGGCAAAAAAUGUUUCUUUAUACCUGUGACCACCACAUCAUAAGCAUCACGAUCCUAUAGUUAGACCUCUCAAGGAAUCGACGUAUGAAGGGAAAAAGAAACAAUACUGCAGCCAGCAUAUUUGGUGCCAGGUAGAUAACUACAGCCAAUAUAAACAAGGAAGGCGAGCUGAAACCAUUGCCAAACCAACCUUUGAUGGUUUGGGCAAAUCCUGGAGGUUUAUCAUCCCAAGUGUAAGCAUAAGUUACUGGUAAAACUACCACCCAUGCAGCAGCUGAAACAACCUUCAGAAUAAAUCUCAACUUGACAUGGAAUGACAUUAUUUGUCGUGCCUUCCAAUUAAGAAUGACAUCAAGGAUAGCUGCAUCAGUUAGCAGAGAUUUGUCACAUAACAACUUCCUCUUCAUACAAAUCCAGCAAACAUGGCAUGAUAAAUAGGUAUAGCUUGAAAAAAUGAACUUCCUUAGAAAUUUCAUUAAAUGGAAAGCAUGAUGCACAUUGCAUUAUUCAUUCCAUAAACAAAACACCAAGUUGGGAAUGUUCAGAACAUACUAAAUAACAGUAAAUAAUUUGAACUCGUGUACACAGCAAGAAAACACAGACAAAGGUAAUUAGAUAGAGUUAAGAACCAAUUAAAAUUUAAAGUAAUUAAAGCCAUUACAAUUUGUUUUGUACAUAAGCAUAUAGGCUAGCCUAUCCAUUGCCUAAUUGAACUUUAUUGACAUUUGUAUAACAUUUUAAACUGGUACAACACUGUACUUAUGGAAGAACAAAUAGAAGAUACUAGUAACUGAAAGGACAACGGAUAGAAGUAAGCUGCACUCUUUAUUACCUUGCCCGAGCUUUAAUAUUGCAGCAGUAAUGAAGACACUCAAUACUUUCUUAAAUACAUCACCGCUAAAGAUAACACUUGGUUGCCCCGAACCAUGCCAAGCAACCGUAAUCAUAGCCUUCAAAAUCAGACAGCAUCAGCACCAUAUCAGCAUAGCCACAGUUGUUAAAUAAAUUUAAAGCAAAUCAGAUGCAUGAAAUAAUAGAAAAUGUACCUGUAAGCACAGGAUAAAAAAACUCCACAUUCGAUCAAAGCUUCUAAAGACAUGCAAGAAUGAUCGUAUCUCCACGAAAUUAACUUUUCCUACCCAUCGAUCUCUAUAGGCUGGUUUAUUAUCCUGAAUAUCAUAACAGUUCAACACAAAUUAACAUAAUGUCCCUUUUGCAGUAUAAAAACCCAAAUAAAGAAACCAGGCAAGAGGAAUGCAACUGCCAUUCCAUUUACUUCCAGUGUAGGAAGCAUAUGAUAACCAAGACCCCCUCAAUUAGAUAGGAGCAUUUGGUCAUAACACCAGUCCAGUAAUCUCAGUCUGUUCAAGUCAUGUGUGAAUUGAUAUGAAACAAUGUCAUAUAUAAUUAUUAGGCUAUUGACACUAGGACAGGGGAAAGAAAACGAAGAGAAAUUUUUUUAGUGGUUAUUGCUUACCCCAUUUUUUUCAAAAUGGUGAUGAUCAGACAGGCAAAAGAAAUCAGCAUCUGCACGCAUGGGCCAGCCUAAGCGGAAACAAUCAACUGACCUACAAAUGAUGCAUGGGCAAGUUUGUUUUUUUAGAAAUCAUGCAUAGGUAAUCUGAUCAGGAGAACUUUUGAAAAAAGACAUACAGACAUCUCAAAGGAACAGUAGGAAACCAGGACCAAUACCAGAAGUACUCAUUUAAAUCGUCGUAGUUCCUCCACUGAGAAUGCUUUGACUUCCCUUUUUUACUCCUUUCAGCUUCCUGUCAAGUGGUGCAAUGAUGAUGACAGAUGAAUUUAACCAAAAAGAAAAUACAACACUCAAAUUAAUUAGACUACAUAAGAAAAAAGGACAAUUAUUGCAUUCAGCACCUUUGCGAUCAUGUUGUAGAUAGGAGUAACAACUUUACUCAAGAAAGCCUCUUCUUCACCUCCAUAGGCAGGCUUUACAUUUUCUCCUGUCAUAGGACUGACAUUUCCAGCUAGCAUGCCAUAUAACUCAAAUGCCAUCUACAAAUAGCAAAAUAAUUUAGCAUCAAUUACACUUAACAGUCAAUGAACAAGCCCAAGUUGAUGAAAAACAUAUUUGCAGAUCUACAGUGAAAUUGCAAAGGCAUAAAUGCUCUGAAAUAAGGGUGAUGGCACAAAUAGUUCAAAAGAUUGUCGUGCACUCAUUGGUGUGUCCACAAAUGAGCAAAAGCCAGUUUGGAACUAUUGUUAGUGUCCUUGCCCCAAAGAUACAAGGCAGGCAGAGCAUUGGACGAGUUAUCAUGAGACAAGAUCCAUCUAUUCUAUUUGGGUAUCCAGGUUGACACCAUAAAUAGACUCAUUGUCUCCUCUGCGCUAUUUCUACUAGGGUCACUCAACUUAUCCAGAAUUUCUCAGAACCAGAUGCUUUAUCUGAUGGGGUUAAAGAUGAUGGAAGACAAAAAUCUAAAACCAUAUUUCCAGUUUCCCGCCAAUGAAAAGGAAAGUCAAACAAAAGCAAUGAGAUAAAAAUGAAACUAUCUUAAAACAUACAUGAUGAUAAAUAUAGCAAAUGCAUUCUGGCAUGAAUCUCAGGUUUGCAGCUUCCCCCCAUAUCAAAAGAUACAGACCCAUGUACAAUAAUUUACGCUGUUGCACCUCCUGCUGUAUGGUUGGUAACCUGCAAAUUCAGAUUAAAUCCAUUAAUAUAAGCAUAGAAUGGAAAUCUACAAUCCCUUUCUUCCAUAAUUGUCCUCUCCCCCCUCCUCCCUGUUUUUUCGCAUCCCACAACAAAGGAACCAAAAAAGUUCAAUGCAUGAUGUAUCUGCACUGCUUAUUUCCAUGUCAAUAAAAUCAUAUUGAUGUCAAUUUUGUGGUUAGAAUAUAUAUAAAUUGCUAGCAGCUCAAUCUUUUUUGUAAUUUUCUGAAGCAGUUCAAUUAAGCACAUUCCUUAAAAGAUUUAACCAGCUGGAAGAUGAAAUGCAAACACCAUCUAAUCAAUCCUAAACCGGAGUUCAGUCAGCUAUUGAAAAAUUAUCAUAUCAUUCACAAGGAACUGGGUGCUCUUACCAAAGGCUACUUUUUCUAUCCAAGUACUUGCACCAUUUUUUGUAGUUCUUAAAAAGUUUCUUCAUCACUUCAGUCAAUGCACGCUCAUCCAACUAAGAAAGAAAAAUGCACAGGGUUAUUCAGAUUUUGUUACACAAACACGACUGAAAGCAAAUAGAAAGAAAAGAGGAACAAGGAAGAAAAGGAUAUCUUCUGCACCUAUAAUUGGUUUACGGUAGAAAUUAUAGAGAAAGACAUGGGCCCAAAGCCCACUAUACUUUACCAGUCACUAUUUAUAGAGUAAAAAAAAAACUGAUUUUGCAAAAAUCGAGUCAGAAAACAAACCUUUGGUUGUUGGUCAGGCUUGGGAAAUUGCCGUAUGUGCACAUUUGCAAGUAAUAAGAUUAAGUGCUCUCUUUGAUUUGCCACAUUAUCCUUCUUUGAUUUGCCACAUUAUCCUUCUGCAGAGUUAAUAAAUGGUAUUUUUUUGAAUUAUAUUCAGCUAAAACAGUUUUGUAACACAAAAGAAAAUAAUCCUUCUCAAUUUAUUUUACCUGAAACCCAAACAUUGCCUGAAGCCAAUCCAAAACAUCUUCGUCGUUUUUCUUCUUGUAAUCCUUGGGCCACGGAAGACCUCUUGUGUUACGCAGAGCAACAACAGCAGCUUGGAUCUGUGUGCCAACAAAAUAUAAACAUAGCAAGUGGUAAAAGAGAAACAGCUAGGUUGUAGGUAAAAAGAGAAAGUGCAUAUAGGGAAGAUACCUCAGGAUAUCUCAUAAUCGCUUGAUUUGCACUAUCUGGAUCAAGUGGCAGGAUAUUGUAAGGCAGAUAGAUCUGAGUUUUUUCUGCAACUUUAUCUUGAGCUUCUAAAAUCUGUAAAAUAUUUGAUGCAAUGAUACAAAUCAUUUAUGUGCUAAUAACAGACCUCAAACAAUUAAAGUUCUUAACUUAAUUUAGCAGAUAGAACUUGCAUUAACAGAUACUGUCAGAAUGCACGUUCACACAAUAAAGCAACUAGAGAGGUGAUUAUAGAUGUCACAUGAUUUCACCUCACGAUCAACUUCAAUAGAUUGUGUCGUAUUAACAGCCUUUAAAACCUCAAAGAGCACAUUAGCAGUCUGGUAUGCCUUGGUAAGCUGGGCGCUGCAUUUAAACAGAAUACAGUCAGUUAAAUACAGUAACAAGAACAGCAACUUUAAAAGCAUUUGAUCUAAAGAAACUUGUUAUAAGAUAUAGCUUCAAAGAAUUUAUUUCACUCUCUCAUUUAAAAGAACUUACCGGUCAGCUUUAUCAGCAGCAUUAUGCAAUGCUUGGAUGUAUUUUUUGUAGUAAUGCUGAUAAAAACUCUGCAUUUCUCGUGCAUCACUUUUUUUAACCCUUCCCAUCAAGGUUGGAUCGUUCUCCUGAAAAAUGUGAGCAGAGCUUUUUUGCAUAAAAGCCAAGACCAACAACAAUAGCAUGAACAAAAAAAAACCAAAUGCAUAACUGAAUUACAUAGAAGAAAGAAUUGAACACUAAAACUGCCACAAAGUUUCCUAAAGGAAAAACGAUGUUGUUUUUUAUACAAUAUUACAAAUUAACAUUGGUUAUUCUUCUGGUACUUGCAUGCCACUCUUUCUAACUUUUUUACAUCAGCAAUCAGUGCCUUCAACACACACGCCAAACUCAUAAAUUAAGCAUGUUUAACCUAGAAUACAUCAGAGAAAACUACAGAAUACACUCUCCUCUCCCUACCUAGGGAACUGAAGAAUGUUCUGGUGUAACUCUAAUGGAAAUGAUGUCACUCAUGAUUUAUAACUGUCAUGAUUGAACACUGAUUCCCAGAAGAUCAAUUUAAGCAUUCAAUGUAUCACUUGAGGUGCCCAUUCCAGAGUCUCUCCGCCUCUCUCUGCCCACUCCAAGAGAUCCUCAGAUAUUUUCUCCACUGUAAUUGAUCACACUGACCUAACAAAUAGGCUUAAACUUUGAAACAAAUAAUAAGCCGUUGUCAGAGUCAUUCAUUUCUUAACUCCAUGCAGACCACGGUUCAUCAUUAUAAAUGAUUACCCUCGACAGCUAACUGCUCGACAUUGUAAAUCUAGAAAUACCAGGACACAAAUGCCACAUCUUAAAACUUUGUUCUAGCAAAGAACAAAUGAUGACUCUUACCCUUUCGAGACGUUGAAGAAGUGCAGUUUUAAAUUGACGAACACCUCUUCCACUAGAAGUAGGAUCCAACCUAUGCGCUUUCUCAAAGGCAUAAAAUCGACCUACAUUAACAGAACAUUACAAUCAGAUAUGCAUAUAAAAAAGACCAUAUCUUUUACUUACUGAAAUCAAAGAUAAGAAAAAAUUUCAAAAAACAAAAACAGCAAGUCUUUAUACUUGAAAACACUAUAAAUCAAGCCUGCAUUGCAUAAGUACUAAAAACAGAAACUUUAAAUUCCAAAAAAAAAAAAAACAAAAACAUCACGAAAAAACAAAACUUUAUUUUUACUUCGAAAAGCAAAGAUAAAAAAAUAAUCUUUAUGCUUAGAAACGCUAUAAAUCAAGCCUACAUUGCAUAAAAAAACUAAAAACACAUGCCUUAAAUUCCAAAAAACAAAACAAAAAAACUUUAUUUUUAAAAAAACACUUACAAAGAUAAGCAACUCUAGGAUUGCUAGAUUCAACUUCAUUAGCAACACGAAGAAUCGGCGCGAUCUCAACAAGUGAAGACGGCACUACUUCACUAUCAAAUAUCGACUCUCCAAGAUUCCCAGCUGUCUGCGUCCUCGUUAACCUCCGUUGCGUCUGCGGUGGUGUCGCUAACGGCCCCCCAGCCGCCUGAUCCAUCCCCAUUCCUCCUCCUCUCGACGUCGACGACAUCUCUUUCCUUCUAAAUCCAAAACAACAAAAUAAAUAAAUAAUAAAAAUCUAAAAAAAGAAACAAAUUAGAUAAAUAUAAUAAAGGAAAGAGAUGUACCAGAAGAAUUAGGAGAAGUGAGCAAUGGCUUAUGAGUCUUACAUAUCUGUAAAAAAAAAAAAAAAAUAUAUAUAUAAGUACAUUAUUAUGAAAAAUAAAAUAAAUAAAAAUAAUCAUGUAUUUUUGCAGUGUGAAGGAUGAGAAGCUUACAGGGAAACCCUAAGAGAGAAUGUAGAAAGUUUUAGAGGGUGGGAGGGAGAGAGAGAGAGAGAGAGAGAGAGAGAGAGAGAUGCUGCAAGUGUAAGCUGCUUAGCAAGAACGGGAGCUUAAGAAGUGAAGUGGUUUUUUAGUGAGUGAGCUGAGUGGGGAAGAAGAGGGUUAUAGCGUGUUUGGGAGUAUGUUUUUUUAAAGUUUGUUUUUUUAAGUUUUUUUAUUUCAAAAUAUAUUAAAUUAUUAUUUUUUUAUUUUUAAAAAAUUAUUUUUAAUAUUAACGUAAUAUUAAAAAAAUAUUAAUUUAAAAUAAAAAAAAUUUAAGUUUUUCAAAAUCCUUUUCAAAAAGCAUAAACAGUAACUUAAUAAAAUAAAGAGGUAAAACAAAGUUACCGUUGUUUUUACUGGUAUGGUAAGAUUCUUGAGGUUUGUGAUGAUAAACGGGGUUAAUGUAUUAGGUUAUUACGAUAUUGCCAUUGUGUUCUUUUGAGCUGAUAGUUUAAAAAAAGAAAUAAGAAAGUUUUCAAUAAGUUUUUUUUUUCUAGGUAGAUGUAGAAAAUUAUGAUUAUGAUUAUAAUUAUGAUGAGGAUGACGUGAUUAGCACAAGAUUUGCAUGAGAAAAUGAAGAUUUAUACUAUAGUGAAAUUACAAUGAUUUUUUAAAAAAUUAAUAUCAAGUUUAAAAAUUAUUUUAAUUAUUUUGUAAGAUAAAUUGUUAUUCAUUUAUGUGUCAUAUGACUUCAGUCUUUUUAUUUUUUCAUCUUAAUGGACUAGACAAAAAUAAAGGUUGGGUGAGUAUUAAGUAAUAAUUAAAUUUAUUUUGUUUGGGUCUUAUAAAUUUUAGGAUUACUGGAGGCUUAUAUGGUCGUUAAUUUAAGGACCUGUGGAAUUAGUCGAGGUGCGCGCAAGCUGAGCCGGACACCCAAAUUAAUUUUAAAAAAUAAUUAAAUUUAUUUGAAUUGGACUAGCAUUAAAUUUAAAAAAUAAAAGUACAAAUGUCAUCGGGUAAUAAUAUUAUAUAAGAAGUGGGGGAAAUGUAUUUAUAUUCUAAUUUCUUAAUGUAAAUAGAAUUAAAUAUGCAUUACUUCUUUUUACUGUUAUUUUAUAGACUGCAGCAACGUUAGUAAUAUUUUGGAGAGUGAAAAAUUGAAUUUUAAGACAUGUUUGCUUCUUUUAUUUGCCUGCUAUAUUGUUAAUAAAUAGGACAAUGAGUAGAUUUACGUGCUUCUACAUGUAUUGCUAAGCUUUUCUUGUGAAUUUUUUUAUCUUAUAUAUAAAAACGUUCUUAUAUUUAAACAAAACUAUAAUAAAAAAAUUAUGAAAAAAUGCAAACGGAUAGAAUAUUUUACUCUAAUCAAUACAUUUAUAAUAUAUUAAUCAACUGUGAUUUUGAUGUUAAAAGUUUUUUUUAGAUCACAAUACCAAAUAUUAUUAUUUCAGUACGUUAAUGAGUUAAUAGAUAUUUUAUUUGAAUUGUGAUGUUUUUUAGAAUGGUAAUAUCCUUGUACAGAGGGGAUAUUUUCGUCCAAGCAAAGCAAAAGCAUCUAAAGUGGAGUGGGGACUACCGUGAAAAAAAAAAGUAGCAAAACAUGGGCAUUCUAGGAAAGGUGUUCAAAAUUCAAAAGGAGGCAAGAUUCUUAAUGAUCUAAAACUGGAAUAUCGAGUGGAAAGUAGCCGUUUUGUAAAACCUCAAUGGACCAUUAUACCCUAACCAGAUUCAUUUUUUAUAUAAUAACCCAAAUUAUAACAUAAUCCAAUAUUUUUCACAAGAAUUUUUACUUAAAAAUAUAUUUAAAUAAUAUUUUUUAUAUCAACAUAUUAAAAACAUAAAAAAUCAAUUGGAUAUUUUUUAUUUAAGAUAAGUAUAUUUUUAAAUAGAAUUUUAAAAACUGUAUAAGAAGUUAACUCAAAAUAAUCCGAGUUAAAAAAUAAAAAAAUAAAUAAUUAAUCUAUAUAAAAAGUACUAAAAUUGACUAAAGCAUAAACCGGUAAAAAUCAAUCAUCAUCCUGUUAAGUUUUUAUUUUUUAUAAUUUUUUUUAUUAAAAUACCUUCAUUUUAAAUUUUUUAUUCAAAUAGGUUUUAAAAUCAUGAUUAACAAGAUAACAGCCAUCAAUAACAGGGGCAGCAUUAGUAAAUUAACAAACAAUUAAGAAAACAGGGGAGCAUAUUAGGAAACCGAGGAAAAUUGAAGGGUAAUUAAGACUUUAUGGUGAUGAGAGAUGAAAGUCGGUUUGUAGUUUUGUACUGUCCGAAAUUCCUGCCAUGCUUUUUCACUUUUAGUGGGACCCACGCAGUCGCUGGCACUACUCAUGGGUCCACUCCAUUCAAAGAUGGGAGACAACGUAGCACUGACGGGAUGGAUGGAUAGUCUUUAUUGAUACCGUUUAGUAUUGUUGUUCGAUUUUAAAAGUUUUCUUUUUUUAUAAAUAUACUAAAAUAAAUUUUUUAUUUUUUAAAUAUAUAUUAAAAUAAUUUAAAAAUAAUAAUUUGAAACGAAAAAAAUAAAAUAUUUAAAUAUUUUUAAAAUAAAAAAACAAACAGAUUAUUACUCUUAUCUUUCAAAUUAUACAAAGGAAUUCGGAAAUCUUGAAUUCAAUCAUAUAAAUUAAAAUACUUUAAAUGUUAUGUGUUGUUAGAUAGAUGUAAUUUUAUAAAAUUUAUUUUUGAUCUGUUUUUGUUAUUGUUUAUAUUUAUUUUUUAAGUCAUAUUUAAAUGUAUUAAAAAAAAUAUUUAACUUAAAAAAAUAUUAAAUUAUUAUUUUUUAAGUAAAUUUUUCAUAUUUUAUUUUUCACAUGGCCCUGGUCUUCUGUGCGCCUUACAGUUUAACUUUUUUUUCCACUUAUUUAUUUGUUUUUCUUAAAAUAUUAUCUUCUCUGUGUCAGAGCAACAUAAACCUGAACUUUUAAUAUUUAAUUAAUAUUAUUUUAUCAAAAACUCAUUCACAUCCUUCAAAAACCCACGAGACAUUUAAAAUAAGUAAAUAAUUGUUAAUAACACGUAGAAUUAAAUGAAGAUCUCUAUUAAACCAUUGCAUGUUCUCAUGUUUUACAUCGAUAAGAGUGCACGCACAAAAACACACAUACUUUCUGAAUAGUUUUCCUUGUCGAGAUUCCUUCUAAAUUUCCGUUUGCUUGCGUGGUUAUUUAUGUGUUUGAAGCAAUCACACAGCCUAGAAACAAUCAAAACGCAAUUCAUUUUUUAUAGGACUUAUUGAAAAUUUUAAUUGACUCGUAUUAUUCACAUUAAUGAUAUUUUUUUUUGAAAAACCAAUGUAAUAAAUUAAAAAUUCACUCAUAAUAUCAUGUUUAUGUGAACAGUAAAUUUUUUUGAAAAACUAGUUUAGAAUGAAUUAAAUUUACUCGCAAUAUAAUAAAUAUCAAAUCAACUUUAACUAAAAGUAAUUUUUAUAGAACAGUUUUUUUCAAAUCACAACAACAAAAACUACUACAAUACAAAAUACAGUCUAAAAUUACAAAACAUGAAAUCAUUUUUUAAAACUUUAACGAAUCCAAAAUGAUAUGAUUAAAAACUUAAAUUGAUCAAUGAUUUAAUUAGGAUUUUAUUUUUAUUUUUUAAAUAAUAUUUUUUUUUAUAUUUUUAUAAAAUAUAAAAAUAAAUUGAUAUGUAUUGAUUUGAUUUAACCCAUCGAACCUUUAAUUCAAAACUCUUCCUAGAUGACGCUCAUGUCAGGUUUGGAAACGAUGCAUGACAUGAUAAGUGUGUCACCUUAAAACUAUAGAAUUGUGGAAAUAGGCCCAUGCUGACUAGAUUUUUAUAUUUUUAUAAAAUAUAAAAAUAAAUUAAUAUAUAUAUUAAUCUAAUUUAAUUCAAAUUAACCCAUCCAACCUUCAAUUCAAAACUCUUUCUCGAUGACGCUCGAGUGAGGUUUGGAAACUGUGCCUAAAAUUAGUUGACAUGAUAAGUUUGUCGCCUUAAAACUAUAGAACUGUGGAAAUAGGCCCAUUGGACCGAUGUUGACUAGAUUUUGGAGUGUUUGGGAUAAUAGUAAAAAAAGAAUUUAAAAUAUUUUUUGUUUUAAAAUAAUAUUUUUUUAAAAAAAUAUUAUUAACAUUAAAAUAAUUAAAAAUUCACAAAACUGUAAUUCAACGCAUGAAUAAACAUAAACAUUCCGAGAAGGGCUUAGAUUUUUUGAUCCUAAGCCCAAUUUGACAUGGCUAUUGUAUAGAAAGAUUCGCCCAUUUCACUCGACACUGGAAGUCUGUCUGGAUCCCAUCAACAAGAUAAAAAAAUAUCUAAUCUUAUACCACAAUGUUAGCUUUAAUCACUGAUCUAUUAAUCCUCCUGUUGCUCUUUUUUUUUUUUUUUUACAUAAAAGAGGUAUUUUCAGACUCGCUUCGAGAUUAAGUUUUUUAUUGGCACAGUUUCAAAGACGGGCCAUUUUAAUAUAUUUAGAUAUCUUAAAUUUAUUUAGGUUAUGGUAUUGAUUCAAAUUUAUGAAUGAAAAGAGCAUGUCUUUUAUAAAAAAAAUUAUGAUACUUACAAAAUAACUAGUAAUAUUUUAGUAGUUAUUAUCUGAAUUUAUUUAUGUGAAAAAAAUAAACUCAUGAAAAAAAAAAUUAAAUUUACGAUCCAAUAAGAAUAUAUUUACUUAGACAUUGUCUCUCAUGUUUGUAUUUAACUCUUUUUUACAGCUAAACUCAUAAGAAAUAGAAAUAUAUUUGGUUGAAGAAGUAAAAAUUAUGACAUAAAAUAAAUUUAUUUUUAAGAUAGUUUGAAAAUGAUUUUUUGUGUUCUCGAAACAUGAACUAUAAAUAAACAUAUCUCAUGUAUUUUUAUUAUCUUAAUUUUUUAUAUUUUAAAAUAGUAACUAAACACCAGGUAAACCAUACAUAUGAAAAUAUAAAUAAAAAAACAUUUUAUAUUAAUUUAAUUUAAUACUUAGCUUGGCUCGUACCAUUUCAUUUUCCUUUCGACUUUCCCUCCUUUUCCAAAAAAUACUUUCAUGGAAUAAAAAAGAUUGAAACUUGAUCUAAUUUCAUAAAUUUAUGUACUUGUCUUUUCUUUUUCACUUUUGUGUUUGAUUAAUAUCUUAAAUAGAAGAGAUAAAUAUAAAAUAAAUAAAAAUAUGCUUGGUUGAAAAAUAAAAAUAAAAAUAUAAAAUAAAUUUAUUUUAGAGAUAGUUUUUUAUUGAUUUUUUACACUCUCAAAACAUGAAUCAUGAGAAAACAUAUUUCAUUUGUCUUUAUUUUUAUUUUAUUUUCAAAACAGCAACUGAACGUUAACAAGUAGAUUAGUUGUAAAUACUACACGUAGCAUUGUCCUAAUAAAAUUAUAAAUAAAUAAACAUUUCAUGUUGGUUUAAUUUAAUACGUAGCUUGGCAUGGUCCAUUCCAUCUUGCUUUCAACUUUACCUUAUUUUCCAAAAGGUACUUUCAUGGAAUAAAGAUGAUUGAAACUUGAUCUUACUCCGUAAAUCUAUGUACUUAUCUCACAUUUUUGCUUUUGUGUCUGGUCAAUAUUCUAAAAUAGAAAUAAUAAAUAUAAAAGAAAUAGAAACAUGUUUAGUAAAAAAAAUAAAGAUAAUAAUAUAAAAUAAAUUUAUUUCGGUUAUAAUUUUUAAAUAAAUUUCUAUAUUUUUAAAACAUAAACUUAAAGGAGACAUGUCUUGUAUAUCUAUAUUUUUUUUUUACCUUGAAACAAGAACUAAACACCAACCAAUAAAUUAAUUCUAAAGGUUGUCCAUAUAAAAUAACAAAUAAAAAAUCAUUUCAUAUUAGUUUAAUGCUUAGCUUAACUUUCCAUCUAAAAAGUGUUGCAUAGUUAAUUUCAUUUUGCUUUCAACUUUACUUUCGAUUUCAAAGAAACAUUUUCAUAUAAUAAAAAAGAGGAUUGAAACUUGAUAGUUGAUAUAAUUCUAUUGGCUUGUUACGGUUAUUUUUUAAAGUGUUUUUUAUAUCAAAAUAUAUCAAAAUGAUAUUUUUUAUUUUUUAAAAUCAACAAAUCAAAUUAAUCUAAAAUAUAUAAAAACAAUUUAUUUUUAAUAAAAAAAAAUUUAAAACUUUAAAAAACACGAGAAGAACCAUGUUUUCAGCUUUUGAAACGCUGACAUCCAAGUACUCAUCUCUCGUUUUCACUUUGGUGACAUGAUUUGAUCCUGUUCGAUAUAAUAGAAUGGUUAAUUUAAAUCAUGGAUCAAUAAUUUUUUUUUCUUUCAAUAAAAGAUAUUAAAUGUGCAAGCCUAGCCGGACAUGCCUAGAACUUGUUGUGAUGCGUCCAUAUGGUGAGUUCUAGUACGGACUAUUUUGGCAUUAGCUAGAUUUCAUAGCAUCAAAGAUUUGUAUUGGUCAGAGUGAUGGCAAAAAUUGUUUAAUCAGCCAUUUGUCUUCGUACAAGGCAUCGAUCUUAGCAAACAUCAAAUGGACUUGAUGGGUCAUACUUUUUACAGCUAUGCAUAAUAAUUAAAAAGGUAUUUAAAAAUAUAAUUAAAAACAAAUUAUUUUAAAAAAUUAUUUUUAAAUUAUCUGAAAACAUAAAAUUAAUUAAUUUAAAAUAAAAAAAUAAUUUUUUUUAGUUUUUUUUAAAACCUUUUUGAAAUACAAAAGUAAAUAGAUUUCUUGGCACCAUUUUUAUUUAUAAUAAAAUGGUUGGAUGUUAGAUUACUGCAUCAUCGUUUCAUUUUCAACUUUAAUUUUGCAAUUAGAUUUUUGAAUAAUUUUAACUUGAAGAAACUGUUUGGAAACGCGGUGCAAACCGUGUUUUCAAAAAAUUUAAUUUUUUUGUUAAAAUUUAAUAUGAUUUGUAUGUUUUGGAUCGUUUUGAUGUGCUGAUGUCAAAAAUAAUUUUUAAAAAAUUAAAAAACAUCAUUAUCAUGCAUUUUAACACGAAAAGUUAUUUAAAAAACAACCGCUACGACACUAACAAACAUACUCGAAAUGGAUAAGCCGAAAGCAGUGUUGUGAUGAUUUUAUUAGCAUGAACUUACAAGGAUUUUUUUACUUGACAUCUGAAAAAAGAUCUGAAUUUGUUACAUACUCUCUCUUUAUAAUAUUAUGAUAUGAAAUGGAUUUUAUUAGCACGAGAAAAUGGUAAGUGCUUCAAAAAAGACUAGAGUUGUGUAAUUGAUAAAAAGCUUGAAAAAAAACAUGUAAAAUAUACUAGAUUUGAUGCAGUGAUAAUGUGUGUUUGAUAUUGUGAUAUAGUGUUUUUUUUAUUUAAAAAUAUAUUAUACUAAUUUUAUUUUUUAUUUUUAACAUUAAUACAUUAAAAAUAACAAAAAUAUUAAAAAAACAUUAAUUUAAUAAUUUUUCAAGUAAAAUAUACCUUUAAAAUACACAAAAACCAAAAAUCACUAUAAUUACAAACACUCGAGGUCUCUCUCUUCUCAACAUCAUUAUUUUAAAUGAGUUUUUAAUAAGCAUGAGAAAAUAGUGAGUUUUUCAACUUAAAAACUCAAGUUGUUAAGUGAAAUUUUAAAAUAUAAUUUAUAUUAUUUUUUAACACAUAUUUCUAAGUGAAAAGUCUAGUAAAUACUUCUGUAUAUUAUUUUUUAAUGUAUUUCUUAUAAAAUACAAGAUUUAAACACGUGACUCAAAAAAAUUAAAUUAUUAUAUGAGAUUUAAAAAAUUAUAUCUAAUUUUUUUUAAAAAUGAUUCAUUUAACUAAAACUUAAUCUCACCACUAAUUUGUUUUAAAACAUAACAUAUUUUUGUCUACCAAACCAUAUUUAUAAAAGUAUUAUAACUUUUAACCUUGAUAUAAGUGCCGAGAGCUCUAAUAAAAUAAAAUAAAAUAAAAACACAAUAUUUAGAUGUAUAAUUAUUCUACACGUAAAUAAUUUUCAAUGCAAAAAGAAAGAGAGGGCGGCAAAUGACUUGAGAAACUGAAAUUUAAUUUUCAUUUCUAAUAUAUCUUAAUUUCAUGCCUCUUAUGGUUUUGAAUUUUGAUCUCUCUUGAAGAAGCAAGUGAUGCGGUGGAAUUUGGCUGUGAAGCAAUUCCCUCCGCUCCUCCACCCUGAUCCAGACCUGACUCCACUUUCUCCCUCCUCCCUUGUCCUCGUGUGCCCAAAAAGUCUCCCUUCACAACGAAAGUGCCCACUAAAACCAAAGGAAUUAGCAUUUUCCCAUCGAGCAUAAAUUAGCGUUUUCCCAUCAAGCAUCUUUCUUUAUGGAAAAGAAGAGAUUAUUAGGAACUUGACCACGCACGACAUUGACAGUAAAAUAGCAGUUCCUCUUAUUGUGAACCUUUAAUUUUUCAGAAAAAAGGACAUGAAUAUCGCCAGGUCCGUGACCACCAGCAAGAAAUACACCUUAACUCUAGUUUGAUUUUGUGUUUUAAAAGUGUUUCUGAAAAAAUUAUUAAUUUUUAUUUUUUUUACUUUAAAUUAUUUUUUUGAUAAUUUUAUAUCGUUUUAAUAUAUUAAUAUAAAAAAUAAUUUUUUUUUUAUUUUGAUGCGUUUUCAAGCUAAAAACACUUUGAAAAACAACCGUUACUACACUUCCAAACACUCUCAUAAGCACCUAUACUUAAAGUGAAUUUCUAGGAGUGUGAUAACAUCUGUUAUUGAAUGUAUUUUAAAAAUAUAUUUCACUUUUAAUAAAAUUAAAUUAAUUUUUUUAGUAUUUUUCAAUAAUUUUAUUGUGUUGAUUGUUUUUUUCAACUAUAAACUCGAAAUCAAGUGUUUUGCUGGGGAUGGAUGAAUGUUUUUUUAACGCAAAAAAAAGUUUCCAAGCUAUUCACUGAUUAGUCCACCAUUAUAUAUAUAAGAUUAAGGUGACCGAUAUUUCUCUUCACUACUAGACUAACACUUGAUGUGCUGAAUCUUUUAUUUUAUACAAAUAUUGAGGAAAAAUAAUAGCAUUGUCCUGCACUCUAAAAUAAUAAAAAAAAGUACCCAUUCUUUUCUUACACAGAAAGUUCCAAAAUUAAAAUAAAAAAGUAUUGGAAACCAAGCAGCCAAUAGCCAGUUGGUCAAGAAGAGAGUGAGAGGGCGGCAGUUGAAACAGUUGACAUCUUGAAAAGCCUGCCUGCAGAUGCAAAAUAACACAGUUUACAUUACAUGUGAUCCCUCUUUUUCUAAAUUUGACCAAACCAUAUCCCUUAAUUUGAUUUUUUGUCAAACCAAUCCCUCUUUUUUUCCAAUUAAAAGGUUCUUCAAGUCCUUUUAUUUAACUUCAUCACCAACUUAAUGGCUACAUGAACGAAAUAUAUUAUGAAAAAAUAAAAAAAAUAGAAUAUAAAAUAUAGAGUGGUUAGAAUUGGUCCAAUUGAAAUUAGAUGAUUUGAGAAGUCAACUUAAUUAAAAUCUAUUUAAUUUUUUUUAAAACAAUAUUAUUUUAACUAAAAAAACAAUUGAAACAACCUUUUUAACGACCUGGAUUAAUCCAUUCAAGUUGUAACUCGGUCCAGAUUUAAUAACUUUAAAGAAACAUUAAUCACAUUAACCAUACACACACACACACAUGUAUAUAUAGAAUUUACAAAACCUCCAUUGCACAAAGAACAGCAACUUUCUCGCUUGUCAUCUUUCAAUUGUCAUUCUUCAGUCUUAAUUGCUUCUUUCCUGUGUUGCCUAUUGUAAAUGACCCCUCCAAGCUCCAUGUUUAUUUUUCUCUUUGUUUUUUCCCUUUCUAUUGCUGUCCUUUAUAUUAGACAAUACAAAAACUUUUCAUGGCUUUUGCUCAUCAAUCAUCUUCUUUGUUCUGAUUUAUUCCCUUUCUUUCUCCUCACAAGAUUCUUCAAUAUUGUUCCAACAUUCUACCUCUCAUUUCUAAGUAAUCAUCGUGAGAGAAUCGUGCCUGGAUCUUAAUUCUUGUCAUAAAUGUUGUGCCUCUAGAGUUCGAGCAAGUUGGAUUUUGGUGGUAAGACAAAUUCUGAUUUUUUUUUCUUCUAUGGAUUUUAUAAAGCAUCAAUGUAUGGUUUUGUUUUUAGUUUCCAAAACUAGAGAAUGUAGGUGUGAAUCAGACAGCAUACGCAUACUUAGUUACUAAGUAAAAUUUCUUGAGUUCCAAGUUGUAGGGUUUUGAGAGAAUUACAUGCUAAACUUCUUUGCAUAGUAUAGUUUUCGUAGGUUGUUUGUCGUAUGAAUCUGGUUUCUUGCUUGGAGAAACCAAUUUGGUUGCCAACAAUGUCAGUGAACGUUACUUGAUGGCCUUAAUUUCCAUCUAUACAUGUGUUUUGGUCACCAGAAGAAGUUGGUUCCAAGCUCUUUACGGUCUGAAGUUUUUGUCUUCUAUAAAAUUUUGUGCAGGGAGGGGGUUAUAUUGUAAAAAAAUGGCAACAUCUUUGGAGGAGCUUCUUGCAAAGGAAGGGUUUAGAGCCGGAAGAUCAGGGACAAGGGCAAGGCCUGCAUUCAAAGGAGAAGCUGCAAGUAUGCCUCGUUACCCUUCUGGAGACCAAGGCAAAAAGGACUCUCCAUCUGGUCCAUCUAUCAGUAGAAUCAAGACUGAAAGGACAAGAUCUGAUGUCACUCGGUAUACUUUGAGAGGAGAAUCACCAGUAAGUAAUAGUAGUUUAGGUUGGAGACCGAGGGAUGAUCUGGUUAGAAGAGAAAAAAUAGAUUCAAGAUUGAAGACAGAACUUCGCUGCAGAGGUUCGAAAGAUGUGCAGGAAGAUAAGACUCUGAAUUCUGACACAUUGGAAGAUGUCAAGGGGAGUGAGAUUGUUGAGGUUGGUGUGGAAGAAGAUGGGAGAUUUAAGGAUAUAUACUCUGAUAAAGCAUAUUAUUCAGAAAGAAAGGAAAGAUCAUCAAAAGGUAACGGGAGCUCGGAGAGGUAUAAAGAGAGGAAAGGGAAGGAUAAGAAAGUAACUGAAAGGCGCGGCAGCAAUUCUAAUGAAAAAUUGCUCAAAUACACUGGACUGAGCAAUAACAACAGGAAAAGUAUGGACCAGGUUGAGGCGGCUUAUGAAAGUUCGGUUAGAGGCUCAAAGAAUGCCAAUGGCUUUGAAGAUGAUCAGAGAACAAAGAAUGAGAAAAGUGCACCAGCAGUUCCUGAAAUUGCUCUUGAUGAAGUUGCUGUUAAAGCAGUAACCUCCAUCUUAAAUGGUUAUAUCAAGCGUUUUCUUAAAGAUGCAAAAUUCCGAACCACUCUCCGUCGCAAUUGUUUCUCUUCUCUUGCUUUUAUCGAAACAGAAGAAGGCGACAGCAUUGAGAGCAUGGCCAAGGCCAAUCUUGAACAAGCUAUUGCAACAGUGGAAAAGGUUUCCGAGGCAGCUGCAAGGGCAAACGAUUUGAAAACAGCUGCUUUGCAGCUUAGUGUGAUCACAGGCUUGAACUCAAAUGAUCUGAAAGAUGAAUAUACAUCAGGAACUCCAAAUUCUAGGUUGUCAGCUUGUGCUCACAUCUAUCUCAGUGUGAUAUAUAAGCUACAAAAGAAGGACAAGGCUUCAGCUAAGCAUCUUUUGCAAGUGUUCUGUGAUUCUCCUUUUCUGGCAAGAACACUUUUGUUGUCUGAACUGUGGGACUAUCUAUUCUUCCCUCAUCUUUCUCAUUUGAAGACUUGGUACAAACAAGAGGCAGAUGCUCUAUUCAGGAAGCCAAGCAAGAUUACGAAACUUAAGUUUCUUGCCAAAGUUUAUAACGAAACUCUGGAUUCCUGUACCUAUCAAUUUGCAGUUUACUACAAGGAUUGGCUCACAGAGGGAGUUGAAGCUCCUUCUAUUCCUUCUGUCGACAUCCCUUUCACGUCACAGCAGGGGGGUUCACGGGAUCAUUCUUCAGGACCAGCUAGUCCGUCUGCUCCUUUCUCACCCCAGCCAACGGUGAGUAAGAAACUAUAUGAUGCUGUAUUUGGCCGUUCAAGUAAACCUAGAGUUCAUGAGGCUGAAGACAAUGGGAAGGCAGAAAACUUCAAUAAUGGUGCACAUAUUUCUGGUUCUUCUCCUAUUGAAAUCAAACAUACAGUGACGAUCUCUUUCAAAAUGGUUACAUAUCCUGGUCAAGAUAUAGAGAACCAUUCCCCUGAGAAUGUACCAGAUAACACCUCCAUUCCUGUGAGUAUUUCCUGUGAUUUUCCUUCAUCUUUGUACCAUUUACUUGUAUGAUUUAUGCCAUUUGUUUUGUUAGUAAUUUCCUUUCAAUAUUUUUAUGAGUUGCGAAUAUCAAACAUAUAAAAAACAUUUGGUUACUUUCUCGAGAUUUGAAAGGACUGAAAUUAACUCUAAAACUGUCCUAGAGACAUGACAAAAAUCCAUUCUAAAAUUAUUUCGUAGACACUCUAUCUCCUCUAACCAACCAAACGCAACCAUAUGGAUGAUACUUAUUGAUAAUUAACAUUUGAACUAGAGAAUAGUAAACCUUAAAUUUGUUCCUCUCAUCUUUUCUCUGUAAGUAUUUUUCACGCUCUCAAGAAUUUAAACAUUUCUGCAGGGUAAAGGGCUCUUAACAGCAUCUAACAAAGAAUGGAAGUUGGUCAAAGUGAGUGUUUCACCAGGCACAGAUCUUAAUGCUGACACUUGCAACUCUAGUGCAAGGGAAGAACCUGAAGGAGAUACUACUCAUAUGCUAAAUUCAUCUUCACAUACAAAAGAAAACGAGCUAGCCCUCAAGACACUAGCAAAAUCUGUUUUCGAACUACAGCGAACUGAGGAUUCUGGUGAUCCCACUGUUUCAGACCUUUCACAUUCCAAAAAGGUGUCAUUUCACUUUUCUUGGCAAGAAAUACUGAAUUCCUGACCGUGUUUUGCAUUUAAUACUAUAUGCCUACAAAUUCCCCUAUAAUUUCUCUGAUUAUUAUGUUAAGUGCAGGCAAUCAACGCGGACGCUUCUAGUGAAGGUGAGUCAGAACAUCUCAAGAUUAUUUCUCCCUUUACAAAUUGUUGUUUGAAUGCUCAUAAUGCACUCUCCCAGUGCAGGGCCAAAUGGAAGUCAUGAACAUUUUGAUGAAGGAUCCAUUUUUGAUAGCAUUCCACACGACUUUAUUUGCCCUCUCACCGGACAGUUGUUUGAGGAUCCGGUGACCCUGGAGACCGGCCAAACCUUUGAGCGAGAGGCCAUCCGAGAAUGGUUUGAUCAGGGAAACAAAACAUGCCCUGUAUCAGGAAAAACUUUAGCAUGUUCAACCGUGCCACUUACCAACUCUAUUUUGAAGCUUGUCAUCGAUAGUUGGAAAUUGGUGAAAGAAUAAUAGCUAUUAUAAUCUAAUCAGCAAUGUUUAAAUAUAAUUUUAGGAUCGAAAUUAUGUACCAUUGCGGGUCAUGAAUAAUAAAUUAUGUACUUUUAUAGAAAAACAAUUUAUAUUUUCCCACUUGUUUCUCUAACCCCAUUUUGUUCAAGAAAAACCAAAAUAAUUUUUACUCACUUAAAAAAAAAACUUAACACUCGUGAAUUUAAUUUUGAAAAAUAGUUGAUAAAUUAACCAAUUAGGUUUCCAGCAUGAGUCACAACGGUUCCAUUCUCUUCUAUGAACUAUGAUAUUAACAACAAUCAUAAAUCGCCUAGAAGACAUAAUAACAUGUUCCAUGUAAGCUUGGGAGGAUGGGCUACUAUUUGUUUUUGGUUUUUAGAUAGAUGAGGAUCUAGUUUUUGUCAAGAUUUUUUAGAAGAAGCGAUUGUUUUUUUUUUUAAUUUUUUUUUAGUAUAUUUAUCUUAUUUGUAUAAAAAAAGUUUGGUAAAGUGUAUUAAUUUUACCAUUAAUUUCAAUUAUUUUUUCCAAUUAAGAUAUUAUUUAAUAUUAAUUGAGAUAAACGUUAUCUGCAGAUAGAUGAUUUUAACAAAAAAUAAAUUAGAUAAAAUAAGAUAAGAUAAGAUAAACAUUAUCUAUUAUAUGAAAUGAGAUUUUUACAAUCAUACGAAGUGAAAUGAUUUUGACAAAAAAUAGAUAAGAUAAAUGUUAUCGGUUAGGUAAAACGUGUUUCUAACAAUCACACGGGGUGAUAAUUUUGACAAAACUCAGAUAAGAUAAAUGUUAUCUCUCAAGUGAAACGAGUUCUUAACGAUUAUAAAAUAAUUUUAAAAAAUAUAUAAGAUAGCGUUAUCUCUCAAAUGAAACGAGUUUUUAACAAUUAUGAAAUAAUUUUUUAAAAAUAUAUAAGAUAACUUAAUCUAUCUAUUAGGUAAAAUGAGUUUUUAACAACCACACACAAUGUGAAAUGAUAAUUAGAUAAGUUCAAAUUAAAUGUAAAGCACAUAAUUGGCAAUUGAAAUUGAAAAAAAUUAAAAACAAGAAUCAUGAAUUCAUAUUCUUGAGAUAUUAUAUAGAUGUGUCCUUAUUUGGUGAUGAAAUAAAUAACGUUAUUAAAUUAUUAUAUUUGAAUAAAAGAGAUGAAGAUAGUAAAAACAAAAAUAAAUUUGGUUGAAAACACAAAAACAAAGAUAGAAAUAUAAAAUAAAUAUAUUUUUGGGAUAAUUUUUACAUGAAUUUCUAUAUUUUUAAAAUAUUUUGAAGUGAAUAGAAAAAGAAGUGAUAUUUUGAAUUAAAUGCCUAGGAUCCAAAUUUGAAAAAAAGAAAUAAGCCUUAAAAGGUUCUCCAUUUUAAUAUUCUCUUGGCCUAACUGUGUGUGUGUGUGUGUGUGUGUGUGUGUAUAAACUAGCAUGCACAUUUCAUUUCAUCACAUAUUCAUUAUAGGGUGGUUCAUCUUCUGGUGCAAUCUUUUUGCCCCAAAAUCCCAGGCCAAAUUCUGUGUCAAUAACCCAAGAAAAUGCCACCUCAAGCCAUAUUUUUAUAGCACCGUUUCGUGUCAAACCUUCGUAUCUUUUUCACGAACGGUUCUUUAUAACCAAAACCAUCGCUAUAAACAUGAUCCGAAAUCGCCACUAACUCACAUCACCUCUUAUUUUUACAAGUAUUAGCUCCUAUUUGCCUCCCAAUAUCGUCACUCUCAUUCUGUAGUGAGUCAAGGCAUGUGAUGCAUGUACGUACAUGUUGUAUAGGCUAUGAGUCUUUCCAUCAUCUCUAGCUUUAAUGCUAGGGAGUGAGUGAUCCGCAAAACAACUUGAGAGCUCACAGUGGGAUUCUUAGAUAGGAUACAAGAAGGUGGAGAGCCUAGGGAGCUGGGACUGCUAGAUCUGUUGUCAUUUUAUGCCAUGGUUGCUUGGUUAGGAGGGAGGAAGGAUUGAGUGGGAGAUGAGAGAGUUGUGAAAAUGUGAGGAUAUGUUGACUUACUACUCAUUAAAAGUCCUCUUUUAAUAAUGACUAGCAAGUCACAAAAUAUUCUCACAUUUUCACAACUCUCCCAUGCAUUUCCUUCUCAACACCCUCCCUCCCAACCCAGCAAUCAUGGCACACGGUGUCAACAGAUUUAGCAGCCCCAGCUCCCCGUCUCUCCACCAUUUUUGUUUCCUCUCUAAGAAUACCAUGCAGAUAAAUCACUCCCUAGCACUAAAGCAGGGGAUGAUGGAAAGAGUCAAAGCCUAUACGACAAGUUCAAGCAUCGCAUGCCUUGACUCGCUACAAAAUGAGAGUAAAGAUUAUUUCUCCCUUUACAAAAUGUUGUUUGAAUGCUCACAAUUAAUGCACUCUCCCAGUGCAGGGUCAAAUUGAAGUCAUGGAUAUUUUGAUGAAGGAUCCACAUGACUUUAUUUGCCCUCUCACCGGACAGUUGUUUGAGGAUCCAGUGACCCUAGAGACUGGCCAAACCUUUGAGCGAGAGGCCAUCGGAGAAUGGUUUGAUCAGGGAAACAGAACAUGCCCUGUAACGGGAAAAACUUUAGCAUGUGUUCAACCGUGCCACUUACCACCUCUAUUUUGAAGUAUGUCAUCGAUAGCCAAUAUAAUUUUAGAUUUGAAUCAUGUAAUAUGAUACUUGACGAAGAAAUCUCCCUUCUUUUCUUUGUCUUUUUGACACCCGACCUUUUUAAUUGAUAAAAAACUAUGUAUGUGUGUACAUGUCACUUUAUUAUUAUAUAUUGAUUUCAUGUGUACAUGGUAGAGAAGAGGGCCAAUUUAAUUAUUAAGUAUAAUCAUCUAUUAUGAUUCUUUAAAUUCCUCUUGAUGAUCAUUAUUAAUACAAAAAAUUAUAUAAUCGGUAAAUGUAACUUAUCAAUUUCAUAAGUACAAGUUAAAUACAAAUACUAAAACAAGUAUAGUGAGCUACUUUUACAGAAAAAUAAUUUAUAUUUCCCAAUCUUUUCUCUAACCCGAUUUUGUUAAAAAAAAAAACCAAAAUAAUUUUGACCCACUUGAACUUAUACCAAGAAAACCUUGACACUCAUGAAUUUGAUUUUGAAAAAUAGCGGCUAAACCAAUUAAAAUGAUAUUAUAGUAUUGUAAUUAGCUGCUAAACCAAUUAAAAUGAUAUUGAUAACCAUCACUGAUCCAAUCUUUUAUAUAGGGGUGAGCAAAAAAACAAAAAAACUGAUUAAACCGAGAAAACUUGAAAAAAAAUAAUAGAAAAAACUGAACCGUGAAAAAAAAUCGAUUAGAAUUUUGAAAAAAUCGACCGGUUUGGUUUGAUUUUAGAAGCCUGAAACUGAAAAAACCGAACCGAAUCCAAACAAAAAAAACUGAGCCAAAACAGGAAAAAACCCGAGCCAAACCUGUUAGAUGAAUUAUAAAAUAAGAUAAGAUAGAUGUUAUUAGUUAGACGAAUAAUAAAAUAUAAGAUAAUAUAAAUGAGUUUUUAACAGCCAUGAAGAGAUAUUGUAGAUGUAUUAUAAGAUAAUGCUUAAUUAAUAUCUUAGGAUAGAAGAGAUAGAGAAAAUAAAUAUAAAAACAAGUUUGGUUAAAGAGACGAAGACAUAGAUAGAAACAUAAAAUAAAUUUGUUUUUUAGACAAUUCUUGAGUAAAUUUCUAUACUUUUAAAACAUGAAGAGCGUGAAGACACAUGUCACUUAACUCCAUUAUCCUUAUCUUUUUUGUUUUGAAACUAGAUAUGUGGCCCGUGCUUCAUUGUCGGCUGGGUUGAAUUUUUGCUAACAUAAAAAAAAUCUAGAGGAUUUCAAGUGAUGAAAAAAAAAACAAUUAAUUUAAAAAAAAAAUGUUGAAGAAAAAACCCUUGAGACAACCCGGUUAAUUUGACAAAUUAACCACCCGCGAUAUGAGAUAAUGAUAAAAAAAAUUAUACUAUAAAAAAAAGGACCCAAUAAAAAAGAUUGAAGUUCAAUAAAAAAACACAUAAAGAAAAGUGAAAAAAUCACAAAGCUCAAAAGCCAAUAAUUUAACUCCAUAAGUAUGAAAUUGAAAAAAAAAAUCAAUUUUAAAAAAACCAUAGAGGAAAAAAACCCGAGCCAAACUGAGUUAACUCGACUGACCUAUUCUCGGGAUAUGAGAUCGUGAUAAUCAAACAAAAAGGAAAGUGAAAUAAAUAACGAAGUUCAAGGCUUAAUAACCAAAAUUUCAAAUGAAGAAUUUGAAAAAAAAUCAAUUUUUAAUAAAAAGACAAAAAAAAACUUAAAUCGAAUCCAAGCCGUGAGACUGAGAUUACCCUAUAGAAAGGCAAACACAAAAAAAUAAUGAAGAAAAAUCUCUGAUCUCAGUAAAAAUUUAAAAUCCAAACAACGCCGACCAAAUCUUGUUUAAAAACUAAAUGAGAAAAAUAAUAAGGGACUGAACUGAAAAAAAUAAUUAAGAAAAGGAUAAAAAAAAUACUAAUUAGAAGAAUCAAGACCCAAAUUGGAUAAAAAAACUAAAUAAAAUAAGAUAUUGAGGGACACAAUUGAAAAAAAGAUAAAUAAGAAAAAAUAUAAGAAAAUAGUAAUAAAAAAAAUAAGGACCAAAAUUGAAUAAAAAACAAAGACAAUGAAAUGAACCGGGAUGAAAUUGAAAAACAAAUAAAUGAAGGAAAGGAUAAAACACCAAAAAAGAACAAUAAAAAAAAUAAGAACCAAUUUGGAUACGAAAAUCAAAUUAAAUAAAAUUUAUCAGGUAUGAUAUUGAAAAAAAUCUAAAAUUCAAAAUGUAUCAAAAGCAAAACAAAUAACACGUUAGAGGAAUAAGGACCAAGAAUGAUAAAAAUACAAAUUAGAUGACACAAUUGUUUUUUUGAAAGGGUUGACACAAAUUUCGAGGUUAAAAGAAAGAAAAGAAAGAGGAAAAAAACACGUUAGAGGCCAACCUGCCUCCGUCGCAAGCACAUGCCACACCACUGAAAAGAGAAAAAUGAGCUGCUCCUAAUGCUACUUUGGAUGACAGAAUUUGAUAGCUGUAUAGCCUUACAUGCCCUGCCUUAAAGGCCUUGAUGGUCGUCACAUGAUGACACGUGUGCUGUACGCGUUAACAAUUUGGACAAAGAUAACUCCAUAAAAAAAUAAAAAAUUCAAUCUCUGGUAAAUUUAAUGUUGGAUGAUAUAAUUAUAAAAAAAAACGAAGAAAAAAAGAGAAAACAACACUAUUCUAAUUAAUCGUAUUAUCCGAGUAGGAGAACACUAAAAUCCCAUAUUCCUUUAGUUUAGUUUAGUUUUUUUUUUUGAAAUUUUGAUUUUAAUCUCCCUCCCAAUAUCAUCACUCUCAUUCUGUAGUGAGUCAAGGCAUGUUUGUCCAUGUUGUCUAGGCUACCAGUCUCUCUCCAUCAUCUCUAGCUUUAGUAGCAGGGACAGGGAGUGAUUGAUCCGCAUGCAACAACUUGAGAGCUCACCGUGGGAUUCUUAGAUAGGACACAAGAAGGUAGAGAGACUAGGAGCUGAGACUGCUAGAUCUGUCGACAUUUUAUGCCAUGGUUGGUUGGUUCGGAGGAUUGAGUGGGAGAUGUGAAAAUGUAAGGAUAUUUUGACUUAUACUCAUUAUUAAUUUAUUUUUAAUACCAACUCAUUAAAAUAAUAAUAAAAAAGUAAUUUAAAAUCUCCAUUGAUGCGUGUGUUCACGUAGAAAUUCAAUAGCGGAGGAUACCCAUUGGAUUACAGAGAAUAAUUUAUCUAUUUGCCUGUGGUGUUGGUACAGCUUCACGAACUUCAAGUGUACUGAAACAUGGGAGAAAGAGGUAGGAAAGCUUCUUACAGUUUGCAAAUUAUGUUGAUUGUUUCCUCUGCUCCAUGCCCAAGAAAACCCUAGAUGAUGAUCAACAUAUAUAUACCCUUCAUCUGCCGAGCCUUAUUCUCAUACGGAAAUGCUUUGAGCUUUUCUUCUUCUUUAGUUACGUUUCCUUGACCCAAGAUUAAUUUCUUAGAGUACUAAGAUUGACAUUUUCUUGCCAUUGUUAGCUGGGAGGGAGGAGGGGAGAUAUUGGGAAGGAAAUAUGAGCCAACACUUCUGAAACGAGAUGCUCUUUCUUACAUGAUAAAAAAUAUGUUUUUUAAGCCAAAUAUAAUUUAAAUUAUAUACACAAACAUAAUUUUAUUAUAGUACCUUUAUAUGUUUUUGUUAAGAAGAAACUAUUGAAUUUAUCUUGUAAAAUUUUAUUUUAGAUGCAAACAACCUAAAUGCCAAUUAGUGCAUAGUAUAUGAAUUCUAGUAAAAAAAAAAAAAAACAAAUCAAAUAGAAAAUCACAAAUCUGUUCUUUGUCUCGUUCAAGUGUGAAAACAAGAUUCUUAAGAGCAACCAAUCCAUGUCAAUAAAUACGGGAAAAAAAAAAAUUAAUUUUUGGCACUCGGUGGUUGCUGAUCCUUUGGUACAUUGGUUUUAGGUAGACAUACAUCAAUGGACAUGGACCCCUAACCUACCAAGCAUGUGAUAUAGUACAUGUGAUCAAUUAAGCAACAUUAUUGACUAGAAGAAAAGUUAAAAGUUAACGUACAAGGGUGGUUCAUUCAUUUGAGAAUUGACGAGAACCUAUCAAAUUACAGUUCCUUUCCUUCUCCUAAUGUUAAAAAAUCUCCCUUCCUACAUCUUUGUGGGAAACAUUGACAGAAUAUGCUGUCAUAGUGUAAAUCCCGAUUCCAUUGGACAUACAAGAAAUCAUGGAUAAAAAAAUAUUAUCUGAAAAUAUAUAGUUAUUGAUUUCUAUUCCAUCAAUAACAUAAUUAUCAAUAAAUUUACAGAUGAAUUUAUCGUGCUAAAAAACAUUUGCUAGCAAUAAUUCCAUCGGUAAAUACAUCAAUGAUUAUGGAGAAUUAUCGACAGAUUAAAUUCAUUAGAGAAUUAUAUUUAUAUGUAUGUUACCGACAUAAUAAAUCUGUCGGGGAAUUAUAUUUAACAAUGACAAGUCUUGUAAUUUAUUUCCAACUUUCUGAAACUCUUUGAGGGACCUAGUCUGUCGAUAAUUCCGUUGGUAUUUCACAUUCUGUCAGUAAUCCCAUCAAUAUUAUAUGUAAUAUGUUUUUAAAAAUAUUAAAAUAAACAAUACAAUUAAAAAAAUUAAAACAUAAUUCAUGUAAAAUAAAAGGCAAAUUUGUAUUAUUAAUUUUAAAAAAAUAUUAUUAAAUAUAAUUUAUCUAUCUAGUGAACAUAAACUGGAGGAGGAGGCAGGGACCAAUCUUUAUCGGAACCAGGAGGGCAACGAGGUGGAGCAUAAGUACCAGUGAGGGUUGCCAACAGUUGCUUGAGGACAUUUACUUUAUCCCCCAGUUCAGUCGCCUCAACCCCAAGUUGGGCAGUCUCAGCUUGAACUUGUUAUUGUACGAUUACAUGAACAAACGGUGAUUGCUGGCUCGAUCCGAGUUGCGUGGUCCCAACAGUUGAGACAUUAUGGCUCGCUCAUAUAUCCCCAGUUGUAGUAUUGGAGAUAUUAUAAACUCGAUUUCUAUCGAGUCUUCUGGCAAAUCUAACCUCCAACUACAAAUCUAGAUCAAGUUUCAGAUGGGUUGAAGGAUUGUCCCUGUAUCUCUCAAGCAAUUAGGUGUUACAUGUUUCCUGAAAAAAAGUUAGCAAAUAUAAAAAAAACAAUAAUUUAAAAAAUGUUCAAAUUCAACUUACCACAAACUUCUGGGCUCGACUAUCCACGCGCUGCUGCACCCUUUUCUAUCUGUCCCCCUUUCACAUAUGUGUUUAAACAAAAAGCUUCACCGGUCUUGGAUCACGCCUAAAAAUUAUAGCAUGCAAAAGAAAGCUACUGUUAGUUAAAUUUUUUCAUAUAAUACAACUUUGAAAUUUUUUUUAUAUAAAACAGGAUCUUACCUUUUGCUUUGCAUGUGAAACAAAUAUAAUGGAUCCACUGGAGUGCAUGGUCAUGGAACCAUGAAUCUUCUUGGUCUAUUUUUCUGAACCUGACUGCGACUGCAUGCCUUAAGAAAUGCUUUAACAUCACUUGCUGGAUAUAAACGUCCCAGAUACCCUCAGAGAUGUGGAGGUUUGAAACCCCUCCAUAUGGCCACGUAUUCCCAGCCUGAAAGACUUAAAUCUUUUGCAUAUUUUUUUUCUUUUUUCUAGGCUUUCUACCUGAAAUCAUGCAACUUAGUUCUUAGAAAAGAAAUCGAAUAAGAUAAUGAAAAAUAAGAUUUUAAUAUUUUAAAGAAAAAAUUUCACAAUUUGAAUUCAAUCUUAUCUAAUAGUGUUGUAAAUCUCUCACACCCUCAUGGCUAUGUCAUUGUCAACCUCCUCCCAAUAAGAUCUUUUCUUAUAUAUCAAUUUCAUAAAAUAAUUAGUUUAUUAAAGUUAAAAAACUAAUCAAAUUAAAUAUUAAAAAAUAACUACUUAUGUUUAUAUUAACCUUGAACUUUCCGAACCAAACAUCAAUCACAAGCUUUCAUUUAAAGCUUUUGGAAACCCGACUCUAUUAAAACAAAGGCACUUUCAUAGACGAUUUCAUCGCCAAUGUUAUCAUGUGAGCAGUUUCAACAUUUGUAAACUUGAAUUUCUAUUUGUUUAUUAAAAUUAAUCAUCCAACUCCAUGCAUGUUGCUAGAACUAGAAGUUGAGUCAAUCGACUUUUCUACCAUGAUCUCGUAAGGAACAUAGGGUUCUCUAUACGCAAAGUGCAAACCAACACAAGUAUUUUUCCAUAAACUAGUUUUGUAGAAGAUGCAUCGUAACAACAUCUAGAUCUAUGAUCUUUUUAUUUUAACACCUCUUAUAUAAACAUCUAAAACUGCCUCCACUAAUAUUCUUCAGAUUAGAUAUUACAUAAUUAAUAAAACCCUCAAUCCUAUUACAAUAAUCCAUCAAGCACAACCCUUUGAGUGAAACUUAAUACAUCCAAGAACAAUCAUCAAUUAUUUAUAUAAAACUUAUAUAGAAUAUUAAUGACUACAUGUAUAAAUUAAUAAUGUGAACUAAAUAAAUUAUCGGUAUCCAACUAAUUAAAUAUCAUUGAUUCAACUCAAAUUUAUUCAAUCUAUUUGAAUAGUACCCUUUAAUCAUUAUCAAUUUUCACCAAAAAUUCAAAUUUCUCUAAAUUUUUAAAAGUUCUUAACUUAAAAAUAAAAUUGAUAAAAUAUGAAAUGUACCCAUUAAAUAACUCAUUAUUUUUUUCAUUAUAACACACUUAAGUUAAAAAAUCAAACUCGAUUUCAUCAAAUGACAAACAAAUAUGAUUUUUCUAAAUCUCAACCAAAUCCUAACAUGUACAAAUCAUACAUUUAUACAAUAAAUUCCUCUAGGAAAAAGCUAUAAAACAAGUAAAUAUAUAAAAAAAACUACAUAUACUAUACAAAAUGCCAAAAAAUUAACAUAAAAGGGGUUACAAUAAAAAAUAGGUUGGUUUGCUUACUUGAUGUGAUAAAUAUUCAAAAGAAGUUGAAUCACGGUAUAGAUACUAACAAAUUGAGUGUUGAGAUUGCUGGAUUUGUGAUGAUUAGAGCUAGAUUUAUAACAAAAUAAAAGAGGGAAAAAGUGCUGUCACUACCAGAUUUAACAGUUUUAUCAAUGAAAAUUUAUGUCGGUAUUUACACUAAUAGUUCAUCUAUGAUUAUUAUCGAUUGGAUCACGGACGAAAAAACAUUUAUAAAAAAAAGGAAGAAGAAAUAGGGGAGGGGGAGAAAGGAGGGUUGUGCUGCUGGUUAUAACUUUAAUAUUACUGAUAGAUUUACCGACAAAAAUUAGUGAAGGUGAAUUAUCAUCGGUAAGUCCGUCGAAAAUAUUGGCACAUUUGAUUUGUUGACGAAAUGAAAGAGGAAAUAACUACGUAUUUUAUUUAUUUAUUAUUAUUUGAAUUCCAUUGGUAACUCCCUGGGUAAUCACUAACAAAACCGCUUUCAUUAGUGAUUAUCAAUGAAAACAAUGACAUUAUUUUCUGGUGGUAAAUGUCACCGUAAUGUAUCAAUGAAAUUUCUUUCAUCAAUUUUUCGUUGGUAAUUUACAGUUUUCUAGUAGUGACAAGUCUUAAUAGAUGGUUAGGCUAAAUUAAUCACAAAUUUAUUAAAAACCUAUCUGAUUCACACUUGAAGUACAUGACCUAAAUUCCUCAUCUUUAAGAAAAUAAAUAAAUUUAGAUAAAAAAUCACAAGAACUUUUUUAUUUAUUAGAAGGUUUAUGGGACCUUAACCUAACCUAUUUAAUGAAAAUAAUUAUUUUUAUUAUUUAAUAAAUAAUGUAGUGUAAGAUUACUGUUUCAAAAUAGAAGUGGCAAAGUCAGUUAGGAUAAAGAGGACAUGUUUCCCUUUUCUUUCUAUUUUGAAAGAAAAAAUUUCAUUUGAAAACCAUCUUAUAGAUAUUUAUUUAUUGUUUUCGUUAUAAUCAACAUGUUUCUCAUACUUUUAUUCUGAAACACCAAUCACACUCAAUCUAGAGUUAACUAACUAUUUGACUUGCCCUUCACCGCAUGUUGAAUAAUGUUUUUUUAGCAAAAAAAAAAAAAAUGAAUAUGCAGUUUUCCAACAUGUUUUUGGACAUAAAUAAAUUCUCAAUCAUAAACUGAAAAGCUUAUGCAUGCAUUUAAUUAAAUAAAUAGAGAAUUAUUUGUGUCAAUAAACAUUGAAAAACCCUUAAUGAUAACUAUAGACUAAACUGGAAAAAUUAAGAGGUAGAUGCAGAUCAAGAUAUUAGAUCUUGCAACACAGAUCGUGUACUCAGUUUUGUUUAAUAAUUUUUUUUCUUAGAAUACAUUCUUUAUUUAAUCAAAUAACCAUUCGUGAUAAUAAAGCAUUAAAAAAGUAGUUAAGAUAACUAAAGAUUAAACUGAAAAAAUAGAAAGACAAAAAUAGACCAAGAUAUUUGAUUUCACAACACAUGCUAUGUAUACAAUUGUGUUUAAUAAUUUUUUCCCAGAAUAAACUUUUAAUGUAAUAAAAUAAUAAUAGAAACAAACACACACAUAAACAAUAUUGAAUACAAUAAAAAAAUAUUAUGUAAGGUUGCACAUAUUAAAAAAAAAGAAUGUUAUAACUUUAAUGAAAACCAAGUGAAAAAUAAACAUAUUUAAUUAAAGACUAAAUUAAAAAAGUUGAGAUAUAGAUGUUCACGAGCCAUAGACUUGAUUGUAUUUAAUAAAGUUAUUGUUUCUUCGAACCAAUGUUUUUAUUUAAUAAAAUGAUAAUAAAAAAACAUAUAGGAAAGGAAUUGAAUAAAAUUAAAGGAAAAAAUUAUUAAGCAGGGCUACAAAGAAAGAACGUUUCCUAAAAAAAACAAUGAAAUCUUAUCUAUAAAAUAAGAAAAAAUUAAAUCAUAUUCUAUAAGAAAAAUCAUGAAAAGUUAUUAAACAUUUAUUAAAAUAGAAAAAAAAGCCAAUAAAGGAUGAUACUGCAGGAAAAAAAAACCAAAAUAACAAAUGGCAAAAGCGGUCUAGGUGUGCGAGCUUGACCAAGGUCACCUAAUAUGUCUAGGCUUAAGAAAAGCUCAGGCUUGCAUGUCUGAGCUAACUUUUUAUUUAUUUAUUAAGGCUCAGAAGACCUGCCGUCCACCCUUAAUGUUUUUGAAAAAAAAUUACAACCAGACGACGCGUCAUUGCUUCUCCACAGAUUUCAACUAUAAUGGUGGUUGUAAAAUCAUGAUUGAUAUUUUUUUGACCUGAAAACCUAUUUUCAACAUUUUGUUUGGGCCAAAAUACCGAUAAAAACACCAUACACAUCUUGAUAAACCCUCUAUUCGACCUCAAAUAACCUCAAAACCCGAAAUCAACUUGUAAUAAAAAACUUAUUGAGCUCAAAUCCACCAUUUUCAGAAAAAGAAUGGGCAAAAAACACCUAGGUGAAAAUUCCUUAAUCGAAAGGAACUCAUCGACACCAAAAUCUAUAUUUUUCAUGGUUGGACGCGGUAUCAAUUGAGACUUUCUCUCUUUACUGUUGGAUUUGACAACAAUCACUCUCUUUUCUUGAAUCAGAAAAAAAAAAUUAAAAUUAAAAUUAUAUUCUUUAAAAUGUGACGAACCAAAUAUUUAUUACCUUGAAAGUUGAAAGCACGAGUACUAAAAUGAAUAGUGCUUUUUUAGUCACUAUUGGUACCCCCACAGUUUGAGAGUGCUUUUUUUUUUUUUAAAUGGUGGCUUUUGUCAAGGAUUCUUCUACCCAGGCAAGGCAGCCCAAGCAAGCAGAGAGACAUACAGCUUCAGAGAGAGAGAGAGAGAGCAGAGAGAGAGAGAGAGAGCACUUCUUUUGCAAGAAGGUGCCUUCUAUAUUCAGGUACAUUUGUUUCUUCAAAUAAUAUGCAUGACCCAUGAAUGGUUUUCUGUGGCUAAGGGCUUUAUGGGAGUUGAGAUGCAUAGUUUCUCAUCUCCACGCUCAAAAUGUCAAAAAAGAAAAGGAAAAUAAAAUGAUAUUCCAAAAAGUAAAAACGGUGGAGAGAAUAAUUUCUGAGUAGAUUCGUUUUUCAACUUUCUUAUUGCCAUGCAACAUACCAUGAAGCUAGGUUUUGAUUCUGCAAUCUGUUUUUGCCCAUUAUUCAGAUUUUUUACCACAUAAUGUGGAGUUGUUUGUUUUCCCAUUCCAACUUUUUUAAAGUGUGGUGUGCAUUAGGGGCAGCAGCACUAUGUCUCAUAUUGUGAAACCUCAUAGUUGGAAAUUUCAUUUUUUUGGUUACAAAAGUAGGCAUUUUUAACAGAUACAAUGGAGUUCUGUGUCUUAAUCUCCAAAUCUUUAGCCUUCUCUUUCCAACAACUUUUAUUUUUUGUAUUAAUUUGAUAAAACAAAAAUUAAGUGGGGGCGUUUUUAGCCUCCAUGUUUCUAUCUGUUUCUUCAAAAUAAAUCUAGAAAAGGAAGUAACUAAACUAAUUAACACGAACCGCUAAUUAUUUUCUAUGACCAUAUAAAUGCAUGCUCAAGUAAUUUGGGUGGGUUAAUUACUUUAAGAUUUUCAUUUAACUUUGGACUAACAAACUUUGCUUGAAUUUAUGAAUCUUUUUUUUAAAAAAGUGUCAAUAAAGAAAAUCUUGCUUUGACAGGUUCUGUUCUUCAUUUUGGCUGUAUUUGGCAAAGUAAAUUAAUUUUGAACAAGACCAACAAGUGGAAGUGAUGAACAAAAUAUAAUGUAUAGGUGUCUGCCUGAAGCAUGCAUGGUUACAGAAACUGCAAGUCAUGGUGGUGUGUUGAGAGGGUCUCCCUUACAUUUGUUGCUUGUUCUGACAAUUUCCCCAAACAUGUGUCAUCAUGCGUGCACUAGUGUCCAUGACAUUUUAGUCAGAAACAACCGACUGCUGUGUUUUUCAUUGAUUGUCUUCACCUACAUUUGCCUGCUGUGUUUACUAAAUAUACAGGUAAAAUAAUAUUAUUGAGGUUGUUGAAACAUUAAUGAUGUUAAGAUUAGGUUAAUUAGAUCGAUAAAAACGAUGAAUUUUGGCAUGCACUCAUGGUUUUGAUGUAGACUAAUUUUGGAUAUGCCGAGUACAGAGAAAUUAUACUGUAUAAUAGUUAUUAAUCAGAGUAUGUUCUUGGAAUAUUUUUACUCAAUGCUAAAGUCAUAUAUUUUAGCCUGGACCGCCAUGGAUCCUGUAAAGUCAUAUUUAAUUUAUGCAUCAGUACGUUUUGUCAAUCCCUUGCCUCUUGUUAUGAUCCAGCCAAUUUCAUGGUCCUCCUACAUUAAUUUAUUGUUUCGUUUUCUUCUAAGCCUAUACUUUCUGGAAGCAGUUAUAGGCCAUCAAUGCAUGCUCAAAGUACUGUGAUAUAUUUACAGUGACCCUGGCUAAUCUGAUAAUUCUACUAAAUUAUUUGUUCAUGUUUUCAUGAAUUUCAGGGAAGCUGAACAGAGGAAGCUGAGGACGACAAUGGGAGUCAAUGGAGUGCAUGAAGGAAAGGAAAUCAGCUUCAAGAGAAUGCCAAACACGGAGCCUCCAUUUACACUUGGAAAAAUCAAGAAGGCCAUCCCUCCCCAUUGCUUCCAACGAUCCCUUCUCCGCUCAUUCUCCUAUGUUGUUUAUGACCUCUCCUUCAGCUUUCUCUUCUGCUACAUUGCCAUCACAUAUUUCCACCUCCUACCAUCCCCUCUUGCCUACAUCACAUGGCCCAUCUACUGGGUUCUCCAAGCCUGCAUUCUCACUGGUGUUUGGGUCAUUGCUCAUGAAUGUGGCCACCACGCCUUCAGUGACUACCAGUGGGUUGAUAACACGGUUGGCCUAAUCCUCCACUCUGCACUUUUCAUCCCAUACUUUUCCUGGAAAUACAGCCACCGCCGCCACCAUUCAAACACAGGGUCCCUCGAGCGCGACGAAGUGUUUGUCCCGAAGACCAAGUCCCGUGUCGCAUGGUAUUCCAAGCACCUAAACAACCCACCAGGCCGAGCUUUAAGUCUGGCUGUAUCACUUCUGAUUGGCUGGCCCUUAUAUCUAACCUUCAACGUUUCCGGCCGACCCUAUGAUCGCUUUGCCUGUCACUAUGAUCCCUAUAGUCCCAUAUAUUCUGAUCGUGAAAAACUCCAGGUUUACAUUUCUGAUCUAGGCAUUCUUGCUGCAACUUUUGUGCUCUACAGCAUUGCCACGUCACAAGGGCUGGCAUUUCUGAUAUGCAUUUAUGGGGUACCGUUACUUAUUGCUAAUGGUUUCCUUGUCACCAUCACAUACUUGCAGCACACUCACCCUGCAUUGCCACAUUAUGAUUCCUCUGAAUGGGGGUGGCUUAGAGGAGCUUUGGCAACCAUGGAUAGAGACUAUGGGAUCCUGAACAAGGUCUUCCAUAACAUUACAGACACGCAUGUAGCUCACCAUCUCUUCUCUAACAUUCCACAUUAUCAUGCAAUGGAGGCUACGAAAGCAAUCAAGCCAAUACUGGGUGAGUUCUACCAGUUUGAUGAUACUCCGAUUUACAAGGCCUUAUGGAGGGAGGCAAAAGAAUGCCUUUAUGUUGAGCCAGACGACGGAGCUCCUGAAAAAGGCGUGUUCUGGUACCGGAACGAGUUUUGAUGCUGCUGCCUCUAAAAUCUAGCUAGCUAGAUCACCCCCGAGCAAGGGAUCAGUCAAAGUAGUAUAAUUGUGCUGCUAAUAAAUGGGGCAGGAGGUGUUGUUGAGCCAAUAAUGGGAUAGACGUGUGAUGAAAUUCAGCUUCUGAGUACUUCUAAGUGUUUGUUUGUCAAUGCGGGCGUGGUUCAUCCGCAUUUCUAAAUUAAAAACAUCAAAAAAUGAUAUUUGGAGUUUGGAAAAUAUGUUCUACUUUUCAAUUAGCAAACAAUAGUAGCAAACAAAUUUAAGAAAGAAAUGUUGAUCCCGCUCAUAUCUUUCAACUAAUAACAAAUAAGAUCAUGAUUUGAUUUUCAAGCAUGUCAAAGAACCAUCUCAACCCAAUAGCUUAAGCUGUUAGGUAAGGUCCCAGGAUAUGAUUUAUAUUAUUAUGAAAUUCAGCUUCUGAGUACUUCUAAGUGUUUGUUUGUCAAUGCGGGCGUGGUUCAUCCGCAUUUCUAAAUUAAAAACAUCAAAAAUGAUAUUUGGAGUUUGGAAAAUAUGUUCUUACUUUUCAAUUAGCAAACAAUAGUAGCAAACAAAUUUAAGAAAGAAAUGUUGAUCCCGCUCAUAUCUUUCAACUAAUAACAAAUAAGAUCAUGAUUUGAUUUUCAAGCAUUCUACUAGUUAGAAUACAAUUAGAUUUUCGUCAAGCCUAUUCUUUAUUUAAUAGCUAAUUACCAACCAAUUAUAUUAUUUACAAUCCAUAAAUAAAUAAAAAGAUAUGGCCAUUGGUGGCCUUAUAUUGAGAUUGAGUUUAUCUCUCCAUUUUUUUAAUAAGCUAUCCAUCAACAUUAAAUUAAAAUUCAUAAGAAAAUGAAUGUUUUUUUAUAUAAAAAAAUAGAUAUUUUUCUAUUCUUUAUUAUAAUGCUUUUUUUAGUUUUUUUUCCUAUUCAUAAGAAAAGAAUGUCUUUUCAUAUAAAAAAUAGAUAUUUUUCUAUUCUUUAUUAUAAUGUUUUCUUGAGUUUUUUUCCUACUUAAAACAAAUAUUUUUUUCAAGUUUAAUUUUUCUAUUUAAUAUUAUUAGAAUUUUCUAAUUUUUUUUAUAUAAAGUGUUGUAACAUGGCCUUCUUGGCAAGUGAAGACAAAGAAAAAUAAAAAUUAAAUAUUUUGAUUGUCUCCUAUAGUUAUGGUGUUUUUGGUCUUUAAGACUUUUGACAUGUAAUAAACCCCUUAAUCUUUCGCUCUUGUAUGCAUCAAUUGGUAUUAAAGCCCAACUAUUGAUGGUUAUUUUGCUUUGCUCUGUGCUGCAGAACAAACAUGAUUGAAAGAGGUUAUAGAACAUAGAGGUGAGCAAAAAAACUGAAAAAUCGAUUAAACUGAGAAAACCGGAAAAAAAAAUCGAAAAAACCGAACAAAAAAAAACCGAUUAAAAUUUUAAAAAAACCGGCCGGUCAGGUCCGGUUUUAUAAGCAAAAAACUGAAAAAACCGAACUGAACCCAAACCGAAAAAAACCGGAAAAAAACCGAGCCAAAACCGGAAAAAACGAGAAAACCAAGCCAAACCGGCUUGAACCAGUUUUUGUCCUAAAAAACCGAACCGAAUUGAAACCGGUCGGUUUGAACCGAUUUCAGUUCGGUUUUUUUUUUUAAAUUCGGUUUGGUUAGUUUUUUUUUAUAAAAACCGAACCGAACCGAAAAUGAUCACCCCUAAUAGAACAUGACAUGCUUGUGUGGGAGGUGAUGAUGGGGUUCCUUUUAGAAGAAAAAAAAGAGUCCAAGAACUAGUGUGUUGUUUUCAUCUAUGUCAGUUAAUGUUAUUUAAAAUCAUUGUGGUGGGACCCAUUAUGGAGUGACUCGCACAAAGAUAUUGUGUUAAGAACCUAUGAUGAGAUGACCCAAAUAAAAAUAUGUUCUUGAUGAAUGGUAAUUUUUAAUUGAAUACCAAACUCGAUGACAAGUUCCUUCCGGGUCUGGGAGACUAAUACAAGAACUUUUUUAAGAAAAUAGAUACUUUUUUAUUUUUUAUUAUGAUGUUUUUCUAGUUUUUUUUUUAAUAUUUGAAGGGAACAUUUUCUCAAGUGUUUUUUCCUAUUUAGUAUUAUUAGGAUUUUCUAGUUUUUUUUUUCUAUAUAAAGGGUUGUAAUAGCUUUUUGGCAAGUAGAGACAUAAAUGAAAAAAAAUUAAAUAUUUUUGUCGUCUCCCUAUAUUUAUAUGGUAUUUGGUUUUUUAGGGUUUUGACAUGUGAUAAACCCCUUUAUCUUUCGCUCCUGUCUGCAUCAAUUGAUAUCAGAUCCCAAUAAUUCUUAGUGGUUAUUUUGCUUUGUUGUGUACUGCAAAACAAUCAUGGUUGUAAAAGGUUAUGAGACAUAAUGUGCUUAUGUAAGAGGGUAUUAGUAACUUUCCAUUUCAGAAAAAAAAACAUUCAGGAACUAGCAUGUUGUUUCUAUUUGCGUUUGUUACUGUCAUUUUAAAUCAUAUUGGUAGGAUCCAUGAUAUGACAUCUUGUAUAAAGAUAAUAUGUUAGGAACUCAUGAUGAGGUGACCAAAAUAUUCUUGAUGGAAGACAAUUCUUAAUUGAAUACUAAACUUGAUAACAAGUUCUUUCCGGCUCUGAAAGAUUAAUGCAUGAGUUUUUUAAGAAAAUAGAUUUUUUUAUUCUUUAUAAUGAUUUUUUCUAGUUUUUUUUAUUUGAAGGGAAUAUUUUUUCUAAUUUAUUUUUUUAUUUAGUAUUAUUAGAGUUUUCUAGUUUUUUCUAUAUAAAAAGUUGUAAUAAUCUUUUGACAAGUGCAGACAUAAAAAAAUAAAAAUUAAAUAUUUUGAUUUUUUUUUAAUUAUGAUAUUUUUUAAAUUUGAAAAUUUUAACAUGUAAUAAACCUUUUUAUCCUUCACUUUUGCUCUCGUUUGCAUCAAUUUUCUUGACUAUAUAGAUACCAAUUAUAUAGACGAGAAGACAAGAAGUAUAGCAUGCUUAUGAAGAAAAAAAAAUAGAAGCAAAAGCCGAAAAUAUAUGAAGGAUGACAAAUGUUUUGGUGAUAUUUCCUCUGUCAAGUUGAUUUGUCCUUGGAAAACCUUGCUUUAAAUAGAACCAAGAAAUUAAAUAACACAGACAACCACACAAAAAUAACACAUAGAGAUAAGAAAAACUCAUGUACGGGAUAAGAUAAAAUUUAUCUAGUUUUUAAAGGUCAUUUGCUAGAAAAUCCCUUCAAUUAAAGGUAUAAAUCUCCCUAAAAAUAUCGUUCUUCGCUGAUGAAUACACAACAGCCUCAUUAUUCUUAUUAGAACAUUCAUCAAAACUUAUCUGAGCCAUCUUGAGAGCCUGGUGACGAGUCUCCGAAUCCUGAAGCAGUACCUGACUCGAAAAACUGGCCGCGCCGCGAUGCUUCAAUCUUCCUCUUCUUAGCGUGAUAACUCAUAUGCCCACCCAAAGCGUUUCCAUUUAUAAAAGAUGCUUUGCAGAUAAAGCAUUUAUGCUUAUGAGCACGACUUGUUUGGGCUAUUGAUAGAGACCUUGGAGUUCUCCUGAGAGGACUUUUAAAAUGGCUUGACAAGGUUGUGCUACCUAAUAAUUCUUGUUUUGGUUGCAAAUGAUGGGCAUCAGGGAGUUGGAUUUCUUGAGCUUUUGACGACAGGGAGGUAUUCAUCAAGCCUAGAGACAGUGAAAGAUAUUUAGGCAUAUUUAGAUUGGUUUGGUUAAGGCUGUCCAAAUUUGCCACAAGGAUUGGUUGGUCAAUCCUAUUAUUAAGGAUGCUAGGGUUUUGUUGGUAAUUGCUCAUGAUCAUGUUAGAGCCAACAUUCAAUCCAACCAAAUGAUUCCCGAGGCUUUGAGCAUUUCUAUCAGUUGUGAAUGUUACAACACUAUCGCUAUAGCAUGGCGAUGCAUAUUUCAGGAUUCCUGCAAAUUGUGUUUCUUGAUAUUUGACAUGAAUUGUUUGACUAAGAUAGUAGAAAGGUGGGUUCAAAGAAGUAACUCUAGGGGUUGGAAUGAGACGAGGAAGAGAUUGUUGGUUUCUCAAGGCGAUGAAUUGAUGGCUAGUAAUUGGAAGAGAGUGAGGGCUCACCAUAGAAGGAUGAGCACUGAUCAAACCAGAAGAAUGGGGUUGCAGCUCUUCUGUGGCAGUAGGCUUUGUAGCCACUACUACUCUAGGAAAAGGAGCACACUCAAUUUCUGUGUUGGAUACAACAUCUAUUUCGGCCAAUGGUGGAUUUGUAUGGACGAGAACAUUUUGAAAUGAUAAAUUUGGCGCAGAAAAACUGGCGUUGGACAUGUUUGAAAGAUUUGGGAGCUCAAAUUCUUUGCCCAUUGGGAUAGCUACAUCGAACCAGUCUUCAAUGUAUUGUUGUGGAUCAUGCUCGACUUGCUUGGCCAUAGAACUAGAUGAUUUAAUUUCCUGAUGGGAUUUUCGUGAGAGAGGAUAGGCUAAUAUGUGAUCAUAGAUUCACCUAAUCAAUACACACAGUUAAAUACACACUCUCACGCCAUUACUUGGCCACGAAUUCAUUAAAAGAUGCAAGAACAAUAUCAAUGGAAAGUAAGGUGUUGAACUAAUUAAUAUUUUGCUGUGGUUGAAAAAAAGAAAGAAAGAAUCUGAUAUAUCUUCCUGGCAUGAGAAAAAAUUUCCAUGCAUGGAAAUGGGAUUGGUUGUACUUGGUCGUAUAUAUGGUAUGGAAUUCAAUUUCUUUCUUUCUUUAACUCCUUUUUUUUUGGUGUAUUUCUUUUUGUGCAUUUUAUUUUCACUAAUUUGUAAUAAAAGGAAAAAAAAUAAAACAAUAUAAUUAAAAUUAACUAUACAGUUAAUCCACUUUUUUCUAGUGUGUGUGGGCGUAUUUAAAAUUAAAGUUAUAUAUAUGCACUAGGUCAUACAAAAUAAUAUUUAGUACGAAAUGUAUUUUUAUACCUAAAAGAAAAAUCUAUUACUAUAAUUUAACAAAAUAAUAUUUGGUAUUUUCUAAAAUUAAAUUGAAAAAUGUUAAUGCAUAAUCAUAUUUGGAAGGGUAGGACUUGUUGAGCCAGAUUUAUAACCUUUAUUUAGACUUUUUACCGGGUGGUUUAAUGUGUACCCUAUAUUGGGUUAUUAGGCCUUGAGAUUUUUGGUUAGGCCCGUUUUGAAAAAAAAUAAAAAUGAAAGCAUAUUUUAUAUUUGAUAGGAAAAAAAAACUUUUAAACACAUGAAAAAUUUGUUUACUAAUUACUUUAACAUUUGAAAUUCAUGUUUUUGGAAGUAGAAAAUUACUCUCUAAGUUCUUCAUUUAAAAAAACUACAGAAAAAACUUAUUUAGUUUUUUUUAGAAAAACAAAAGUCAUAUUUCAUUGUUCAUUAGAACAAUAAAAUAUGUCUUGGAUCACAAUAUUUUGAUGAUAUCUUUUAGGGUUUUUUUAUUUAUAUAAUAAUGCUUUAUCUAUUAGUUAGCCACCAUUUUUUAUUUAUAUAUGUAGGGCAAUGUAUAAUAAUUAAUGUAGAGUUUACAAUACAUGAAUAAUAAAUCUUUUCUAAAUAUGUACAAGCCUAUACUAUUUUAUAUAUUAUAAUAGGCCUCCUCAAACCGAGGGUGGAGAUUCUAUUCGAAGUUUGAACCGAAGAGCAGUAAAAAGGAGAAACAGGAAGAGGUUUUGUAAGAACAUUUACAAGUUGAUUCUUGAAAGGAAUAAAACGUAUCUGAAUGGCUUUUGUAGCAACUUUGUCAUGGACAAAAUAAUAAUCAACUUCAAUAUGCUUAGUACAAGCAUAAAAGAUAGGUUUUGCAUACAAAUAAGUAGCACCCAGAUUAUUAUAUCAAAUCAUAGGCAUUGAAGAAGGAGUAAUAUGUAGACCUCACAAUAAAUAUUGAAGCCAUAUGACUUCAGAAAUGCUAUUAGCUAAGACUUUAUACUUAGCUUCGGUAGAAAACCAAGCAACGAUGUGUUAUUUCCCGAACUUCCAAGAAAUCAGUGUAUAUCAAAAGAAAACAAGUUAGCCACCCAUAGAUUUACGAUUAUCAACACUACCAGCGUAAUCAACAUUUGUAAAACCAUGCAAGAAAGAAGAGCUAAGGGUGAUAUGAAGACCAAAGGAAGCCAUACCCUUAAGAUAACAUAAAAUGAGUUUAACGACAGUCCAAUAUGAAUCUGUAGGAGAAUGCUUAUACUGACAAACUUUAUUAACAACAAAAAAAAUAUCUGAUCUCAUAAAAAUGAGAUAAGAGAACAAGCAAUCAAGAACAUGUUUAUCUUGUCGUAGCAUGAGACCCAUAGUAGCAGGAUGAGCCUCAAUGCCUAAAAAAUAAUAAAUUACUUCUAAAUGCCGAAGUUUAAACUCUGAGUUCAGCAACUGAAUCAAUCUGUGAAGUAAGGCUAAGUUGCUUCCAGUUAACAAGAUAUCAUUAACGUAAAUUAGAAGGCAAAAAUAUCAUCACCUAUAGAUAAAAUGAAUAAUGAGGUAUCAACCUUCGAAGCAUGGAAGCCAAGAGAGAUGAGAUAAUUACUAAGUCAAGUGUACCUUGCUCGAAGAGCUUGUUUCAAACCAUAUAAGGAUUUAUGCAACUAACACGCAUGAGAAAAGAGAGUAUAAUCAACAAAACCUGGAGGUUGCUGCAUGUAGACCUCUUCGUUAAGUGUCCCAUUGAGGAAGACAUUAUGAAUAUCAAGUUGAUUAAUUUUCCAACCACGUGACACCGCAAUUAUGAAAAUUAACCAAACAAUGGCUUGAUUAACAACAAGACUGAAAGUCUCAAAGUAAUCAAUACUUUUUGUUGACUAAAGCCUCCAGUAACUCUGCAAUAGAGGCAUCACUGGCAGACAGUGAAGAAGCAGUAACAAGACAAUUGGGAGAACCAAUAACAACAGACUUGCUACGCUGUAAAGUAGAAGGGUCUGAACUUGUGCCUACAGUAUGAUUGUUAAAGAAACAUGUAUGUGGUGAUGGUAGAGCAGGACUGGUGGUCUGUUGUGGGUGAGCAAAAAUAAGAGUAGGAGAUUGAGAGGGGUCUUGAUGAUCUUUAGGCUGGGAGGUUGUAAGCGUAAGAGAAUGGAAAAAGAGGAGAUGAGGAAAUUGGGCAGAUGAAUAGGAUCAGAUAGAGAGUAACAAAGUGAUUGUGCAAUUUGUUCAGAUUUGUUAAAAGGAAAGACUUGUUCAUGAAAAAAAACAUGACGAGAGAUAUAAAUGUGUUGAGUUGUGAUGUCAAGACAACGAUAACUAAGGUGAGAAGAGCUAUACCCUAAAAACACAUAUGAAGGAUAACAAAAAUCUAAUUUAUGAUUAUGAUAGGGAUGUAAAAAUAAAAAACAAAGACACUCAAACGUGCGCAAAAAAUCAUAAUCAGAAGAUCAUUAAAAGAGACAAUCAAAAGGAGAUCAACGGUCUAGAACAAGAGUAGGCAUUCGAUUGAUAAGAUAAACCAAGGUUUAAAAAGCCUAAUUCUAAAAUCUUAAUAGUGUUUUACAUUGUCCUAGAAGAGUAAGACCAAUUUCCACAAUAUACCUAUGAUGAAGUUCAACUGUUCUAUUUUGUUUGUAAGUAUGAGGACAAAUUAAACGAUGAUGAAUACCAAUAGUCUGAAAAAAAUGGAUAACUUGCAGUAUUCACCGCCCUAAUCAGUUUGAACAGAUUUAAUUUAAUUUUUAGUGAAAAUCGAUGCUCAAUAAAAGUUUGAAAUUGAUGAAAAACAGAGAAGACAUCAAACUUCACAAUAUAUAUAUAUAUAUAUAUAUAUAUAUAUAUGCGCGCAUCAACAAAAAUAACAAAAUAACAAAAACCAUUAUAAGAAAAAAGGGAGCAAGACCCUAAACAUCACUAAAAAUUAAUUGAAGUGGAGCCGAAGUUUUGUGACACGUAAAUCCUAAUGACAAACGUGAUGAUUUUCCUAACAGACAAGAUUGACACUAAAAAAUAAAACAUUUAGAGAUAUAAUAAAUUUUAUUUUUCGAAACUAAUAGAUUAAAAAUACAGGAAGUAGGAUGACCUAGUCGACAAUGUCAUAGAUCAAUAGAAGCAGAUACAUGAGGAGACUAAUAAGCUUGCGGAAUGAAUGUGGUAGAAGUCUUGGAUAAAACAUAGAGACCAUCUUUACUCUGACCGGAAAAGAGUAGUGCCUUGAUGUUAAAAUCCUUAAUAUAAAACACAAAUAGGUGAAAUUCAAAAUAAACAUUGUUAUCUAGACAAGAUUUCUGAACAGAAAGCAAAAUUUUUUGAAUAUACGGUACAUGAAGAACAAUAGAUAAAAUGAAUGUACGUUGUGGUGUAUGUAGCUUAGUAUGACCAAUUUUAGAUAUGAAAAGGCCCUUACCAUCACCAACAUGCAAGUGAUUAUCACCUAGAUAUGGUUCUAACACCGUUAGAUUUCAAGAUCAAGUGUAACGUGUUGAUUUGCACUAGUGUCAGGAAACCAAUCCACAUAGUUUGUGGAGAAAAUAUUGCCCAGCGCAAGACUGACACUAGGUUGUCGUUCGUGGUUUUGAAGUUGAGCACAUUCGGGGGUUGAGUGACCGAAGGUAUGGCAUAUUUGACACUAGACAUUAGACCACUGUGAAGAGUUAUGAGACCUCUUGUUUUGCUGCCACUUUCCCUGCCUUUAGUCGUUGUUUGAAGACCCAUUAAAACUCCAAAAAUCAGAACGAUAAGCAGACUCGUGUCCUUUACCACUAUAAAAAUUGUUACGCUAACCUGUAGAAAAACAUCAUCUAUCAUGAUAGUUAUUAGAGUUGUUGUGAAAAGAACCAGAAGAUAGAGGUUGAGCAACAAGAGAUGAGGGUGGCAAGUUUGGCGUGGGCAGUAAAGGGGUAGUGAUAACAGCAACACUCAUGGAUUGAAUGGAGGUCUUGUGAAGGAUCUCAUGAGUUAGGAGAUGACUAUAAAGAUAUGCAUAUGAAAGAGGUUCUGCCUUGGUCACGAGACUUGUUACCAAGUCUUUAAACUCACCCUAAAAAAAAACUUACAAAUUAAAGUUCUCUAAUGAAACUGGCCGGCCCACAACAACUAAUUCAUCAAAUAAUGCAUUUUCCUUUUGCAUAAAUAUAGUGAUCGUAUCAUCACCUUGUUGAAGAUCUUGAAAAGAACUAUGCAGUUGCAUAAUAUAAGAAUUAGAUGGAGAAGCGAGAGCUUGCUUAAAAGUAUGCCAAACAUAGUGUGAGAUUUGACAAUUGACAACAACAUGUAGGACACCCAUUGAAAGAGAAAAAAGUAGUGCACUUAGAAUAAGUUGGUCCUGCUGUUUUCAAUGAACAAAAGAAUUAUUAACCCAAAGAGAAACAUCAUCAGUAGCAACCACAUGAGGGGAGGGACAUGUCAAUAAGCCAUCAACAAAGUGAAAAAUUCCUUGUCCAAGAAAAUAUGGCUUCAUCUACAUAUGCUAAUAAAAGUAAUUUGUGUUUGUAAGUUUCAAGGAAAUAACUUGAUGAGUAUUGAAGAAGAGAACAAUUGAAGUAUCCACAGUGAACAAAUACAUGACAACAUCAACAAGGGAAGAGUGCAAACUCACACCAGCACUAAUAGGAAUCACUGACAGAAUAGAGGAAGAGGACAGGGUCUGCAAAUACAUAACAGGAUUCAUGGCAGUAGCAAGAGAAGCCUCCAAAACAGAGGGGGUAGAAGAGGUCUGCAUCGAUGGCUGAGAAGAAGAGUUUAUUGGAAAAAAGGAAAGAGAGUUUAAAGUGUCGGUGAUUCUGAUACCAAAUUGAGAAUAAUAGAAGGCUUAACCUAUUAGUUAGUCAUCCUUUUCUAUUUAUAUAUGUAGGAUAAUAUACAAUAGUUAAUGUAGAGAUUACAACACAUGAAUAAUAAACCAUUUCUAAAUAUGUACAAGCCUAUACUAUUUAAUAUACUAUAAUACUAUUUAUUGAUAAAUCAAAAUGAUUAAGUUAUUUGUCCUCUAUUAGGAAUAAUUAUAGGCUAUAUUUGAAUUUAAAAAAACACAUUUUAAAAAAUAAAAAUUAAAAAAAUGGAAUGGUUAUGAACAACAUUCUUCUUGGCUGUUUGUUUUUUAAGAUAUAAAAUAAAAAAAUGAAAUCUAAAUCUUGAUAUUAUUUGUUACUAAUAAAAUUUAAUUAGGGGGCAAUAUUCUUGCCACCGUUAAGAUUUUAGUAUUUUGUCAUAUUUUUUUCCCCAUCAAAUUAUACUCUCUAAGUUUCUAGGAUUAACUACUUUAUUCUAAUUAAGAGUUAAUAUUUUGUAUAUUGUUGUCAAAAUCGCGAGUUGACUCGUAAAAUCGUAUGAUUUUACGAGUCAACAUGUAUAUAAUGUUUAAAAUCGGGUUAAAAACUCGAAAUCGGUCAAAUUCGUUCAAAAUCGGUCAAACUCGGUAAAAUCGGAUCGAUUUUACGAGUUUGACAAAAUUUAAAAAAUUUAUUGUCUCCCUAUCUAAGUCCCCCGACACUCCACUCCACUCCAUAGUCCCCACUCCCUAGUCUCCCCUUUCCCCGUUGCCCAAAUCUUAAAUUUUCAACCUUAGCAAACUAACACUACCAUCGGAGGAUCUUGGGUAUGGGGAAGCCUUUAUACUGUAUUUUAGGUUGGGAAGGCAUGAUCGGAGGAUCGAAACCAUGGGAAGACAGAGGUAGAUGGUGAGGAAUCAAAGGAGUAAAAUAAGAGAUAUGAAUAUUUAUAGAGAGAGAGAGAGAGGAAUAUUGUGUUUUAAACUAACCAUUGUUAACUACAAAGAGAGACGACAGAGACUCAGAAAGAACUCGAAAUACAUGUCUUGCUUGGUGGGAUAUUUGAACAUUAUUUUUAGGACUUGUCACUAACAUAAAAAAAAGGUGGAAGACGAGGUGGCAUGAGACAAAAUUAAUGUCAUUUUGGUAGGUUUUUGUUCUCGUUGUCACGGGUUCACUGUAUUGGUCUCUGUUUUUUUUUUUUUGAAGUUGGUGAUAUACCUUAGAAGGUUAUAUCAUCUCACUAGUUGCUUGCAGUGUGUUUCAAGACCUGCCUUCUAAAAAAUAUUCUUAAACUUUAUCAAUAAAACAUAGUUGUUCAAUCUUAUUUUUUUUCUUUUUGUCUGUGAUUGAAAGUUUAAUUUUACUUUCAUUAUGUGAUGACUUGAAAGUUUAAUUUAAAAUUGAAUUUCUAAUUUAACCAUAUAAAAUAUUAACACAAUAAAAUCAAGUUGAUUCAAUCAGAGUUUUAGUAGCUUAUUUAACUCCACUCAACUAGAUUCAAUUAGGAAUUUAACCUUAUAUAUGUAUGCUUUUUUUUUUUGUAUUUUAUCCAACUCUCUACACUAUACAUCCUUGUUAAUGCAUAUAUUGAUUCUUGAAUAGAUUGUUAAUUUUUAGUUAAUAAAAUUCUAUGGACAUAAUUGUAUUAUAUUGUAUUUUAAGUUAUUUAAAUCAUGUAUGAAUUUUUGUAUGAAUUUUUAUAUGAAUUAUGUAUUUUAUGGUGUUUGGACAUUUGUAUUGUUUAUUUCACUUUUAUUUUAAUUGUUUUAUAUUUGACUGAAAUUAUCAAUAUAUAAUUAGUUAAAAUAUUUUUCUUCUAAUUUAAUGAUUUUAUUCAAGUUUAUAAUCCAAAUUUAUAUUAUAUAUUCCGUGACAUGUCAACCUUGAUUUUGUAAUCUAAAUUGCUUCUGUCUAGUCUAAACUCUAAAGACAAAGCUUUAUCCACUCAAGUAAGAAGACAAGAACUGCUGAAAAGUUGAAAUUUUUUUCUUCAUUAAUUUAUAGCUCAAACAACACCAUAAGAAGGCUACCCGUUUUCCCUUCAUCAUGGAUAAACAUUAAACACAACACGGCAUAUUCCUCCUUUUUCAGGCUUACCUAGCUAGCCUAGCUAUCUUGAUAUUAAUGGCAGAAACAUUAAAACUUGUUCCUGAACCAGAAAACACCCUUUUCAUCUGGCUCAACAUACAAACACUCUCCUGCCUCCCUCCAUAAAGCCUUGUAAAAUGGAGUAGAAUCAAACUGGUAGUACUCACCCAGUAUUUGCUUGAUUGCUAUAGUAGCCUCCAUUGCAUGAUAAUGAGGUAUUGUAGCUACAAGAUGGUGGGCUACAUGUGUGUCUGCAAUGUUAUGGAAGACCUUGUUCAGAAUCCCAUAGUCUCUGUCCACAGUUACCAAAGCUCCUCUAAGCCAUUCCCAUUCAGUGGAAUCAUAAUGUGGCAAUGAAGGAUGAGUGUGCUGCAAGUAUGUGAUAGUGACAAGGAAUCCAUUAACAAAAAUUAAUGGUACCCCAUAAAUGCUCAUCACAAAUGCUAGUCCUUGUGUUAUAGCAAUGCGGUAGAGCACAAAUGUUGUAGCAAAGAUGCCUAGAUCAGAGAUGUAAAUAUGAAGCCUUUCACGAUCAGAAUAUAUGGGGCUGUAGGGAUCGUAGUGACAAGCAAAGCGAUCAUAAGGUCGCCCGGAGGCGUUGAAGGUUAGGUAUAAGGGCCAGCCAAGCAGAAGUUUGACAGCAAGACCUAAAGCUCGGCCUGGUGGAUUGUUUAGGUACAUGGAAUACCAUGGGAUUUGGGACUUGGGCUUCGGGACGAACACUUCGUCGCGGUCGAGGCACCCUAUAUUUGAGUGAUGGCGGCGGUGGCUGUAUUUCCAUGAAAAGUAUGGGACAAAAAGUGCAGAGUGGAGGAUUAAGCCAACUGUGUCAUCGACCCACCGGUAGUCACUGAAGGCAUGGUGACCACAUUCAUGAGCAAUGACCCACAGACCAGUGAGAAUGCAGCCUUGGAGAAUCCAGUAGAUUGGCCAUGCAAUAUAGGCAAGAUGAGAUGGUAGGAGGUGGAAGUAAGUGAUGGCAAUAUAGCCCAAAAGAGAGCUUAUCAACAGGUCAUAAACCACAUAGGAGAAUGAACGGAGAAGGGAUCUUUCAAAGCAAUGGGGUGGGAUGGCCUUCUUGAUUUGGCCAAGUGUGAAUGGAGGCUUCGUGCCUGGCACUUUCUUGAUAUGGCUUAAGCUUUCUUUUUCUUCACCCUUGAUAUUAGGGUUAAACACUCCAUUGGCUCCCAUAGUUCUGUUAAACUUAAGCUUCCUUGCAAAUCCUGAAAACAUGAUCAUUUGAGAUAUAAAUUUUUUGGUCUAGCUUUAGUAUUCUGAUCUGAAUCUAAUUCUAUAUAACUACGUAGAUGCAAGCUCAAAAUUAAGUUGCUGACGUUGUACGUAACUACAGAAGUAAGCUUCUGUCAUAAAGAAUACAUAUAUAGUACUGGAAUGUAUACUAGCAGAUGAAUGAGAAAAUUAAUAAAUGGAUUUUUGAUAAACAGAAUAAGAAUAAGAAUAAAAGAAAAAAGAAUAAGAAUAAGAACCCAUGAGAUUAUUAUAACUUCAACUUUUAUAGAAGCUCAGCUUAGCAAUCAAUAAUUUUAUUUUAUUUUAUUUAUUCAUUUAUUUAUUUUUCAUUUAAAUGGAAAGAAAUUCAUGGCAAAAACUUAAACGGAGAAUAUUGUUAGUUUUCCUAUGACAAUUUCAAUAUCUACUCUCCAUCCAUUUUUGAUUUGUGGGAGAUUAAGGUCGAUCUAGUGAAACGUUACCGAACAGCAACACUAAUAUUAAACUUUGAAAAAUUUAAAUUUAAAAUAUUUGGAUACUAUUUAAUUAUAAAUAAUAUCAAACUUAAUUAGUUUUCGACACUGAAUAUUAACUUGAAAUAAUAAUAAAAAAUACACGAAUUGUAGAAAAUUAACAUAAUGGAAUUCUAGAAAAGAUUUUUUUUUUAUUUUUUACUAUUAUGAUUUAGUGGAUUAGAUGAGGGUAAAAUCAUUAUUUAGACUUUGAAUAUGAAUUAGUAAUAACAACAAAAUAUCAAACUGCCCUUUUUCUUUUUCUUUUUUUACAAUAUGAGACAAAAGAUUGGCAAUUUUUUCACACGUGUGUGAUAGAGAAAUGUAUUUAGUUAAAGAUAAAAUAAAUAUGUUUUAGGAUAAUUUUAAAGUAAAUUUUUAUAAAGAGAUAUCUCAUUUAAUAAUACCCAUAAUAUAUGCUAUUUAAAAAAAAAUUAAAAAAAUAUCUUCUUAAAAUGUGAGGGAGUUUUAUGGUACUAGAAAAUAAUCAGUGUUACUUAAUUAUUUUCUAAGUUAAUCAUAAAAAACAAACAGAUACAAAAAAAAUAAAAAUAAAAAAUAUUUAUAUUUAUUUCCGUAUCAUUAUAAAAAUUUAAAUAUGAUACAAAAAGUGAGAGAUUGGCAUGCAAAAGCAGAAUCCAGAAUAUAUUAAAAUAUUAACUUGUCAAAAAUCAAGCUUUAUGGUAUCCACGUGGGGUGUGUGUGACUAUAAAUGUCGUGAAAGGCCACCAUUCUUUAACCAGAAUCUAAUCCUGUCCUUAAAGUCACACCAUGCAUUAAAGCAUCAUAUUCACUGUCAAGGACAGGGAUUUCAAGUUAUAUAAUCUACCAUUUGUUUGACUGUUGCUUUACCGCAUAUUAUUUAAAUUAUUUUAAUAUAAAAAAAUUUUAAAUACAAAUUAAAAAACCUGUUCAAAUAUCUUAUUAAAUAAAUUAAUAAUCAUUAACAAUAACAAAAAAAAUUAAUAAAAUUAAAAAAUAAAUGUAAAUCAAGAUAUUAAAUAGUACAAAAUAAAACAUUCACCUGAUUUUAUUAUAUACUAAACUUGUUUAUUAACUUGAAAUAAUAAAAAAAUACACAAAUUGUAGAAAUUUAACAUAAUGAAAUUCUAAAAAAUAUAUAUAUUUUUUACUAUUAUGAUUUAGUGGAUUAGAUGAGGGUAAAGUCAUUAUUUAGACUUUGAAUAUGAAUCAGUAAUAACAACAAAAUAUCAAACUGCCCCUUUUUUUUUAACAAUAUGAGACAAAAGAUUGGCAACUUUUACACACGUGUGUGAAGGAGAGAAAUGUAUUUAGUUAAAGAUAAAAAAAAUAAAAAAUAUAUGUUUUUAGAAUAAUUUUAAAGUAAAUUUUUAUAAAAAGAUAUCUUAUUUUUAUUUUUUUUAUUGAUACGGUAACCGAACACUACUUGUGAUUUUUCAUUGUAAGACAAUAAUACCUCUAAUACAUGCUACUUUAAAAUGAAAAUUAAAAAAAAAAAAAAAACCUUCUUAGAAUGUGAUGGAUUUUUAUGAUACUUAAAAGUAAUUAGUGAUUUUCUAUUAAUUACUCAGUUAUUUUAUAUAUUUAUUUUAAAGAAAAAAAGAGAAUAAAUAAAACUUAUAAGCCACUAAAAAUAAUAAAAAUACAUUCACUUAAAAAAAAAUAUUUAUAUUUUUUUAAUAAAUAAAAAAAUAACUAAUAAAAUAUCCUCAUUUAUUUCCAUAUCAUUAUAAAAUUUAAAUAUCUUUAUGGUAUCCACGUGGGGCGUGUGUGACUAUAUACGUAUAUAAUUAUUUAAAGUACAUCGUGAAAGGCCUCCACCAUUCUUUAACCAGAAUCUAAUCCUGUCCUUAAAGUCCAAUCAUGCAUUAAAGCAUCAUUUCAAUGUCAAGGAUAAGGACUUCAAGUUAUAUAAUUUCCCAGUAGUUUGACCAGUGCUUCACCACAUAUUAUUUAGAUUACUUUAAUGUAUUUUUUAAUAUAAAAAAAUUUAAAAUAUAAAUUAAAAAAUCUAUUCAAAUAUCUUAUUAAAUAAAUUAAUAAUUAUUUAUAUAAAUAAACAAAAAAAAAUCAUUAACAAUAACUAAAAAAGAAAUUGAUAAAAUUAAGAGAUGAAUGUAAAUAAAGAUAUUAAACCAUACAAAAUAAGACAUUCACCUGAUUGUAUUUACUGAACUUGGUUAUUAAAAUCAAUAAAAGAUAAAUCUACAACCCAAAAAACUCUUGACUUAAAAGAUAAAUACAAAUGAAACUGACUAAAUAAACUCAUGGCCAAAAAAUAUAUUAUGCAAGGCCAAACACAUCAGUAAUAUUAUUUAAAAAUGAAUUUUUUUUAUUUUAAAAAAUAAACUUCAUUUGUAAAAACCCCAAAAAAAAAUCUAAAUGAAUUAGCUUAACAUCUUGGAAAAUAAAUAAAUUAAACAAAUAAAAAAAAUAUUAAAAAAACAAAUGCGGAGCAAUAAGAUUGUAUGAAGUCGAAUCUCUUACAAAUCAAAUGUCGAAAGAUGAAAUCAAGGGAAAAAAAUCAAUUACACAAAAUGAUCUAAAAAUAAGGGUAAAAAAAACACUAAUUAGAGGGCAACUAAAAAUUUCAUUUGAUAUGCGUUUCGUAGCGGGUUGUAAUUGUUUUGAGUUUACAGACUAUUUUGAUAUGAUUUUUUUUUACAUAAUUUUUUACAUAAUAUAAAUUAUAAGUGUAAAUCAAAAAAAUUAUCCAAGCAUCUAAUAAUCAUCUAUGUAAAUAAAUUAAUAAUAACUAAAAAAGAAACUGAAAAAAUGAGAGAUGGACAUAGUUCAAAAGAUAUUUGAUUUCGUAAAAUAAAGUAAAAUAAAAUAUUUACAUGUUUGUGUCCACUAAUUUUGUUCAUUAAACUCAAUAAAAGAUAAUAAAAAUAAAAACACAUAUGAAACAGAGUGAAUAAAAUAAAAGGAAAAAAAAUUAUGCAUGGCCGAAUAUAUAAGAAAUAUUAUUUUAAAAUAAGUAUUUUUUUGUAUAAAGUAAAACAAAAAAUCAGCAAAAAUUAAACACAAAACAAAAUAGCUUUUAGAAAAAAACAUUUAUCCAAAAACAACUUAAAAAACCCGUGGUUUAAGUAAUGAGACGGAGACAAACUGAAGAAACGAAUAUGAAGGUAACCAUAAAAUAUUUUUUUUAAAUAAUGUAGAAUGAUAAAAUAACAAAAUAUAAUGAGGAAAAAAAAAUUUCUAACCAUAUUAACACUUAAAACUUGACCCAUGUCAUUAAAUUGAAAGCAUUACAAAUGAAAAAACCAUGAAACCCAAUCCCAAAUAAAUCAAACACCGAAGGAUGUAUCCGAGAAAACAAUCAAUCGCAUAAAAAAUUUAAUUAAAAAUUAAGGGUGGAAACCAAAAUAAAAAAAUUAUUUUGAGAGCAUUUAAAAAUUAAAUUGCAGGGUUAAAUUGAAAAGAAAAAAAUUAACAAAAAGAAAAGAGAAAUCAAAAGAAUGAAGUUUAAAUUGAAAAAAAAAACCAACAUAAACUUUGAUUGAAGGAUAACAUUGAAUACUAAUAAAAUUUUAACAAAAAUUCAAGGGUAAAAAUGACAAAUCAAAAAAAUAAGGUGGUGAAAAAUAAUAUAUGAGAAAUUGUAAUUUAAGGACUGAAUUGAAAACAUAAAUUUUUUUUUUCUAAAAUGAUCAAGAACGAAAAUAAGCAAUAAAAAACAUAAAGGAUUGAAAUUGAAAAACCAAAAAAAAAAAAGACAAACGUGAAUUUUAACGGGAAGAGAGAGAAAAGUAGGAAGAAGAAAUGACCACCAACAACAAAUUACUAGACCACCACCAACAUGCUCUUCACUAGGAGGAAGAGCACAUGACAUGGCAGAAGGAUAUUCUUGGACAGACAGUGGGCAUCACAUAUGCCAUCGAAGGAGCGCAAACGCCACCAACAUGCCGGGGCAUGAAAAAUACGCACCAACAGCUUUUUGGAAUUUAAUAUUAAAAACAAAUGUUAAAUUAUUAAAAAGCCCCCUCAUAACCCUGAAAAUAACAAAUAAACCAAUAUAAAAGUACCAAAACAUCCUUGAAUGCAUAGAAGCUAUUUUAUCUUAUCUGAGGGCAAAUAAUUAUGUUAUUUAUUUUAAAGUUUGUGCAAAGUAAAAAAAUAAUUUUAAUGAGCGGGUUUAAAUUUUCUUGAGGGUAGAAAAAAAAUUUUACUAUACAAAAUAAUUUACAAAGAUAAUAAUACUUAUGUUCAAUUUUUUAACGAAGAAUUUGUCAACGGAAAAAGAUCAAAAUUGACAAAUAUAAUAUUUGAGAGAGUUGGAUGGAUUUUAUUAAUUAAUUACUCAUUCAUUAACAUCCUAAGGCGUAUCUCUAAGUAAGUUAUUUCCCCUUGAAUUAAGGGUGCAUGAGUUAGGCAAAAUUGGAGGGUUAUAAGAAUUAAUCUGAAAUUGACUUAAUACAACAAUGGAUUGAAUGAAUUAAUUAGAAAUCAACAGGUUAAUUUUAACUAUGAUUUUUUAGAAUUUUUGAAACAAUAUUGUUUUGAUCUGGAUAUAAAAGAUUUGAAUUUUAAAUCGAUAUCUGAAUUUCGAUCGACUUUCGAACAUUUUUUCGGAAUCAUUUAUGGAAAUAUGACACUUAUUUUUCCCACAAUAUAUUUGCAAAAUUAUAAUAUUGUUUUCUUAAUUAAUUAAUUAUUUAUUAAUAUCAACAACUAUCUUUUACCACAUCAGUUUGCGAUCUUUAUUAAUCAAGUUUAUCCUUUAUUUUAAAAUAACCCAUAAAAACACAUACAUUCCAAAGCCCACUUUCUCUUGAUGGGCUUUCAUGAUCCAAGAGAAAAUAAAGAAAGGUAAAUAAGAAUAAACCCCUCCAAAAAGAAAAAUUAGGGUUUUAGCAGCUCAGUGAAGACAGCUUGAAAAAUCCUGUUUUUCUUCGAAUUGUUGACCUUUUUAUAAACAUUUUCUCUUCUGAUAACAACAGGAGCAGCUUUCUAUAUUCAGUUUCAACAUGGAAGUUGAAUACCCAGGUUUGCUUUCUCUCAAUGUAUUUUUUUUGUUUUUUUUAUGGUUAAGUUUAUUGCUUUUAAUCUUAAUUUGAUAUGGGUUUUUCAUGGUUAAGAUUAUCGAAUUAUUUACUAAUUUAAAAACCCAUGUUUUUUUCUUGAUUAUAUAUAGAAUUAUUAAAAAAGAUUGAAGCUUUCUGUGCUUUUUUUUUUCAUUUUUUGGAUGGGCUGAUGGUGCUAUUCUGUUUGUUUUUUCAAUUCGGUUGAAGGGGUUUUGAGUAUUUGCUGAUGGGUUUUUUCCUAUUCUUUAUUGGUGAUUGAUGAUUUCAGUUAGGGAUUUAGAGCAUGUGGCCAGUGAUGAAGAGGAUGUGGAUGAAGAAGAGAAAAGAAGUCGAAGGAAGUCGAAGAAGUCAGGUAAAGUGGUAGCUAGAGAGCAUAAAGACCAGUUGCAAAGGCUCAAGGAAAAGGUUAGAUAUGCUUUACUCUCCAAGGAUGAUAUGUUUUGUUAAAUAAAUGGAUAGCUGAGCUGAAAUGUCAUGCUGGGUGCUUGGAUGACUUUUUGCAUGGGGGUUUUUAGGAGCUGAAUAUCGAGAGAAGUAGAUUCUCUUGAUUGCAGACUAGGUUGCAAUGCUUCAUGUUUGAGCACUUGAGGUUCUCAAUUUCACGUGGAAUGUUGGCAUUUGAAGGAUUUGGGAGAUUGUUAAUGCUUAGCGAUUGGAAAAAAUGAAAUGAACCUUCUGUUUUUCUUAAUGCCUUGUUGAUUGUGAACAAUUUGCUAACAAAUUAAUUCUUAACAGGAUCCUGAUUUUUUCAAGUACCUGGAAGAGCAUGAUAAGGAGCUUCUAGAAUUUGAUGAUGAGGAUUUUGAGGUAAGUAUGCAUAAUAUUCUCUUACGUAGAUUUUUUAUGUGAUAAUCACUAUCAACUGACCCAAUCAUGCUGUUAAAAUUUUUGCAGGAAGAUGGUGAUACAGAUGUGGAGGAUGCGGAUAUGCUCGUCGAUGAGGAAAUUAGGGACCGUGAUAUUGCAAAGAAAAACCAGAAACCAUCUGACAAUGUUAUUACUACUGCAUUGGUUGAGUCCUGGUGUAAUUCAGUUCGAGAAAAUGGAAAAAUAAGUGCUGUUCGUUCUCUUUUGAAAGCUUUCAGAAUUGCAUGCCACUAUGGUGAUGAUGGAGGUGGUGAUGCUUCAGCAAAGUAUACUAUUAUGUCUAGCAGUGUAUUCAAUAAAGUGAUGUUAUUUGUAUUAAGUGAAAUGGAUGGAAUUCUUCGUAAUGUGUUGGGCCUCCCUGCUUAUGGUGGGAAGAAAGAGACUGUAAAUGAUCUUCUGCACACAAAAAAAUGGAUGAACUAUCACCACCUGGCGAAGUCUUAUCUUGGGAAUGCCCUAUAUGUUUUGAACCAAAUGACUGAUACACAGAUGAUAUCAUUUACUUUACGCCGUCUCAAAUUUUCAUCUGUGCUUUUAGUUGCCUUUCCAGCUCUCUUAAGGAAGUACAUUAAGGUACGAACAACUUGUCUCAUCAUUUUCUUAUUUUUCAGAUUUUUCUAUGUGAUUAUUCUGAUUACCACUCGAUCAGUUGCACUGGAAUGUGUCAGUUCUGAUGAGUGGUCUUGGAGUUGGUGCACUUUAAUACCCCUAGUCAGCUGAGAUCAUUUGAUUUUGAUCAUCUUCAAUGCUCGCUCUUUUCAUUGUGUAUAUCUAGUAAUGGAAUGCUUCUUAACUCUUUUACUUUAGAUGAUAGUACCUGAGACACUAGACUGUGACUUUUGGUGUUUAAGAGGCACGAGUUCUUUUGAUUCUUUGUUGAUGUUGGAUUGGUUUGAGUUACUGUCAAUCAGUUUAAUACCAAAGUCUUAUGGGCAUCAUUUUGGAGCAGGUGAUAAUUUUUUCCCCUUGAUUUGUUUCAGGUUGCCCUUCAUUUUUGGAGUACUGGAGAAGGUGUCCUCCCUUUGGUGGCCUUUUUCUUUUUAAGGGACAUAUGCAUUCGGAUUGGAUCUGAUUGUUUGGAUGAUUGCUUCAAAGGGAUAUACAAAGCCUAUGUUUUGAACUGUCAUUUUGUAAAUGCAGUAAAGUUACAAUAUAUUCAAUUUCGUGCAAAUUGUGUCAUAGAACUUCUUGGGGUAGACCUGCCAACUGCAUAUCAACAUGCCUUUGUUUUCAUCCGCCAGUUGGGAAUGAUUUUACGAGAUGCAAUUACUAUGAAAACAAAGGUAUUUUGAAAAUUUUCCUUUUCAAAUAAAGAGUACUUGUUUAAUUAUUCAAUCUAUUGGUGAAUUUAGUUCAUCUAAUUGAUUUGAUGUGGUAGUGGAUUAGGUGCCUGUCAAUAAAGUUACAGAAUAUUCAAUUUGAUGUGGUUGUAGAUUUUCUCUUAAUAUUGAUUUGUGAAUUCAUCUAGCUGAAUGGCAUUAAAGGAUCAAUAUAGCUGACCCCAACUAGUUUGGGGUUGAGGCUUGGCUGUUGUAUUGAAGUGUGAAUUCAAUCUUCCUGUAUUCUAUGCAUCUGUACUAUCAAGCAAUUUGAAAUAUGCUAGUCUUUCUUCUUUUCUUUGUAUUGAUUUAAAUUAUUAUUUAUGCAGUUCUCAAUUAUCUUGGAAGUGAUGCUAAAAUUUCGCUUACUUAUUCUUCUCCUUGCCUUUCACUGUUUCUAUAGGAUUCAUUUCGCAAGGUUUAUGAAUGGAAGUUCAUGAAUUGCCUUGAACUUUGGACUGGAGCUAUCUGUACCUAUAGCUCAGAAGCUGAUCUCAGGCCUCUUGCUUAUCCACUCACCCAAAUAAUUUCAGGGGUUGCCCGUCUAGUUCCUACUGCUCGAUACAUUCCCCUUAGAUUGAGAUGUGUUAGAAUGCUUAAUCGGAUUGCUGCUUCUACUGGUACUUUUAUACCAGUUUCCAUGCUGCUUUUAGACAUGUUGGAGAUGAAAGAACUGGAUAGGCCACCCACUGGAGGUGUUGGCAAAGCUAUUGAUUUGCGUGCUGAACUAAAGGUAUGUUUGACAUUUUCUUUUUUAGUGUUAAUUUACAUUGUUUUUGUUCUCAUGUUGGGCAAAAAUCCCCUAAAGUAUGCCUUUUCAAUAUAUUGACUUUUGCGAAUUUUUCUGUUAGGUGAACAAGUCUACCCUGAAGACACGAGCAUUUCAGGAGGCAUGUGUGUUUUCCGUGGUAGAGGAACUUGCUGAACAUCUAGCUCAAUGGAGCUAUUCUGUUGCUUUCUUUGAGUUGUCUUUCAUUCCAGCUGCACGAUUGAGGAGUUUUUGCAAGACUACCAAAGUUGAAAGGUUCCGGAAACAAAUGAGGGAGCUUAUUCGUUGGGUAUGUAUUAUGCAUAAUUCAUAUGUGCUCUUCUUUAGAUAGAUUUGUCUGUAUUAGGGUUGGAAGAUUGUUGUAUCAUUCAUUUUUAUGACUGUUAUGUGUACAAAUAAAUACAUCACAUGUAACAAAAAGGGCUUGAGCAGUACUGAUUUUUUAGCCCAUCCAUGUCCCAGAUUGAGGCUAAUUCCAAGUUUACAAAUGAAAAGCGCAUGUCAGUCACUUUUCUGCCAAACGAUCCUGCUGCAGCAUCCUUUCUUGAGGUAUUGCUAUUUCAUAUCAUUGUUGCUUCCUUUUCACUGUGUUGAAGUUUUUCCAUAAACAAAUAGCCGUUGCUUUUGUACACAGAGCCAUGCUUUGUUCAUCAAGGAUUUGUUUUGGCCUUUUUUCAGAUUGCUGUCUCCAUAUUGUUAAAUCAGGAUUUCUGAUGUGCUUAAAUUAAUUCGUUACAGGAUGAAAAGAAGUCAGGGGCCAGUCCUUUGUCACAGUAUGUUGCAACCUUGCGUGAAGUAGCACGACAAAGAAGUGAUUCAUUGACAGAAUCCAGGUUACCAAUUAGUGUUCUCAUGCUUUAUGAAACAAAUCUUUAAUUGUUUUAGACAGCUGAUUUGUGCAACUUAUGUGCCAAAAUUUUCAGUGUUCUUGUGGGUGAGCAUUCAUCUGUCUUCCGAAACAAGAUACCAGAAAGUGACGAAGAUGAUGAUGAUGAUGAUGCUGCUAAUGAGAAAGGAGCUGUUGUCUUUAGUUCCUCCUGGUUACCAGGAGGUACACCCGAGUAAGUGAUCCCAUCUGCCUCUCCCUCAAUUUUGAGUUAUUGUAUCAUAUUUGUUAUUUUGAAGAUCAUCUACGGUUACUGAAAUUCUCAACAAAAUCAUCAUCUACAGUGAUUGACAUCAAUCAAUUUUAACAGUCUGAUGCCUUUAUUUACACCCCUGGCAAUCUAAGUUAUCAAUCUGACCCUGACCCACUCGACCUUGGUUUACAGGGCUAAACCUUCCAAGAAGGAGAAGAAGAAAAAGAAGAGAAAGGCAGAGCACCAAGAAGAGCUAGCUUCAGAUGAAGAUGUUGUGGAGGAUCUCAUACUCAGUUCUGACGAAGAUGAAUCAUUGGAUGACUCUUCUUCUGAUGAAGAUGAGAGCCCGAAACCACUGCCUAGUAAACCUCAGAGUAAUAAGCAGAAACGUCCUACAGACUUGUCCAAGAAGAAGUCUCUUCUGAAGAAGUCGAAGACGAAAUCUUCAGCAAGUGACUCCGCUUCCAAAGGUAAUGUUGACAGUGCAAAACCCACGCCUUCUAAACAGCAUAGAAAGAAGCAAAACGCACCCGCAAACCUAUCAAAAAUGGAUUUACCAUCCCAUGCAAAGAAGUCCAAGAAGAGGAAGAUAAGUAAUUGAUGAAACAUAGGAAAUGAUAUGGUUUGAUUUGUUGUAUUCAAGGCAGUUUUACAAAACAUGUUUUCUCAUUUUUCUUUCUUCACAAGCCAAUUUUGUGGAUUCGCAAAAAAAUUGUACGGGAGGGAAUUUUGGUCAGUUAAUACAUGCUACUUUUGAGUUAAUCAACUUUUACGUAAAUAUAAUUUAACUUAUUUAAUUAUCUUAAUUAACUUUCUCUUAAUUAUAAACCAUUUUUUUAUAAUAAAAUGUAAAUCAUGGAACUUAUCGAAUUGAAAAUUUAACAAAUGAUUUUUAUUUUAUUUUGAUCCAAAGUACUAGUGCGUUUCUUUAUAUUAUAUAUAUAGCUGAGAAUGGCAUUAGGUUUUGAAAUUAAUUUAUGGCAAAAAAAACUAAAGUGGUAUAAUAUUUCAUAUAUAUAUAUAUAUAUAUAUAUAGAUUCCAGUCUUUGAACAUUUAUAUAUUGAUGUUCUGCAAGUUAUCAAUAAUUUGCUUUGGCUAUUUUAGUUUAAAUUUUCUCAAUAUUAACUUCAAUGAUUCAAAGAGAUUCCAGUCUAAUCCCUAGGAAUUAAAUGUGUUUAUACAGUCAUUCUUGAAGUUUCAUACAAUAAUUUACGUUUUUGUACUUGUAUUGAGAUUAUUAUUUAAUAUGAUAUCAAAACUUUAAUAAUCAAGUGGUCAUGAAUUUAAAUUUUAUUAUUUUUAUUUUAUUAAAAUAAAUUAAUAAAACUAAGCACAAGUGGAUGUUAUAAAACCAUUCAAUAAUUUAAUUUUUUAAAUUGAGAUGAUUCUUUGACAAAAAUUAAAAUGAAUCUAGUGAAUAAAUUCUCAAUUUUUUCAUCUUCUUCCUUUCAGCUUUUAUGUCUUUCCCCAAUUCUAUAACACUUAACAAUGUUUGACAAAAAAUGCUAAAAAAAUAUAUUUUUGUUUUAAUUUUUUUUAGACAAAUUAUAUAUAUAUAUAUAUAUAUAAAAUCUUUUAAAUUUGUGAAAAUGAAACUUGAGGAUAGUUAACGUGUAAUUCUCUACCAAUAAUAUAUAUUCAUAAAAGAAUGUGAAAAAUAAACAGGGGAUAUUUGUUAUUUGAUGAAAAUGAUUUUCGUUAAAACAAUGUGGAAGAAAUUAUAUUUAUUCUAAUGAGAAAAUUGAUGCUGCUGUAUUGUCAUGAUAUUGUACUUUUUGAAUAUUAUCUAUGUUCCGACUAAUUUCUUAUGUUAUUAAGACAAGAAAAAGGUAAAAAUCACUCAUAUAUUUAUUAAUAUUAAUUCUACCAUGCGCUUGCUUUGGAAAAUUAAUAAAAAGAGCCGUGAGGCUUUUAUUACAUAGAAAAUACGAAAACAAAAGGCCUUUUUAUAGAACAGCUACUCCGCUUCUCCCACCCUUUACCAGCUUCUUCUCAAGCCCUCCGUCGAACCUUUUCUCUCUUAUACCUUAUGCCGCAAGCAUUACAUAAAGUCUUAAAUAAUGAAAAAAAAAAAAAAAAACAUCAGCACUGCCACUCGAACACACACACACACACACACACAUAUAACCAGAUAAUAAAAAAAAUAUUAUUGCUUGCAAUGUAAAUUUUUGGAAAUUAAAGGAGUCACCCUGGGUCCGAGGGGACCUCCGCGCCACAUAGGAGUGUUCUUUGUUCUGCAGAGAGGAUUGAGGCAUGUUUUGCGAGGAUGGCUGCGACAUAUUUCACAUCGGCACCUGUGUGUUCCUGGAGAUUUUCCACUCUCAGCGUCCCUGGAUGAGGAAUCCAAGAGGAUGUAAUUGUUCAAGGUAGCUGGUGGAAGCAAAUCGGUGUUGAAGUAGCCACCGACUUCUAGUAUGGAGCUAGUAUUUUGAUCAGCAGCGGCAGGGUUCAACACAUUAUUAUUCAAGUUGAUUGCAUGGGGUUGGCUCCCCGUCUCCUGUGUGGAUGGGACGGUGGUCCUCCCAUUGCCCAAUACAUGGGAGGAGGAAGGGGGUCCUCCGACCAUCGUGCUAUCCUCAUCACAAAUUGUUCCAGAAUGAUAUAUAUCAACAUGUCCAUGGUUAAUCUCCUGUUAAGGCAAUUAUUAUUAUUAUUUUUGUUGUUGGUCUUUUGAAGAUUUUUACAAUAUAAUUAAACUUGUGAACGCAAAAUGAAAAUGAGAGUGAUUCAAGAAAAUACAAUUUUAUGUCAGUAAAACAAUCUAUGUUUUAGAUUUUCAUAAUUAAUUAAAGGCUUUAAUUUAUUUAAUUUAUAUUUUCAAAAAUUAAUAUUCCGAGCAUUUCGGUAGUGAUUUAUAGUAAAAAACACAAGAUGAUGAGAAAUUUGUCGUUCAAGCUAUAGCUAAUUAAUUACGUACUUCCAUUAAUGAUUAUUUAUAAAUUCAUAUUUUAAAGAAGGACAACUACAGGUUUUCUGGCACAAAUUAACUAUAUUGAAAAAUAGUAUAAUUAACUCGCAACAUCAUUUUUAAUUAUAUGUGUUCAAAUUGACUAAUCAGCAUCUAGGAUUAUGUAAUCUUUCUCCAUAUUCAUUUAUGGUUUUUUAGGAUAUUACUAAUAUAUUUUUAGUUUUUAUAUUUGUAGAAAUAAAAUUGAUAUGAAACUUGCAAGUUAUGCUUAAACAAAUGACGAUUCUUAAAUAUCAUUAAAAAACAAACAGAUAAUUGAUGUGAUUUGACGAUGAUUUUCAUAAAUAAAUUAUCAUGAAAGAAAAUUAUAUUUCUUUUGAUGUAAAAAUCAAUUAAUAAUCGAAAAUUAAGAUCAAACAUCGAUAUAUCAUCAUUUUAACUAUAUAUAUCACACAGUUAAUCAUAUUGUUUGUCAACUGAUUUUUUUUUUUUUAGAUUAACUAAUUAAGGGAGAAUAUGAUUUUUUUCCCAAUAUAUUUUUAUGAGAAAGUUAACUAGAGAUAAAUAUAUAUAUAUAUAUAUACCUCAUCACUGGUGUUGGGGCCAUUGAAGUCGAAGUUGGCAAGGCUAGGAGUCGUCACGGGGACUACUGGAAUAUUGAAUAAAUCACUUAGUUUUAUUUGAUGAUUUAAUUCAUAAUGAUUUGCUAAACCUAGUUUCAGGUUCAGAUCCACCAUGUUUCCUGCAUUGUUCUUGUCAUUGAAGCCACCAAUAUUUGAGGCAGUUGCUUGAUGGAAUCGCAGAGAAUCCAUGAUCAGUGUUCCAAGUCUUUUUGUCUGUAAAUAAAAACAACCACGUCCAUGCAAAAUUAUCAACCAAAAAUACAUUAUUUUAAUUUAUUCAUUUAAACAUAUAAUUAAAUUUGAUCUAAUCUUGAAAAAGAUCAAAAUCCAAUCUCCAAAUGCGACAAUUCAUAAUUAGAGAAAAAAACUCUCUUUUUUCAACGGUGACUAGUAAAAAAAAACCUGAGUUAUGAACAAGAUAAAUACCCUACACAUACAUACAUACAUACACAAUGCAUACAUAUAAAAAGAUCAUUUCUACAUACAGAAAUUAGCAAUUCUUAUAUUAUAUGUUUGGAGAGGCGGAGUGAAGAUUACUACAAGAUCAAUCACACAAAUCCUUUGAUAUGGACAAAGGCACUCCUAGAAAGAGCACUCAGAGAAAGUAUGGUAAGAGGGUGAGGGAGAGGGAGAGGGAGACUUACAAUUAGCAAAAGUAUCAAACUAUUGUGGAAGCAAGAAGAUUAUUAGCUUACUAGUGGUGUGAGGUGAACAGCAUUCUAUAGGGCCAUAUUUAUAGGGCAAAUUAGGGACAUCAAUGUGUAUAUAUAUAUAUAUAUGGAAGGUUGGAAAUUAAAGGAAAAACAAUAAAAUAUGAUGCAGGAUAUAGUGAAAGAUAUAAAAUAAGGGUUCUCAAGUUUUAGAUACAGAGAAAAAUUGUUUAAUUUAUUAUGAAAUUCAAUAAUUUAUUAUGAAAUUCAAUAAUUUAUAAAACUGACUUUAGAAAUAAUUCAACAAUUGUUUAUAUAACAUGAAAAUCAACCUAACCCAUAUGGAAAAAAAAUUAAAAACAAAAACUACCUAGUAAAGACAAUUAAAAUAUAUAUAUAAAUAACACUACAAAUAAUUAAAAUUUUAAAUCAACUUCUUUUAAGCCCAAUUUAAAAUUCUUCAUCAUCCUUUAUAGAACUUGAAUCGAGAAUUUAACCACGAUUCAUCAGUUAAAUUGAAGAUUAUAAUUAUUUUUAUUAAAUAUUUGUAAAUAUUUAAAAAAACACCGACACAAUAUUUCAAUAUUCCGUAGGUGAAUAAACAUCAUUUUAUCGACCAAUAUUUACAUUGAAAAUUAUCAACCAAAAUAUUAUUUGUCAAUACUGUUUUCGUUGUUAGAGAGGAUGGUGUAUUCCAUCUUUAUGGAGCUAGCUUUGACCAAUCGGCAAAUAGAGAGAGAUAGAGGCUUUAAAUUGUUCAAUUUUGCAAGCUAUAUAUGAGCAAAAAUAAUUAAAUUUCCAAUUUAUUGUUAAGACCCCAAAAUGAGGUCACAAUUAUUUCAAGAAAUUUUAAAAUAUUACUUGAGAGAUUUAUUUUGAGAUAUAUAUAUAUAUAUAUAAAUAAAGAUGAAAAGGAAUUAUAUCCAAUCCUAAGAUAUUUUCAUAAAAAAAAAAAAACUAAUUCUUUCUCUCUCUUAUUGCCCUCUCAUCUUUAUAUCUAUGUCUUUUUUUUAUAAAGUAAUUAAUUAUUGAUAAUUACUCCUUAAGUAUUCUAAAAUGUUCUCUAGACUUCGUUAUUUUUCAUCUUCUUUUGGAAACUAUUAACUAAUAUACUAAACCGUGGGGGGAUCAUUGUUCCCCCACACACAUUUCACUGUGGAUUACAACAGUAAUUCACAGUGAUUCUUCCCCCUCUUUUUUUUUUUUUUACUUUUCCCUUUUUUUUCGUUUUUUUUUCAAAUUUUUUUUUAAUUUUUUUUUUCAACUUUCCUAAUUUUUAUUUUUUUCUUUUGUUUUUUCCAAAAUUAUUUUUGUUGAUUUUAUUUUUUAAAUAUUGACCUGGUUAAAAUUUUUUCUUUGUAAUUUUUUUCUUGAAAAUACUGUGGAUUGCUGCGAUGUUUUUCCACAUAGUUUUUCUAUUUUAUUUCUUUAUUUUUUAAAAUUAUAUUUUUCGAUUUUUUUUAACUGUUCCCCCACACACAUUUCACUGUGGAUUACAACAGUAAUCCACAGUGAUUCUUCCCCACUUCUUUUUUUUUUUUCAAUUUUUUUUUUCAAAAUUACUUUUUUUUUUCAACUUUCCUAAUUUUUCUUUUUUUUCAUUUAUUUUUUCUUUUGUUUUUUUCAAAAUUAUUUUUGUUGAUUUUACUUUUUAAAUAUUGACCUGGUUAAAAUUUUUGUUUUGCAAUUUUUUUCUUGAAAAUACUGUGGAUUGCUGCGAUGUUUUUCCACAUAGUUUUUCUAUUUUAUUUCUUUAUUUUUUAAAAUUAUAUUUUGUGAUUUUUUUUUAAUAUGAAGCUGAUUGAGAAUUUAGUUUUGUAAUUUUUUUUCUUUAAAACAUUUUUUAUUGCUACAGUGUUUCUCCGCAUAGUUUUUUUUUAUGAUUUUCUCCGAAAUUAUCUUUUUUUAUUUUAUUUUUUAAUAUUGAGCUGGUUAAAAAUUACAGUUACAAUAUGUGAGGAAAUCACUUUAACUUUCCUCGAAAAUUACUGUUGGUUGCUACAGUGUUUUUUCCCACAUGGUUUUUUUCUGUUUUCGUUAUGUUUUUUCCUAAAAUUAUCUUUGUCAAUUUUAUUUUUUAAAUAUUAAGCUGGUUAAGAAUUGUAAUUACAAGUAAAUACAAGUUUUUCCUCAAAAAACACUAUGGAUUGAUACAGUUUUUCCUCACAUAGUUUUUUUCCAGUUUCUUUUGUGUUUUCUUUUUUUGUAAUAUUUUUUUCCAAAAUCAUUUUCGUCCAUUUUAUUUUUUUUAAAUAUUGAGUUGGUUAAAAUUUAACUUUGUAAUAAAGCUUAAUUCAUGUGGGGAAAGUAUUUGUAGCUUUGCUCAUAAAAACAUUGUGGAUUGCUACAGUGUUUCCUCCCGCAAAGUUUUUUUUGUUAUNNNNNNNNNNNNNNNNNNNNNNNNNNNNNNNNNNNNNNNNNNNNNNNNNNNNNNNNNNNNNNNNNNNNNNNNNNNNNNNNNNNNNNNNNNNNNNNNNNNNCAUGUGGGGAAGCACUGUAGCUUUCAUCACAAAACACUGUGAAUUGCUACAGUGUUUCCAACAUGAUUUUUUCCCCUUUUUUUGGUGUUUGUUUUUUUUUUCUAAAAUUAUCUAUGUUGAUUUUUUUUUAAUAUUGAGCCGAUUAAAAAUUUAGCUUUGUUAUUUUUUUUCUUUAAAACACUGUGAAUUGUUGUAGUGUUUUUCCAUGUGAUUUUUUUAUGAUUUUUUCCAAAAUUAUCUUUGUCGAUUUUUUUUUUAAUAUUGAGUUGGUUAAGAAUUAUAAUUACAAUAAAACUAAAUCAUAUGAAGAAAGCGUUGUAGUUUUUCUCACAAAACACUAUGGAUUGCUAUAAUAUUUCUCUAAAUAGUUUUUUAGUUUAUUUUAUUGGGAAAAACGUUAUAAUUUUCCUCACAAAACAUUGUCGAUUACUACAACAUCUUUUCUCAUGGGUUUUUUUCCUUCCAAAAUUAUCUUUGUUGGUUUUUUUUUUAAUAUUAAGUUGGUAGAGAAUUUAGCUUUGUAUUUUUUUUUUGCUUUUUAUUAACUAAAAAGCUAAAUCAUGUGGCGAAAGCACUGUAUCUUUCCUCACAAAACACUGUAGAUUGCUACAAAUCAUUUUGUUCAGUCUCUAAGUUUUUUAUCACCGACACAACUUUUUUUUCCGUCAUGAAAUAUUUGCUCCAUCAUACCUUUAAUUUCUAUUACUUAUCUAGCGCUGGUUCACAAUUAUAACACUAUCAAGUGCAUUUGUUUUAUAAGCCCGCGGCAGCGCGCGGGCAAGUCAUCUCGUAAUAUCUAGAAUAUGUCUUCUUCUUAAGGAUAUUCUAGUAAAAGGACAACACAACCUAGCUAGCCAGAUUAGGAAUAUAAUUAAUCCAUUCAUGUUUAUCUAGCAAAUUAACAACAAUUAAUGCAUACUCACUAAUUAGGUUAGAUUACCUCAUAUGUUUAAGAAACAGCACGAUUUUCCAAAGCAAGACGAGGAUAGAUAUAGCAUAUUUAACGAAGAUCUACGAGAUAAUGGUUCAAGUACUUUUAUCUUCCAUAUAUAGUGUAAAUGAAUUUUCUUAAAAAGAAAUUAAGCCGUUAAGUACUGAUGCUUAGUUAUAAAAAUAUAAUUUUAUAUUAUCUUUGAUAUAAAAAAAAUAUUAAAUUUAUUUUUUUAUAUAUAUAAUUCACAUAUAAUCGUAGCUGUAUAGUUUCACAAGUAUGAAAACACCCUCAAAAUGGCCUCCUUUACCACCCCAUGUCAAAACACGUCUACAAAAUUAAUUAAAAAAUUACUUAUUAAUAUCAUAUGACAAAUUCUGGAUUGGUCAUAUGAUAUUAAAAAUUCAAUAAUUAGAUUAUCAAUAAAAAUUAGCUGGGAGAGUCCAUGAAAGUUUAAGUCUAAAACACUUUUAUUUGAAGAGAAUAUAUUAGAAUAUUAAAUUUUUUUAAAAAAACCUUAUCCAACAUCUAAGAUUUAUGAAUUUAAAAUAGUUCUUUAAUGAAUAAUUAAAAAUAUAAAUCCAUCCUAUUAUUUUUAUCAUAGAAAGACUCUUCUCAAUCAUUAGAUGAACUCCCUCGAUAAAUAUUUUCACCAAAAAAAUUAUUUUUUCAUUCUUUCUUACUGAUACCUUUGGGCUUUGUCCCAGCUAGUCUGUUCCUGCAGUCGGCUAAGAUAACAACAAGUAGAUUCAUUGUUGAAUUCCCCAAGCAAUAAUAUCUACAUAAGGUUAAAACAUCUCUAUUUUAAUGGAUCUUUAAUCAAAAUACAAGUAAAAAAAAAUUAUCAUUGCUUAAUUAUUAAAUCAAAUAGCUAGAUUAAAGGCUGAGAAUUGAUCCAUGAUUAAUUAAGUAAAGUUACAAUGAAAGGAUAUCAAAUUUAUUUGCUUAUCUUGUAAUGAUAUUUAUUUUACUUUAAUAAUUAAUAAAUUUAUAGAAAUAAAUAUUUAAAUUCUUGAGGGGAGGUAAUAUUUUAUCGAUUCAUCAUUUUUAUUUUCAGAAUCUUAUUUUUUUAAUUUUUUAUAUUUAGAUCAUCACUUGUUUUUUUUUUAUUUAAGUAUCUUGUAAGAAAAUUAAACAAAAUUUUUCUUAGAUUCAACGUGGUUUUUAUAAUUAUAUUAUAAAAUUAUUUUAUUUGUGAUAAUAAAAUCAUAAUUAUAUUUACCGAUCAAAUAACAUUUUAAUCGACCAAAUUAACCCUAUAAUUUGAAUCAGUAGCAAGACCAGAUCUGACAGCUAUUAUCAUAGGGUGAUGUUCAAACCAGAAUGUGUCAAGCAAGGUUGUCAAUUCCGUUCCGUUUCAUCCGGAAUGGCCGAAACGUUCCAUACCAAUUCAAAAAACAGAACAAAACGGAACAAAUUUCAUCUCAUUUUAAAUCUCGGUCCGUUCCGGAUUUUUCGGCUAAAUUCCACCCGGAACGUUCCUGUUUCAUUCCACAUGUUCCGUUCCGCUCUUGAAAAGCCAUUGAAUCAAAUUGAACCUUGUUCAAUUUAAUUAAUUAAACCACCCAAUUAUAAAAAGUUCUUUUUCAUUACAAUUUUCAAUAACAAUGAUAUUAAUAACAAUAUUGAAAAUUAUUAUUACUAUUUUCAUUAACAAUGAUAUUAAUUUUUUAAAAUUAGAUUUAUCACUAAUAUAUAUGGUUUAUAUUCAUGUUGUUUUUUUCAUGUUUAUACUUUGUAGGAAUUUGAGCAAAACAAAGGAUGUUUUAGAUUCCAUUAGCCUUGAUAACAUUAACAUAACUUUAUAUUUAAAAUAUUUGUGUUAAAACAUUUUACUUUCAUAAUAUUUUGAUAUUUUGUUUAAGUUGAAUUAUUUUAAAUUAAAGAUCUAUUUAAUCUUGAUUAUUUAGAAAUAUUUUAAAUUUUAAAAUUAUAUUUGUUUGACAUUGUGUUUGUAUUGCAUAAUUUAUAAUUAAUUUAUCUUGAAUUUAAAUUAUGUUUAUUGAAUAUAUAUAGUACAACCCCGAAACGGCACGCCAAAACACUCUAAAACUAAAAUAUUCUAUUUCAAUUAAAAAAACAAAACGAAAUUUACAAACUUGAUUUAAUCCUGUCUUGCACAGAACAGAUUACAUAAAAAAAAAAAAAAAGACUAAAAUGAGCAGGACAGCACUAUCGGAACUCUUAUCAGAAGCACUCGGAUUUCUUAGCGACUGAAUUGAUGGUCUGCCAUUAACCAGGCUUGUCCUGGACGGCUGAACCUGACUUGACGCUGGGUGCCGUCAACCAUACAAACAUUUAUAUUUAAUGCUACGUGAUUCAACAAAAUUAAUUGCAACAGGACACUGGAAGAAAAAGGACAAACAAAAUUAAUUUAAUGCGAAUACUCUUCUAUGCUCAGAAAUAGAAGGGUCCCUCCCGUGGUGAAAGUGAUUACUGAGAUAAUUUCCAAUUUGACAAACGGAUAGACAAAUGGAAAAGUCCACAACCUUGGAGAGCAUUCUUUCACCAGCUAGCAGAUUUCUGGGUAAUGGCAAUAAUUGUCCCCCAAUUAUCACAUGAUUUUCAGCUUGGUCCCCAAACAAAAACAAUUCCCAAUUGGAUUUGUUAUCUAUCAAACAAUACCCAAUUAGGGUUAACUGGGUAGUUUUCAAAAUACUUACAAAACUUGGCUUGGUAAAUCAAUCUAGUGACUCGCUGAUUCGGAUUCCGACUCGAGCUAUAUUUUACUUUGAAAUACUAUGUUUUUUAAACUUAAAUGAUAGUUUUUUUUUUUCCCUUAAAGAACCAUAGCUUUAAUUGACUUGUUAAUUUAUGUGCCAACCUGACCUCGGUUUUUGGCCAGGUUGACCCUCGAAUUGGGUAUAACUAUGGUUUCAAUAAAUUAGAGACUUAAUAUACAAUGUUUUUAUUUACAGAUUUAAUUUAAGAUUUAAUGAUAAUUUAGGGGGAAAUAUGUUAUUUGGGAAAAAAAAACCGAAUUAAUAAUCAAGAAUCCAGCCACUCGUUCCAAUUUUUAUCCACCGACAAUGAUAAAAGCCAUAUAAUAUAAUUUAGCUCAUCUCUUCUUCAAAGAUAAGCAAUAGCAAUAUCAUCGUCAAUUACAGCAGAAAAGAUCACGGGAAAAAAAUAAUUCAUUUUAGCACAAUUGUUAACAUGAAAAAAAACAAAUUAUUUUUUUAUUAAAAUAAUAUUGUCUUAUAAAGUUAAUCUAACCAAGUUUAGAAUAGAUUCUACAAGAAUCAACUCGGAAUAAUAUUUUAUCUGGGUUUAAUUUAAGACUCAGGUAAGGAUCAUAAAUUUAUCGACUUAACAUAUAUGCAUUUUUUAGUGUGUGAGAAAAAUGUCAACAAGACUCCAUUUGGUAUUCAUUUUUCAUCACUCUGAUAUUUAUUACAGUGCAUAAGAUCGCUUAUUAUCACCUGCUUCUUGGCAUGUAGCCUAUCAUUCAAAUUGAGCUAACAAGCAUGCUAUCUGGCCCAGCCAGGUUUGCAUUGACUACCCUGCAGUUCAAUCUGAUCUCCCCUUCAGUUCCUGUCAGAGGGCUGAUAUUUCCCAUUCUUAUCAUGGACUCCACAAAGCUUUCAAAGAAAGCUGUUUGAUUAGCACUG
RNAcentral lists this long non-coding RNA (193759 nucleotides) under Populus trichocarpa (black cottonwood). RNAcentral's name for it is "long non-coding RNA (PTRI_LNC000014)". The record is from RNAcentral. Lineage: Eukaryota; Viridiplantae; Streptophyta; Magnoliopsida; Malpighiales; Salicaceae.